This 250173-nucleotide long non-coding RNA is filed under the name Setaria italica (foxtail millet). Its description in RNAcentral is "long non-coding RNA (SITA_LNC006295)". Lineage: Eukaryota; Viridiplantae; Streptophyta; Magnoliopsida; Poales; Poaceae. The record is from RNAcentral.
CCUUUGGCUCUAUGUUGAGUAACAGGACUAGUAUAAAUGAAUGGAAGGAUGUAUUAGCUAAAAGUGACAUUUGUAGUGAGAAAACCGGAAUUUUACCGAUCCUCAAGCUCAGUUUUGAUGACCUAUCCCCAGAUAUGAAGCAGUGCUUUGCAUUUUGUGCUUUAUUUCCUAAAGAUUAUGAGAUUGAUGUGGACCUCUUGAUUCGACUGUGGAUGGCACAUGACUUCGUACCUGUGCAAGAGGAUGACAAUCCAGAAACCGUAGGAAAAUAUAUUUUCGAGGAGCUAACUCGGAGGUCAUUCUUUCAAGAUGUUAGGCAAACACGUCCAAUUGGCAAUCUUCGUAGGUCAACCAUAUGCAGGAUACAUGAUCUCAUGCACGACAUUGCUCUAUCAGUUCUGCGGAAAGAAUGUGUCACUAUAGUUGAUAAGCCGAGCGUCAACAAGCUGUUGCUAAAUCCGACCCGCCACCUCUUCUUAUCAAUAUACGGUGUUAGUCCUGUUUUCGUGCAAGAACAGGUUACAAGUCUAUUGAAGAAACAAACUGCAAUGCUCCAUACGUUGUUUAUCAAAGGUUAUGGUCAACCCCUUGAUAUAUCAAAGUACACUUCACUGCGAGCAUUACACCUUCCAGCAGAUAGGUUAUCAUGUGUAGGACAGGAACAGCUUACAAGACACAUACAGCACCUAAGGUAUCUUAAUCUGUCGUCACAUGAGUUCGAGAAACUUCCUGAAGGUAUAAGCAUGAUGUAUAAUCUACAAACGUUGGACCUCUCUCAUUGCAGACACCUUCGUCAACUUCCAAAGGAUAUGAAGUAUAUGGCAAACCUCCGACACCUCUAUACCCAUGGAUGCAAAUCAUUGACGUGCAUGCCUCCAGGACUUGGACAGAUCACUUCUCUGCGGACUCUAACUUAUUUUGUUAUUGGUGAUGGCUUGGGAUGUAGUACUAUUGCGGAACUUCAAAACUUAAAUCUUGGUGGAGAGUUAGAGUUAAGUGGUCUGCAAAAUGUAACAGAAGUGCUUGCAAAAGCAGCCAAUCUUGAAAAAAAAGAGAAACUCACAUACUUAUCUCUCAAGUGGAAUGAUGAUGCCCGUGAGAAACCAGAUUCUCAUAAUGAGGUGUUAGAUGCCCUUAAACCUCAUCAUCAGCUGGAGAUGCUAAGAAUAAAGUCCUACAAAGGCACCAAUUUACCGUCAUGGAUAACAGAUCUUAGUAUGUUGCAGCACUUGACUGAGCUCCAUCUGCUUGGUUGUAUGCUGUGUGAGGAAUUUCCUCAAUUCUGCCAUUUCAAAGCCCUUGAAGUUCUGCAUUUGGAAAAGUUGGACAAAUUGCGAAGCCUAUGCAGCCAUAUGGUGUCUACGCCAUUUCCAGCACUGAAGCAACUCCGGUUACAUGAUUUGGAGAGCUUGGAGAGAUGGGUCGCAACAGAAGGAAAAGAAGAUGAUGAAUUAACCUUUCCUCUACUUGAGGAGGUCGAUAUAGACAACUGUCCAAAGUUGACUAGCCUACCUGAAGCACCAAAGCUCAGGGUUGUAAGUUUGGAUGAAGGCAAGCCGCUGCUCUCCUUAGGAAUAGUUAAAUCAAGGCACAUGUCUUCAAUUUCUAAGCUAAAGCUGCGUGUCCAUGACACAGAAGCACUGCCUGAGAUAGAUUAUAAUUGGGAUUCAUCACAGAAACAGAAACUAUCUUUGGGUGGCACAGAAGCCGCACCUCUGUCAGAACUGAACAUAUCUGGCUGCAACUUUUUCUUCGUAUCAAGCCAGUCACAGCUAACACCUGGGGUCUGGAAAUGGUUUGAACAUCUUGUAUAUUUCACAAUUGAAAACUGUGAUGUGCUCAUCUACUGGCCAGAAGAAGUGUUCCAAAGCUUGGUAUCUUUGAAGGAGUUGUGGAUUCAGUCCUGCAACAAGCUAAUAGGGCCCACACAAGCGAAAGGUGUCGAACCUACACAAACGACAGAUCAACUCCUACCACAUCUAAACAUGAUACGUAUAUACUGUUGUGAAAGCAUGGCACAGCUCUUCAUUCUUCCCCCAUCUAUCAGACUUAUUCAUAUUGAGGAAUGCCCUAAGCUUGAGUUCAUAUGGGGAAAGGAGGAGCAUAUUGACACAUAUACAUCGCUGGAACAUUGCCGCGACCCUGCAUCCACCACUGGUAACCUAGAGCAAUCGCCGUCUCCAAUUAUUCGCCGUCCAUGCCUUGUAGAUCUAUCUAUAAGCAGUUGUGAUAGCCUGUUAACACUUCCAAAUCUACCACCGUCCCUCAAAUAUUUACACAUCUGGAGCUGUGAGAAGCUCUGCUCUGUGUCAGGAGACCUGUGUGCACUCGAGGAGCUACAUAUUUUUGACUGCAAUAAGUUACAGUCAGUCAAUUCCUUGGGAGACCACCCAUCAUUAGAAACACUGUAUCUUAAUCGCUGCCGAUGCCUUGCAUCUUUAGGAUGUGAUGGUGGUCGUGGAAGUUACUCUGCUCUUCAGAGCCAUAAGAUCGAAGACUGCCCAGCCAUAGACAUGAAGCAGUUUUACUAACGCCAUCAAACAGCUGCUUGACAGCUUUGAAUAUGAAGACGUAUCACACGUUCAUUCAAGCAGCUCUGAUGAAGGUACGACCUUUCACUUUCCUCUUAUUCAAUUUGUUUCCUUCAAAUUUCCCUGCUUUGCAUGCCCUCCUAUUUUGUUGACUAACUGGUGUAACCCCACAUAUUGGUGUUGAGAUCAGUUGAUGCGGAAUCACUGAAGUACUACUGAAACGAGAUCCUGAUCGGUCUCAGUUUUGGAGAGCAAUUUGUGGUGAACGGAGGCAGUCCAAGGCUUCAAGAACUCAUGGAGUCGUGCUGUACCAUUCUGCACUGCCAGGGCCAAAACAACACAAUUCCUUUAUAUAAGUUGGGUAAGUAAAAAACCAUGCCUUCGUCUGUGUUAAUCAAAUCUCAUUUAGCACAUAUAUGGGGACGUGUUGUUAACUUGUUACCCCAUGCUUUUCAUUUUUUCUGUGCAGACAUGACCCAUUUGUCCUUAAAAAGCAUAAAGGAGGGCACUCACAUGUACACACGACUGCUAUCUGGAAGCUUCAUUGCAGAUCUAGAGAUCAGGAGAAGAAGGAAAUCGUGGGGAUGCAGAUUUGCUUUCAACGGUCAAAACAGAGCUACAAAUGAUUAGUUGUAGUCGUGUGUGGUCCUUCCAUCACGAGUCGGUUUUUUCUUUUGCGCUAUAGAGAAGCUUUUCAGUUGUUGUCUCUUUUACGGUUGAUUUGAUUCCUUUUUUCCUUUCUAUGGGCCUGUUUGGCUCCACCCUAUUAAAGUUUAACACCUGUCACAUCGGAUGUUUGGAUGCUAAUUAGAAGUAUUAAAUAUAGACUGAUUACAAAACUAAUUGCACAGUUGGAGUGUAAUUCGCGAGACGAAUCUAUUAAGCCUAAUCAGUCCAUGAUUUGAUAAUGUGGUGCUACAGUAACCAUUUGCUAAUGGUGAAUUAAUUAGGCUUAAUAGAUUCGUCUCGCGAAUUAGCACAGGGUUCUGCAAUUAAUUUUAUAAUUAGCUUAUGUUUAAUUUUUCUAAUUAGGAUCCGAACAUUCGAUGUGACACUAUUAAAGUUUAGCACCUCGUAUCCAAACACCCCCUAUUAAUAUAACAUGAAAAUCCUCUUGCCAUCUUUUUUUAAAAAAAAUCGUAGGGAUGCUGCUUGAUGAAGCUAGCAACAUGGAUUUCAUGGUUCUUCCGAUUGUUGGAAUGGGUGGGAUAAGCAAGACCACCUUUAAUUUGUGCAACUCAUUUUUUCGGCUGUCAGAUGAACAUCCGAUGCGUUUCCUUCAUCUUCUAGUAAGUAUAUAUCUAGGUGCAUAGUAAAAAUUAUAUAUCUAGAAAAAAUGACCUACAAUUUAAAAUGGAGGGAUUACGUUGGAACAUCAACCAAACAAAUGGACGAACCCGUUUAAUUAUUUGGCCUCCAAGAAUGCUAUACGACCUGAAUGAAUAACUGAAGGCUAUCAAGGCACUUAUUGUUGUACAUAGGAACUGAGCUUGACUUAGAUAUAUUUAUUUGCAAACAGGUGUGAAAUGUGAUACAAUAAUUCAGAAAGCUAGACGUCGUGAGCCAUCCGAGAGAUAAGAAGAAGCUUCUCAUUACGGUGCACAUCCAUCCCAUACGACUCUGACAUUUCGAUGCCUGUCAACACUGGCGGAAGCUCCCAAUUGAAGUGGUAGAUGAGGUUGGCAAGAAUGAUUUCGAAAGUGGCGGUGGUGAAGUUUAUACCCAGGCACAUCCUUCGCCCAGACCCAAACAGCAAGAAACAGAAGUCGUUCCCCCGGAAGUCGGAAGCAGCAUCCAUGGCUUCUUCCAUGAACCGCUCGGGCAUGAACUCCUCUGCACUCUCCCAGUAGGUGGUGUCCCUGCAUAGAGCCCACGCGUUGACGAUUACACGUGUCCCGAAGGGUAUGGUAUAGCCCUCCACAUUGCAUUCCGACUUUUUUAUUUUUUGAACUUUUUUUUGAAAGAUUCUUACAAAUAGGUCCUUGGCGAAAACAUUUCAAAAUCUGGACCCUUAGCUUGGCGCCACCAUCGUACACGUCUCGGCGCUAGCGGCUCUGGCGCCUAGGUCAUUGCGCAGCUGGUGACGUGGAUGCUGACAUGGCGGGGGCUUGGCACCAAGGUGGAUGACGCCAAGCUUCGUAUUUCAACCACCUGCCUCCUUCCUACCCGAGCCUUCCUCCUCUUCUUUCUCCUCCCUCUCGGAUUUUUUCUCUCCCCACUUCACCCUACAUCACGAAUCGGCCUAUUGGAUCUUGAAAACUUUGAUUUGAUCCGUGGAUCUUCGAGAGCAAGGUAUCCUCGCUCCCUCAUAGUUUUUUUUCACGUCGAUUCGGUAUAUAUUAGUCGGAGUUUUGAACUUAGGGUUCAUGCAACCGUAGGAUGUCAAGGCGUGGAAAAGCUAGGAAACUAAGGUAACCUCAACGCACGUUGUUAUGUUAUGGGUUCAUUGUUGUGGAUCGAAUGGGAAACCCUAGGUAUAGGUUUAAUGUUAAUUGCUUUCGGUUCUUACAACGAAAUGGACUAAAUUGUAGUUAUGGCGGGAUGACUGGAAAUGCCUUCGACCCAUUGCCUCUGCCAAGUGGUGUUCCAGUGCCCAUGUGCUUUUACAGCGAUCCUUGCAAGGUAGCCAAGUCCGAUGCAGAGGACACGUAUAGGAAGAGGUAUUGGAUGUGUUCCAAUUUUGCGUUUGAGCCUACACUUCGUCAGCGCCGCAUUAACAAGAUGGUGAGAAAUUGAUGUUGUCUAAUAAUUAUUUUGUUUCGUAUGACAUCUUGCAUGAUUUUUUUAUUUUCUAACAAUUGCAUUUGUUGCAAACCCCUCUACUGCUCUGUGAUUUUGAGCAGUGGAUUGACACUGAGAUCAAGCCUGAAGAUAAGGAGGAGAUGCAGGAAAUGUUGCGGUGGGAGGCAGAGAAGAAGGAGACAACGGAGAACAGACACAGAGAGGAGGCUGCAGAAAAGGAGCACAAGGAAAAGGAGAAAAAGAGGCAUGCUGCUGCGAACAGGGAGGAGAGGGAGAAGAAGCUUGAGCGUGCACGCUGAGCGAAAGCAGCGAUUGAGGAGAAUCCCAAUGCCCUGAGGAAGGGAAAGUGGCCUCGUUGCACACAGUAGUCUUCAGUACUUGCUAGUUCUAUGGUUUAUUCAUGAACAAUGUUAUCUACUGUUGGACUUUUCAUUGUGUUGUCAUGUAAUGGACUUUAAGUAUGGAUGAUGAUAAAAAGAAGUACCGACAGAUGCUCAUCACUGAAUCAACACAUGCCAUCGAAAUUUUGGCAGAAUUUCCCCUAUUAUUUUUACACAAUCCAUACAUGUAAGUGAGAUGAAUUUUUAACCUCAAUACAACAUGUUCAAACAUACAAAUAUAUGCCACAUUCAUAAUGAAAGUCCACAAAAUGCAUAAUGAAAGUCCACAAAGUUCAUAAUGAAAGUCCACAAUAGUACAUAUACACAAUAGUUCAUAAUAAAAGUCCAUAUACACAUUAGUUCAUAAUAAUAGUCCAUAUACACAAUAGUUCAUAAUGAAAGUCCACAAAGUCCAUGUUAUUACAUAAUAACAUCUACCACAAACGUUCACUACCUCCUAGUCUUACCCUUACCCUUGUGACCAAGAGUGUCGGUACCUGGAGUGUAAGGGGAAGGUGGACGAUAUCUCCUAGUGCCUGCAAGCUGUGUAGGCUGAGUCAAGGGAGCGUCCUGGAGCUGAAACGGGCCAAGCUCUUCGUGCCUCUCGUCAUCCUCAUCCUCGUAUGCAAUGCCUUUGGCCUGUGUAGCUGCUUGGCUAGACGAACCUAUGCCUCCUCUGCUUGAGGAAGGAACAUGCAUGUCUCGCAUUGUGGCUGUCCUGCAACCACAAUGAGCAGCCGCACGGCGUAGCCGACGUGAUAGUCUCUAUUGUACAAGAAAUAGGUUAAGUGAAAGAAUUUAACGUAUUAAUAAUAUAUUUGAAAGCAUAUUUAGAAUCUUAUGUCUAGGAAGCUACGCGUCUCGUCGUCUCUGACUCUCGGACGAAACUGCUCAAUGUCUUCAACCGAGGUUUUGAGGGUAUGGCCCUACAACAAAGUAAAUGUACCAUCAUUAAAUCACUAAGUCACUAUCUACCUAAAUCACUAAGUCAGUAUCUACCUAAAUCACUAAAUCACUAAAUCUACCUAAAUCACUUAAGUCAACUAAUCACUAAGUCACUUAACAUAGAAAAAUAAGGCAAUUGACUUACCAAUCUAUCCAAGAUUGGUCCUGCCUCCACUUGCCUUCCUACACAAGUACUUCGGUCGUAUGUCGUGUCUUCAUCGUCGAAGGACUCGAUGUCGCUGUAGUCAUCUUGUGUCCAUUGUAGCCUCAGCCUGCAACGGCUCGCACCUUGGUACCAAGCUUGGUAUCGCAUGUACUCACUGUUUGUGUGCGGCUCGUUGUUCUCAUCCACGUUGUCGUGGAACUCCUCCCAUUGCUCAAUGUAAGGCUGGUGGUAUACAUGUCACUCAAAAACCUUCCUGUUCUUCUUAUGAUCCAACCUGCACGUCACGUAAGAUGUAUAACUGCCCAUAGUCGUAUAACCUGAGUUAAUGUAAGGGACCAUCAUGAGAUAAUUGAAAUAGCAAAACACUUCCUUGUGUAAACUCUACGCCAGUCGAGAAUGGAGCCGUUGGCCCAAAUCUGUUCUCAUGCCAAAUUAGAGUGCAACUCGAUCAGGCUGGGUGGAACUCGACCGGCAUAGAAAACAUAUAAGAGGGCACCUCAUCUGUAUAAAGUCAUCCAUCGCUCGCACACAUGGUGCUCAAAAGGAAAAGUAAGUGCCCCCUCUCCCUAUGUAUGGCUCCCACGACACCUGCAACAUGUCCAAACAAGAUGUCAGAUGAUAUACUAAAACUAAUUGAAAUCAGCAUGGGAAAUAAAAUGUACUUACACUAGACACCGUGAGCGUGUCUAGCUCGUUCGUGAAAUCAUGGUACGCCCACUCCAACAUCGUGUGUAGAACCCUAACCUGGUCCCAAAGGUACGCCCACGUAGGAUGCUGUCUCGGAGGCUGACCUGGGAACCACUCAUGGCGAGACAGAACCUCAGGACGGCCAACUGGUAGACGCGCCCACAUCCACAACUGCUGUAGGUACACACAUCCACCAAGUGAUGCUGAGGAUGAAGACCGACGACAAGCCUCGCACAGCUGCAGGUAGAGAAAACCCAACAUUGCAGAGCCCCAGCUGUACUGACCCGCCUGGUGCCAGUCGGUGAGGCAGUGGAUCCAAAACCACAAUGUAGUGUCACCCGUGGCAUCGGGGAAGAGAAUGCAUGCAAAGAGGUGUAGGAUCCAUGCCCUGCAGUAGUUCUCAACUGUUUGCUCAUUUACAUCCUCGAGGCAUUGUGCAAACUGUUGCCGGAGCCAGGAGAUUAGAACACCAGAAGUGUGAGCACCUUGCUCGUCAACCUCAUGCCCAAGGAAGGCUGCUACUCGUUCUCUCCAACCAUCUGACCUGCACGGCCCAGUCACUGCAUCACCGCGAAUCGUCAAACCUAACAUCUUCUGACAGUCCUCAAACGUAACUAUUAUCUCUCCGAAAGGCAAGUGAAAGGUAUGAAUCUCAGGCCGCCACCUACAGUUUAGACAAAGGAAGAUUACAUGUCAAAUAGGCUAGGGCAUGAACGAUUGGCUAUGAAUGGACGCAAUGAUUGAAGAUAGUACCUGUCAACCAACGCUGUUAUGGCUGCUGAGUUGAACUUGGGCAACCCAUGACGAACCUGAAAUGAGAUGACAUCUAGGCCAGCAGCUUGCACCAUAGGAGUGUACCGGUCGUCGUACCGCAUGUCCAAGAACCCAUCGUGGGUUCUAGAACCAAGGAGCGGAAGGUCAUGCAUGCAAUGAAACAGAGUCUUCCGUUAUUUCACGAACAACACAUGUACGCUUACAAAAAAUCAAUCAACACGUACAUAUUAUUACUACCCCCCCACCCCCCGCUAUGAGACAUCCUUGAUGGGUCUGGUCGUACACCGGGUCGAGCAAGUGGAGUUGCGCCAUCCUACAAAAAAUCAAUGAAAUAUAAAUUAAGUAUGCAGUGAAACAUAAACUUAGAAAUGUACAAAUAAUUGACACAAUUGCAAGUAUAAAUUGAGACAUGCAUAAUUAAUUGAGUGGAUACGACAUAUAUGAAAUAAUGAAAAGAACCACUAGUCGCACCUCACUACUCUGCCAAUGGCACGUGCAUGAACUGUGGUCCAGUCUACCGCACUUGCUGCACUCGUUCUGCUCGGGGUCAGUAAGAAAUGGGGUUGCCCUACCACGCCUCGCUCUUCCGGGUAUUUGAUCCAUAACCAUCAUGUGCCUCGUCCUCUUUCUUGAUCCACGCCUGUUCCAACGGUAAGCUGGAUCCGCAAUGUACUUUAGCCCAUCAUCAACAUGAGGGACAUGACUAGUAUUCCAACAGAUGCGCUCCUAUUCUUUCUGCACUUCUGCUCCCAUCUCCGUGUCAAAUUGUAUUACGGGUGUAGUUUAGCACUGAACAACAUGAUUUUGUGGUGCUGGGAUUGAAUCAUAGGAGUGCUAUUUGUGUGUCCGGAGCCAACUUUGACUGAUCUGAAUUUUGGUAAAAUUUCAUCCGAAUUUGUUUAAAAUCCAGUUGAAUCCAGGCCCGAAAUUUCCUGAAUUUCCGAAUUUCGUCCAUUUCGGAAGGCUCCGAAUUUUUUCAACUUUUGAAUCCCAGAACCUUGGUUGAGAAGCGGAGAGAUGGGAGACCUAGUUUUCAUCUUCGUUGCCUCGUUGGAGGGGAAUACUGCAUCUGGAGGAAUCGCGCGGAGGACAAGCUCAUGGAAGGCCCCGCUUUCGAUUACAGAGAAAAUCUUCGUUGGUCCGUGGGAUUUGAUUACAGCGAAGGCGAAGCAAACAUGUUUAACCGGUAUCUGAUUACAUGGUACCAGAUACGGAGCGAUUUUUACUGAAACAAACAUCACCUAGAGCUGACUAUUAUAUUCAAAUACUGACAAAAAGUAGAAUACUUCUCAGACAAGCCAGCCAUUACAACAAUAACAACACAACAACUGGAUUACCGGCGUGUCACAAUAACACACAACAAGAAGCUACGUACCACGAAGCAACAGAAACAGCACUCUUGCAAAUUAAGGGAUAAACAACACCCCCAAGGAAAUGGCGAUGAAAUUAAACCAGGCCCCGCCUGCAGAGCUUUGAGCACCUACACAUAUAUAGCAGGUGCAUGCAGCUCUCUAUUACAGAAACAGUAGAUCGAAAACGACGAGCAACCAAGCAUCGAGCAGCAACACUACUUACUUCUUCUCUCAAUGCAAGCAGGAAGAGAAGGCAAGCUAGCGAGCUGAUCAGCAGAGAAGUCGCCGGGAUUCAGAUGACUGCCGCGGUCGGCGUGCAGCGGCGCUCGCAGAAGUUUCCAGCAAAAUGCGGAACUUCAAGCGGGCCGGGGCUCCUAGAUAGCAUGUACAUCUUUGGGCUUGUUCGCUUCAGCUUAUAAGCCGGCUGAAAAGCUGAAACGGCUGAUUUGUUGUAAGAGGAAAACACUGUUUGGUGGCUGAUAAGCCGGCUGAAUAAGCUGAAGCGAACAGGCCGUUUGAUCCAACAGCAGCCCAUGAACAACAAACAGUAGCAGCAGCUAGCGUAUGAGGGUGGUGUGUGGUGGGGCCAAAGGCCAAUCUUGCAAGACAGCAGGAAGGAGCGUAACAUGCAUGCCCGUGUGCAGUACUGCCGUGGGUGUUGAGCACUUUUUUUUCUUGCUCCCGUUGUACUCAUGGAAACAUUUCAAAAGUAUAGAUUCAAUAUUUUGCAUAUUAUUUAAACAUUUCAAACAUUUAUGGAAACCACAUUUUAGAUAAACUGGUUCAAUAUUUUGCAUAAUAUUGUUGAAAUAGUGUACCUUAAACGUUGAGCUAAAUAUAUAAAAAUGUUGAGCUAAUAUAUCUAAAAUGAUGAAACUAAGAAAAUAAAGAUGAAAAAAAUAUAUACAGUCAUGUGGGAUCUCAAUCCGUUAGAAAAAUUUCGAAAAGGCUCAUAGUUUAUUCGGAAUUAAAAUUAAAUGAACCGUUAGAGAGAUAAGUAAGUUGAAAAGUUCGAAAUCAAAACUCACAUCACCCAACAAGUAGCUGACACCUAUCCGUCCUUUCAGCAGCUCCACCCACCUCGCGCCAGCAUACUAGCACAUGGUGGUCCCCAGCCACCUCUCGCCAGAUCGCAGUGCCCGAUGGGAGAUCCGGCGAUGCCGUUGCGUCGAAGGAGAGGGCGGAACCGACGAGGGUCGCCGGCGGCUCCCACCCCGAACGCGUCCUGACCCACUCCGGCAGGGCCUCCCGCAGGUACGGUGAGCGCUUCCAUCCGUGGUCCGCAAGCAGUAAUGUCUGAUUUUUCGCUUUCUUCUCCGGAAUUCGUCACAUAUGUCAUCGUCCUGUGUUUAUAUAUCCUUUUUAUGCUGCAAAGCUUUCACGAUUUUGAUGAGAGAUUUGUUCAUGUUUGUGCCCACAUAGUAGUCAAUGUGCCACUAGUACUGAUUGCAAUACGUACGGAAAUUGGUUUUGUGUCUGUUCUUUCUCCAUCUCAAUCAUCAAUCAAAUGGGGGUAGUCGUCGGUACGCCGGGUGGGCCGAGUUGGCCAAACUGCACAGUGGUGGUGGCAGCCAAGGUGUUGUUCAAGGUCGGGCUGGCACGCACACGGCCGUACCACAUCAGGGUGUGUCCUGCUUCCCCGUCAACUUCCUCAAUACGACUCGGUACGCCACUGUACCUAAUCCUCCAAAACUCCAACUCCAAAGGCUCGCUGAACGGAAAAAAAUUCUAGGAGGACGGUCCCCAAAUCCUUCUCCGUGAGGAUCCACUCCCGAUGGUUGCAGGCAUGGCAACAUAUAAUUGAUCCGCCGCCACCAACGACUGAGGUUUCUUCCACCUCGUCAACUACCACCACCUCCUCCACCCACCUCUCUUCUUCUCCGGCUACCCUGCGCGCGCCCUCGCCGCCGUGCGUGCCUCCAGCGAGCUCCCAGGCCCCGACGGCGCCAGCACUACGGCCGCGCCCCGGUGGCCGGCGGCGUCUCCUACUCCUCUAACGUGGACCUGUUCCGCUCGCCUUCAGCUGCCGUGGGAGCCGCGUAAUGGAGGAGGGUGGUGGGCCAAGCGACAGCUAGCUGUGGUGUGGUGGGCAUCCUCAUUUACUAAUCUCCACCCACCUUCCGAUGAAUAAAAAUUGACCUCUUUAUGCUGCCUUUGUCAUNNNNNNNNNNNNNNNNNNNNNNNNNNNNNNNNNNNNNNNNNNNNNNNNNNNNNNNNNNNNNNNNNNNNNNNNNNNNNNNNNNNNNNNNNNNNNNNNNNNNCAUCUAAGGUUAGCAGCCUCUUUCAGUGUACAAAUGAUUAUGCACCUAAUACUUUCCUCACCUUUGCAGUGCCGUGGGCCGCCACUUCCCUUCUGGCCCACAUGUCAUGGAGGCGCGCGAGGAGGGGGAUCGGUUUCACGUAUGAUUAAUAAAGAAAGGCCCAAGACACGUCACGCUGCGGGGGACAAGGGAAGACACCGCACCGCACGCACCUCCACCACUUGCGUUGCCUUUGCCUUUGCUUUUCCCCUAGCUCGCCCGCCUAGGAGCUCCAGCAGCCGGUCCGCUCCGCCGCCGGUGCGGCAACCACGCCGCCGUCAGAUCGCCUCGCGCGGCCACGCGGCCACCGAUCGUCCCCGCGAUACACCGCCGCCGGUGCGCCGUGCGCGGCGGCGCUGUCCCGCCGCUCCUCCGCCUACCGUCGGCCUGCGCCACCGCCAGCGCACCGGCAGCACCGCGAGCUGCUGCGCCGCCCCGACGUUGGUCCUUCCUGAGCCCGGUGUCGUCACCAGCGUCGCGGAGAAGCUAAUUACCUGGAGCAAUUUGUAGAAACAAAUAGUACUGGUUCGUUCACUUAUUUCUUUGCUCAAACUUAAUUUCUGCUUAGAGUUUGUGCCUAAAUUAGCUGCUUAUUCUGCUGGUUGCACGCAGGAGAUCGAGCUGCGGGCGUACGGCCGGAUCGGAGGAGGACAUAUCAGCCGGGUUCCUGUUGGUUGUGUACUUGUGUUCCUGCCGGCGGAGAAGCAACCAUGGCCGAGUUACUGAUCGGGCCACUGAUCUCCAUGGUGAAGGAGAAGGCAUCCAGCUACCUGCUGGACCAAUACAAGGUGAUGGAAGGCAUGGAGGAGCAGCGCAAGACCCUGGAGCGCAAGCUGCCAGCAAUCCUGCACAUCAUCCAGGAUGCGGAGGAGAAAGGAGCCUCCCGACCUGAAGUUGCAGUUUGGCUUAAAGACCUCAAGACAGCGGCCUAUGAGGCCAACGACGUCUUUGAUGAGUUCAAGUACGAGGCGCUUCGGCGAGAAGCCAAGAAGAAGGGCCACCACAGCAAGCUUGGAAAUGAGGUAGCAAGACUCCUAGUCCCCGCUCGUAAUCCCAUUGUAUUCCGUUACAGGAUGGGCAAGAAGCUACGCAGGAUUGUGCAGACCAUCGAGGCCUUGGUCACCGAGAUGAAUACAUUUGGUUUCAGGCACUUGCAGCAAGCACAGCCAUCAAGGCAGUGGCGACAGACAGAUUCCAUAAUCAUUGACUCCGACAGAGAUAUUCUUAGCAGAUCUAGAGAUCGGGAGAAGAAGAAAAUCGUGGGGAUGCUCCUUGAUCAAGCUAGCAACAGGGAUCUCAUGGUUCUUCCAAUUGUUGGGAUGGGUGGGAUGGGCAAGACCACCUUUGUGUUGGAGUUGUUCUAAAUUCACUCCAGGAAUAAAGGCCGACCUUCCCGACCCUUGACACUCAGGGUCGGGCGAGGCGGAGAAUCUCCCGACCCCGGGACUCGGGGUCGGGCGAGGCGGAGCGUCUCCCGACCCAGGCUUGAGGUCGGGCGAGUCGGAGAUCGACCCUCAAGGGGUCAGGCGCAUCCGACCCCAGGCUUGAGGUCGGGCGAGGCGGAGUCCCAGGCGCAUCCGACUCCAGGACAAAGGACUCAGGGUCAGACGAGAAGGAGUUCCAUCCUUGUACGGGACCAAGAGUCCGUACAGCUCAAUACCCCCUGUCUGGGGUUUCGGUACUAUAUAUACAUACACCCUUGCUAGGGUUUUGGGUGGUGACAGAAGAGAUAGAAGAGAGAGAGAUUAUCAGAUUCUCUUGUAAGCCGCCAUAGGCGUGUAGCCCUAAACUCUUGAUAUAGUGAGAUUGUUGCCGGCUGGUGCCCGUGGUUUUUCCUCUUCACAUUGAAGGGGUUUUCCACGUAAAUCGUGUGUCUUCUUUUGUGGUUUGAUUCUUUACUUCAUAUUCCAUACGUCGUACCUAACAAGUGGUAUCAGAGCUUUGGUUGCUGUUUGGAUUUCAUGUCGACGUCGAUGAAGUUUGAUCUACCGCUGCUGAACUACGACACGCGGUUCUCUCUAUGGCAAGUCAAGAUGAGAGGAAUUCUAGCGCAAACUCAUGAUUAUGAUGAGGCGCUGGAUAGCUUCGGAAAGAAGACAAAGGCCGAGUGGACUCCAGAAGAGAUCCGCAAGGAUCAGAAAGCACUCGCCCUAAUACAGUUACAUCUUCAUAAUGAUAUUUUGCAGGAGUGUCUGAAAGAAAAAACUGCUGCAGAACUAUGGCUGAAACUGGAAUCGAUCUGUAUGUCCAAGGAUCUAACCAGUAAGAUGCAAAUGAAGAUGAAGCUGUUCACCUUGAAGAUGAAGGAGGAAGAUUUAGUGAUGAACCACAUCACUGAAUUCAAGAAGAUCGUCGCCGAUCUAGUAUCAAUGGAGGUGAAGUAUGAUGAUGAGGACUUAGGUCUUUUACUGUUAUGUUCUUUGCCAACUUCAUAUGCAAAUUUUCGUGACACCAUACUCUUGAGCCGUGAUGAACUAACCUUAAAGGAAGUUUAUGAGGCUCUCCAAUCAAGGGAGAAGAUGAAAGGUAUGGUGCAGACUGACAGAACGUCGUCCUCCAGAGGCGAUGCUUUGCUUGUGAGAGGCAGAACUGAUAACAGAUCCUCCAAUGAUGAUGGAAGAAAAAACUAUGAAAGGAGAGGCCGUUCAAAGUCCAAGCCGCAUGGUAACAAAAAAUUCUGUGUCUAUUGCAAGCUAACAAAUCACAAUGUUGAGGAUUGCAGAAAAGUACAGAAUAAGGAGAAGAAGAAAAACAAGUCGGCUGGUAAGGUCUCUGUUGCUGCUGCCGUGUCUGAUGAAGAAUCUGGAGAUGGUCUGGUGGUAUUUGCCGGUUGUGUUGCUGGUCAUGAUGAGUGGAUCCUUGAUUCUGCAUGUUCAUUUCAUAUUUGCAUUAACAGAAAUUGGUUUAGCUCUUAUAAGUCUAUGCCGAAAGGAGAUGUUGUGCGGAUGGGAGAUAAUACCCCGUGUGAUAUUAUGGGAAUUGGAUCAGUUCAGAUCAAGACUCAUGAUGGCAUGACACGCACUCUGAAAAACGUCAGGUACAUACCAGGGAUGUCCAGAAAUCUUAUUUCAUUGAGCACGCUUGAUGCAAAAGGUUACAAAUAUUCCGGUUCGGAUGGUGUUCUGAAGGUAUCAAGAGGUAAUCUUGUCUGCUUGAAAGGUGAUCUCAAUUCUGCAAACUUAUAUGUCCUUAGAGGGUGUACUUUACCUGGUUCUGAUUCCGCUGUUGCUGCUGUUACUAAUGAGGAACCUAGUAAAACUAACCUUUGGCAUAUGCGUCUGGGACAUAUGAGUCACCAUGGUAUGGCAGAAUUGAUGAGGAGAAACCUACUGGAUGGCUGCACUUCGAGUAAAAUGAAGUUAUGUGAGCACUGUAUUUUCGGGAAGCAUAAAAGGGUACAUUUCAACACUUCUGUUCACACCACUAAAGGUACUCUUGAUUAUAUUCAUGCUGAUUUAUGGGGUCCUUCCCGUAAGUCCUCGCUUGGUGGUGCUCGUUACAUGCUCACAAUUAUUGACGAUUACUCUAGAAGGGUGUGGCCUUAUUUUCUGAAACAGAAAGAUGAUACCUUUGCUGCUUUUAAGGACUGGAAGGUCAUGAUUGAAAGGCAAACUGAAAGGAAGGUGAAAUUGCUUCGUACUGAUAAUGGUGGAGAAUUUUGUUCGCGUGAAUUUAAUGAUUAUUGCAGAUCAGAAGGUAUUGUAAGGCAUCACACCAUACCCUAUACUCCACAACAGAAUGGUGUGGCCGAACGCAUGAACAGAUCCAUCAUAUCCAAGGCCCGUUGCAUGCUGUCUAAUGCCAGGAUGAGCAAGCGUUUUUGGGCUGAAGCUGCUAAUACUGCCUGUUACUUGAUAAACAGGUCACCUUCUAUUCCACUAAAUAAAAGAACUCCCAUUGAGGUAUGGUCUGGAACGCCUGCUGAUUACUCACAGUUGAAAGUUUUUGGAUGCACUGCAUAUGCUCAUGUUGAUAAUGGAAAAUUAGAGCCUAGAGCUGUUAAAUGUCUUUUCCUUGGUUAUGGUUCGGGUGUCAAAGGCUAUAAAUUGUGGAACCCGGAAACAGAAAAGACCUUCAUGAGCAGAAGUGUUAUUUUCAAUGAAUCUGUGAUGUUUACUGACAGCUUACCCUCAGAUCAAGUUCCAGACAAAGGACUGCAGCGUAUGCGCAUGCAGGUGGAGAACGCUCGUAAUGAUGUUGAUAACCCCGACCCCUUGGUCUCGGGGUCGGAUGCGCCAGACCCCUUGGCUCCAGGGUCGGCUGAUGCUCAAGCGCCAGACCCCUUGGCUCCGGGGUCGGAUGUUGCUGCGCCAGACCCCUUGGCUCCGGGGACGGAUGUUGCUGAUGCGCCAGACCCCUCAAUCUCGGGGUCGGCUGAUGCUCAUGAUAAUGUCCAGCAAACUCCAGAGGAGGAUCUACCCAUUGCUCAACGCAAGUCCAAAAGGACAGUUGCCCCUCCUAACCGCCUCAUUGAAGAGUGUAAUUUGUCUUACCAUGCUUUGAGUUGUGCUGAACAGGUGGAGAAUGUUCAUGAGCCAGCAACCUAUAAAGAAGCUAUUCAUUGUGGCGAUACUGAAAAUUGGAUUUCGGCCAUGCAUGAGGAGAUGCAAUCUCUUGAGAAGAACAGUACAUGGGAACUUGUACCUUUGCCUAAGAAUAAGAAGGCCAUCCGCUGCAAAUGGAUCUUCAAAAGAAAGGAGGGUUUAUCUCCAAGAGAGCCUCCGAAAUAUAAGGCAAGGUUAGUUGCAAAAGGCUACAGCCAAAUUCCGGGUGUCGACUACAAUGAUGUUUUCUCUCCAGUGGUAAAACACAGUUCAAUUCGCACUUUCCUUAGUGUUGUUGCUUCACAUGAUCUUGAGCUUGAGCAGUUAGAUGUGAAGACUGCGUUUUUGCAUGGAGAGCUCGAGGAGGACAUAUACAUGAACCAACCAGAAGGUUUCAUAGUGCCUGGCAAGGAGAAAUAUGUGUGCAAGUUGAAAAGAUCCUUGUAUGGUUUGAAACAGUCCCCUCGACAGUGGAACAAGAGGUUUGAUUCAUUUAUGUUAUCACACAGUUUUAAAAGAUCUAAGUAUGAUAGCUGUGUUUAUAUCAAGCAUGUUAAUGGAUCACCUAUAUACUUGCUGAUAUACGUUGAUGAUAUGUUGAUUGCUGCCAAGAGUAAGACUGAAAUAAAUAAGUUAAAGAAGCUAUUGAGUAGCGGUUUUGAUAUGAAAGAUCUUGGUAGUGCUAAGAAAAUUCUUGGUAUGGAAAUUAGUAGAGACCGAAAUUCUGGUUUGCUAUUUCUUAGUCAACAGAAUUAUAUCAAGAAAGUUCUUCAGCGUUUCAACAUGCAAGAUGCUAAGGCUGUAAGUACUCCUAUUGCACCUCACUUCAAGUUGUCAGCUGCUCAGUGUCCUAGUACAGAUGCAGAGGUCAAAUACAUGUCAAAGAUUCCUUAUUCUAGUGCUGUUGGGUCCUUGAUGUAUGCCAUGGUUUGCUCUCGCCCAGAUUUGUCAUAUGCUAUGAGUCUUGUUAGUAGAUAUAUGUCUAAUCCCAGCAAAGAACAUUGGAGGGCAGUUCAGUGGAUUUUCAGAUACCUCAAAGGCACAGCAAAUUCCUGUUUAAAGUUUGGAAGAACUGAUGAGGGUCUUAUUGGCUAUGUGGACUCAGAUUAUGCUGCUGAUCUGGACAGGCGAAGAUCACUCACAGGCUAUGUGUUUACUGUUGGCAGUUGUGCUGUGAGUUGGAAGGCUACUUUACAGUCGGUUGUUGCUUUGUCUACUACUGAAGCAGAAUAUAUGGCGAUUUGUGAAGCGUGCAAAGAAUUGAUUUGGCUGAAAGGUUUGUACGCCGAACUUUGUGGAAUUGAAUCUUGCAUAAGUUUGCACUGUGACAGUCAAAGUGCAAUUUACCUCACUAAAGAUCAACUGUUCCAUGAGAGAACUAAGCACAUUGAUAUCAAGUAUCAUUUUGUGCGUGAUGUGAUUGAAGAAGGUAAGCUAAAGGUAUGCAAGAUCAGUACUCAUGAUAAUCCUGCCGAUAUGAUGACAAAGCCUGUUCCUGUUACUAAGUUUGAGCUGUGCUCAGGCUUAGUUGGUUUAAUUGGAUAGUCCAAGAGACUAUUAUUGGCACCAGUGGUUUUUCCUGUCUUUGUUCUGUUCAGAAUGAAGGGUUGAUGAUACAAGAUGAAUUUGUCUCAAGGUGGAGUUUGUUGGAGUUGUUCCAAAUUCACUCCAGGAAUAAAGGCCGACCUUCCCGACCCUUGACACUCAGGGUCGGGCGAGGCGGAGAAUCUCCCGACCCCGGGACUCGGGGUCGGGCGAGGCGGAGCGUCUCCCGACCCCAGGCUUGAGGUCGGGCGAGUCGGAGAUCGACCCUCAAGGGGUCAGGCGCAUCCGACCCCAGGCUUGAGGUCGGGCGAGGCGGAGUCCCAGGCGCAUCCGACUCCAGGACGAAGGACUCAGGGUCAGACGAGAAGGAGUUCCAUCCUUGUACGGGACCAAGAGUCCGUACAGCUCAAUACCCCCUGUCUGGGGUUUCGGUACUAUAUAUACAUACACCCUUGCUAGGGUUUUGGGUGGUGACAGAAGAGAUAGAAGAGAGAGAGAUUAUCAGAUUCUCUUGUAAGCCGCCAUAGGCGUGUAGCCCUAAACUCUUGAUAUAGUGAGAUUGUUGCCGGCUGGUGCCCGUGGUUUUUCCUCUUCACAUUGAAGGGGUUUUCCACGUAAAUCGUGUGUCUUCUUUUGUGGUUUGAUUCUUUACUUCAUAUUCCAUACGUCGUACCUAACACUUUGUGCAACUCAUUUACAAUGACCCUGCAAUCGAGAAGCACUUUGAGUUUCGGAGGUGGUGCUGCGUGUCAGAUGAUUUCGAUGUCAGUACCAUUGCAAGCAACAUCUGCCAGACCAAUGAGAAAUAUCGUGAAAAAUCAUUGCAGGAGCUCCAGAGUACAAUAAGUGGGAAAAGGUACCUCAUUGUGUUAGAUGAUGUCUGGAAUCGGGAUGGUGAUAAGUGGGGAAAACUAAAGGCCUGCCUUAAGCAGGGUGGCAAGGGCAGUGCAGUACUAACAACAACUCGUGAUGCAGAAGUGGCUCGCAUUAUGACCAUGGGUGUAGCUGAAGCCCAUAAUAUCGAGAAUCUGAGUGACGAGCAUUUAAAGGAAAUUGUCCAGAGCAGAGCAUUCAGCUUGCAAAAUCCAAAUAUGGAAGAGCAAGAUGGCAUUCUCAGUGGAUUUGUUCGUCGAUGCGUUGGAUCUCCCUUGGCUGCCAAAGCCUUUGGCUCUAUGUUGAGUAACAGGACUAGUGUAAAUGAAUGGAAGGAUGUAUUAGCUAAAAGUGACAUUUGUAGUGAGAAAACCGGAAUUUUACCGAUCCUCAAGCUCAGUUUUGAUGACCUAUCCUCAGAUAUGAAGCAGUGCUUUGCAUUUUGUGCUUUAUUUCCUAAAGAUUAUGAGAUUGAUGUGGACCUCUUGAUUCGACUGUGGAUGGCACAUGACUUCAUACCUGUGCAGGAGGAUGACAAUCUAGAAACCGUAGGAAAAUAUAUUUUUGAGGAGCUAACUCGGAGGUCAUUCUUUCAAGAGGUCAGGCAAACACUUCAAUUUGGCUAUUUUGGAAGGUCGUCACUUCGUAAGUCAACCAUAUGCAAGAUACAUGAUCUCAUGCAUGACAUUGCUCUAUCUGUUCUGGGGAAAGAAUGUGUCACUAUAGUUGGUAAGCCGAGCAUCAACAAGGUGUUGCUAAAUCCGACCCGCCACGUCUUCUUAUCAACAAGGUGUUCUCAUUUCUGGAAAGAACAGGUUACAAGUCUACUAGAUCAUCUAUUGAAGAAACAAACUGCAAUGCUCCAUACGUUGUUUAUCAAAGGUUAUGGUCAACCCCUUGAUAUAUCAAAGUACACUUCACUGCGAGCAUUACACCUUCCAGCAUAUAUAUAUAUACCAUGUUCAGGACAGGAACAGCUUACAAGACACAUACAACACCUAAGGUAUCUUAAUCUGUCGUCACAUGAGUUCGAGAAACUUCCUGAAGGUAUAAGCAUUAUGUAUAAUCUACAAACGUUGGACCUCUCAUAUUGCAAAUGCCUUCGUCAACUUCCAAAGGAUAUGAAGUAUAUGGCAAACCUCCGACACCUCUAUACCCAUGGAUGCGAAUCAUUGACAUGCAUGCCUCCAGGACUUGGACAGAUCACUUCUCUGCAGAAUCUAACAUGUUUUGUUAUUGGUGAUGGCUUGGGAUGUAGUACUAUAGGAGAACUUCAAAACUUAAACCUUGGUGGAGAGUUAGAGUUAAGUGGUCUGCAAAAUGUAACAGAAGUGCUUGCAAAAGCUGCCAGUCUUGAAAAUAAAGAGAAACUCACACACUUAUGUCUCAAAUGGAAUGAUGAUGCCCGUGAGAAACCAGAUUCUCAUAAUGAGGUGUUAGAUGCCCUUAAACCUCAUCAUCGGCUGGAGAUGCUAGGCAUAAAGUCCUACAAAGGCACCAAUUUACCGUCAUGGAUAACAGAUCUUAGUCUGUUGCAGCACUUGACUGAGCUCCAACUGGUUGGUUGCACGCUGUGCGAGGAAUUUCCUCAAUUCUGCCAUUUCAAAACCCUUGAAGUUCUGUAUUUGAAAAAGUUGGACAAAUUGUAAAGCCUAUGCAGUCAUAUGGUGUCUACGCCAUUUCCAGCACUGAAGCAACUCCGGUUACAUGAUUUGGAGAGCUUGGAGAGAUGGGUCGCAACAGAAGGAAAAGAAGAUGAAUUAACCUUUCCUGUACUUGAGGAGGUUGAUAUAAAAAACUGUCCAAAGUUGACUAGCCUACCUGAAGCACCAAAGCUCAGGGUUGUAAGUCUGGAUGAAGGCAAGCCGCUGCUCUCCUUAGGAAUAGUUAAAUCAAGGCACAUGUCUUCAAUUUCUAAGCUAAUCCUGUGUGUCCGUGACACAGAAGCACUGCCUCAGAUAGAUUAUAAUUGGGAUUCAUCACAGAAACUGGAACUAUCCUUGGGUGGCACAGAAGCCGCACCUCUGUCACAUCUGAACAUAUCUGGCUGCAACUUUUUCUUCGUAUCAAGCCAGUCACAGCUAACACCUGGGGUCUGGAAAUGGUUUGAACAUCUUGCAGUUUUAGCAAUCAAAAACUGUGAUGUGCUCAUCUACUGGCCAGAAGAAGUGUUCCAAAGCUUGGUAUCUUUGAAGGAGUUGUGGAUUGAGUCCUGCAACAAGCUAAUAGGGCCCACACAAGCGAAAGGUGGCGAACCUACACAAACGACAGAUCAACUCCUGCCACAUCUAAACAGGAUAUGUAUACGCAGUUGUGAAAGCAUGGCACAGCUCUUCAUUCUUCCCCCAUCUAUCAGAAUUAUUGAUAUUAUGGAUUGCCCUAAGCUUGAGUUCAUAUGGGGAAAGGAGGAGCAUCUUGACACAUAUACAUCGUUGGAACAUUGCCGCGACCCUGCAUCCACUACUGGUACCCUAGAGCAAUCGCCGUUUCCAAUUAUUCGUCGUCCAUGCCUUGUACGUUUAUCAAUAAGAUUGUGUGAUAGCCUGGUAACACUUCCAAAUCUACCACCGUCCCUCAAGGAUUUAAGCAUCUACAGCUGUGAGAAGCUCUGCUCUGUGUCAGGAGACCUGUGUGCACUCGAGGAGCUACAUAUUUAUAACUGCAAUAAGUUACAGUCAGUCAAUUCCUUGGGAGACCACCCAUCAUUAGAAACACUGAUUCUUUAUGACUGCCGAUGCCUUGCAUCUUUAGGAUGUGAUGGUGGUCGUGGAAGUUACUCUGCUCUUCAGAGCCAUAAGAUCGAAGAGUGCCCAGCCAUAGACAUGAAGCAGUUUUACUAACGCCAUCAAACAGCUGCUUGACAGCUUUGAAUAUGAAGACGUAUCACACGUUCAUUCAAGCAGCUCUGAUGAAGGUACGACCUUUCACUUUCCUCUUAUUCAAUUUGUUUCCUUCAAAUUUCCCUGCUUUGCAUGCCCUCCUAUUUCACUCAUGUAACCCCACAUGCAUUUCAUUUUUGCUGUGCAGACAUGACCCAUUUGUCCUUAAAAAGCAUAAAGGAGGGCACUCACAUGUACACACGACUGCCAUCUGGAAGCUUCAUUAUUGCGAGCCUCUGCUAACGAUGACAGGCCUGCAAUGGACGACAAAAACGACAAAGUUUGUUUUCACGGCACUACCAGCUAGCUGCUGGUAAUGCUCUUGUCACUAAUGUACAGUACUCCAUUCUGUCAUCCAUGAAAGUCGUGGAGAAUGGUCUAUGAUGUUACUCCAUUCUGUCAUCCACGUGAGCCGAUGAAGCAGAAACAAAUGAUGAUGAUGAUGGAUGAUAUAGCUGCCGGGACCCACUGCAACCUCGUGCAUCAAUCAUGACGAUCUCUAACGGCAAAGGCAUGCAUCCAGUAUGGCCUGAUGAAGUAAUUUAGUCUGCCAAAUUUCUUUCUGCUCGUUGCGCAUAGAAGGCGUAUUUUCUUUUCCUUUUUUCCACCCGAGAAGGAAGAAGAAGAAGAAACUGCUGUGGCCAAUUCAAUCCGGAUCAUCAAAACAACAGCCCAUUCCAGACUAGAAGAAUUUGGUCACCAAAUUCGGAUGGAGGUAAAAAGUCACUAGUUACCUGCAGCACCGAAUAGUACUGGUUCGUUCAUUUACUGUUUCCAAAAACUUUCUGCUGAGAGUUUGUGCAUUGUGGUGACACUAAAUAUGCGCGUGCGCGGUUCGUAGGAUUCGAACCCACAACCUCCAACCUCGCGCGUAGCUUUCUUGCCAUCCCACCUACACACCACAUCUAAGUAUGUAGGGGAUCCUAUCCUUUUGUAUUAACUCGUGGGGGACCCUUUUAUCCCGGUUGGAAACACCAACCGCGAUAAAAGACCCCCUUUUAUCCCGGUUGGUAUUACAAACCGGGAUAAAAGGGUUCGAGGAUUUAAUCCUCUUCCAGCCACCUUCCAGUCACCUCGUUGGGGACCCUUUUAUCCCGGUUUGAAACACCAACCGGGUCAAGAGCCUUUUAUCCCGGUUGGUGUUUCAAACCGGGAUAAAAGGCCCCUCAGAGUCUUUUUUCCCACUAGCCUUUGCAACCGGGAUAAAAGGUCCCGGUUGGUGAGCCCCCCACCAGUGACCGAGUUUUAAUCCCGGUUGGUGAACCUUUGUCCCGAGCCAACUUUAAACCGGGAUAAAAGAGGGCGCAUGGAAAGUUAAUUCUCUACUCGUGUUUGCGGGACACAAUCAUUUCAAGCAGGAGACGGUGGUUCAUCUGGAUGGACACCGGCCUCCGAUCAACAAUUUCCCCAGUUUCCCGUGUAGGCAAGGGGGAAGAUGGCAGGUCGCCAAGAAAUAGCAGCAGAUAUGUCCCUUGUCAAAACUUCAAGCCAGUAGUCUGUAAAAUAGAAAGAGAGAUUUGUUCCACUUAGGCUGCUACGCCUACAACAAUAAUGACUGUGGGGAGCUAGGAAAUAGCAUCAUGCUGAUAAGCCCAACAUCAUUGGAAUACAGUAACAGCGUACUGAAAACAAAAGAGGCUACAUCAUGGGCCAACUGAAAUUGUGUUAUCCAUAACAUUUUUUUUUAGAAAAUCCUCAGCCAUCAACACACGCAACCAAAUUAUUACAGAAUCUUAAGCUCAGUUGCUGAUUAAAAAAAUAAAAAGAGAAAAUAAUUAUAAGCAAUGUUUAAUGUUGCUUAUCCAUCCAUUUUUAAUAGAAACUUUCCAAAGCUUUCGUUGCUCUACUAUCGAACGGACGGUCUCCCUUAUGUCUUCACACCACGUUAAUAAAUCGCAAUUAAUAUGUUCUCCCGAAGGUAACCUUCAAAGCGAUGAAUGUAGAUCACCCACGAGCAACCGAGCACGCACAAGGGAUGCUGAAACACCACAUGGAUCUCCAUGACAACACCUUCAACAAGAACAUGACGCUAAUGACACCAUUGUCAUUGGCCCAAGUAUUGGGUUGGGUUUACACCCGGAGAAUUAAAAAAUCACCAUUCGGGGGAGGUGCAAACAAAGUCGCCUCCAAGGAGGCAACGGCACCCGCAAGCGUCACCAUCCACACUUUCAUCCCGACCUCCACCAUGCCAUGCCGGCAGCAGCCUGAGCAGAAAUCCACUCACCAAGCUGUUGAUGGUGCUGAGCAAGUUCGCAAGUGCCAGCCAUCAUUAUUGAGAGCCAGCUGCUGCCGCCGCAAACUCAUGCCCAUUGCGCUAGGGCUAGGGCGCCGGCCAUAGCAAGGCCUAGAUGCACGUGUUGCGUCAUGGCUGGCACCACACUAAGCCCACCAUGUCACCAGACUGUCACAGCCGGAAGGGCGCCGGUCGUCAGAUCCGACCCCCAGCGCAUGGAAUCCACCGCCUAGAAGCUAAUAUCUCUAGAGUGAAAAUCAACACUUCAGAAGAUCCCUGAGGGAGGGGGAACGUGAAGGAGAGGCUCCCCGAGUGCCGUCAGCAUCACCGGAGAACCCAAGCAGCCACAUAUCCAGGGGUCUCCGAGGGACCCGUCGUCGGAUCCGGUCACGCCAAGGGGAAGCACCAUCACGUUCAAAGGUUUCACCUCUAUGUGUAACGCUGCACUGUCCGACUGCCCGAGUACCUCCAGCAUUGGAUGGAGUGAUGGCAAUCUUAUUAGGGGGAAAAGAAACUACACACACCAAUGACAUAUGGUAACAGCUUACAAUGAUGGUAGUGGAUAAAAGAAAUGGGAGCACCAGAAACAAAAUCUAGAGUCUCAACAGUCAAAAUCAAAUUAACAAGAUCAAACAAUAAAAGUUAUGAGUACCACAAGAGCUUACACUGUCCGACUGUCCGAGUACCUCCAGCGUUGGUUGCAGAGCACCAGGGGGGGGGGGGGAUCAUUUCCAAAGUGGAUGCAUCAGUGGAGAUCUCUCAAUGUUUGUCACAUAAGCAGUGUGGUGCCCUCCAGGUGCCCAGGUUGGUGUGUUAAACUGCCUCCGAUCCACAGCCAUCUUAGAACACUGCAUUCCAAGUUUCCAACACUUUUCAUGGUCUCAACUCUACUUUUACAUUCUCUCAGGGGGUGUUUGGGAACACCGUGCUAAACUUUAGCACCUGUCACAUCGGAUGUUUGGAUACUAAUUAGGAGUAUUAAAUAUAGUCUAAUUACAAAACUAAUUGCACAGAUGGAGUCUAAUUCACGAGACGAAUCUAUUAAGCCUAAUUAGUCCAUGAUUUGACAAUGUGGUGUUACAGUAACCAUUUGCUAAUGAUGGAUUAAUUAGCCUCAAUAGAUUCGUCUCGCGAAUUAGACUCCAUCUGUGCAAUUAGUUUUGUAAUUAGCUCAUGUUUAGUCCUUCUAAUUAGCAUCCGAAUAUCCGAUGUGACCCUGCUAAAGUUUAGCACCUCGUAUCCAAACACUCCAAUGUGCUUUAUCUUGCUCCAAUCAUCUCCUGACUCGCUGCAUCUUUGCUUAAACCUCUUUGUGCAUUGUGACAGUGUCAAGGUAUGCAAAGAGGUCAGCCUCUCAAUGCACGGAGGCAAAGUUUUCAUCCAGUAGGCCUCUACUUUGAGCUCACGGAGAGAUGCCAUAUCUCCCAACCAUUCUGGCAAGGUUUCCAUGUCCUCACAGUUCAGUAUCUCUAGCUUCCUGAGGGAUUUCCAGCCUAGAAUGCACUUUGGCAAAGGUACAGGAUCGAUGCAACUGUCAACAGUUAAUUCUUCAAUGUCAAGCAGUUGAAGAGAAUCAGAGUCAGAAGAUAUAUUUUUGAUGUACUUGAUUUCCAUUUUGGAUGAUAAAGCAGAUGUUGAUAGCCCCAUGAUCGACUUGGUAGAAUGAUGGCCAAUUGAAUAAGAACGGAUAUUGUUUAAUUCCAGAUAUGAUAUACCUGGCACUCCAAGGGAUUGAUGGUUCGAAUCUUACAUUCAAACAACAGUCUAUCUCCACAGUAACUUCCCUACUCUUACUAUUGUAACUCUUCUGAGAUUUUUCACUGGCUGUGUGAUCAAGAUGCAUAUCGAUGAUUUGGCAUAUAGGUUCACUAUAACUUCACCAUCCCCCACAAGCAGAGACACCGGGACAGACGAGAUAUACAAGUCUUCAAGAGAUUGUAAAUAAUCUAAAUGGAGGUCACCAGAUUGAACAUUGAAAAGCUCCAAUCGUACAAGAUUUGGUAGCCAACGUAACCAGUUAGGAAAAUCACCACCAACAUAGUUCUUUAUGCAAAGCCUUUUAAGGUUUUCACGAGGCUGGAGCUCUUCUAACGCGACCUUGUUCAACACUGGCCCACUCCACUCCAAACUUAAAAAUUGGAGCUCCUCUUUUUGCGCCAAUUCAAUUAUGUUUGCGUCUGAGCUUGAUAGAUCUUCGAGAUGUUUAAUAUUAAGUUCAGUAAGCUGGUGACUUGUAGUCUUUUGUAGAAGAGCCAUGUCCUUUGAUGAACUGACGGCGAAACUAGGGCCCUGCUAUUUUACAAAAACAAAGAAAAUGAAAAAUAAAACAUUCUGCUUUAGUCAAGAUGGCAUGCAUACUAUAUAAAACCAUCUCUAGGUGCAAACAUGCAGCUUAGAGCAUCUCCAAUAGUCAUCUAAUUAAUGUUUCUAGAUAACUAGUUAAUAGGGAUAUCCCGAGUUGCUUUUACAGUCUUCUAUAACCUCAUCCCAAUCUAACUACCGUUGUUGGGAGAGUCACAGCUCCUCAUUUAUUUGGGGAGUUGGGGUGAAUUAUUUGUCGAAUAAUUAUUGUAAAAAAGGAAAGGUAAAGGGAGUGUGUUAGAGCACUAUUUUUUCACAAACUCUCCAAAUAUGGUAGUUGUAUUGGAGCACUGAAUAGUACUGGUUCGUUCAUUUACUGUUUCCUCAAACUUUCUGCUGAGAGUUCGUGCAUUGUGGUGACACUAAAUUAGCUGCUUAAUCUGCUGCAGGACAUCAAGCAGUGGGCGUAUGGCGCACCUAUCAGCUGGGUUCCUGUUGGUCAUCUUAAUUCUUGCUUGUGGUAGAGCAAACCAUGGCCGACUUAGUGAUCAGGCCCAGGGCCGGCUCUAGGGGAGCGGCAGGCCGUGCGACCGUCCGGGGCCCAUGAAGCUGCGGGCCCAAAACCAUAUAGGUAAUCAAUACAUAUAAUUUGGUUGGUGGACUUUGUUUCGGCCUUUCUAAAUGGCCCGCGUAACAACUGCGGCCUGCCUCCGUCCGUGCCAAAUCAGGCCUACCAAAUUGCUCCAUGACUAUGCUGUCCCUGAUUCUGUAUACAUAUACGCUCCUGACUCCGUGGUUGUGCUGUCGCUGAGCACCGCGUCUGGAGCGCGUCAGAGGAUAUAGGCGAGCCGCGAGCACCGUUAGGGUCAGAGGCGAGUGCUUAUUUGAAGUUCAAUCUUUGUUUUCUUUUUCGCCAAUUUCGUCAAAAAGCAAUCAUUUAAUUAAUAUUAUUUCUUUCGUGUAGUAAUUCCAUUCUUCAUCAAUUGCGUAGAAGGAGCAAUGCCUUACGACAUUGAAGGAGAAUCUUGGUAAUUCUAUCGUCAAUUGCAUAUCAGAUUCUCUUAACUAUUCCAAUGACAGUAGUAUCAGCCGAAAGUAGUUUCUCCAUUUUGAAACUAUUGAAAAAUUAUUUGAGAUCAACUAUGUCACAAGAAAGAUUGAAUGGCUUGGCUAUGUGCAAUAUUAAGAAGGAUGUUUUGGACGACAUUAAUCUUGAUACUGUUCAUGAAGACUUUGCAUCAAGAAAUAUAUCCGAAGAUGUUUUUCUACAAAGCACUAAAGCAUUAUAUUUUUAUUUGAGAUAAUCAUAAUGGUUAUUGUUUUUAGUUUUUUUGUUACACUAUUAUUAUGUUUUAUGAGAGAUAUAUAUUGCAAAAAUGAUGCGUAGCUCUCCUGAAUAUAUAUAUAUAUAUAUUGCAAAAUAAUUUUUAUUAUUCGUAUUAUAUACUUUAGUUUUGAUAUUAAAAAUAGUUCAACGGGUCCUUAUGUUUGCCCAAGGGUCUUCAAAAUUAUAGAGCCAGCCGUGAUCAGGCCAUUCAUCUUCAUGGUGGAGAAGGUGAUCGAAGGCAUGGAGCGCAAGCUGCCAUCAAUCCUGCAUGCACAUUAACAAGGAUGCGGAGGAAAGAAGAGCCUCCCGACCUGAAGCAGCAGCUUGGCUCAAAGACCUCAAGACAGUUGCCUAUGCGGUGCUGGCCGGUGGCGCGAUCCAACGCUCUUGGGCAGCGGUAGCGAUGGCUUCCUGUUCCGCGGGCAGCCACAGCAGCGGCGACGGCGCGCUCAGCGGCCUCAACCCGUGCGCGGGCCCACUAGGAUUAAAACAAUCUAACACAUCCCAAUCUUAAGGAAGUGCACCAGUAGGUUCUUUUGUAUCACUUUUGGAUAGUCAUCGAAUUGCCGAACCUUUGAGCAGCGGAUCGACCCCCGCAUGCACUCAUGUCACACCCGAUUUUAAGGACAAAAUCGAGUGCAUUAAAUACAUGUGUGCCAGGAUCAAGUUACACACAUGUACGAUAAUAGUGAAUAACAAAGAUAGUGCUAAAACGAAUAAAGAGAGUAUUAAACAUUAUUACAUGACCGAAAGUCUCAAUAAACCAUAAGCCUAAUUUAUUAUGCAGCGGAACUCCAAGGACGACGACGACUCCACAGGCAGCUGACUGAAGAAACGUACGCCUAGAACUCCUCAAAGUCGUGUAGGUACUCCUCCCAAUUAGCUUAGUCUGAACAACGGUUUUGCAAGGGUGAGUACUGUAACAACUCUACCUAAAUUAAGUACUUUUAACUCUAAACCAGUGAUAAAUCCCUAAGUUAAGAAGUGAAAUGACCUUUAUAAACCUAAGAAGCUCGUUUUGGAGUUUGAAUUAAAGCUUGAAAUUUUGUAUACAAACCUGAGUUUCUGCCCAAGUAAGAGUUGUAAAACUUUUUAAUUCCAACAACUUUUGUUAAAGUCACUUUGACUAAUUCGGAGUGGAAGGAAGUCAAAAACAUCAACCAAAGCCAGUUUUUCUAAAGGACCCUGAAAAUCUCUUAAGUCCUGAAAUUCGAGUUUUCCUCCAUCUUGCAAGCUUUCAUCUCCUGUUUUCCCUAUCUAAACUCAAGUCAGGGCCUGAAUGAAAGUUGUAGUACCUCAAGAUUGUUCCAACUUUGUUACACUGAUCCAGAUCCAAAUCGGGCCCGAACUUGUUCAAAACUCCGGUCAAAGGGAGGUAAACCAGUCAACUCACCCCUGGUGCCUUAAAAAUCCUAAGUCUGGAAUCCCAGAUUUUUGGCUAACUUUGACCGGAAAUAUCUUUGAAUCCUUUCACAAUCUAAACCAGCACCUUAAACAAAGUUUGAAGAACAAUCAGAGUUGAGCAAGUUUGUUUAAGGGAGUUUUGGAAGUUGUGUUGAAAGAUUCGGAGGAAGGAUCACUCCAAAGCUGGUCGGGCUUGUUGCCCGAAGGGAGCCUCGACGCCCGCGCGCCAGAGCACGUUCACUCGCGCGCCGCGUGCCGCGUGGCCGCCGGCCACCGGCAGCUCGCCGGCACCCUAUCCCCAGCACGACAGCGAUAGGACGAGAGCCACGGCGCCCAACCCGCGCCCGCGACAGGACGGAGCGAGCGCAGGGCUAGCCAACCGCCAGCCGCGCGCAGGUCGCCUUCCGCCUGCCACGGCUCUGCUCCGCCAACCCUGUUCCGCCCGUCCGCUGAGAAAGCUGACACGCCCCCGACGUCCCGCGCCUCCGCCCGUUCGCCCAACCCCCACGGUAGCCCUUCCGUCUCGCCCGCCCGACAGACCGGAAGCCCUAGAUGUGCGCCGCCCAAGGCCAAUCGCCGCCGAAGACCACCCGGAGCUCCGCCUCCUCUGCCCAAUGGCGUUGUCGGCCAAUGGCCGCCUCGCCUGAGCACUCGCCGCUCCCGGCCUUAUCCUUUCCCCACCGGAGCCCCGCCUCGACCCUCCGCCCCACCACGACCCUAUAAAAGAGAACCCCCUCACCGGCAAUGCCACCCCUUGCCACCGCCUGCACCUGCGCCACCGCUUUCUCCUCUGCGCCCCCGCUUUCUCCUCUGCGCUACCGCUGAGCUUCCGUGGAGCUCACCCCUUUGCGCCACCCCACACUCCGGCGAUUUCGCCGCCACCCUCUUGAGAAAGUUCCCCUCUCCGCUCCAGCCGCUUCUUCCAACCCACCAGCCGCCCGCUCCUCCGCGUGGUACUCGAGCUUGCUAGUGUCCGCAAGAAGCACCGCCGCCGCCGGAGCACCGUCGAAGCAACGCCGCCGCCGGACCACCGUCGAAGUCUCGCUGCUGCCCAAGCCUUAGCGCGUACAACUUCCCGCCCCAGCCUACUCCUGUUCGGCCCCAAGGCUUCACCGGUAGACCUGGAGGUAAGUGACCGACCCCUUGUGUUCCGUCUCGACCGACCCCUUGUGUUCAGCCUCAACCGACCCCUUUUCUUUCCGUCUCGCCCGACCCCUGUCCUUUUUGUUUCGCCCGACCCCUGUCCUUUUUCGUUUCUCCCGACCCCUUUGUUUCGGUUCGCCCGACCCCUUUUCUUUUCCUCUCGCCUGACCUUUUUCCCGUUCGCCUCGCCCGACCCUGCCAAGUUUCGCCGACCCUUUCUCCGUCUCGCCCGAGGGCUCGGCUGUAACUUUUUCUUUGACCCGAGGGUAUCGGUGAAAUAUUUUCGGGGAUUCCUCUGUGUUGAGUCUGAGGACCUCGGUACGGUUUUCCUUAAACCUGAGGGUCAGACCCUAAGUUUCCCCUAAUCCGACCCUCUCAUCCUGAUCUCCUCCAACAGAAGUUGAACUCCCCCACCUUUCCUGUAGCUUGGCUACAAGUGUCCGUGUUAAAACAUUAGUGUGUUGAAAUAACCAUCUAAAAUGUUUAACCCCUGCAUUGCAUUUCCGUGUAGAGUUGAAUCUCGCCGAUGGAACGUACGAGCUUCACCCGGCACCGGAAGAAGACCCCGCCGAGGAACUGCAUCCCUUCGAAGGAGAGCCCGAACCGGAGCAAGACCCCGAGGACCCGCAAGCUUUUCCUGAAGGCAAGCCCCGGAGCAUAAAUUCCUAUCUUGAAUUCAUGCAAUAUUAUUGAUUACUUGAUUGCGCAUUUACGUUUCGAGGAGUUGUAAUGGAACCUUAGAUGCAUAACUUAGUACCUUAUUUUUGAAUACUAGUUGCUAAGGCCGAGUAGUUGCAUUGCUUAAUAGGUUCCGGUAAAAGUCGAGUGAUCUCCUGUCACUCGCGAGUUAUAGGAGUUGAAUGUUUCAGAUAUGUCGCAACUAUAAGGACGACGGACGGGGUCAGGCUUAUGUUCGAUACUUGGUGGAUUGCCCCGUCUGUCUAAAUGAAAAUGAACUAAGGUCGAAACGUGUCGGCGUUCGUGAUCAAGUGUUUGAAAGUACUAAUCUCAUACCUAGUAUGGGAUGGGGAAGCCUAGUACCUGAUUGAAUUGGGGCGUGGCAUACCCUCCGGCUGUCCUUGGAACGUCGUUCCCAUGGUGCAUCAUGUGGGUGCAAGUGCGGUCACAGUGCAGCAAUAGGCCGGGACUGUGGAGCAUUGCAUGCCAAAGGAAGUUGGCCCUGACACGUGCCUAAGGGAUCGAUGGGGACGGCUGAUAAAUGAAGCGACCCUUCGUGGUGCGCGGAUGUCAUGAGAUUAGGUUUGCCAUGCAUGGUUAAUAAAUUCGAAUCGAUUCAUCUGCCUCUCAUAGAUUGGGACUACUUGAUCGCUAUUCUGCACUGAGUAAAGAUGGAACAUGAUGAUGAUUUUAAUCUUGAUGCUUGUUAAGUAAUUGCUUGGAAACCAUGUUUGUUUAGUAUAAGUUGCUAAUCUGGAAUGGAUAAAGAACAUAGAACAUGAGCUAAAAUGUUGAAAGUAAGGACUGACUUUAGACGCUUUUGGCAAAGAAAACCCCAGAGCCAGAAAGCCUUGCAUGUCUAGGUCUCGGUCGUGUCUUUUCGACAGGUCAGUCUUGCGGAGUACUAGUUGCUCAGCCUUGUUGUGGCUAAUCUUUUUCAGGUAAUGUCAAUAGUUUGGGUGUUGGUACCACUUGGCCGACCCAGCUUCCUCCAGGUUGGACCGUCGAGUGGGAUCCUUCCUUGGAUGGCGAAGGAAGAAAUUUUUGAUGUCAUGAACGGCUCCGUCGUGAUGUCAUGUAUCGACGUUUAGUUUUCGCUAUUUUCCUUUGACUUCGAACCAUGCAAAUUUCGAUUUGAAUUUCAGAAACUCUGAUGUAAUAAAUUGUUGAACUAUGUUGUCAUGAUGGAAUGUUGUAACCUCUGUGCUACUCACCUUCGCGUGAGCGAUGCUUCUCGAUCCUGUUUAUGUGGUUUAUCGGAGGAAAUCCGACGGUCGACCAAGUUGACUUGCUUAAAGUGCAUAAUCGCGUGUCAGACGACUUCAAUGCAUUUUAGUCAGGUUAAUUUGGGCGGUUCCGCCACAAGUACACUUAUGGUUGGUACUCAACAAGUCGUGGGGAAUAGUGUAGUGUAAGGCAAAUCAAGGUACGGCUAAGGCAUAAUUAGCAUUCGCUUUUAUUUAAGUUGGUCAAGUUUUAUUAGCAAUUAACUAAGUAUAAGUUCGUACCACUCGAAAUUAAACAUGAUCAUAAAUAAAGUAAACAGCAUAUGCAUGAAAUGACAACAAGUUAAAUCCAUCUUCCGAUAAAUAUUAUCAUGUGAGGGUCCAGGCCUCUCUUAACCGUGAGCACGGCUGAUCGAUCAGUUUUACACUCUGCAGAGGUGGCACAUCUUUACCCACAAGUCGCGUAAAAGUUCAAAAGAACUUUGGACCCAACCAUGCGGUGUUUGCAAGGCACCAUACCACACUUCUGAGGUGUGAUUGCAUAGGGACGCUACGAGGCCUUUACAAAGAUUCAUUAGUCAGUGGUAACCCGCUAAGGUUUCGAUGUCUGGCGUGCACCACCCAUCCCAGGCAAAAAUGCAACGACUCAGUCCCCCCUCUUGCCUCAUCAUGAGUAAGGUCACCCUAGACUAAGGUUUCUAAUUAUUCAGCCAAGACCAGAGCCAUUUAGUCUUGUGGUAGCACUAUUUUCCUGGGUGGUCGCUCCAUGUUACGAUUAAUAAUACAUGAUCUUAUAUUAAUGAAAGGUAUAACAGAAGUAAAGCAAGAUUAAACAUUGUUUUUAGUUAAACCACCAUGUACCAAGUAAGCGCUAAGCAUGAGCUACCCAACAAAAAGUAAACCGGUUGAUCAAGGCAAAGGUAAUUCAAUCUAGGCGAACCUUAAUUGGGACCCAUCAAUUCAAUCUUAACAUGUGCAUAGCAUAAAUGUUGAGUACGAGAAAGUAAAGGUGUAUAGGAUGAAAAGUAGUGAUCAAGGACACGACUUGCCUUCUUGGCCUUGCUCCUACUGUUCGUACUCCUCGAAGGCUUGGUCUUCAACUCCCUCGAACUGCGGGACGUCUACACGCGUCACACGAGCACAUACAAGCAAACAUGGGCAAAAAGUAAGAAACAGUACACCAAUCACAAUUAAACAGAGAAAACAAGCUUGAAAAGUUGAUCUACGCUUUAAAACGAACACGUGGAUAUAAAGAACGCGAAAAACGGAGUUAAGAUGCAAAAGAGAUGAUUAAAACAAGAUCCAGGGGCUUUUCUGUGAGAAAAACAAAACUUUUAGGGCAAAACCGCAAAAACCGAGGGCUUAUACGUAAAUACGCGUAUAAACCAAAGGUCUAACGCGCAAAAACUCCAAAACGGACGGCGGGUUGAUUUUUAGAAAACUCGGGGUUUAAACCGAAAAGCACGAGGGCAGAUCUGUGAAUAUUUUCAACGCGAUCUGGACCGCGGGUUGAUUUGCGGAAAAGGCAGGGGCUUAAGAGCAAAAUGGCGCGGUGCGGCACGGUUGACCGUUACGCGGUCUUGUUUGACUCGCUAUCGGCCGUCGGAUUUAGGUCCGACGGUCACGGUCGGCGAUGACUCGCGACGGCGACGGGAAAAGGGCAGCCAGCGGCGGUGAGCGACGGCGAGGUCGCCGGAGUAGGCCGAAACAACGCCACGGGGCUCGGUUUCGCGCGCGGAAAGCACCAGAAGAGAGCGGGGAACAUGGCGAACCCGUUUAGUGCCUUGGCGGGAGCCACGGCGCGGCGGCGCUCACCUUUUGGCGGCGGCGUGCGGCGGAGAGAGGCAGCGGCGCAAGAGCUUGCGGCAGCUAGGGUUUGGAGGGUGCUGGCACGGGUGCUCGUGGCCGGGGGAGGCGGCAGCUUAAAUAGGGGCGGACGGCUUGGAGAUAGAGGCGGCCCCGGAUUCAAACCGGUCGGGGAAUACGGCACCCACCCGGAGAUCUCGCGCGGCGGUUGCGGGCGGAGGAGAGUCUGGUCGGAGGUGGGAGACGAUGGCGGGUCCCACCUGUCGGCGGUAGCGGGCGGUAGGCGGGCCGUAGCGGCUGUGGGCUGGCGCGCGCGUUCGCGGGCCGCGGGAAAGGGGCGAGCGGAGAGCUUCGCAGGCCGGCUGGAGGUGGAGCGGUGGGCCGCACGGGCAAGGGGGUUCGCGGGCCGGCGAAGAAAGGCGGAGCGGGCCGAGCGGCUGGCACUGGGCUGCCGGCAGAGGAGGAGGCGCUAGGCCGAAAGAAAAAGAAGAAGAGAAAGGAAAGCAAGGUGCGGCCCAGGAGGAGAAGAAGAAAAAGAAAAAGAAGAGGGAAAAGGAAAAAGGUUUUGGAGAUUGAAUUUAAAUUUGGAAUUCAAAUUUUUGAUUCAAACCCAAGCAAUCAAAAUAAAUGCAGCAGCAUGAAUGCACAAUUAACUCCUAUGAUGAAUUAAUUAAAUUAAAGAAAAUGAAAUUAAAUGCCUAGAAUUUAAAUGACACCCUAAUUUGAGUAAAUUUUAAUGAAUUUGAAUUCUCUAAAAUUUUGGGUGUUACAACUCAUGAAACUAAAAGGGAAAUCCUUUUCUCAUAGCUGGAUAAUAGCGCGCGGCGACAGAAAAGCCAGCAUCGUUUCUGAUCUCAUUCACGUAUAUACAGCCAGUUGCUCGCUUCCGACCAUGCAGCUGCAUGAAGAAUAUGGACCGAAUGUUUAGUCAGUAAGCAAACACUGCCUAAAGUAAGUUUACAGAGCUACAUGCUGGGCAUUUCAGACUUGUUUAAACAGAGGUGCAAACAAAGUCGCCUCCAAGGAGGCAGUAGCACCCGCAAGCGUCACCGUCCACGCUUUCGCCCCGACCUCCAUGCUAUGCCAUGCCAGAAGCACCAUCACGUUCAGAGGUUUCACCUCUAUGUGUAACGCUGCGCUAUGGAGAGAUGACAAUCUUGGGGGGGGCGGGGGGGGGGGUACCAAUGACAUAUGGUAACAGCUUACAAUGAUGGUAGUGGAUAAAAGAAAUGGGAGCACCACAAACAAAAUCUAGAGUCUCAACAGUCAAAAUCAAACAAGAUCAAACAAUAAAAAGUUCUGAGUACCACAAGAGCACCAGGGGGGGAUCAUUUCCAAUGUGGAUGCAUCAGUGGAGAUCUCUCAACGUAUGUCACAUAAGCAGUGUGGUGUCCUCCAGGUGUCCAGGUUGGUGUGUUAAACUGCCUCCGAUCCACAGCCAUCUUAGAACACUGCAUUCCAAGUUUCCAACACUCUUCAUGGUCUCAACUCUACUUGAACAUUCUCAAUAAGCUCUAUCUUGCUCCAAUCUUCUCCUGACUCGCUGCAUCUUUGCUUAAACCCCUUUGUGCAUUGUGAUAGUGUCAAGGUAUGCAAAGAGGUCAGCCUUUCAAUGCACGGAGGCAAAGUUUUCAUCCAGUAGGUCUCUACUUUGAGCUCACGGAGAGAUGCCAUAUCUCCCAACCAUUCUGGCAAGGUUUCCAUGUUCUGACAGUUCAGUAUCUCUAGCUUCCUGAGGGAUUUCCAGCCUAGAAUGCACUUUGGCAAAGGUACAGGAUCGAUGCAACUGUCAACAGUUAAUUCUUCAAUGUCAAGCUGUUGAAGAGAAUCGGAGUCAGAAGAUAUAUUUUCGAUGUACUUGAUUUCCAUUUUGGAUGAUAAAGCAGAUGUUGAUAGCCCCAUGACUUGGUAGAAUGAUGGCCAAUGGAAUAAGAAUGGAAAUUGUUUAAUUCCAGAUAUGAUAUACCUGGCACUCCAAGGGAUUGAUGGUUCAAAUCUUACGUUCAAACAACAGUCUAUCUCUAAAUAUUGAAGUCCAGGAAAUAAUGUGCGCUGGUUGGAGGAUUCCCUGCCACUAUCACUGUGUCUUCCUCCCUGCUGCUCUCUUUGAAAUACGUUCUUAUCAUCCUUCUGCUCAAUACAAGGCAACGUCGAUGUUUUCCACAGUAACUUCCCUACUCUUCCUAAUGUAACUCUUCUGAGAUUUUUCACUGGCUGUGUGCUCAAGAUGCAUAUUGAUGAUUUGUCAUAUAGGUUCAGGUCAUUUGGCCUAUUAAUCACCGGGAAAGACGAGAUAUACAAGUCUUCAAGAGAUUGUAAAUAAUCUAGAUGGAGGUGACCAGAUUGAACAUCGAAAAGCUCCAAUCUUACAAGAUUUGGUAGCAAACGUAACCAGUUAGGAAAAUCACCACCAACAUAGUUCUUUAUGCAAAGCCUUUUAAGGUUUUCAUGAGGCUGGAGCUCUUCUAAUGCGACCUCGUUGAACACUGGCCCACUCCACUCCAAACUUAAAAAUUGGAGCUCCUCUUUUUGCGCCAAUUCAAUUAUGUUUGCUUCUGAGCUUGAUAGACCUUCGAGAUGUUUAAUAUUAAGUUCAAUAAGCUGGUGACUUGUAGUCUUUUGCAGAAUAGCCAUGUCGUCUGAUGAACUGACGGCAAAACUAGGGCCCUGCUAUUUUACAAAAACAUAGAAAAUCAAAAAUAAAACAUUCUGCUUUAGUCAAGAUGGCAUGCAUACUAUAUAAAACCAUCUCUAGGUGCAAACAUGCAGCUUAGAGCAUCUUCAAUAGUCAUCUAAUAAAUGUUUUCAGAUAAAUAGUUAAUAGGGAUAUCCCGAGUUGCUUUUGCAGUCUUCUAUAACCUCAUCCCAAUCCAACUACCGUGUUGGGAGAGUCACAGCUCCUCCUUUAUUUUGGGAGUUGGGGUGAAUUAUUUGUCGAAUAAUUAUUGGAAAAAAGGAAAGGUAAAGGGAGUGUGUUAGAGCACUAUUUUUUCACAAACUCUCCAAAUAUGGUAGUUGUAUUGGAGAAUAGGGAUCUGCUGGAGAUACUAUGUAAACCAUUGGACAAUUGAAUGCUGAUGAGGCUUAUGGAAACAGAGCCAGCCAAGGAUCCCUACCUAACUCUACCAAUCACGGGUAUGCACAGCAGAUAUGCUGGCAACAGAUCCUACCAGUAAGUUUUUUUUUCCAAAAAAAACAUAUCCUACCACGUACACAGCACAAAAAUACAAUUCUAAAAAAUUUGAUGUUCGCCUGGUAUAUCCCAAAAGUUGCAUGACUAUUUUAAUUUGGAACUUGCUUGGCUACUCCUUCCAUCCCAUAUUAUAGGUCAUUUUGGCAUUUCUAGGUUUAUGAUUUUUUGUUGUACACCUUGAUGUAUAUUAUAUCUAGAAGCUAUGAAUCUAAAAUUGUCAAAACAACCAACAAUUUGGAUAAUUUGGGAUGGAGGGAGUAUUUUAAUUUGGAGAAUCAGGUCUACUAUAAGUGCCACAAUUAAGCAAGGUAGUGGCAUAUCAAACAAUAAAUUAAAUAUUUAUGUUAGAAAGGGAUUCCAUUAAUUCAUUCAUAUAUACGAUAUUCACUCCCUAGAAUUAAUGAAAAUACAGUAACAAAUCACAUGCCUGCAUGAUAGAUUGAGCCUCUUGUUAUGCAACCGUAAUUUAUAGUAUACAUUGUAGAACAAAAAAAGUAAUAAUUAAAAACAGUGCAUAUUACCUCAUGUGCAUAUACAUGUUUGAUGGGUUUAAUCUUGUCGUAGUCCUCUCCUAAACGGCUGCAGCAUUCACGCAGUUUGUAAUUGCACUUCUUAAGAGUUAAUGUCUUCAAGGAGGUUACAUCCUUGAUGGAGUGAGGCAAACGCUGCAGUUUGGCAGAAUAAACUUCUAGAUGCUCCAGAGAUGCCAGAUCCCCCAACCAAUCUGGGAGUGCCGCAAAAUUACAACAACUGUCCAAUAUCUGCAAGCUCCUAAGGGAUGAUCUCCGGCAAGGUGAUCAGAUCACUGUCAGAUUUAAUAGUUAAAUACCACAAGUCGGUGCUGACGUAUUGGAGAAAUUCUGAAGCGUCAGAGAAGCCAAACAUAUUUGGUUCCAAUUCAAGUGUAAAAAGGUGUGAAGAUCCAACAAGUAUCACGGGUGAUAGUUCUACCUUACUGCAUGAUGCAACUAUAUGCUCUAUGUAUCCUUGAAAAGCUGAACCGAGGGUCAACGUGGAAAUAUUUCAUCUCCUUGCACCUUCUGUUCAUCAUCAUCCCAAGACAUCUCUCUAGCAGACAGCUCCAAGUUCGUGGACAGCACCUCCAAAUUCUCCAUCUUAUUAAUACAAAGUUCCCUUAAUUUCCUGAAUGGGUUCCUGCCUCCAUAAAAACUAGUAGCCACUUCUCGAAUAUUAGGCAUAUCUGAAAUGUGCAGUUCUUCAAGGUUUGCUAACUGUCCUAGUGAAGGGAGGCGUGCGCACCUUGGCUGCCCAUCAGCACUAUCUUCACAAGAUUUGGAAGAUCGAGAUUUGGAUCGCUCAUCCAGCCACAAAAUGUGGCAUCUCCAUAACCUUCUAUUUCAAGUGUUGAUAGGUUAGGAUGAGGAUGGAGUCUUUGGAGAACUGAAGAAUCAUCAGCUCUGGAGAAUUUUUUGCUCAGAUUAAGAUAUACAUUGUUAGGCCUAUCGUCUGAUCCAGAUAAACCAUUGCUGGAAUAAGAGUUUGCGUCAGCGUGCGCAGCUGGUCAUAUGUAGCCAACUCUCCAAGGCCAACUUCAUCAGCGCUAUUCACCUUCUCAAGAUUUGAAAUAAAUAGGUCUGUGAUUCCAAAGUCUGUAUUUUGACAGAGGAGAAAAUCACUUUCUUGUACUGCAAAAUACACUCCCUGUGAAGGAAGAGACAGAGUUAGACUAUUACCAAAUGCAACGAAAAUAUUUAUGCAUCCAUUCUGUUCUAGAUAAGAAUUAGAAAAUGUCCAUUGUAAAAGAGGAGUAACAAAGCACAGCCAAGAGAACUUACCUCAUUUAUCUUGAUGCAUUGAAUGUGAGGAAUAGCCUGUAGGAUUGCAGCUUUGUCUCUGUCCAAGAAAUUCCCAGGAGAUGACAAAGUUAGCUUCGCCAAACGAUCCAUGCAUCUCAAUUCAUCAAAACGGUCAAACAUCUCGAGGCAAUCAAUUUCAAGCUCAUGUACUGAUUGAAUGCCAGGAAGUUUCUGAAGAUCAUAGCUCUUACAGUUCGAUAUCUUGAGUUUUUGGAUGGUUUGUGUCAAUAUAGGGGUUUAUGACCACAGAUUAAUCUUGGAUAAAUCACUCUCGUUGAUGAAUAACUCCUUGCUGUUGGGGAUUCUUGGAUAUAGUUCCAGAUAACCGCAGUGUUCUAUCUGCAGAUAGCAAAGCGGAGGGAAUUCUUCUUCAUCAGUGUUCAUCAGUGCGGAAGAAGAUACAGGAACGUGUGUCAUCAGUGUUCUCUUUUUAGUCACUCCCAAAAAUAUUUCCAUCAUGUUCCUAAACUUUGCUUUUCCUUUUCCUCGGGAAGGAUCACCAGACUGCGCCCUGAACAUUUCAAGCCUCUUGAAUUCUUCUAAAGGAUCUAUUUCCAUGUCACGUAUCUCUUCACCAUCUUGGCAAAACCACAAGGUGCAUCUGGAUGCUAGUUUAACAAGCGACAGUCGCUUUAGGUUUCUGCAUGGUGCUAAACAUGCUUCCAUAAGUUUAGGCAUAUUACGAAUUUCAAGCUCCUCUAAGUUUGAUAGAUUUCCUAGAGUUGGAAGCUGGUCACACUCUACGAGAUCAGACAAUACCAGUUUCACCAGAUUUGGGAGUGUAGAACAUAUCUUCCUCAUCCAACUAGGAAACAUACUGUAAUUAUAGCCCUUUAUAGUGAGAUGCUUUAAAGCUGGAUGAGGCUUCAAAUUUUCUAGCACAUCCAUUGUCGUCACUUUGGGUUCCUCUGACCAUUCUAAUAAGGACCACUCCAAACUCAAAGAAGCAAGCCGAUGUCUCCUUCCCAAUUGCACCCCCUUUGCUUCCUCUGCAGACUUCACAACCUCAAGGCAUUUGAUAUUUAGUUCACUGUUUGUAGAAUCAAGGAUAUUCUGUAGAAGGAUAAUGUUGCUGCAAUCACCACUGCUGCCACUUUCUGAGACCACAAAAUCCGGUAGGGUUAGUAGGUCACUGGAGAUGCCUUCCUUUCAGAACAGUGACAUCCCUCCAACUGAAAGGUACUCAAGACGAUGCAUGUUUUUCAAUGUGUCAUGCAGCAUUUUCAGGCUCAACUCCUCACCAGAAUAAUCAGAGGAAUGCUGUGUAGAGGAGCUUGGAGCUUCAGAAUCUUUUCUUACAUCAAAUCCUGAUAAUGCUGAUAGGUUUAGGUACUCCAAAUUUACAAAUUUACCAAGAAAGCAGAUAAUUUUCAAAAUGCAAGGACAGCCAGAUAAAUUCAGAAAUCGGAGUUUAUUUAGUCUGGCACAAGAUUCAGAAAGAUCAAUAAGCCUCGCACAAUCAGAUAAAUCCAAAAUCUCCAGGUUCAGGCAGCCAUUGUUGCCCACACAAAAUUCAGGAAGUGCCUCAAGGCAAGUACAACCAGACAUAUUAAGAUAAAGAAGUCCCUUCAUUCUAUUGAAUGACAGGGUACGCAGUUGCUUAAGCUGGCAGCAGGAGGACAGAUUCAGAUGUUCCAAAUUUUUCAGUAGACUGAAAGAGUCUGGAAGCAUCUCAAGCUUUGAACAACAUGAUAAGUUCAAGAACGAAAGCUUUGGCAGCUCUCCAAAUUGUGAAGGUAGCUUUUGUAGGCUGGUACAACCUGAUAGAUCGAGGUGUUCCAAAUUUUCCAGUAGACUGAAAGAGUCUGGAAGCAUCUCAAGCUUUGAACAACAUGAUAAGUUCAAGAACGAAAGCUUUCGCAGCUCCCCAAAUCGUGAAGGUAGCUUUUGUAGUCUGGUACAUCCUGAUAGAUCAAGAUGUUCCAGGACUUGGAGUCUGUGAAUGGGACCUGGAAGUUCACUAAGAUUCGAGCAGCCAUGUAGAUCCAAAUAGUGAAGCUUCUGAAAGUCACAAAUGGAAGUGGAACUAUGGAGCUUUAAUUUUUCAGAAAAGGAGCUAUGGAGCUUUUUGAGGCUGGUAUUUUCUGAAAGAUUUAAAAACUGCAGGUGGUGCAAGUUUUGCAUAGAACUGGGUAGCUGGACAGUUUGCAUGCGUGGGAAGUCCAAUACACGCAGCCAUUUAGUUUCUGAAAAGGCACCCUUCGAAGGCUGACAUCCUGUGCAGCCACUAAAAUGAGCAGCCCUUGCUUUGAAAGGCGUAUCUUUGCAUUUUGGGUACUGACCUUUGAAAUUCAACAACAACGUGUAUCGAUAGUUGUCCUCUUUACCGAAGCUUCUUUGUUUGCCAUCACAGAUGGCAACUUCCUCAAUAGCAACUGACCUAGCAAGUUCAUGAACUAAAUCGUGCAUUUUGAAUAAUACAUUAUGCAUAUGAGGGUUAUUAAGCUUGGAGUAUCUUGCAGAAAUCUGAAAAGCAAAUUUGCAGGUCGAUUAGUAGUGCACUAGAUAUUUUUUUCAAGGACUCAACGGUAGGUCAAAAGAAAAAAAUAUAUAAAGAGCAUGCCAAUUUCACAUUUAGAAACGAGAUUGAUCAUUGCCACAUCAGCCGUCCCGCAUGGAGAUGCUAGAGCAGUCAAAGGGAGUGCAAAGGGUUUAAAAUUGCAACGAAUGAACAUUAUUUUCUCUCCAGUAGCAAUUGUGUCAAGACAACCAAGUUGACGUUUCUUCUAUCUGAAAUGAAAGAACACUGCCGAUUUAUUUAUUGCUAUAUCCAAUUUAUAGAAUGGAUAUACCAUUUAAUUGAUAUCUUUUCGUAAAAAUGAAACGCAUAAUAUGCAUCCACAUUUCAGCUUCGAAUUUUACUGGAUAGAGAUACAUGAUCUAGGCUAUUAAGUAGCGACUCAUAAAAGCUAAAUCUUGUAACCAAUGGUGGGUCAAUAAUGAUCAUUUUUGUAUAUAUGUAUCGACUGUUGUAAAAAAGUGAUUCGCUUUUCCUAUGCAGUAACCUUCUGCUCCUAAAGAAUGCCAGGAUUGUGUUUUAAUUAUUGCAAUUACUAUUCACUUAGUAACUUAACUCGCUGUCUUGGCAAUGUUGUAGAGCUUAUGCCAAAAAUACAGCUCAGCCCUUUUUGCUCAGAUUCCAUGACUUUAUGCAGAGAAAACUUGACUUAAAACAAAACUUAGGCUAUGUUACUAGUAAUUUGCAACCUCAGGGAGUUUACUUGUCAUGUUUAUUUGCUUGGUUGAUUUCAGUAAGCAUAAAACUGGCAACUUAAGAAAUAAUGUUCGUGUCGCUAUAUUUAUCUUUUAAAUAAUGUUGACUCAAAUAUUUAUAAGGUGUUAGAAUUGAGGAACCAAUACAACCAUGUCCGAAUGAUUCAUCGUAGGAUCACUCCAUGAAUUUUACACCUUGAUCAAUAUGCUUGUGCGAAAUGAAGUGGAUUAUUCAAAACUAGAAUCAAAGGAUUUAUGACUAUCUCAUUCUUCAAACCAAAGAUUAUAUUGAAUUAGUAGUAGAUAAACACCAUAUUCUGAAAUAAGAUUAAAAUACUAAUAAAUCAUGCGAGAAAUGACAGCACAACUCGAUACAAGGAAAAAAGUUAACUGUACCAAGCUUGGGUAUAUAAUAUAACUCACCGAGAUAGAGUCACUUGAAGCCUCCAGGAAUGACAUCUGACAAAGUUCUAGUAGGUAUUCCUCAGCACGAUGUGUGGUCAGAACAAAUCUCAGAGCAAUCCACUUAUGAAUCAGUUCUCUCUUCUCUAUGAUGAAGCCUUUUGGGAAGGCAGAAAAGUAUACAAAGCAAGGUCUCAGAUAAUAUGGCAUGUGGUAGUAACUAAUCUUCAAGGAUGGUAAUAUUAAAGUAGAUGUUGUUCCAGUCGUUGGAUCGCAUUCGUCUUCCCACAGGUCACUCUUCAGUGUUUCUUCCUACUUGUGCAUCGGCAUAUCUAGCAGACGAUCCCCAAGAGACUUGACUGCCAAAGGCACUCCACCGCAUUUCUUUACUAUUUUCUCCCCCAUAUGUACCUUUGCCAUUUCAGAUUCUUUAAUUCCAUUUGGAAAUGCCUUAGCUUUGAACAGCUUCCAGCAGUCAUCGUACGGCAAGGCACCCAACUUGAAUGGCAACUCACGAUUCAGCCGCUUAGCAACCUGUUCACUUCGAGUGGUCACAAUUAUCUUUCUGCCUGGUGCGCCACCUUUCAACAUCGCUUCUAUCUUUUCCAAUUGUCCUGUGUUUUCUUCCCAUAAGUCAUCUAAAACAAUAAGAUACUUCUUUCCACGGAGGAUCAUCUCCACGCGCAUCUGCACGGAGGACAGGUCAUACUGGUUACUCUGUCCAUCUACUUGGGAGAUAAUUGAUCGACCAAUCUUUUCAUCGCUAAAACUUGUGGAGACAUAAACCCAAAUCUGGAUAUCAAAAUCUCUCUUAGUUGUAUUGUCGUCAAAAACCAUUUGGGCGAGAGGUGGUUUUACCCAGACCACCAAAGCCAUAUAUAGGGAUGAUGAUGUGUUUGCAAUCUUCUUGCAGCAACUUCAUCAACUCUACCUUGUCCUUGUCCCUCCCAAGUAUACCUUCUACAAGGCAAGGGCCUGUAGCCCUUGUCUGGAUCACGUCCUGGUCGUCAGAGCUUGUGUCCACCAUCAAGUCGAACUGCCUCAGCUUUUCUAUGUCGUCCAAUCUUUGCUUCAUGGCCUUCAACUUGCUAGGCAUGUUUAGCCGCAACUUCAGAGGAAUGGAGAUCUCCUGCAAAUCCAUGUCGUGAAUUAGAAAAGGGACGAGAAAUGGAAAUGGACAUAUCGACAUCAAACACACUCGAGACCUACCGUUGUAGAUUUGUUAUUCUGAGAGCCAUCUUUAUUACUCAGGAUAUCACCUUCCAAUUCCAAUAAUAAUGUCCUCCAUGUCAUAGGCUGCUGCCUUUAGCUUCCUCAUCCAGACGCAGACGUCACCAUCUUUCAUCAGCCGCUUCUCCGCCCUAACCAUGCUAUUUUGGAUGGUAUCCACAGUAUCCUUGAGGCCUUUGAGCUCAUCACCUAGCUUCAGCUGCGAGGCGAUCGCCUCCCAGAUGGCACUACCUAGCAUGCCGCCGACCUUCUUCAAUGCGGCCGAGGCAAGAAACUCCCCUACCCCCACCAUGUGGCUGAAGGGGACGCCAAUCACACAGUGUGAUGAGUGCUUGACGUCAGGCCGGGUGAGGAACAGUCCCAAGAGAAAACUGGAGAAGACACAGCGAGAAAUUGUCAGAGUCUCUCUGUUUUUGACCUGAAAAUCACAACCCUUGCAGCAAACUCUGUAUCAAGGACAGGCAGGAAAUAUUUACAAGCAAGGAGGAAAAGGGCAAAUAUUUCAGUCAGAAUUGAGACAAAUAAUAGCACCCAAGGUGCGCUUUAGAUCGCACUCUGUUUCAAUUAAACUGACUCGAGAUGGAAACCCCAAUUCGGAUGCGAGGUGGAAGGAAAGAAAGGUGAUUAGUUCUCAGCUUUUACCGUGAGGGUGGUGUGUUGUGUCCAGCACCCGAUGGGAUGGCAGGUAACUAAGGCCCCGUUUGGGAGGGCUUCAGCUUCGGCUUCUCUACUGGCCGAAGCUUGAGCCCUACCAAAUGACGAGAUGGCGAAAGGCUUCGGCGGAGAAGCUCCGCGAAUCGCUCUGACUGAAGCUGAUUGAGGGAGCGGGAGCUAAAAAAAAUUGGCUCCCCGCGGCUUCUCGCGUCGUUGGACACCCUUGUGCUUCGAUGGGGCCCGCGGGUGGAGGUGGCUGGCGGUGGGCGCAGACGAGGCAUGAGGAUGGCGGCGCGGGAGCAGAAGUGGCCGGCUGCGGACAAGCCGCGACAGAGGACGGCCCAGGACGACCGGCGGCGGUGGGCACGGGGCGGAGGACGUCCGGCGGCGGCGGGCGCGGGGCAGAGGUGGCCGGCGGCGCGCGCUGGGGCGUGGGCGCGUGAAAAGGGGAGGCGGGGGCGCUAGGGACGUAUCUCAGAUGGCAGCGGUGAGAUUCAGCCGGGAGAAGGAGGCCGGGUCAGAUCUUUCACCGGGUGAGAGAGGGGCGCGGCGGAUGGAACGGUCGGUGGUGGUGGAUGGAACGGCGCGUCAGUGGAUGGAACAACGCGUCAGGGUGCCUGGGAAUCAGGGGGUGAGGAGGUGACGAUAGGGUUCGGGGCGCGAUCGAUCCUACCUCAACGUAUGCGUAAGUAGAAGAAUGCAGUGGCGAGAAAUGCGUACGCGAUGGAGAGGGCUAGAUCCAGAAGUAGCAAGUUGCCGAUUCGUAGAAGCGGAAUAAUAAGCUAGUGAUGAAACAAUGCGUUAUUAGCUCGCGUUACGUUGUUUAGGUCCAGAGAGGAGCAGCAAACUCCAUAGCUUAUAGUUUUAAUUUCUCAUUGUUUAUUGCGGCCGGUCUUUUGACAGUCUAGGGACACAGUCGUCGUAGAUCUCGGGAGCCCUGGUGGAAAACAGAUCAGCUUGCGGUUGUUUAUGUAGAGUCUCUCGAGACAAGGCAUGCAUGGCUAUACUCCCACUCACCAAGCCCAAACAGUGCCAGCUCUACUAGUUUAGUUAAUAAUGUUUUAAGUGACUUUUGCCUUUGCAGAAUAGCCCAUUCUACUACGGAGAGGCGACGAACAAGCUGACCAUGUACGUAGCUGCCUGCUUGUCGUCGACCACCACCGCAGAUUCUUCUCUUGCCAUGCAUGUACUCAGCAAAGGAGCGGACCACAUCGUCGUGCAUCUCCAGUUAUCCAGUUGCUCAGGCAGUCCAGCUACUGACCAUGCAGGACUUGUCAAAACAACAUUCCACUCACGCUCGCCUUGCGUAUCUUGUGCUUAAGAGCCCUCCAAUCGCUUUAAUUGCAAGUGGUAAUUAUGCCUUCACACUUCUCAAGAAUUUCCAUCCCAACGUUUUUUAGGCGGUCAGUGCCGACUACCUGCCAACAGUUAAUUAUUUAUUGGAUUAUUAUUUCUGACUACAGUAAGGUCGUCGCGGCACUACUUGCUUAAGUACAUUUUCUUACGUUCCUGUUGUAAAAAACAAUUGGUCAUCAUUUUUUUCAUCCCUUGCACAAAGCAUGAACAGACGAUCCAAUUUCAAAUGGGCUUUACAAGGAUUUUGCAUAAACCGCCACAAAAGUUGUAACGAUCUUACGUAAAUCCUGCAUUCCAAAUGGGGCCUAAACAUUUCAUUUGGGACCUUGGAAUGCAGACUAGAUUGUGUUCCAGUAGCUUGUAUCGUCUUUCAUAAUCACGUUGCCUUUUGUUUUAAAAGCAACAAUUUCAACUAAUAAUGCCAUAAGAUCAAAUUUGUCUACUCCAUCUCAUUUCAAAUAUAAUUCAGUCGAGCUUGUGCACAAGAAUUCAUAAGGUAGGUGGUGAAGUGACACUACUUGCUUAAGUACAUUUUCGGGCAAAAAAGAUUUGGCUACGUUCCUGUUGUAAAAUAAAACAAUUGGUUCACCCUCAGCAUCAGUUCAACAAUGGCCGACUCAUCAAACUCGGACGUCAUCUUCUGUAUAGAACUUGAACUUGAACCCGGACUCAACAGUUAGCAUCCUCGGCUCCGGAUUGAACUUGAACUCGAACCUGUCUGCCUCCUUGUGGAUGCCAUCAAGCCUCUGGUUGACGUCCCUGAUGCUGCUGCCUAUCUCGUGGGCGAACACGGGUUACGCAGGCAGAAGAGCAAUCGCUGGAAGAAAUCCUGCAUCUUUUCUAUGCUCCUGCACGUGAGGGUGAAGAUGGGGUUCCGUAGGCACAUCAACCUGCACUCAUCAGCCUUGAGUUGGCACAGGUCUAGGAUGUCUGUGUGGCAUCGUACAUGGCGUCCUUGAGCUUCCUCACCCAUCUUUGCACACUCUUGUCAGUGACGCGCACCUCCUCUCUGCAUCCGCGAGGAAAGCUUUGAGGCAUCCGGGAUGGCGGCCAUGGCUCCAGAGUACGAUCUAGCUAGUACACAAUACAUGAUCCCUCCGUUUCAGUGGGAUGAGCUCAACCGGAUCUCAAAGGAAUAUACUAUAAGGGUUGGGAUUCAACUCACACUCCUUUGCAACCAGAUAUGGGUUGAAGCGGGUCGAACCCAUCCUAACCCACUUUGACUCCAGAACCAAACACAUGAAAAAAGAUUGCACGAGGAAAAAGAAGGAAAGAGAAAUCGGCGACUCGUAGCAGGGAUGACUGUACGUUGAUUUGGUUGGUUCGGAGCUAAUGUCUUAGAAGAAAUAUCUCUGUAGGAUAAAGGAGAGAAAGUAUUUUUAUUGUGUCACGGCAGGAAUAGAGCAUUCGUCUAACGCGUUUGUCGUUGUCAAGAUUAGCGGAUCAAGACUUAGACUAGUAAAUUUCUUUUAUGCGCGUAAGGCUUCGGAUGGUGGCGUGGGAGACACGGGGUUUAGACUGGUUCGGGCAAGGGAAUGCCCUACGUCCAGUAUCGGGAGCUGCUCGUGUUGCCCACGCGGGGUUCUGUAGUAGGGGUUACAGGAGUGCGAGAGAGGGAGCUGAUCCCAGGUCUCUUGGGUGUACACUGAUGCUCUAGGUGGGUAUGAGUGUGUUUUGUGGCUUGGAGAACCUCCUUUGUCUCAGGCCCCCGGUUCUCCUUUUAUAGCGCAAGGAGGCCACCAAGGUUACAGGCGAGACCGGGUGUAUGGAGAAGUAAAAGAAAUAAACAAAGCUAGGUAAAAUACAACACAAGGGGAGGGACCAAGUCCCCAGGCCACCGGCAUCCUCGCCGGCCUUCGGCUCCUGCCGGCGCGUCUGCCGGAGGAGGGCGGCCGCCGUCACGUCCCGUCGAUGGUCUCCUCGGCGGCUGUCGCCGCCAGGCGUGAUGAUGGUGUUUUGUUGUGGCACCUGUGUCCGUUGGGGCAUUAACGAGUCAAAGUUAAUGCCCUCUCACCGUGUUAUCUUGUCUAAGUUUAAUUACAUAGUCAUGAAAUUGAUUAGAUUUUGUUAACUUAAUUGGCUUGUAAGCGGUAGGCAAGAUGUCUUUGGUGAUUGUGCUCUAGUCUUUUAUGUUGAUAGAUUGAGGUUAAUUCCCUCUCAUUCGUGUUGCCUUGUCUAAGUUCAAUACACUUAUCAAGACAAUUAUUAAGAUCUAUUAAUGUAUCUAGGUUGCGUAUAGUCAGCAUCGGCUGGUCCUUGUUGUUAUGUUCUAAUCUUUUAACUUAGUAGAUUGAUGCCAAUACCCUCUCAUUCUUGUUACCUUGUAUGAGUUCAAUACACUUGUCAAGAUAUUGGCUAGAUCUGUUAGCUUAUCUGAUAAGCAUGUGGUUAACAAGGACUCCCCUUUAUGGUUGUUGCGUUACAAUGCUUUGUCUUAGCGCGUCGGCUGAGAUAGCCGAUGGCACAUGCCAUUAAUGUUUUAUUUAUUUACACUGCAUGCUUACAUUAAAUAUCUAUCUGUCAUAGUGUUUAUUCCAAGAAUGCCUACCCAUGAGUUCGAAAGGCUUCGUCGCCGAUCGGCAAUGUUUACCUUGUCAAUUUUCAGGUCAAAUUGACUGACAGGCCUUGCACCAUUCGCGAGCUGAUUUGGAGCCUGCACUGGAGGUAAGCAGAUCUCCCAGAUCAUCCGUGUUGUUCAACGCAGAAGCCUGAAGUCCGGAUUUUGCAUCAACAGGUAUAGAGAAACAAAAGGAUCUAAGGAAAUAAAACAAAAGAAAAUUAAAGGGUAUUGAGCUACGCAGACAUAGCCAGAAUCAAAGAGGGUUUGGCUCUGAGCAACAGUAAGGAGAAUUCAGACAUAAAUUUUCUUUUACAAGCUUCGAUUAUAGGAUCAAUGUUACUGAAAAUCCGUUCGUUUCUAGUGGACCAUAUGCUCCAUAACAUUAAAAUGAUGACCUCCAUGAAGAACUGGACUUGAAGCUUGUCUUUGAUGAGCUUGAAAAUUUGAAGGAGGGGCCUUGUUGUUAUGACUGACACCCCUAUAGAGGCCCGUCAAGCCUUGGUAAAGUUACAUCUUAAGAACAUAUGGGCAACCAUUUCUAGCUUUUGAAGGAUUCACAAGUCACAAGUAUAAGAGUCUAGGAUCAUGUUUUUUCAUCUAAGAAACUCUCUUGUGCUUAAACGGUCCUUGAGACUAACCAGAAGAAUACCUCGUGUUUCAUUUGGCAUUUUGAACGUUUUGAUGUCCAAUGAUAACGGGAAGCGGCAAGACGGUGAUGUCUUGCAGUGUAGCAUUGUCAUUAGUUGACGGCCAAGAGCAGAAAAAAUUAUGAGAGAAGGAAUGAUAAUGAUUUAGCCAAGGUUGAGUGCCGAUGUGAUAUACAACAAGGGAGAACUAGGAAAUCGAUGUUUGUCAUGCACAUCCAUCCGUAGUAAGCUGAAUGAAGUGGUUGACUAGAGAGAAUGAUGUGCCCAGUAAGUGAUGCAUAUUCCAUGACCACGGUAUAGCUGGCAAAGAUCACAAAGGAGAACUCUAUCUUACUAUUACUAAUUGGAGGCUCCUUUUGAAGCCUCCAGGUGAAGCCACCUAGGAUUACUAGGUGGACACUCUAAAAAAAGAGAGAAAUCCUAGAAAUUCUCACAAAAAAGCAAAACAUCCAACCAUCAAUCUAUAGCUUCAAAUCAUCAUAGCCAUUGGAUCUAUUAUAUUUUCUAAAAAAUUACCCACCUAUGCCAUUAUGAAAAUAGUCUAAAGUAACCCCCUAAAUCUAUAUAUAAAUUACCCACCCCACCUCUGCCAUUAUAGAAAAUAAACUAAAGUAACCCCUAAUCUUAAUCAAAAUUACCCACUUAUGCCAUUGUAAAAAAUAUUUAAAAUAACCCCCUAAUUUGCGACUGAAUUGCCUACCACUAUUACUUAAAAAACUUAAAGUAACCCCUUAAAUUUGCAUCUAUAUUACCCACACAUGCUAUUAUUAAAAAUAACAUGAGGUAAUAACCCUACGUAAUGUACAACAAUAUAUGAUUCUAAAUUAUCUAUAUCUUGCACUAUUGGUAUACAAUAUAAUAAUUAAGAUCUAUACGUAUGAUGUGUGUCACCAUUUAUAAUUAAAGAUAUAAAAUGAUGGGAAUAUAGAUUUCUAUGCUAAAUUAAAGAUAUAAAGUGAUUGCAUAGAGUAAUUAUUAAUUAAAAAUUAAUCAAAACUGAAUAAAGAUAGGUACAUGUAUUAUGUUGAAGUAUUGAAAAAAUAAGAGAGUAGUAGGUAAACAAUUUUGAUCAUUAGCUAAGAGUUUAACUUCUAAAUAAUUUUCAAAUACAAUAGCUUCUAAAAAUAUUAGUCCGUGCGGGAGCACGGGUUGAUGGACUAGUAUGUAAAAUAAUAUGGGAACAUUUAUUUAUGGGGCUACAACCACCGGAUAUUGGUGAUCAAAGUAAAGAAAGGAGAUUGUCACACCCGGUUUUAAGGACAAAACCAAGUGCUACCUAUAUGUAUGCCAGGAUCAAGUUUCAUACAUAUAGUGACAUCAUAAGUGAAUAACAGCAACAGUAUCACGUAAAAAGAUACAAAUAAAGACUUACGAGACCAUCAGAGAUACACAGCUUAAAUACUGAAAACGGAGACUCCAAACUUCACAGGCAAUCGACUGGGGGUUGCGUACGCCUAGAACUCAGCAUCAUCUUCGGAACAUUUCACACACCUUCUUCUUCUGAGCAGCAGUAAGCAAGGGUGAGUACACUUAUGGUUGGUACUCAGCAAGGCCACAAGAAAUAACCAGAAUAACGAUUUGAGUCCAUCUUCAAGUUUAAUUAAUCAUGUGAGGGUCCAGGCCGCUCUUAACCGUGAGCACGGCUGAUCGAUCAGUUUUACACUCUGCAGAGGUGGCACAUCUUUACCCACAAGUCGCGUAAAAGUUCAAGGAACUUUGGACCCAACCAUGCGGUGCUAGCUAGGCACCAUACCACACUUCCGAGGUGUGAUUGCAUAGGGACGCUACGAGGCCUUUACAAAGAUUCGCUAGCAAUGUGGUAACCUGCUAAGGUUUCAGGUCGAAGCAGAACAUAGCAGUCCCCUAGUUGGUAUAGUGUCUUAGCAAAGCCCACUUCCCCCAAGAGCGAGUGCUAUAUCCCAUCAACGCCUCCCCUCUUGCCCUUUCGGUAAGAUCACCCCAGACUAGAGUUUCUAAUUAUUCAGCCAAGACCAGAGCCAUUUAGUCUUGUGGUAGCACUGUUUUCCUGGGUGGUUCUCCAUGUUCCGAUAACAUAAUCAUGAUAUUAUUAACAAAGCAUAGGUAGAAGGAUGGUUAGGGACACUUGCCUUUCUCCAACAGAAAGUUACUCUUACUGCUUUUCAGCUCUUGCUCUCUUGAAGCUCUUACUCUUCAAAACUUCCGAAUAGGGAUCCUUCUACUCAGAGCAAACAUCGGCACAAACAUGCAAGCAACAAACAAGUACAACUAAGAACAAUACACCAAAAUAAAAGGAAAGCUUUAAAAGAGCGUACUAAACGACAAGGCUCGAUCUAAGGUCACGCGAAUGUAAGGAACGCUUAAAACGGAACUAUGGUUGAAAAGAUAAAGCUAUCGAGCAUUUUAAAUUAUAAAAGAAAGAUGAGAGCUACAAGCUUCAUUUAUUUUAGUUGAGAAAAACAAUGUAAAGAUAUUUCACAGAAAUAUCCUUAGUUAGAAUUAAUCAAGUCAUAUUUAUAUUUUCAUAAGAAAAGACGGUGUAAAGCUUAGUCCAAUUUUAUUUAUAAAUAUUUAAGUAUAAUUUAUGCAAUUUAAACAUUUAAUAAAAAAAAUACAUGUAGACAUCUAAGCGUAUAGCUUUACAUUUCGACUUCAACUAAGUAGAUUAAAUUAAAAACAUAUUUAUAUUUAUAUUAGCCAAAUUAAUAUUUAAUUAUGAAAACUCGAGAUAUAACCUAUAUAUAUUUUAUUUAGAAAAAAAAUUAAAUAAACAUUAAUCAAAUUGAAUUUAAUUUAUGAAACACCAAGGUAUAACUCUAAGUGGCUUUUAAUUGAAAGAAUUAUUUGGACAGGCAUUAAUCAAUUUAAUAUAAAAUAUAUUUUCAAAAACAUGUGUGAAGGAAAACUUUACCACUAACGUGUAAUUUACAUCAUUAUGAAUCUAAUGCAACUUGAACGGACAAAAACGGAAUUAAAACGUAGAAUCUAUGGUUUAAACAAGGUUGUAGGGGUCUAAACAUAAUUAACCGUAUACUUGGAGGGUUAGCUGAGAAGAUUACCAAGACUCAGAGAAUAGUCACUGCGAAUAGAUGGAUCUUCGGGGUUAGAUCUGCAAAAGAGGAUGGCUUGGAUCAGAUUGCAAGGAACUGAAAGUUACAGGGGGUUUUCUACAAGGUUUGAAAGACACAAGAAAUAUGAACAAAAAUUAACAGAUUUUCCAGGGGCUAGAUCGAAAAGCAGCGCUUCAUCUUCUUCCUCACGCCAGGAGCAUGGUGCAGCUCCUGGCCGGCGGCCUGCCGGCGUUCUGGUGCGGCGGACGCCCGGGCGGGUGGUGCAGCGCGAUGCGCAGGGCAAGGAGGCGAUGGUGCGCGUGCAGGCAAUGGCACAAGCGAGCCGGAGGUGCUGGGCGAGCAGGAUGAACGGACCAGGCGUGCUGGCCCAAGUUGCGUACAGAAACACAGAAACAGGAGGGAAAGAGAGAAGGAGGGGGUAGCCGGAAACGAAAUCCGAUCUCGCGCAUGAACGGCAAAAUGGAACGAUAUUGAUGAGACGAACAAGAUGGUGUGCUCACCUUCGGCCAGAGACGAACAAUGGCGGCGGAAAAGCUCGCCGGAGUUGGGGAAGACGACGGAGCCGACAUCGGAUUCAUGCAAUUCACCACACCACGGCGUAGAGCUCGAAGAGAGGAACUCCAUGGUGGUGUCGGUUUUCGCCGGAAGUCCACGGUUUCGCCGGAAAAGCUCGCCGGAGUUUGACGAAGACCGAACUUUGACUUCACAUCUACGGAGUUAGGAGAUGCAACUCGUGAAAAGGUUUGCAGAUCUGAAAUCCUCGCGUCGAGACGAACGCGGUGAUAUAUAUAUAGGCCACACUCGGAAAAAGAUAUUUUCGAGUUGACUUUUUAUUUUCGGAAUUUCUGAUUUUAUUUAUCUGCGCGAAAACAAUUCCAGAAAUAGCUGGACUCGUUUUCUAAAGCGAGAAAAAUACCUAGAAAAUUCCGAAAAAUCUGAGAUAAAUCUCAGAGAUGGAUUGGGAUACAAAGAAUCCAAAUAAAAUACUUGGAGCUCGUGAAAAGGAUUCUAAAGCCUUCCAAAAAUUGGAUUUAGCUCUAGGAAAAGGAGAAUAAUUUUCAGAAAAAGAUGGAAAAAAUCCUCACAAGGGUCUGGGCAACGUCUAAACGCAUUUUUCAAACUUUUACACUCAAGAAACACCAAGAUGCAGUGACAUGAAUGCACAGACAUAGAACAACAUUAUUUAAUUUAGAAAAGCAAACAAUUAGUUUCCUAUACUAAAUUUCCUGUAAAGAAAAAUAAAUGUUGGGAAAAUUUUAAAAUGAUGAGAAAAUUAUUGUUUAUUUAUUCUUUUUAUUCACAUCCUGAAAUUUGGAAAUUUCAGGGUGUGACAGAGAUGAUUACUUCUGGUGCUAUACAUUGAAUCACUAACCUUAAUCAUGCAUUGUACCUCAAACUCUCAAGCAAAAAUUUACAUCACCAGCCAAAAUAAAUGUCAUAUUCAUGUUAAAUAUAUAUAUAUAUAUAUAUAUAUAUUAUUGUCAGUACGCACCAAAAAGUGUGUGUGUGUGUGUAAAAGGUACUCCCUUUUCUCUCCUAUCAUGUUCAAAAAAUACAGAAUAUAAUGAUGGAAAAAAGCAUAGACGACACUUUGGUCUGGGCCAUUAGGACAAAAACAAUUACAAGGAUAUGACUAAACAAAACUAUUUGCAUCCAUUUAUUUAUAAAUAAACAUCCAAAAGUAGGUUAAAAAAUAGUACCCACCCUAUUUGUGCGGGCCACAUUGCUAGUUUGACUCACAAGACUGAUCAUUUAUAGCAUGGGGAGAUGGAAAGGGAGAAGAACACAGCGCUUUUAUAUUCCCCAGCAUGCAGCUGGCAAGAUUGUGGAUGAGCAUGACCAUCACGAGCUGGUUAAUAGCCAUGGGAUCGACGACGAACCUGGUUCCUCCAGCCUCAAAAUGGGUUUUACGAUUUCUCCGGACCAUUUGGCAAGCUCGCUCUCCAAGUGUUGCUUGAGGCCGUCAUCAUAGGGACUGCUAAGCCAGACUUCCACCAGACCUUUUAUCUUCUGUAGGCCAGAGAACCGCAGUGCUGACACACACCUGCAGCGAAUCCUCAGCACCUUAAGAUAAAAGUCAUCGUGAAACGUUAUUGUAGCUGGCAACCUGGCGUCAUAAGAGAUCUCGAGGAAGGAUAAGAUGACAGGAUUUUGUCUACCAAAAUGGAGGUCAUGAAACUCUGACAAAAAAAGACGUGUAUUCUCCGGCCAACCAGGACUGUCAACGAGAUCUUGCUGCAACAUAAUCAUCUGUAAACUCAAUUUUGUGAGAUUCUUAAGCUUUUUGGUCCAUACUGGUAACUUGCUUACCAGCCCGUAUAACUUAAGACUCCGUAGGUUCACUAGAUGUUCGAAAGAGAUGCCGUCCAUGGUGCCAGCUUCAUCGUCCUCAUCGACCUGCAUUCUCAAUGACAACGAUUCCAGAUGGGCAAGACCUGAGAUGGCUGAAAAAAGCUUCCAGAUGUUGUCCCGGUUAAUGCCUGACACUCCAAGUUUGUGCAACUGAGUAAGCUUCUUGAGCUCCUCUAGAAUGGCGUCCCCUUUUCCAGUGCCAAUAUCAACGUCACCCAGCGUGUGCAAGUUAGAAAGUUUCCCAAUACCUCUGGGCACCUUCACGCAAUUAUGAGAGCCAUCGUCGAGAUGGUGGUAUCUGCUCAACUUGGACAACAAGCAGGACCCCAGCUGAGUAGCACAUGGCCAGCUCAUUGGCGUUGCGGUUAGUGAUGGGUUCUCUGCUGCUUCUGUAGCUUGAUGAUGCUUGGUGGUACCAGCACGAAUGUACUGCAGUUUCUCCAGCUUGAUGAUGCUCUCUGGUAGCUUCAUCACAGAUGUUUCCCUGAUAUCCAGAGUUUGGAGGUGCUUCAGAUCGCCCAGGGAAUCUGGCAGAUGAGUGAUUUCUCGGCACCUUCUCAGGGAAAGGAACUUCAAGCAGGGCAGCAGCUUCACCAUCUGCUCGACGUCACCAUUUGUUACACCUGAAGACACGUCCUCCAGAUCAAGCACACGGAGCAGCCUCAUCUUUUCAGAGAUGAAGAACGAUUUCCACUCACCAAACACUGUCAAAGAUCGCAGCCGGGAAAAGUCAAUGCUCUUAAACACAUUUCUGUCUCUGUCCCAGCUUCGAUCUAUGGCAAGGUGACGUCCCGUGCGAUGGAAGUUCUUUUCGCAAUGGCCCUCUAGUGCAAAGACAAGAUUAUCUUCCAUCGACUGUGAUAUGAUGUAUUCACGGAAGAAACCAUUAACUUGGCACAAUGGCAUCCUCUUGGAUUGCUGAACUGAUGCUGCUGUUGUUUCUGUUGUUCGUGGCACCUGGACCAUGCUUAGACUGACGAGCUUGGAAAAGGAUAUCUCCCCGUUUUUCUCUGCGGUGUUUUCUUUACUGUCUCUAGAGUAUCCCUCCGCGAUCCACCGUCUCACCAAACGCCUCCGCCGGAUCGUGUGGUUCAGAGGGAAGAUUGACAGGUAGAAUAUACAUGGCUUGAGGAUAUCUGGGCAGGAACGGAAGUAGGAAAGCAACCAGGCAAACAGAUCUUCUAGGCUUGGUUUGUCCUUCAACGCAGACACAAGGUUAUCUUUUCUGAGAAAAUCCCAAAAGAAAUUGCGUCGCGAUCAUCACCAGCUAUAGCGCAUAUAACUUUGGGAAGUCCACCACACUUGUGCAAGAUUUGCAUUUUGUCCUCGGUCCCUUGUCUCUGAAGGUUAUAUCUCUGAGAAACAUAUUGUCCAAAUGAUAUAUAUAUAUAUAUAUAUAUAUAUGAAUAAAUUUAUUUAUUACCAAAAAAAGAUAACCAUAACGAUGGCAUAAAAAAGAGUGUAAAAUUUCUCUUAAAAAAAAACCAAAAACAUCCCGCCCUGAGAUAUUAUGCAGCUACCAUGCAAAUUUGGCAUGUAUAGAUUACUGCAUACUACAAGGUCAGUCUUGAAUUGGAUUUUGAAAAUAGACUAUUUGCUGGAUUAGGUACAUUUGUUAGUUACACCUUCCAAUAAAAAUGGACUAUUAAUUUGACGCAAUACAUUUAUGAGACAAACCUUUUUCAAGAUAAAUGCUAAAGUUAACUGUUGAAUCUAGCCGUGCCCUACAAAUGCACGGGCCACCCCACUUGUUAUUUCUAAAUGAUAUAAGUUUGAUGCUGACAUUGUGCGUUUUUGUUGAUGUCUAAGCACAUGGACAACAUUGUAAGUAAUAUGAUUUAAUUAGGAUAAAUAAGCUGUGAUGUGGUCUAAGACGAAGAGGGAACAUAUGUUGUUAUGACAAGUAUCAAGUCGUUCUCCAGAGUCCAAAAAGUAAAAUAUGACCUUCAUUCCUACCUUGAUCCCAAAUAUCAGCCUAUUUCAAUUAUGUAUAAGAAUUUAGGUGGUCUACCCAUCACUUAUUGUUGCAAACAGUAAGGUAGUUGGAAUGUCUAUUUCAUUCAAUAAGCACAACUAUAUAGGGGCAAAAUAGGAAAGGGUGGGGUCAAAUAGAGCUGCCACGAUGUUUGCUGCUGGACAUGUAAAUAUGGCAUAUAUAAGAUGCCAUGCAAGAACGUUUAGUCUACAUGACAGUGACUAAACGAAGAGAGAGAGCAAAACUAUCUCUUCACCAAGAAAUGGAUUUGGCACAUGAUAUGAUGACCAGCACAAUUGACAAUGUUAUAUAAACAAUGCUCUACCAUUGUAUAUCUCGUCUAUGUGUCAUCAUUAAUUAGUAUAUAAUUGUUGAGAAACGAUGACAUAAUAAAAAAAUCUCAUUAUAUGAGCUAUUUAUAUUACUGUCUUUAUGUGACAUGACAAAAACUUUUAGAUGGUUGUUGUCUAACGGUUGUACAUGCCCUAAUUGUUGAGGUAAUAGAUAUGCUAGAUGGACUUCUAUUGGGGAUAAUAUAGUUCUCCAUUUUUAUUAAAGAUUUUCUUGGUUUAGAAAGUGCUUGCAUGAAGCUAACUAAACAAGGAAUUUUGUGCAUAAGAUGUUAAAUCUAAUUCAAAGAUGGAACUCAUUGGUAUACUGAAGGAAUUAUUAGAAUUGCGGAAUGCUUAUUGCGAGUAAACGGACCUCUGCGAUGAGUUCAAAGGCGCUGUCAACUCCGAGACCUUUGACAUUCCACACAUUCUUGCUGUUUGUUGCGCAGUAUUGUGCGACACAUUCUUCAUUGGUAAUGACAAAUAUAUCCAAGCCGAAUUUUUUGGUUCCUAGUUUCAAGGCAGCUUCUAUCAUGUCCCAUUCUUCUGUAGAUUGCAGACCGUCGAUAACAAUUGUGCAUCCAAAUUGUUCAUGUAGAUAUUCACGGCACUCUUGAAUUAGGUCUUUCAUCGUUGACAUCUGGCGGUCAUGGAGAUAUCCAGGAUUCAAAUCCAAAAGUAAGCGCCAUGACAAGUCCAUCAAAUCGAAUGGAUGGGAUACAUUCACCCAACCGAACUUGAUAUAAGGAUCUUCAAUCCGCAUCUCGUAGCAGAGAUGUUUGACAAGAAAUGAUUUGCCAACACCAGACAUCCCCCACACAGAGGACACAGGCCCAGUACGACGAGACCUGCGCAUAGAGAAACAAAGUAAAUCCGCCUCUUGGCCAACAAGUGGAUGUUUGUCCAGCCAUUCACGAGCAGUUUCCCGCAAGUCCGCCACGGUUUGCUCAACUUUUCCGGGCGCAUCCUGCAAAGAAUUGGAAAGAGCAUUGUCAAUUGGGUUUAUUUAUUGUGUCAAAAUUACAUCCUUGUAGAAGACAACAUACAUGCUCCGAGUGAAGUAAAAUGCAUCCAACAAAGACAAACAUACACGCGUGCAGUAUUAUGCUUUAUUUGUAGCAUCCAUGCAGCAAAAGGUUAAGAAGCAUGAAUCAGUUUUAUAUCACCUGGGCAAAAUGAUCUGAGUAUUCAAUAACACACUUUGACUAUCAAUAUAUAUCAUAUAUUAUAAUACUCAUGACCAUAAAAUUGGCAUCAUAUGAAAGUGCUUUCAAAUUGGAAUGAUAUGAUAAAAGUUUGUACGGUAUAAAAUUUACAAAUCCUUGAUAAUCCAUUGAUACCAUGUUGUAUAGUUAGAAAAUUUGAAUGUUGGAUCUUCGAAACACCCAGUGUUCGAUAGGCACAUCCUUCUAGAUAAACCAUUCUUUACUUUAGAGGUCAAAUCAAAAUGUUGGAUAAUUCUGCGAUCCACAAAUUAAUCACCUAUGUACAACCAUGCCAUAUACUACACGAUGCUAACCGCAAUUUGUGGUUGCCUGAACACUUGCGUCUCAGUCCCACAGACCAUCCGUUGCUUCCACAGUUUAACCUAGAGUAAUCACCGCCAUCCGCAGCUUGUUCAGUACCCCUUUCAUAGUUUUUUCUUUUGCGGAAUUCAUAGUUCUUCCUCGUGAUCCUAUAAUUUAACUGUUUUGAAUUUCUCAACCCCUAUGCAUCAACUAUUUACAAACGCAAAAUGAUGAAAAAUAAUAAUGGCAUAAUUGGCAUGUAAACUAAGUUUUGUAGAAUUACAUUAUGAAGCACAAGUCAGGAAUGUGAUAACAGUCAAAUACGUGCAUUGCAGACCACGUUGAUGCAAAAAUGUAAUGGAAGUAGAAGAGCGAGUAUAUCAUUUUAUUGGAAAUAAUUGAGCAUACCUCCUCGACAAGGGCAUAGACAGAGUGAUGAGCCGAGAUUUUUUCAAGCUCCAAUAGUCGGUGUGGAUGCCUGACACAAAGGCUUGCAACUUCAAACUGAUGCGUGCUGACGAUGAUGCAGCUGCCGUUCUUGUUGUCUGGCAGGUAAGCCCUUACCGCCUCCCAGUCAUCCAUGGUGGUCACGUCUUCAAGGACAACAAGGUAAUUUUGACGGCACAUUUGCUUCAUGAAUUCGUUGAUCAGAACGCCUUCUGUGGCCACCGUCAUCUUCACAACAAAAUCUACGGUAGCGCUUUCUUGUGGACUAUAGCUUCUGCAAAAUUGGGCCACCAAGCGCCUGAUAAAUUCCCGGGCAUUGAAAGGAUGCAUCAGCUUCACCCAGGCGCGGCAUCUGAAGUUGGUGCAGAUUUGUGUGUCUUCAUAGGCCUUCUUGAUGACGGACGCCAUCCCAACUGUUCCUAACAACGAGAUCACUUGAAGGGCAUGGUCACCUUUCCCGCUGAUCAACUUGACGAGUGCCACAGGUGGCCAGAUGGGCUCCCUGGCGGCUUCCCUCGCUGUGGCGGAACGAGGGAGGAUGUUUGAUGCUGUUGCGCUGGCCGCACCCUGCUGAUGCGUCUGCUCGGCAGGCUUGGAGCCAGGGUUACCGGUGUGGUUGUAGCGCAGGUUCCGCUGACCCAUGGCCUCGACCCUAGCCUUGAGUAGCUCUAUACCAGCGACAGCGUUGUCCAAGGCCACGGCCGGCGCCGCCGCUGGUACCCAGGAGGGGAGCAUGCGGCGCCACCAGCUCGAUUUGUUGUCCAGGUAGAGAAUGGAGUCAAUGCAGUCCUCCACGUCCAGGGCCAUGUCGCGGACCUGCCUCACGCAAGUCGUCGUCAUAUCGUCCGCGACACGAUCCUUGGCAACGUUGAGGAAGGAAUGCAUCAUCUCGAACUCGUCCGAGACAAGCAUAAGGUCACGCUGAACGCUCUUCUGCAGCUGCUUCUCCUCCUCAAUAGCGGACUUGGCAAUAUUCACCGUCUCCUUGACCGCCGACUUCGCCAAACCCAGCACAAGGUCCGCCAUUGCACUCCCGUUCACUCUUCGAUCUGUGUGAGGGGAGGUGGGUGGGUGGGUGGGUGGUGUACAAGAUAGAACCUGGUGACGAUGCUUGCAAAUAUAUAUUAUGCUUCAAAAUCAUGCAUGACAUCGGCUGCAAGACAGAAAAUUUGCACAUUAUAAAACAAGAGUGUCGCAGUAAAAGAAGCCAGUUAGAUUCCCUAAUUAAAUUAACAGUGGGCUUUCCCUUAUGGUCUUAUUUUUAGGGCUAAAAGUUGCUUAUUUGGAGGAACUAACCUCAAUCCUACCUGUUUGGUUCCAUGAGCAAAACAACAUUUAAUAAGGUGAAGAAUGAUUUGUUUACCUCUAAUCAUUGCGACGCGUGGGGGGAGAGAGAGGAAUCAGAUAGGCAUUGAAUGAGAGCAAUGGGUGUCCAGUGCACCUUUUAGUCCAAAUAAGCAACCCAAAAUUACCUUAUGGACUAAACUUUAAAAGCUAAACUUUAACUUAAAUAAGCAAGGAUGUUCGGCUCUUUAUUUGGUACUAUAAAAGGGACUAAAAUUUAAUCUCUAAAGUUUAGCAAGGGUACAGCCCCUUAAUCUUCGCCGGCCAAGCACUUAAAUUAAGCUAGGUCAGACAGCUGAUGCAUCGAACGCAGCAGCAGUGAAAAACAAAUAAAGGCCAGUGUGCUCUGUAAGAAAUAUAAACCAAUAAAAUACAUCUUGGCAGAAUGGGGUCAAGUGGGUCUAUAGUCUAUUCUUGUGGCAGUAAGCUGAUCCUUUAUAAUACCGCUGGAUCGGAUCUCGAUCUCCUUGAUUAGCGCUCCACUAGCCCACUAAUGCUUGUCUCGUACUCCAACCACCGAUACCCAGCCCAAAAACUAUGCAUCGGGGAUUCACUUAACUUUUUAUUAUUUCGAGGUCUAAUUAAUAACACUGUUUGGAUUACGUAUGGGUUGCCUGCUGCUGGUAAAUACAUCUAUUUAUCUUUCAGCAAAAGCAUGCCUGCUGGGAAAUAUUAGUUCUGAAAUCUGAGCGCAUACCAGCUGUCAGUUAACAUAUUGUCUGUCAGCAAAUCCCUGCCAGAGCUUACGAUAAGUGGUCCGUCAGCAGACGUCAUCCCCCAACGGAUAAAGUACCCCAUAUUGCCUUCUUCAAGUUUCAUGAUGAAUGCAAUUCUCACACCUUGAAAUUUUUGGAUCUCACGAGGUGAUUAGGAGGAAUAAUUAAACAAUCAUUUUCUCGUAAUUUUAAAAUUUUUCAACAUUUGUUUCUUGACAGAAAAUUUAGUGUAGGAAUAUAAUUGGUUGUGUUUCCUAAACUAAAUGAGGUUGUUCUAUGUGUGUGCAUUCAUGCCCAUGCAUCUUGGUGUUUAUUGAGUGCAAAGGUUUUAAAAUGCCUCUAGACGACGACAAGGUUCUUCUGAGAAUUUACCAGUUUUUUCUGGAAAUUAUUCUCAUUUUCCUAGAGCUAAAUUCUUUUCACGAGCUUCAGUUAUUUUAUUUAGACUCCUCGUGUCCCAAACUAUCUCUAGGAAUUUUUCUGGAAUUUUUAGGAUUUUCAGAGUAUUUUUUGUGGGUUUUAUUGAAUUAUCUGGAUUUUCCUUUAUACGGGAAAUUACUUCUGAAAAGAAAAAGAAAAGAAAACCUCAACCUACCCUUUUGGGUUAAGCCCGCACCCACAAGCUCUACCAUGGCCCAACUCUCCUUCCCACCCUCGGGCCUCAUUGGCUCAGCCCAGUCCAGGCCCGACCAGCCCAGCCAGGCCCAACCGGGACCAUCUGCUCUACAGCUCUCUCCCAAGCUGCACAGGCAAGCAACGCCACCACCAAACCUUUUUGGUGUGUGUGCCACGCCAGGCGCAACCACCGGCGCCCUAUCAAUAGCGAAGCCCGACCCCCGCACGCCACUGCCAUCCUCGCAAGCCACCCUGCCUCGCCUGUGCUGCACCGCCGCCUUGCAAGCCCGCCAGCCGAGUCGGGCACCGCCACCGACUUUCCACUCGAUUCACCAGCUCCGCUGCCCGCCGGACGAAGCCGGCCCCUUCUAGAGCUUCGGGACGUCGUACAACGGUAGAAGCACCAUCGGUGUAGCCUGGGAGGAUGAGCCACAGCGACGGCUGCGUUCUCUCACCGUAUUAACUCACGUACACGUAAGAUGAACUAGCUUUGCUGGCGGUAUACAGACGCCCUCGCAACCACCGUGUACGUGCCCUAAUCUGUCCUGAAAAUUCUAGAAUGCCUUAUAUUAGGAUAGAGGGACAGAGGUGGUACUCUUCAAAUAUCUAGCCCAAAAACCAUGUCAAGAACUUACAACAUGCCUAUAAAUACCCGACUCAAUUCAUUGCAUGCUGCGACACUCCUACCUUUUGCCUUUUUCUUAACAAAUCCUUGCAAUGUAAAUAUAAAUCAUAAGCAAAUCAAAUCAAUCGAAAUUUUUUAUAUAUCGUUUCUUUGUAAAUAGCCACACCAAGAACAAUGUCUUGUAGUCUGAACAGACGAAAAUGGUGGAUGCCUUGGCUUGCUCAGGUGGCUUCUCAAACUUGUAGUCUUAAUUGAUGAAAAUGGUAAUUGCUUUGACUUGCUCGGGUGUUUUUUUGAGCCCUGGCAACCUGCCAAUUGCCUCACCAAACAAGUUGAUAGCUAGAGUUGCCCAAGCUCAAAAAGAUUAUUGUUCUUUUCUCCUUCAAUAAUGAUUUUGCUCCCAUGUUUUGUGAAGCGCUUUCCACGAUUGUUUUCACAACAUGUUCCAUACUUAUAGCUCAAUGCAAUGCAAAAGCAUCCACAUAUUCCAAUAUUAAUUCACUGGUAUGUGGAAUAUCCAACACCUUCUUGGAUUCUAAAAAUUUUGUGCCCAAGUAUCAAUAUCAGGUGCAACAUUUUCGUGUCAGUUUACCUGUCCGCAUUGCUUCACAUAUCCGUACCUUGUCAAGAAAGGUCUAUUUUCCUGACAGAGAUUUCAUUACCGUCAGUGCAAUGUGACCUUCCACAAUAGCCUGUUGCCGCUUGGUGUCCAUUGUGCUGCCACGGACGGAGUGAUCCCUUUUACAGUUUCUUUCUUUUGUUUUCUGUGGAGGACUUGAGAAGAGUCCGGUUUUCUAGAGAAUACUUUGUGCAAAUGAACAGAAGUAAUGUUCCUCCCUUCUAUACGAAGUUCACGUUAGGUGAGUACUCGAUCAUGUUAUUAAUUUAAUACUAGAUACUCCUCGCUCCAUAUGGUUGCGUGAGUCCGCGAAACUUGCUGACAUUGGCUUCUAGAGCGAGGAAAUAUGUUAACAGGAAUGAGAAUAUAUAACAAGCAGCUCGUACAACUAAGUGCGCGCCUUAUCACCUAAUCACCUAGCCAAGCAUCUAAUCACGUGGGGUACCUUUUUUUAUUUGUCUCCUCUUUGAGUAUCCUAUGCUUGACUUGAACCUAGUCUUGCGUAACCAAUCCAUCUUCUCCCGGGUUACUUUACAAGUUUUGAACUGAAUCAACAUAAGGGGCCUCUCAUAUCAGAACCUCGCUUUGCUCCCUUUCGUUGUGUUCUCCCAGCUAGGAUCCCUCAACUGUUUUUCUCGGCCCCGAGGUUAGUACCUUUAAUCAAGAAGCUGGUGUUUUUUCUGUUCCACAAACAGUUAAACAUAUCUAUGUAUAUUUUGUAAUUAUGUCUAGUUGUAAUACAACUGUUUUGUUUGGAUAAAAGAUCUAGUUGUAACGAUAUGAGUUGUAGCAGCUUAAAUCUAUAUCUAAAAUCAUCAGAAAUGGACACUGGUUCGAGCACGCCAAGCCUGCUGAGUACAGUGCCGAAGGAUCUAUCAGCAGCAUUCCUGCGUGAUAUUACGGAUGGUUUUUCCACUGACAGAGAAAUAGGACAAGGGGCGUUUGGAACAGUUUAUAAGGUAUGUUUACGACCUUUUCUGCGUUUUUCAGAAACUGGUAGGCAUGCCAAUAUAUAGUAUAUGGACGGUUAAACAGGGAAUCCUCCCAGAAGGGGAUUGUAUUGCUGUGAAGAAGCUUGUGGAUGAGGACAUAUAUGACAAACAAUUUCAAAAUGAGAUUACGCAUCUUAUGAAUGUCUGUCAUGAAAAUAUUGUGAGGAUAGUUGGCUUCUGCCAAGAACGUGAAAAGAAAGUUGUGGAGCAUAAUCGAAGAUAUAUUAUUGUAGACUCAGUUGAAAGAUUUAUCUGCUAUGAGUAUUUACCAAAUGGGAGCAUUGAUAAGUGUAUAUUUGGUACGGUAAUUUUUUAUCUUUUCUUUCUUUCUUCACUCAUACUUUUUAAUUUGGAGUGUGGAUAUCAAUUGUUAUAUAUUACUUCAGUUUCCUGCACUAAAAUAUUAUUCUCUCCAUCCCAAAUUACUAUUGCUUUUGUUUUUUCUAGAUAUAUAGUUUUUAUAUGCACCUAGAUAUAUAUUAUCUCUAGGUACAUAGAAAAUGUUAUGUAUCUAGAAAAGUCAAAAUGAAUAGUAAUUUGGGACGGAGGGAGUAUGAUGGAACUGAUUAUGGUUCAGGCUAUGAACAUACGCUUUCUAGUCACUAUGUUAUGAAAAUUGAUGUUUUGGAGGUCCUUAUACCAGAUUACUCAUAGAGGAUCUAUCCUUUUUUCUUUCUUCAGAUGAUACACUUAAUUGGGCUACACGCUUCAAAAUUAUUAAGGGGAUCUGCCAAGGUUUACAUUUCCUACAUGAGGGAAUGGAAACACCUACAAUUCAUAUGUCUCUUCAGCCUGCCAAUGUAUUGUUGGAUGAUAGAAAGGUGCCUAAAAUUACAGAUUUUGGUUCGUCGAGAGUCUUUGGUCGUGCUGAUAAAUCAAUGAUGAUCACACAAAACCCUGUGGGAGUAAUGUAAGUUUAAUUCAGAUAGUGCAAUAAGAGUACUUUCCCAUCAAGUAACAAUGCUUACGAAACUCUUGUUGGUAAUGUCAUUCAGUGGAUACAUGGCUCCAGAAUAUCUUUAUAGAGGUGAAAUCUCAACCCAAGCAGACAUAUAUAGCCUAGGCUUAAUGAUAAUCGAGAUCACAACUAGGAAGAAGAAUUAUUCAGACGAUCGAGACAAGUCUGCCCAGAGAUUUAUUGAUGAAGUAAGGCAGUGUUGAUGAUUAGUUGAUUACAAAAUAAUUUUCAUAGAAGCAUGUGUUACAUUUAUUUCGUGUAUCCGUUUUUACAAAAGAUAUAUUUUUAUUUUUAUUUCGUGGUUUAUUAGUGAGUAUUAUGAGUUGAGUUAUGUAGGUGCGCCAGACAUGGACGGAUGAUGUGUACAUUUUAUCCAAAUACUCCCAAUUGGAUGCAGGCUUACUGCAAGAAGUAAAGGCAUGCAUUCAAACUGGGCUUAAGUGUGUGGAUAUUGAUCGCAAGAGAAGACCUUCCAUAUCUGAAAUUGUUAGACUGCUCAAUGCUGCAUGGUAAACGGUGGACGAGGUAUGACUAGGAAUAGCAUACAUUCCCUCUGGUCUUUGCACAUACUUACCAAAUUUUACUUUGCACAUAUAUAUUUAAAGUCCUUAAUAUUUAUGGGAUUUUGCAAGUGUUGCUCAAUACAAUUCCACAAAUACAACUUGCAUGCUUUCAAACUUAAUAAUGUAAAAGUUAUUGAUGUUUUUAAUUUUUAAUCUUUGACAAAACCUUGUCCUAAACAACAUGUUUUUUAUGACUGGAGUUACGGGGUGUUUGGAUACGAGGUGUUAAACUUUAACAGUGUCACAUCGGAUGUUCGGAUACUAAUUAAGAGAACUAAACAUGAGCUAAUUAUAAAACUAAUUGCAGAACCCUGUGCUAAUUCGCGAGACGAAUCUAUUAAGCCUAAUUAAUCCAUCAUUAGCAAAUGGUUACUGUAGCACCACAUUAUCAAAUCAUGGACUAAUUAGGCUUAAUAGAUUCAUCUCGCGAAUUACACUCUAUCUGUGCAAUUAGUUUUGUAAUUAGCCUAUAUUUAAUACUCCUAAUUAGCAUCUAAACAUCCGAUGUGACGGGUGUUAAACUUUAACACCUGGUUCCAAAUAGGCCCUUAGUAUAUGAUCACUAAUAGUUUUCUUAGUUUUUUGAGAGGAGAGGAGUUUUCAUAGUUUUACAUGCAACAACUACAUAUGAUCACUAUUAGUGGAAUCUUGUACUUCUAUAUAUGGCAAACUGAUCAGGUGAUCUUAACAUGCUAUCUCAAACUACAGGUCUACAUAUAUACCGUGUUCGCAUCAUGAAUAAAAGUUGUCAUUGUGGAGAAGACAUGGCCAAGAUGAAAUAAAGCAUGCUCUAUUAUUUCUAGAAGACCUGAACUUUUCUAUCACAACUAAGAUUCCUUUGAUGUAAUUUCAUUGUGGAAGCUACAUUUACUCCUCUUUUGGAGAUUGACACUCCAAAAGUGAUUUUCGAAGACACCCCAUUUACGGCACAGGUGGUCCACAAGGGAAUACGCUAGGGUCCUCAGUCAUGGAAAGCCUAUAGAAAUGAGUUUCCAGAGAAUGUUGGUUCAGCCGAUCAUGUCUGAAAAAGGUUGCUGACUUAAGUGACUGCGUUAGGAAAUCCCCAUUACUAGACGUAGACACUUAAGCUGAUGGACUAGAAAUUGAUUUCAAGAGAUGGUUCCUCAAUUUGGGCUGCCUCUAGAAACUGUUUUCCACAAGAGGCAAAAGAAAAGGUCAUCCCAUUUCCGUUAUCAAUAGGUUUGUGGUGGGAUGGCAAGGGGGGAUGUUGUUGUGGGUUUAAAGGUUGACACCCCCCCCCACACACACACACACAUUUCACGCAAAAAAUUGCAUGUGUGGUGCAGCUCAAUGGUUUUUACAAAUCUUUUUGUAGUUUUUCCAUGCCCAAUGUUAUCGUAGACAGACCGACAUAACCAAUGUCAUGUGGAAAUGCAUUUUUAGAGGUAAUUAAUUCCAGAGGUAGUGAACUUAGGGAACUUCCUCUAAAAAUGUCUUUUCUUAAUACGAUUGAUUGUCCACCUAUGAAAAUGCACCAUUUCCAUAUGCGAUGUCACACCUGGUUUUAAAAAUAAAUCAAAUGUACACCAUAUGUGUGCCAGGAUCAAGUUUCAAACAUACAACAAGCCAAUAGUGAAUAACAGAUACAGUAUCAUGUACUAACGAGUUCAACUAAUACAAAGUGACAUAAAUCUCUAAACAAAAUAAACAUACAAACGUCUCCUAGCAGCGGAUUACCAUUCUCCAUAGGCAUUCAACUGGGGGAACAUACGCCUAGCACUUAUGGAAAUCUUCUAAUACUAACAUCCUCUUGUUCUGAGCAGCAUUCAUUGUGUGGUACAAAUAUAUGUAGGAAAUAGCAAGUGUGAGUACAUGCCGUACUCCCACUACUACAGAAGAGGCCAUCACCGCUGGGCUAUCACCACCAGUUAUAGAUGAAUCAUUUGUGAUGCCUUUUCACUGUCGGUUUUGGAGCAAAUGGGGGCAGCAGCCUUUACAACCGGCGGUGGUGCUCGUUUUCAUUGCCGGUUCCUUAUUGAGCCGCUAGUUUCAAGCAAGAGCCAGCAGCGAUACUCGAUGCGAACCUGAAAUUUUUCUUCAACCCAAUUUAGAAAACGACUUUGCGUCCACUUGCCUCCCUCUCCCCACUCCUCCCCUCCCCCACCCUCUCUCCACCCCCUCCCUCUCUCCCUCUCACCCCAGCCCUCUAUCCCACUCUCCGCGGGCCCCCUCCCUCCCUUCCUCUCCCGCCGGCCCUCCCCUUCUCUCCCUCUCCGUUCGCCGCCCCUCCGCUUGCUUCCGCACCCCCCCCUUUCCCCCUCCACUCGCUACCCCCUCGGCCUGGCAUAGAGGAGCGCUGGCAGCGUGCAGGGAUCCGCAGCGGCAUGGCAGGAUCCGCGGCUGGCAGUAGGGAUCCACAAUGCAGCGAGGCUCCAGUGACAUCAAGAUGUGCGGGGUAAGCAGCGGCAGUGACAAGGCCGGGUCAACGGUGGCGGCUGCAGCGUGAGUAGCAGCAGCGAUGCUACCUAGGGGCCCACGGUGGGCGCGGUGCGAUGGCGGUGGGGACGCCAGGUAUAUUUCUUCUUUUUUUUGUGAUGUGCAUCACCGUCAGUUCCUGGUUUAGCGGUGAUAGGGACUCCUAUCACCGCCGACCUAAUAAUGUCCUCACUCAAAAUGAGGGUUGCCUAUAUCAUAUUGAGAUAUGAGAUACAUCCCCCUAAUGCUGUUCUAUGGACAUUCUUGAGGCACUGACUCUGGAGCCAAAAAAAAGGUUUAGUCAACGAGCACAAAAGUUUCAUACUAGAACCACUAGACCUAUGCUAGUCAAUUCACUGUGCUAAGGGCACAUGCAAGAGCUACAACCACCCUAUGCCCAUUGAUCACAAUUAAUUUGAAAGGAUGUUUAUGGAUGCUUUUGUUUACCAUAAGUGUAAUAAAUCUUGUAGUCAUUUUCGGCACAAGUCUUGCAGCUAGCCAAUAUAAUCCAAGUUUUUGGUACCCUAUAAUCCAAGAUAAGAUAUAAUCUCCUACUGUUUUCAAAUCUCAGAAUCUUUUGCAGUAAUCUCCUACUGUUUUCAAAAAGUGGUAUGUCAAUCGUAACAGGAUUAGACAGAGGGAAGUACCGAAUGGUUGCUUGCAGAUGAGGUGAUUCUAACUUUAGACUUUGCAUGUAGACGGCGUGGAGGAUAUGAAUAGUUGCAUGCAGAUGAGAUGGUGCUGACAUUAGCCUUUGCAUGUAGAUGGCGUGGACGAUUUGAGGUAAAUGACACAAGAACACACACCAUAUAUAUAGUGGCAUUGUUGGACCUUGUUUAGUUACCCCAAAAUCCCAACUUUGGCACUAUGCAAAAAUAAGAUUCCCCAUCACAUCAAACUUGCGGUACAUGCAUGGAGUACUAAAUGUAGACGAAAUAAAAAACUAAUUGCACAGUUUUGUUGUACUUUGCGAGACGAAUCUUUUGAGCCUAAUUAGUCAAUAUUUGGACAAUAAUUCAUAAAUACAAACGAAACACUACAGUAUGCUACAGUGCUGGCACAGUGAUUUUGGUUGUCCAAAAUUGGGCAACUAAACAGGGCCUCGUUCUCUUCUCAUUAAUUGUUAAUAGAAGUUACUACAUGUACCUAGAACUCCUAAACUAGGUGUCCUAUCAUAUGAUUUGCAAUUAAUUCCAUUAAGCUUGAAGCAGGUGGAAAGGGCACUUGCAUCGAUAGGAGGCGCACGUGCACAGAGAGUCUGUUAUGUCUUUUAUCUUUUAAUGAAACUAGGUGGCGUUGGGGCUGCUGGCCUUUCCUCGCUGUUUAGCAUCCUGAGAACAUCCGGCAUGGUUGGCCGCUCCCUUGGAUUGUCUUGGGUGCACAACAGUCCGAUAUGUAUUCUUCUUUCCACUUCCUGUAGCUGUGACUCUCCACAAGAUGCAGAGUCAAAUAAAUCCUUCAGACUCUGAGCUUCCCGUACCUCCCAAGCCUGUGAAAAAGGUGUCAGUGUGUAUAACAAGGCAACAAGUAAAACCCAUUGUGUAACUGAAGUUCUUCAUGUGGUCAGCUAAGUUGCCAUUUUCUUCAGAUCCGUCUAACCAAUUUUGAUUAACGUGUUGGAUCAUUAACACACUAUUGCUUCUUGACUGCAUCAUUUUGGUCGAGAUUGGUCACUGACUAGUCCUAAGAUGAACAUCCACAAAUUCAAACAAUGAUGACCUAUAUGCUACGUUAUUGAGACUGCUAUUUCUUUGAUAAUCUUAUACUUGUCUGUAUUGAAAGAUCAUGUUGAUGUUUGGUGUAGUAAAAUUUGGAAAGGUAAGAGAACUUUUGAGAUUAUACGAGGCUACUACCCAAAGUAUGAGGUGGCACCCAAAUAGAACGACAUAUCCUUAAAAGGAACAACAUGACAUGAAGAGAUGAGCAAUUAUAAACCAAUCCAGUUUUUUAUGCUCAGAAAUUAUUGCUAGCGCUGACAGCGAGCAAGAUGCAGAAUUACCAAAUAAAGUAUGACCUACAAAAGGAUUCCUCUUUUUUUUGUGUCACAGCUGAUUACACUUUUUUCCCUUGUUGAAAAAAGUGGACAGUUUAAGGCCAAUAUCUCCACCGAAGUAUGGAUAUCAGAAUAGAUCGAAUAAUGAUGAAUGCAAAAAAGAGAAAACCUUUAUCUGAACAAGUUCCUUGUGAAGAUACCCAACCAAUGCCUGCCUAUAAAUGUUUUACGUACCCACUCAAUUGAAUGUUGGAGAAGUCCAGACCUGCUCAUUCCUCUAAUGGUAGAUAAGACUAAGAGGCCAAAACUGUAGACAUCAUUCUUGGCUGAGAUGACACCUUGAGCAAUAUAUUCUGGAGCCAUAUAUCCCCUAAAUGGUGAAAAAAUAAAUAAAUGGGUCAGCAGAAGGGGGGAAGCGACAAGAAGCUUGAUCGUGCAUGUCAUGGCAACAAAAAUACAGUAUAUAUGGAAAGUCGUCCUACAGGGUGCCUGCUAACUCUUCCGUGACUUCUUGAGUCACCUCUUGAUCAAAUAUUUUGCACAUUUCAAAAUCACAGAUUUUAGGGUUCAUAUUAGAGUCAAACAGGAUGUUUUCUGGCUUCAAAUCCAUAUGGAUAAUGUUUUUCCAGUGCAGAUGAGCUAUGCCUUGUGCCAUCCCUUGAAUUAUUUGGAAUAUGAUAGACCAAUCCAUCUGCGGACACUGUCCUGGAAAAUUAAAAAAUCAAACAUCCUAUAGAGUUAACAUUGUUAAGCUAAAUUUUGCUCCAAAUGAUAACUGGAGUCAUUCUUUAAGUGGAAACAUGCCUUCGAUAAUGUCGGACAAGUUUCCAUUCGGGGUGUACUCUUCGACCACUAUCAUACUAGUUAUUUCAGCCUCCACAUAGCGGCCCUUGUAUAGCAUCUUCUCGUAUGUGGUUUCCUGGCAAUAUCCGAGAAAGCAAACUAUAUUUUGGUGCUGACCCAGCAAUGCAAAGACAUUCACAUAAUGAUCUACAUCUCUUCGUAAGUGCCGAGCUGCACAAAAUCUCUUUAUGGCAACCAAUACGUCAGAUAUUACACCCUGGAUCAUAGGCAGCAAUUUUAAUCACGAAUGCAGUUAACGUGAUAUUAUAAUUUGAAUGCCUCAAACAUAAUUAAAAUACCAAGCAUAUGGAGUACCUUGUACACAGUAGCACUGCCACCUCUCCCAAUCAGGUUGUGUUCCGAGAAGUUAUUUGUAGCGGCCUUCAUCUCAGAUAAACUGAACAUUCUAAAUCCUGUCAUAAAAACAGGUACACAUACAGGCAUAAAUGAUGUUCUGCAAACACACACCAGCAAGAUCACUAUCACUAGUGAAUAAUAAAUAGCUCGAAUUCAAGAUCAAAGAGGCCGGUAAACAAAUAUGUGAUCUUACCUGAUUGGUUGAGAAAGUGCUCCAUACAGGCUGGAUCACUUUUUCUCUCACCAUCAGCUCCAAAUCUGUCAUCGUACAUUCGAUAAGCAAAAUGAGUGCCCUCCGAUCGAUGUAAUAAUACUGAAUGGAGGUAGACCAAUGGUGGUAGCAUAAUGGUAAGGUUUUAGAUGCUUCCUCCAUCCCAAUUGUAAAUCGUUUUGGCAUUUCACCUAGAAAUGCCAAAACGAUUUACAAUUUGCGACAAAGAGAGUAGUUUACCAGGGCUUUUAUGGAAAUAAAAGCUAAAAUUGCGCAAGUGCAUACUUUGAUGGUAUACAGACUUGCCAAGGGAAUUACAGUUUUUCGUAAUGGUGAUUAAUUUCUAUGUUGAACUCACUAAGUAUUACAACAUAUAAUUUACUAUGCUACAAUUGGAAUGGCACACUGUAAAUAUCAGACCUAGUAUCAUUGUUUGACGCACUGCUAGACGAGCUCUCCACUGCCCCUAGAUGGCCAGCAUCCUGAAAUAGAAAACCAAAUCCCUCAAGGUAUUAUUGAUGAAAUUUUUAUCCUAUCUUAUUAGUUGAAAUGGAAGAGCUAGGAAGUACCAAUUGAAUGAUACCCCUGAAAUAAAGAAACUAUCUAAAGGUUGCUGCGAAACAAAAGAAACUGUCCGUAUAUUGAUCUUGACGAGGUGAGGUGGGACACUUAAAUCUGUUAAUGCCGGACCCAACACCUGGGUCAACCGUGCUUGCGGUAGAGGCAUACAUUCUACAAAUAUGAUACGUACAGGUUGCAUCUGUCCAAUUUUUAUUCUUAACAAAAUGAGUCUAUCAACCCAAAGCUAAUGAAAAACAUGGAGAAGUUUCUCUAAAAUGGUGGAUAGAAUCGUAAGGAACAUUAUAUAUGGAAGUGACAAAAUUAAAAAUACGCUGUAAAGAUGUAGUACCUGUGUAAUCCAGUUUGCGGCCGCAAUUUGGUCCAUGAUAACCUGGUUUACCUGGCGCAACUCUUUGGUCAGGUAUCCAGUUGCACCCAGGUGAAUGUUGCGCGUCGACUGGCAGGCCCUGACAAGCUUCAGCGCCCGAUACAGGGUCUCCUCGAGGUUCUCAAGCGCCUGGAUCAUCGCCUGGUCCUUCACCAUCUCCAAAUUCUCCAUCUUUGACAGGAUAGCACUUAAUCUGCUUACGCGCCUUCCGAUCUCAUAACAAUCAGCCUUAUUCUUUCGAACGGUGUCGACCGCCUCCUUGAUCUGGAGCGCAACCUCGACAAUGUUCCUCACCCUGCCCAAUGCAUCGGACAUCCUCUCUCUAGGGGAUUAUAAUCUGCAGAUCGAAAGGAUAAGGGAGUCGUAUCGAAUCAGACGAACAAGCCUGAUGAACCAACUGGAACAAACAAAAAAAGCUCUUCGAUUUUCUUUCUCAAAGCAAUCAAAGCAAAUAAAGAAGCAAGCAUAAACCUGGCGUCUUCGGCCCUCCUUUACUAGCUGCGUCAGGGAUCUCUUCCUCCAAGCUAUGGUACGCCCGGAGCAUCCGGUGUUCGCCGGGAAUCAAGUCUGCUCGAUGGGCAAGCUUAUCUGAUAGGGACAUAAACAAUUCCGUGAAAAACAAAUAAAGGCCAGUGUGCUCUGUAAGAAAUAUAAACCAAUAAAAUACAUCUUGGCAGAAUGGGGUCAAGUGGGUCUAUAGUCUAUUCUUGUGGCAGCAAGCUGAUCCUUUAUAAUAACGCUGGAUCGGAUCUCGAUCUCCUUGAAUAGCGCUCCACUAACCCACUAAUGCUUGUCUCGUACUCCACCCACCGAUACCCAGCCCAAAAACUAUGCAUCGGGGAUUGACUUAACUUUUUGUUAUUUCGAGGUCUAAUUGAUAACACUGUUUGAAUUACGUAUGGGUUGCCUGCUGCUGGUAAAUACAUCUAUUUAUCCGUCAGCAAAAACAUGCCUGCUGGGAAAUAUUAGUUCUGACUUCUGAGCGCAUACCAGCUGUCAGUUAACAUAUUGUCUGUCAGCAAAUCCCUGCCAGGGCUUACGAUAAGUGGUCUGUCAGAAGACGUCAUCCCCCAACGGGUACAGUACGGCAUAUUACCUUCUUUGUGUUUCAUGAUGAAUGCACGGUUGUCACACCUUGAAAUUUUUGGAUCUCACGAUGUGAUUAGGAAGAAUAAUUAAACAAUGAUUUUUCUCAUAAUUUUAAAAUUUGCCAACAUUUGUUUUCUUGAUAGGAAAUUUAGUGUAGGAAAAUAAUUGGUUGUUUUUCCUAAACUAAAUGAGCUUGUUCUAUGUGUGUGCAUUCAUGCCCAUGCAUCUUGGUGUUUAUUGAGUGCAAAGGUUUUAAAAAUAUCUUUAGACGACGACCAGGUUCUUCUGAGAAUUUACCAAUUUUUUCUGGAAAUUAUUCUCAUUUUCCUAGAGCUAAAUCCUUUUCCCAAGCUCCAGUAAUUUUAUUUAGACUCCUCGUGUCCCAAACUAUCUCUAGGAAUUUUCCUGGAAUUUUUAGGAUUUUCAGAGUAUUUUUUGUGGGUUUUAUUGAAUUAUCUGGAUUUUUCUUUAUACGGGAAAUUACUUCUGAAAAUAAAAAGAAAAGAAAACCUCAACCUACCCUUUUGGGCUAAGCCCGCACCCAAAAGCUCUACCAUAGCCCAACUCUCCUUCCCUCCCUCGAGCCUCGCUAGCUCAGCCCAGUCCAGGCCCGACCAGCCAAGCCAGGCCCGAUUGGGACCAUAUGCUCUGCAGCUCUCUCCCAAGCUGCACAGGCAGGCAACGCCACCGCCACGCCCUUUUGGUGUGCGUGCCACGCCAGGCGCAGCCACCCGCGCCCUAUCAAUAGCGAAGCCCGACCCCCGCACGCCCCUGCCAUCCUCGCAAGCCACCCUGCCUCGCCUGUGCUGCGCCGCCACCUUGCAAACCCGCCAGCCGAGUCGGGCGCCGCCGCCAACUUUCCACUCGAUUCACCAGCUCCGCUGCCCGCCGGAUGAAACCGGCCCCUUCUAGAGCUUCGGGACGUCGUACAACGGUAGAAGCACCAUCGGUGUAGCCUGGGAGGAUGAGCCACAGCGACGGCUGCGUUCUCUCACCGUAUUAACUCACGUACACGUAAGAUGAACUAGCUUUGCUGGCGGUAUACAGACGCCCUCGCAACCACCGUGUACGUGCCCUAAUCUGUCCUGAAAAUUCUAGAAUGCCUUAUAUUAGGAUAGAGGGACAGAGGUGGUACUCUUCAAAUAUCUAGCCCAAAAACCAUGUCAAGAACUUACAACAUGCCUAUAAAUACCCGACUCAAUUCAUUGCAUGCUGCGACACUCCUACCUUUUGCCUUUUUCUUAACAAAUCCUUGCAAUGUAAAUAUAAAUCAUAAGCAAAUCAAAUCAAUCGAAAUUUUUUAUAUAUCGUUUCUUUGUAAAUAGCCACACCAAGAACAAUGUCUUGUAGUCUGAACAGACGAAAAUGGUGGAUGCCUUGGCUUGCUCAGGUGGCUUCUCAAACUUGUAGUCUUAAUUGAUGAAAAUGGUAAUUGCUUUGACUUGCUCGGGUGUUUUUUUGAGCCCUGGCAACCUGCCAAUUGCCUCACCAAACAAGUUGAUAGCUAGAGUUGCCCAAGCUCAAAAAGAUUAUUGUUCUUUUCUCCUUCAAUAAUGAUUUUGCUCCCAUGUUUUGUGAAGCGCUUUCCACGAUUGUUUUCACAACAUGUUCCAUACUUAUAGCUCAAUGCAAUGCAAAAGCAUCCACAUAUUCCAAUAUUAAUUCACUGGUAUGUGGAAUAUCCAACACCUUCUUGGAUUCUAAAAAUUUUGUGCCCAAGUAUCAAUAUCAGGUGCAACAUUUUCGUGUCAGUUUACCUGUCCGCAUUGCUUCACAUAUCCGUACCUUGUCAAGAAAGGUCUAUUUUCCUGACAGAGAUUUCAUUACCGUCAGUGCAAUGUGACCUUCCACAAUAGCCUGUUGCCGCUUGGUGUCCAUUGUGCUGCCACGGACGGAGUGAUCCCUUUUACAGUUUCUUUCUUUUGUUUUCUGUGGAGGACUUGAGAAGAGUCCGGUUUUCUAGAGAAUACUUUGUGCAAAUGAACAGAAGUAACGUUCCUCCCUUCUAUACGAAGUUCACGUUAGGUGAGUACUCGAUCAUGUUAUUAAUUUAAUACUAGAUACUCCUCGCUCCAUAUGGUUGCGUGAGUCCGCGAAACUUGCUGACAUUGGCUUCUAGAGCGAGGAAAUAUGUUAACAAGAAUGAGAAUAUAUAACAAGCAGCUCGUACAACUAAGUGCGCGCCUUAUCACCUAAUCACCUAGCCAAGCAUCUAAUCACGUGGGGCACCUUUUUUUAUUUGUCUCCUCUUUGAGUAUCCUAUGCUUGACUUGAACCUAGUCUUGCGUAACCAAUCCAUCUUCUCCCGGGUUACUUUACAAGUUUUGAACUGAAUCAACACAGGAAUUUUCGUGGAAUUUUUAGGAUUUUUUGAGUAUAUUCCGUGGCUUUAAUUGAAUUAUCUGGAUUUUUCUUUAUACAGGAAAUUACUUCUGAAAAUAAAAAAAAGAAAACCUAAACCUAACCUUUUGGGCCGAGCCCGCACCCGCGAGCCCAACCAUGGCCCAGCUCUCCUUCCCUCCCUCUAGCCUCGCUGGCUUUCCGCUCGAUUCACCGGCUCCGCUGCCCGCCGGACGAAACCGGCCCCUUCUGGAGCUUCGGGACGUCGCCCCGCACACCCGCCGCUACACCCUGUCGUCGUUUGGCCGCCGGAGGAGCCCCGCCCUGUGGAGCCCGAACUAGCCGCCGCCUCCACAGUCCGCCAUCGAUUCCGGCCGGUGCCGUCGUCCUCUACCGUCGGUGAGCACGCCCCCGUGACCCUCUCGACCUCCUCUAUCUCCUUCGCCACCCACCUAAGCCCCUACCUCUCAACCACCGGCGAUUUCAUCUCCCAGUGCGCCGUCCGCCAUGGCCAAAAGCUCCUCGAGCUUUUCCGUGGAGGCCCCUGAAGAAAUCUAUAAUUAUUCCAAGAUCUCUGUGUCUUGGAUCUUUUUUGAAAAGCCCCCUAGAUCUAUUAGGUUCCUUCAACCGAGCCCAAGCCGUGAUCUAUUUCAGAUCGAACCCUGCUCUUUAUCGUAUUCACGGGCACUAUGUGUCUCGGGAAUCUUCCUCGCUAGCCCUUGUUCUCUAGGGUUAAUCGCGAUUAGACCCCUGCAGCUUGAUUAGCUCGUAGAUCUUAUGUUUCAACUCCGUUUAACCUCUUUCUUGUUGCGUUAGAUUCAUAUCAAUUUAAAUUACGCAUUAGAAGCAAUGUUAAUCAUUUUAUCUAUUUUAUAAUUUACUUCAAAUAUUAAUAUGAUUAAGUACUUACAUACUUGUUUUUCUAAUUAAAAUACAAUAGAGUUUAACCCCGUGUUUUCAUGCUAAUGUUAAUUUGUUUAAUGCUUAUCUAAAUAAUUUUUCCAAUUAAUAGCUAACUAGAGUUAUACCUCGGUUUUCAUAGUCAAACUUAAAUUGAUUAAUGUUUAUUCAAUUUGCUUUCUAAACAAAAGUUGCAUAGGUUCUAUCUCGAGUUUUCGUAAUUAAAUGUUAAUUUGGUUAAAUAUAAAUAUAAAUAUAAAUGUGUUUCUGAAUUAUAAUUUGUCUAGUUCAACACGAAUCAUAAAGUUAUGCGCUUAGAUCUUCCCACCUAAGUUAUUUUCCAAAUAAAUGUUUAACUAGUAUAAUUUAUACAUGAACAUUUAUAAAUAAAACUUGAGUAGGAUUUACCUCGGUUUUUGCCAAUAGAGUAAAAUUUGCAUUAUUUCUAAAUUAGGGUAUUUUCUUUCCAAAAUAUCCUUUAGAUAUGUUUUGCUAAUUAAAAUAAAUCCAGCAUAUAGCCUUGUGUGCUCUCAUAAUUGUUUGAUAGCCGUCUUUGUUAGCUUUAGCUUUGUAUCUCUUUUGUAGAUCUAGUCUUCUGUAAAGCUUUAGAUCUUUGUAGUUCCAGAUCAAGCUCACACUCAGUUUCUUUCACAAAUCUAGCCAAGCCUUUCCUUUUCAAGCACGGUUUGUGUGCUUUAGUGAUCCAAAUAGUUUAUCUUAGAGUUUUUGUUCUGCCUAAUAGUUUUGGUCUUCAUGAGUAGUUUGGUGCUGCUCAUUUCCCUAGCUAGUAUAUUUUUUAUCAUGCUUGUUUCCUGUUCCUCUUAGAAACCUGUUUAUCAAAAGCUAGCUCAUAAUUACUAUGUCCUAGUUGUCUCUUUGUGAGUCAGCUAUGUUCGUUAUGGCCAAACCUUUCGCAGCCAUCUCUUUAGAGCUAAUCUUGUUAGUUGUGUCUCUAUCGACCAGUUCAGUUUAGCUUUGACUAGUUUGUUAUCUUUGCAACCUAGUUGCUCUCUUUGUAGACUAGUUUUCCCUAAACCAUAGUUUAAGGUUUUCUUCUGCGCUCUAAAGUCUGAUUUUGAUGUUCUUGUUCACUUAACCAUAACUUAUGCGAUAGCAAUGUGUAUUGCCUGUUGCUUGUCUUUAAAAUCAAAAUUGAAUGUCAAUUUGACUAAUACUUAUUAAACCAGUUUUCUAAUUAAAAGUUUACUAGUUAUACAAUAUGGGAUUUCAUAUAAAAUUUUAAACUUUACUAAUUCUUAUUCAAUUAGUUUUCUACAUAAAAAUUUAUUAGGUUCUAUCCCGGAUUUCAUAAACUAAGAUUUAAUUAAUUAAUUCCUAUUUAUAACUAGCUUUUCUAAAUAAAAUAUACCUAGUGUCAUACAUCAUUUUCCAUGAAUGAAGUUAAUAUGCUUAAUGGUAUUAUAAACACCUUUUUCACAUUAAUAUGUUUAGCUGAACACAAAAUACAAAGUUAUUCGAUUAGAUGUCUUAUACAUGCUCUGUGUUUCUAAAGUUAACUGUUAAAUUGGUGUAACUUGUACUUCAAUAUUUACAAAUAAAAUAUGAUUAAAUUUAUCACGUUUUCAAUGUUCAAAUAUACCUUCUGUUAAUUCCAACUAAGGAUAUUUCUCUAAAAUAUCUACGCAUUGUUUUUUAUUAAAAUCUAAAGUUAACUGUUAAAUUGGUGUAACUUGUACUUCAAUAUUUACAAAUAAAAUAUGAUUAAAUUUAUCACAUUUUCGAUGUUCAAAUAUACCUUCUGUUAAUUCCAACUAAGGAUAUUUCUCUAAAAUAUCUACGCAUUGUUUUUUAUUAAAAUAUAUCAAGCAUAUAGUCUUUUUAUUUCUUUGAUAAUUCAAACCUCUCGAUAGCUUUGUCUUUUCAUCCAUAGUUUCAUUUUCAGCAUUUUUUCUACGUUGCGAUCUUAGAAUCAAGCCCUAUCCUUUGGUAUGAUCUUUUAAAGCUUUUCUUUUGAUUGGUGUACUGUUCUUAGUUGUGCUUGUUUGUUUGCUCUGUAUGGUUGUGCCGAUGAUUGUUUUGAGUAGAAGGAUUGCUAUUCGAAAGCUUUGAAGAUUAAGAGUUUCAAGAGAGCAAGAGCUGAAGAGCAGUAAGAGUAAUUUUUCAUUGGAGAAAGGCAAGUGUCCCCAACCUUCCUUCUAUCUAUGAUUAUUUAAAUACCAUGCAUGCAUUAAUUGGAACAUUGAGCGACCACCCAAGAAAACAAUGCAACCACAAGAACUACAUGGCUCUAGUCUUGGCUAAUUAAUUAGAUACUCUUGUUUGAAGCGGUCUUACCGAAAGGGCAAGAGGGGUGACGGCAGAUGGGGUAUAACCCAACCCUCAGACCGAUAUGCUCAAUGGUAGCUUCGCAGUCUUGAGAGAGGUUUACGCUCUGCUACUUAUCCGGAAACCUUAGCUGGCUACAUCUUAUUAGGGAAUCUUUGUAGAGGUCUUAUAGCUUCCCUAUGCAGUCACAUCUCGGUAGUGUGAUGAGUGCUUGAUUAGCACAGUAUGGUUGGGUCUAAAGUUUUUCUGAACUUCUACGCAACUUGUGGUGAAAAUGUACAACUUCUGCAGAGUGUUAUAUCAACUGUGCUCACAGUCAAGAGUGGCCUGAACCCUCACAUGAUUAAUAAACUUGAAGAUAUACUUAAAUCAUUAUUUUGGUUAUUUUUUGUGUUCUUGCUGAGUAGCAACCAUAAGUGUACUCACCCUUGCUAACCGCUGCUCAGAAUAAGGUGUCUGAAGUUAUUGAAGAUGAUGCUAGGCGUACGCAGCCCCAAUUGAUUGCUUGUGAAGUCUGAAGUCUUUGUUUUCAGGAUUAAGCUGUAUAUCUCUGAUAGACUCGUAAAUUUUUAUUUAUAUUCCUUUACGUGAUACUGUUACUGUUAUUCACUGAUAAUGUCACUAUAUGUAUGAUACUUGAUUAUGGGAUACAUAGGUAGCACUUGGUUUUGUUUUAAAAUCUGGUGUGACAUCGGUUCACAUCAAGCGUGACGAUAAGAAUUUAUAUAAAUGUUGCCCAACCACCCGAAUAUCAUAAAUUGAAGGUAUGUUUGAUUUUUUUACCAUACUUACCUGUGGCUAAACUCCAAAUGCUAGUUUUAGAAUAGUCGUAAUGGAAUUGCCAAGGGCGAGAGAAGAAUUGUUACUGUUGUGCCAUAACCCACAUUGGCUUAUGUGUCUAGACAGCUUAGAUGUCCAGCGUGGCCUAGCGCAUUUUAUGUAAACAUUUACAGGUGCACUGCUGCUGAUUUUAUGUAAUUAUUAAACCUAAUGCAGUUUCAUCAUGGCAAGAUGCAUUAAAGAAAGAAAGGGAAAGACAAAAUGAAAUACACCAAAGAGUUCAGUUCCAGCUGAAAACGUGUCUGCCCCAAGCGAGCUCCUAUACAUCUUCUGUGUUGAUUGCACAGCCCAUAAGGCCCAGCAAUUUACAGCCCAAGCAGCAAUAAUACACAUGCGCCGCAGGCCCCAAUACGAAUAUGUAAGUAUGGGGAAAAAAAAAGAUACGUACCACCUAAGCAGCAUGCCACGGCAGGCCCCAUCAGCCACCAGCCGAAGAUACGUGUUGCUUUACUAUUUUUAUUCAUAUUCCAUUCUACAGUAAUCCUCCUAAUACUAUAUUCAACAUUUUGUGCGAAUUGAUUCAAACAUUCAAAAUAACUAGUUAAACAUUUUGAUAAAACGAAUGCAAAAUUUUCUUAAAAUGUUGAAAUAGUAUAUUAAAAAUGUUGAAUAAAAUGUUGGAAUAGUGUAUUAAAUUUCAACAUUUUUUAUAAAUGCAAAUUCAACAUUUUUAAUAAAAUAUUGAAAUAGCGUAUUAAAAAUGUUGAAAUAGAAUUUAUGAUCUAAUAUAUUCAAAUAAUAAACUAAUAUAGUUAACAUUUUAAAUAAUAGAUUCAUCAUUUCUUUGCAUACUUAACUGUUGGGUAGUUCAUCAAAAAUUUUGAAUUUUAAAAAUUAGCAAAGAUAUAUUCGGAUAUCAUUAUGUUCGAUUAAUUCUCAAUAAUGUAGUGGUUUAAACGAUUAAAAAGGGUUCCCAGUUUGGGAGAAAAAUGCAUUUGAAGUUUGGAAUCCAAAAGCACCAUGCAACCACCACAAGAACCACACUGUCUGUCCUCCCCAUCAGCCGUGCAUGUUCUUUUCUACCUGGAGCCAUGGUGCGCCUGGGCUGUUGCUGUCAAUUGUGGUGGAAAAGGCAAAAUCAUUCCUACAGCUUGGAGAGUACGACACAAGUCGCGAGCAUUGGAAGAUGCUUAAGAAAAAAUUCUUCAAGAAGACACAUAGGAUUUCCAGCCCGGUCCAGCCUAGAAGAGUUUGACCCGCCCAUCAGUCUGUUCAGGCCUAUUAACUUCAGGUCCAAUUAGAAUGUGGGUCGUCCAUUCUCUCUCCUCUCAUAAAAAGACUCGUUCUGUCCUGCGUAACCCAUGGGCCGGCCCAGCUUCCUGUCGCGCUCGUGCCCAGAGCUCGCAGACGGAGGACGGGGAGCCACCAGUGUGGCACUCCGAGGGGCGACCGCGGCGGCGGGGGCACUGAGCAGUGAGCACAGCACAACCCAAUGCUAGCGCAUCGGAGAAGGGCGCGGAUGCCUCGACGAUCUCCGAAGGGUCCCACUGUAAUCUCGUCCGCCAUGUCCGACGGCCUCCUGCAGCCGCGUGCGUUCAAGCAGGUGAGAUCCCACAACUAAGGUUCGUGGCCACGGUCGGAUUCCCGGCCUGAAAGAAACUUAUCAGCCACCUCGUUCUGUUCAUGCUUCUUUGUGCUCUCCAAAUUAAAGUUUCCCCAAUUUUGAUGUAAAUUUCGGUCACGCGCAUGUGGUGUGGCAGUCACCGGAGUGUUGGCAAUACACAUAAAAUCGACAAAUACAUAGACAUCGUAGAGUCUUGGCACUAUGCAUAACUAAUAUCUUACGAAUUUCCCUGUAUGGUCUAACAAGUGCCCUGAAAGGUUGUAACAAGUCUAAGAUGGUGUAGCUUAGUCUCCACUUACCGUCCAUAUCGACCGAGUCUGAGGAGGACGUUACUUCUUCCAGAUGCUGACAAACAACUGCAGAGCACUCCGUCCAUCCUUCUUACUCGCAUUGAGCCCCUUCUCUCCUUCUCGAGACCAAUUCCAAGAGGCAAAACUUUUGGAAACUUUGGAGCAAUGGCAUGGUGCUUAAGUGUAUUAUUGUCAUGCGGUGCAGAACCUGAUUCCUUUCACCCAUUAUUAUUGUCAUGCGGUUGAUUCUGAAAACUUUAUUUUGCUCAGGUUCUAUUUCCAUGUUGCAGAGCCUCCAUGCCUGGUCGAGGCACUUUGUCCUCAACAUCAACUAAAGGUGUGUUUGGAUGGAGGGACGUGACGGAAUGGGAUCAUCCCACUUUUACAUAUGUUUGGUUGGAGGUUAGGUGGGACGAGGACGGCAUCAAAGUAAAAUAUUCUUCGAAAAAGAGGGAUGAAACAGUUCCUCCAAAUCGGUCGGACCAAUCCGUCCCACUUCGAUGACACAAACACCGUGACGAGCAAGACGACACAAACGCCGUGACGACACAAACGCCGUGACGAGCGAGCGCCUCGAGCGCAAGCGCACGUCCAACUCCAGCGCAGCGCCACGAGAAAAGCCAGGCGGCAGGGGCACGUAGCUCGGGCGGUAGAGGAAUGGAGCUGGGUGGUGGGGAGGGUGGAGCCCGGUGGCGCAGGGGACCGCCAGGAGGAGACGGGGAUCGACCUCCUGGGUUCCAGUUCCACCCCACCAACGAGGAGCUGGUGGUGCAGUACCUCCGUCGGAAGGCCCUGUCCCGCCUGCUGCCCGCUGCCAUCAUCCCCGUCAACCACGACCAUGCCAGGCUGGAUCCAUGGGACCUCCCUGGUGCGUCCGCACGCUCUCUUUCAGAUUAAUGGGAAGGAAGGCUGAGACAGAGUGUUCUGAUGUUCCUUGAUUGAUUGGUGUGUGUACAGGAGCGAGCGAAGGGGAGGGGUACUUCUUCAGCGCGCCUUCGUCGAGCAGCGGCCGCUGGAGGAGAGCUAGCAGCGGGUACUGGAAGGCCACGGGGAAGGAGAAGCCUGUGUUCCUGCAGUGCGGCGGCAAGCGGCAGCUGCUCGUGAGCGUCAAGACGGCGCUCGCCUUCCAUCGCAGCGAGCCGUCAUCGUCACAGGGGACCGCCGGUAGGAGACGGGAGGGCGAAGCCUGGCGGCGCGGGGUGGUGUGGGCCUCGGCUGCGGUGGCGCGGGUGAUUGCGCCGCGACACGCCGAGAAGGGGAUGAGGCUCUGAGGCUAAUAGUGAGCUCCGCGGCUAACGGAAUACAAACACCGUUUAUUUCAUCGGUCCUCAUCCCUCAAACCAAACAACGAAAUUAGGAUGUUCCCAUCUUUCCAACCAAACAUUAAGUGGGAUCAUCUCAUCCUAAAAAAGAGGAUGAUCCUAUCUCAUCCCACCUGUCCCUCCAUCCAAAUACACCCUAACUGCGCCGGUCGAUGUGAUUGCGACUGCUUGUUCUUACCGGACUGGUUAUAUGAAGCUGGCAUCAGAAGUAACCAGGUUCUGAUCCUCCCUGUGUUGAGUUCCAGCUAAUAUCACUCUAGGAUCAGUGCAAUGAAUGGUUUCUGUGAAAUCCAUCUUCAUCUCCUUUCGUUCCAAAAAACUAUCCUGUUAUCUAAGGAAGCUCCCAACUGCAAUCCACUCCUCCGUAUUUUUUGGGUCCCGGAAGAUAGAACUCUUUUUCAGUGUACAUUCUAUUUUCGGUAUAAUUAACAUACAUUAUGAAAAUCUAAGAAUGAGGCCCCCUCCCCCCGAGAGAGGCGACGCCCAUGGUGACACCCCGCCCGUACACCAACCUCGUCCCAGACCCCCCACCCCAGUAACCUCCACCAACCAACCGGCCCCAGAUCCGAGCGCAUCUGUAGAAGACCUCCAAGCUCGUACUAGCCGUGUCGUGAGGGAGCAAGAGAAGGAGGAGAUCGAGUUCACUCAGAAGAAGGUCCAAGAUCCAGAUCCCAUCGGUGAGGUCGCAGUACAGGAGCAGUUAUCGCCGGAAGAUCGACAGUCUGGCCAAGCUAUGCAUACCCAGAGGCUAGAGGCAGCGACGGAGGCCAGCAUCCUCCCGGAUCUCGUCCAAGAUUUGCGAGCACAAGCUAGCCUUAAGUCGACGCGGCUGGAAACAGGCAUUGAAUGCGACGAGGCAAAUCACACGCCAAGCACAAGCAUGCCAGUGAGGCUGGCGAGGGGCUCGACGAGGAAGAAGAAGACCGGUGGUUCGCGCCCUCCUCCAACGGCUUGUCAAGCAAGAGAAUCCACAAAAUCUGCCGCACAGCAGAGUUUUUGAGCCUGUAAAGCAGAAGCUCACCAGCGCAGUGAAAGGAAAAGGAGCAGGGACAGAACGGCAACCAUGCCAGCCAUCAAAUCUGCAUCAGAGAAGGGAGCAGAGCAUUUCAACAAGCAGCUGGCAAAAGCAGCGGGGUCAAUGCUUGAGAGAAGGGGAGGUGGGUAACCUUCAAUUCCCCUCUCCUCCAUUCAGGUCCAGCUCAAGGAAUAGACAGCAAUGACAUCAGCAACAAGAUCCGACCAUGGACAAAUCUUCAAGGACACAACACACUGCACUGCAGUCAGAGACCUGGAUUGAUGAACACGGCUUCCAAGUGGUAAAACCAGCAUAUUGGUGGCGAAGGACUGGAGACCAUUCAAGAGAAGAUUCAAGGCUUCACCAACCGGACAUGGAAGAGCAUAGGAGGAAGAGGUACAGGGAACAUGUCAGGGGAAAAUGUCUCAAUUGUUUCUCCACAGAACACAAAGCAGCUGAAUGCAAGCAACGCACUAAAUGCUGAAGAUGUCUGCAGACGGGGCACAAGGCCCUCGCCUGCCCAACCUGGAGAGACCAUGUUAAAAGGCCACCACCGGAGACUUAUUCUCAUUCUUGUCAAACCAAGACCAUCCCCACCACCACAUCUUUCCCCCCACUCCUGCUGGCCGGACCGUCUGCACGGCCGGCCGUUUCUACCUUCGGGCAGCAAAGGGCGAGGCAGCUCCCAUGGCGACAUACCCGGGUGACCCGCGUGCCCGCCCAGAAUACGCGGUCUGUGCGCUCUCAGCGACUGGGCACAUCAAGCGCAAGCAGGAGUCCAUGAUCGGCAAGACAGCAGUCUGUUGGCUCAACGGCAACAGCCACGACAUGGAGAUAUGCCACGUCGCUGAUGCCCUUGAAGAACAGCUCCUCAUCAGCCGCCAUGAAGUGCGCGUCGUCAAGCACUUCCCCGAGCAAUAUCUGGUGUUCUUCACCGACUGCCGAGCAUACCAUCGCGCUAUCGACCAGUGGGGCGUCCACAAAUGAGGAAGAGUCUUCAACUUCGAGCCAUGGACAGAGCGUUGGAACGUCGUGGAGAGCAAGCUAGAGUUCCGGGUCAGGCUGCGCAUUGAGGGAGUGGCGCUGCUGCAUGCCUGGUCCGAGGAGGUGGCGGCCCAAGUCAUUGGCCAAUACUGCGCCAUCCACUACGUUGAGGAACACGCACGCCAGUAGGAGUGCACACGAACCUACGAUCUGUGGGCGUGGUGCUCCAACCCCCAAGAUCCCUAAGAAGUUGCUGCUCACCAUCACCGACCCUGACAGGGAGCAGCCGGCAAUCGACAUCCCGCGGCAGCUCGUCAACCCCAACCACGACACACCUGAUGACAUCAAGGGCGCGUACAACUACAAGCUGCACAUCCACCUCGACGUGGUCGAGGACCUCUCCUUCCUCAGAGGGAGGGACGGAGGGGACGGAUAGCACAACAGGAGGCCAUGCCGUGAGUUCCUCUGAAACUACGGGGCACCGGACUCCCAGGGGGAACGGCGCAGUGACCAGUACCAUGAUAACUUUGCAAGCCGCGACUACCACCCACGCCGUGACAGAGACGACCAUGACGACCAGCACCAUCGAGGCACAAGGCGCCACCGUAGUGCCUCUUCCUGGGGGCGAGUGACGCGCUGCCGCGGAGCCAUGGAGGACUGCUACAGCUCCACACACCGCAACGGCAACUAGGUACACUCGGGUCGCCACAACAGAGUCCAGAACAACACAGCUGGCCAGGACAACAAAAGCCAUUCUCUGAUGGCUUGGCGCAAGAAGAGCACAGGAGGCAAGAAGGUCUCCUUUGCAAAUCCUCUGGUGCAGAUCAUGGGUGAGUUUGAGUUUGACCCUAGUUGCUAUCAUUUCCCAGCGCCUUCGAAUUCUGACUUGGUGGGUGAGUGGUUUGACCCCAUGAGGGAAGAGAUGCUCAUCCCUAAUAUUUUUGUAGGCGACCCAGGCAAGGAGGAUCGUAUCCUGAACAUGCUGCACUCGGCAGUGGGAUGGACCCCGGUUGCUUCACCAAGGAGUGCUCCGGAGGAAGGCGAGCUGCCGGAGCCAGUGACCGAGCUGCAGGAACCAGAAGGGCACAACAUGCAUUCGCCAAUCACCAACAAGCAGUCACAGGUCUGUCUGGUUUCUACUCCUCUAGAUGCAUCAGUGAGGCACACACAACAAGCUCAAAUUUCAGAAACUGUCAACACGGAAAACACUAGCUCAUCGCCUUUUGCACAGUACACCAACAGAGUAGAGCCCCCUAAUGUCAACAGAGAAGAGGUGAACGGUAGCAACAUCAUUAGUGAAAAUAACAACAACAUAGCAGCACCGCACAACACCGUAGCUACUUCAGUUAUAUGCAAUGAUCAAGAUAUGGUAGCCACUUCUGUUGAAAAUGGGGAGGGUAACAUAGAGGUCGGUGAGGGUCCUAAAUUUGACGACCUUUCAGCUUUCAUUGAUUUCAUAGCCUGCAAGCCAAAUGCGCAUAUUGUUUGCACUCCACCCAGAGCAAACCCCAUCACAUCAGGCAACGAAAAUCAGGGCCAAAACACAGCACAAAGAAAAAGCUCUAGGCUAGCGGAUAAAGCUAAGCUAAACCCGGGCAAGGACAGCACCCAACUUGCCCAAAAAGUCCUUAGUAAUAAGCUUGGGGAGCUGUCUCCAAAGUCGAAAGUUAAUUCUAAUGCUGAGGUUGAUCAUUUGGUGCAGCACCUUCCAAAGCCACUGACGGACCUGAAGAUGAUGGCCAUCAAAACCUUGGUGGAGCAGGGAAACCAGGCCAAGCACAAGAACAUGAAGAGGAGCAAGAUCACUCCAUCAGCAAUUGGAGAGAUGGAGGCCCAAGUGGCCUGAGGGAUAACCAUCCAGGGAGGAAGCGUUUCAGUGGUUUUUACUUCCCUAAUGUUAGGCAUAAAAUAAUUGAACUUAAACUUAGUCGAAUCUGUAUCUUUAAAUGGGCCAACAAUUAGGCCCUGCGACUUCAGCGGUGCUUUGUAUCGGGCAGAAUGCCCAGCAUCGACGUCCACGAAGCUCGCCAAGCUCUCCUCGAGGCAAUGCUUUAGUGAAAAAACAAGUCUCCUGGGACUUCUCAGCUUUGUAUCAGGACCAUGCGCCAAGCAAUGUUGUCCGCAGGUUGACGCUUUCCAUGAGUCUACUAUUAGUUGUGCACCUCUGAUCCAUGUCACAAAAGGAUUGUAAUGUGUUGUGUUGGAAUGUUCGUGGGCUUAAUGUGGCAGCUAGGAGAGCAAGUGUACGAAGCACGAUUCGUUCAUCCGGAGCAACGAUAGUAUGUCUGCAAGAGACCAAAAUAGCACACUGGACAUCUAAACUCGUGGCAGACACCCUGGGCAAUAAUUUUGCAAAGAACUUUGCUGUGUUACCAGCCCUUGGCACAAGAGGAGGCAUCCUUAUAGCGACAACGGUGAACCAUUUUGAUAUGCACAACAUCCACACCAUCGAUCACACAGUAUCCACAACAAUCACUAUGAAAGUAGACAAAAAAAUCUUGGACACUCACUUGCGUCUAUGGCCCUCAGGAUGAACACGACAAGCUACUAUUUCUAGAGGAACUGAAGAGCCUAAAAGAACAAGUUCUCACGGAAUGGCUCAUAGUUUGUGACUUUAACCUUAUAUAUAAGGCAGAGGACAAAAGUAACAAUAGGCUCAACAGAAACUUGAUGAAUCGUUUCAAGCAGGCAAUUGACAAGAACCAACUGAUGGAAAUCGACCUCCACGGAUGGUGUUUCACCUGGAGCAACGAACAAGAUCACCCAACAUUCACAAGGAUAGACAGGUUCUUCGGUACACCAGAAUGGCAUCUUCUCUUCCCAAACCUUGACUUGCAAGCCUUGCCAACCAUGGGCUCAGAUCACUGCCCAUUAUUUUUAACAGGUGACGUAGAGAGACAGAACUAUAUGGGCUUUCACUUUGAAUCUUAUUGGGUGAACAUGCCAGGUUUCUUAGAGACUAUACAAGAAGUCUGGAGCCAGCCAGUGCAUACUCAAGAUGCCAUACUGCGUAUGCAUGUCAAACUCAUUCGCACAGCAAAGGCACUUAAAUUGUGGAAGAGAAAAAACCUUGGCAAUCUAGCCCUUAGACUGGCAAUAGCCAAUGAGGUGCUAUGCUUCUUGGAUGCAGCUCAGGAACAAAGAGCCCUUACAACAGAGGAAUUAGAAUUUCAACGAUACCUAAAAGCGAAGUCGGUGGGCUUAGCAACGGUUCAGAGAGCCCGUGCAAGACAACACUCCCGGCUCACAUGGAUGCGAAAAGGAGACGCAUGCACACGCCUGUUUAUGCUGCAUGCUAACAACACAAGAAGAAAUCUACACAUCCCGUCCUUAACCACCGUAAAUGGAACAACAAUCAACAACCACCAGCAAAAAGAGGAAAUAAUAUACGAUCACUUCGUAAACCUGUUGGGCAAAACACAAGAGAGAUCCCUCAGCCUAAACUGGACAAAUCUCGGAUGUCAUCCACAUGACUUGACCGACCUGGAAGCACCAUUUGAGGCAGAAGAAAUAAAAAAGGUCGUCAUGCACUUACCAGCAUAAAAAUCACCUAGCCCGGAUGGAUUUAUUGGUCUAUUCUAUAAGAAGUGUUGGGAUGUGAUCGGAGAGGAUCUGAUCCAAGCUCUUCAUGCCUUCCACUCCCUUAGGACCAGACGCAUGGAAUUGAUUAACGAGGCCAAUAUCAUUUUGCUGCCAAAGAAAGAAGGAGCAACCAUGGUUGCAGAUUUCCGACCCAUCACUCUCAUUAAUAGUCUAGCCAAGAUCAUAACAAAGGUGCUAGUAGAUAGGUUGGCUCCGAGACUGAAUGAGCUAGUUUCCGGAUGUCAGAACACCUUCAUCAAAAAAAGAUGCAUUCAUGACAACUUCGUCUACGUACAUAGUGUAAUCAAGGCGUUGCACAAAUCAAAGAGACCGGCACUCUUUGUAAAACUCGAUAUCUCAAAAGCAUUUCAUUCGCUUAAUUGGGUAUUUCUCAUCGAAACAUUACAGGCCCUAGGUUUUGGCCAAAAAUGAGAGAUUGGAUUACAACACUAUUAGCCACCUCAUCAUCCAAGGUGCUACUUAACGGGAGACCUAGGAAAAAAUUGAAGCAUGCUAGAGGCCUCCGUCAAGGAGACCCACUAUCACCCAUGUUGUUCAUCCUUGCCAUUGACCCACUCCAUAAAAUGGUGGAACUAGUAGCCGGCAACAACAUCAUAAGACCAAUCCUCCCCAGAGCGGCAAAGCUACGAUGCUCCCUUUAUGCAAAUGAUGCAGCUAUUUUUACAAACCCAGACAGAGAAGAACUACAACGUAUCGGACAGUUGUUACAUAUCUUUGGAGAAUGUUCAGGACUCAAGAUAAAUAUGACUAAAACGGAAAUAUUCCCUAUCCGGUGUACCAAUGAAACCAUCUUAGAAGCUCUAGAGCACUUCUCGGGAAAAAUUUCCUCCUUCCCUGGAAAAUAUUUGGGCUUGCCUCUUCACAUGCGCAAACUCCGAAGGGUGGACGUCCAACCAUUAAUUGACAAGAUCGGUGGAAGGCUUCCUGGAUGGAAAGGUAAAAUGUUAUCGUCGGCCGGGAGAGAAACACUGGUGAAGAGUGUAUUAACAUCACAACCAAUAUAUCACCUCACAGUUUUCCCUACUCAAAAAUGGCUGAUCAAACAGAUUGAUCACCUACGUCGCAGUUUCCUUUAGAAAGGAGAGGAACCAAAAAAGGUCAAUGGAGGACACUACUUGAUUAAAUGGCCAACAGUAUGCACGCCUAAGGACAUGGGAGGGCUCGGGAUUCUCAACCUCGAGAGACUUGCGAGGGCUCUAAGAAUGAGAUGGUGCUGGUUCCAGUGGAAGUAUAGUGAGAUACCUUGGGUAGGACUUGAUAUCCCGUGCGAUAAGAAUGAUAAAGACCUAUUCUAUGCGUCAACAGUAGUAAUGGUGGGCAAUGGAAAGAAAGCAAACUACUGGAUAGCGCAGGUUUACCCACUCAUGACAGGAGAGGAAAUCAGAGAGUAUGUGCAGCUAUUUGAGGAAAUAAACAUGCUACAACGUGACACUAAUGCGGAGGAUGAAAUAUCAUGGAGGUGGACGCAGGACGGGGAGUAUACCACAAAGAGUGUAUACCGUAUACAAUUCCAAGGCCAACUGAAGAAGUUGAGUAUCACCUCAAUAUGGAAAGCUAGAACUGAACCAAAAUGCCGGAUCUUUGCCUGGCUUCUCCUGCAUAGGAAAAUCUUAAUAGCAGACAACUUGGAAAAGCUGGGGUGGCCUAAUGACCCUCAGUGCAAGCUAUGCAAUUCGGACCUGGAGACACCCACACACCUGUGCAAAGACUGCCCUUACACAACGGCAGUCUGUGACCGGCUGCAGGGAUGGUUUUCUCUUAACCACUUACCCCCAGGCAACACAUCGCUUUCGAUCCACAAGUGGUGGAAGAAAUGUAGGAGCAUGAUCGACAAAAGGAACAAAACUUUCUUUGACGGCCUCAUCAUAUAUUUCUAGUGGAACAUUUGGAAAGAGCGCAACAGACGAAUCUUUAAUCACGAAACCAAACUGGUGGAAGACGUCGCGUUCUCUAUCAAAGAAGACAUCCAACAGUUCCAGUUCGCCAAUAAAACGCAUGAAGCUCCCGCGGUUGAGCCAACCUAGCAGCAUUUUUCAUCUUUUAAAGUGGGGUUUUGAAGUGGAGCUCGUAGUUGUUGUUGUUUUUUCCUUUCUCCCUAGGGAGUGCUAUUUAGUUGGUGCAGUGAGAGCCAUGUACAUAGAGUUAUUUUUUGUUUUAUUUUCUUGUCUUGUUUGGUUUUACCUCUUCUAAUAAAAAUUCGGCAAAGCUUUUGCCGUCCGUUAAAGAAAACAUACAUUAUGAUAAUUUUAUAAAUUUUAAUGGAGACGGGGAUGCAUAUGAUAUACUCCCUCCAUCUAUAUUUAUAAGGCGUGGAAGGACUUAGCACGGUCUUCCAAAUAACACUUUGACCCUUUAUUUAUCUUAUAUUAUAGUAUUUAUAGUUAUAAACUUAUAAUCAUCGUAGAGUAUAUUUGAUUACGAAUCCAACUAUAUAAAUUUUGAAUUAUAAAAAUAAAAAAAUAAUAGUUAAAUUAUUGGUCAAAAAUUGUAAAGUUUAAAUCUUGAUAUGCGUGUGCGCCUUAUAAAUAAAAACGGAUGGAGCAUAUCCCCCAAAUGUUUCUAUAUAUUGUGGAACUCAACUUAACUGAAGGAUAUAAAGACAAGAUUUUCAUAGGAAAUCGAACCAUUUUAAGAGGCGGUUCACACGAGGGAUCUCCUAGGAUAAUGCUAUUUGUGCACAACCAUACCCUUACAUGAACCGUCUCUGGAACCAGAAAUCAUUCCGUUUUCACUUACGGCAGACACGAGUGUAAUGGAGCCGUACAGGUGCAGGAGGGCGAUCCCCAUCUAGACUUUAAUUUGGCCAUGUGGAAGUAGGACACACUAUCUCUAGCACCAGCACCAUGUGUAGUUGGUCCCCCGUGUAUGCAUCAAUGCUGCACCUAUCGACUGUGACCUGGCACCUAACCGGACAGUUGGUUACGGUAGCCAUUCUUGUGAUUUCACAACUCAAAGGCAUCGUUUAUCCUCCCUCUCCCUGCUGCUGCUCAUCCUCCCUUCACUGAACUACUUGUUGCAAUCAGAAGAAAGAUCAAUCGAGUUGAAGAGACAGAUCGGAAGCUAGUCAACGUUGAUUGGUUCGUGAGUGAUGUUAUGAUCCGUCCCUCUGUUAUAACCAUCCAACCCAGCUGGUGCAGAAGCUAAUUACCUGAAGCAAUAUAUUUGUAGAAACGAAUAGUAAUAUAUUUAUAGAAACGAAUAGUACUGGUUAGUUCACUUAUUUCUUUGCUCAAACUUAGCCGUUUGGCAAGGCUUCGUCUUGGGUUAAAAUGACUCCGGAGCUUCGGCUCAUCAAGCAACUUUUUAUAUCUCUAGCUCAUCCUAUUAAAAAAUAUUUGGUAAAAUGAUUUCUCCAAAUUAGUUUGAGGUUGAUAGAAAGAUAAAAUGUCCAAAAUACUCUAAGAACAUAUAUUUUUCAUUCCAUUUUUUUCUUUUCCAUCAUUCUUUUAUUCCAUCUACUAUUUUUUCCUUACGCUUUUUUUUUUGGCCAGGUGUGCCUUAUCCGCUUCGGCCCUUCCCACCAUGCCUUUUUUCCUAUUUCUUUUCUUGCCGAGCGUGCUUUAUCUCCUUCGUUGACUUCAGUAGCACCUGUUGCGUUCGAUGCUCGCGCGGCAGCCCGGGGACCUCGACCUCGCCCGCCUAGGAGCUCCAGCAGCCGGUCCGCUCCGCCGCCGGUGCGGCAACCACGCCGUCGUCAGACCGCCUCACGCGGCCACCGGUCGUCCCCGCGAUACACCGCCGCCGGUGCGCCGUGCGCGGCGGCGCUGUCCCGCCGCUCCGCCGCCUACCGUCGGCCUGCGCCACCACCAGCGCACCGGCAGCACCGCGAGCUGCCGCGCCGCCCCGACAUUGGUCCUUCCCGAGCCCGGUGUCGUCACCAGCGUCGCGGAGAGAAGGUAAGGGGAGUGGCAAUUUUGCAGUAGUUUUGACGAACUUGAGGAGCAAAGUUAAAGCACAUGGCUGUGGGGAAGAGGAGAAGCGGGGAAAGCUACUUUUUAUGACUCACGCUGCUCAGUUCGAUUUGAUGAUUGGCUUCACACCGGCUUUUCCUGUGAAGCCCUUUUCAACUCACCCGUUUGGUAGGGUUUGGCCUGAAGCCGGUUCAUAAGCGGGAGCCAGAGCCCUACCAAAACUAUUUGGUGAGACUAUGAGCCGUUUGGUUCUCUGACUUAUUUUUAGCACAUGUCACAUUGAAUGUUUAGAUACUAAUUAGGAGUAUUUAACGUAGACUAUUUACAAAACCAUUACACAGCUGGAGGCUAAAUGGCGAGACGAAUCUAUUAAGCCUAAUUAGUCCAUAAUUUGACAAUGUGAUGCUACAUUAAAUAUUUGCUAAUGAUGGAUUAAUUAGGCUUACUAGAUUCAUCUCGUCGUUUAGCCUCUAUCUGUGCAAUUAGUUUUAUAAUUAACUCAUAUUUAGUCCUCCUAAUUAGCCUCCAAAUAUUCGAUGUGACACGGACUAAACUUUAGCUCAAGGAACCAAACCUCGCAUAAAUUAGCUGCUUAUUCUGCUGGUUGCAUGCAGGAGAUCGAGCUGCGGGCACACGGCCGGAUCGGAGGAGGACAUAUCAGCCGGGUUCCUGUUGGUUGUGUACUUGUGUUCCUGCCAGCGGAGAAGCAACCAUGGCCGAGUUAGUGAUCGGGCCACUGAUCUCCAUGGUGAAGGAGAAGGCAUCCAGCUACCUGCUGGACCAAUACAAGGUGAUGGAAGGCAUGGAGGAGCAGCGCAAGACCCUGGAGCGCAUGCUGCCAGCAAUCCUGCAAAUCAUCCAGGAUGCGGAGGAGAAAGGAGCCUCCCGACGAGGAGUAGCAGCUUGGCUCAAACACCUCAAGACAGCAGCCUAUGAGGCCAACGACGUCUUUGAUGAGUUCAAGUACGAGGCGCUUCGGCGAGAAGCCAAGAAGAAGGGCCACCACAGCAAGCUUGGAGUGGAGGUAGCAAGACUCCUAGUCCCCACUCGUAAUCCCAUUGUAUUCCGUUACAGGAUGGGCAAGAAGCUACGCAAGAUUGUGCAGACCAUCGAGGCCUUGGUCACCGAGAUGAAUACAUUUGGUUUCAGGCACUUGCAGCAAGCAAAGCCAUCAAGGCAGUGGCGACAGACAGAUUCCAUAAUCAUUGACUCCGACAGAGAUAUUCUUAGCAGAUCUAGAGAUCGGGAGAAGAAGAAAAUCGUGGGGAUGCUCCUUGAUCAAGCUAGCAACAUGGAUCUCAUGGUUCUUCCAAUUGUUGGGAUGGGUGGGAUGGGCAAGACCACCUUUGUGCAACUCAUUUACAAUGACCCUGCAAUCGAGAAGCACUUUGAGUUUCGGAGGUGGUGCUGCGUAUCAGAUGAUUUCGAUGCAAGUACCAUUGCAAGCAACAUCUGCCAGACCAACGAGAAAGGACGUGAAAAAUCAUUGCAGGAGCUCCAGAGUAUAAUAAUUGGAAAAAGGUACCUCAUUGCGCUAGCUGAUGUAUGGAAUCGGGAUGCUGCUAAGUGGGGAAAACUAAAGACCUGCCUUAAGCAAGGUGGCAAGGGCAGUGCAGUACUAACAACAACUUGUGAUGCAGAAGUGGCUUGCAUUAUGACCAUGGGUGUAGCUGAAGCCCAUAAUAUCGAGAAUCUGAGUGACAAGCAUUUAAAGGAAAUUGUCCAAAGCAGAGCAUUCAGCUUGCAAAAUCCAAAUAUUGAAGAGCAAGAUGGCAUUCUCAGUGGAUUUGUUCGUCGAUGCGUUGGAUCUCCCUUGGCUGCCAAAGCCUUUGGCUCUAUGUUGAGUAACAGGACUAGUAUAAAUGAAUGGAAGGAUGUAUUAGCUAAAAGUAACAUUUACCGAUCCUCAAGCUCAGCUUUGAUGACCUAUCCUCAGAUAUGAAGCAAUGCUUUGCAUUUUGUGCUUUAUUUCCUAAAGAUUAUGAGAUCGAUGUGGACCUCUUGAUUCAACUGUGGAUGGCACAUGACUUCAUACCUGUGCAGGAGGAUGACAAUCCAGAAACCGUAGGAAAAUAUAUUUUCGAGGAGCUAACUCAGAGGUCAUUCUUUCAAGAGGUCAGGCAAACACAUCCAAAGUGCUAUUAUGGAAGUCUUCGUAAGUCAACCAUAUGCAAGAUACAUGAUCUCAUGCAUGACAUUGCUCUAUCUGUUCUGGGGAAAGAAUGUGUCACUAUAGUUGGUAAGCCGAGCAUCAACAAGGUGUUGCUAAAUCCGACCCGCCACGUCUUCUUAUCAACAAGGUGUUCUCAUUUCUGGAAAGAACAGGUUACAAGUCUACUGGAUCAUCUAUUGAAGAAACAAACUGCAAUGGUCCACACGUUGUUUUUUACAGAUUAUUCUGACCCCCUUGAUAUAUCAAAGUACACUUCACUGCGAGCAUUACACCUUCCAGCAUAUAUAUUCUCAUGUGUAGGACAGGAGCAGCUUACAAGACACAUACAACACCUAAGGUAUCUUAAUCUGUCGUCACAUGAGUUCGAGAAACUUCCUGAAGGUAUAAGCAUUAUGUAUAAUCUACAAACGUCGUCACAUGUUCAGGACAGGAACAACUUACAAGACACAUACAACACCUAAGGUAUCUUAAUCUCCCACCUUCCCUCAAACAAUUAGGCAUCUGCAGCUGUGAGAAGCUCUGCUCUGUGUCAGGAGACCUGCGUGCACUCGAGGACCUACAUAUUUCUGACUGCAAUAAGUUACAGUCAGUCAAUUCCUUGGGAGACCACCCAUCAUUAGAAACACUGAUUCUUUCUCGCUGCCGAUGCCUUGCAUCUUUAGGAUGUGAUGGUGGUCGUGGGAGUUACUCUGCUCUUCAGAGCCGUAAGAUUGUAGACUGCCCAGCCUUAGACAUGAAGCAGUUUUACUAACGCCAUCAAACAGCUGCUUGACAGCUUUGAAAAUGAAGACGUAUCACACGUUCAUUCAAGCAGCUCUGAUGAAGGUAUACGACCUUUCACUUUCCUCUUAUUCAAUUUGUUUCCUUCAAAUUUCCCUGCUUUGCAUGCCCUCCUAUUUUGUUGACGAACUGGUUGAUAGAUGGGUUUGCGGGGUGGGAUUUUGGGGUUUCAUCUUCAUUCCGGCUUUUAGACGGUCCUUUCUCACUGAUGUAAACCCACAUAUUGUUGGUUUAUACGGCUAUUAAUUGGUUUUCAGUCUUGGAUGCAGUUGACGUGCAUAGAGAAAUUCUGGAAAUAUGUGCUACCCCUUGGUGUUGAGAUCAGCUGAUGCGGAAUCAUUGAAGUACUACUGAAACGACAUCCUGAUCGGUCUCAGUUUUGGAGAGCAAUUUGUGGUGAAUGGAAGCAGUCCCAAGGCUUGAAGAACUCAUGGAGUCGUGCUUCAAGAACUCAUGGAGUCGUGCUGUACCAUUCUCCACUGCUAGGGCCUAAACUAGGUACGUGGAAGGCGCACUGUGUUUUGUCAACAACACAAUUCCUUUAUAUAAGUUGGGAUAGUAAAAAACCAUGCCUUCGUCUGUGUUAAUCAAAUCUCAUUUAGCACAUAUAUGGGGGACGUGUUGUUAACUUGUUACCCCCAUGCUUUUCAUUUUUUCUGUGCAGACAUCACCCAUUUGUCCUUAAAUUAAAGCAUAAAGGAGGGGCACUCACUUGUACACAUGUUCUUAAGCACUGCAACGACUGCCAUUUGUAUACUCAGCUUCAUUGCAAGCCUUUGCUAAUGACGACAGGCCUUCAGUGGAUGACAAAAACGACCAAGUUUGUUUUCACGGCACUACUAGCUGCUGGUAUUCUCUCGUCACUAAUGUACAGAACUCCAUUCUGUCAUCCAUCAAAGCUGUGGACAAUAUGAUGUCACUCUUGUUUUAAACGAAACCGGCAGGAGAGCUGCCCCGCUAUAUUAAAAAGAAGGGAUGCCCGAAGGGCCAGAGAAGUGUACAUGAAAAAGAGUGUUAAAACCCCUUGACAAGGAAGAAAAAACUAUACACACUAAAAAGAGAAACGGUGCACAAAAACACCCUCAAGAAAGCUGCAAUAAACAUGCCAGGUGCUUAGCCCUGACCGCCACCCAAGAAGCGGCCUCCCCUUUUAUCUUUGAGAAAACUUGUAAUGAAGAGGAUUCUUUGUGGUCGAAAAUUCUUGCAUUCCUUUCAAUCCAAAGUUCCUAACAGACCAAAAUGAUUAGGCUCCUCAGCCCACUCCUAUCGACGCUUGGUGUCCUUACCCGCGCUGUCCACCACUCAUGCACCAAAGUGCACGGCUCCUAGUUUUAAGACCUUCAUUUGCUACCCAUGCAGCGAUCGCAUCCCAAAUGCGCCUGGUAAACCGGCAGUCAGUUAGGAGAUGCAUUUCAGACUCUUGAACCGUGCAACACAAAGCGCAUGUGUCAUUGUGAGGCCAAUUUCAUUUUGCUAACCUAUCUGACGACGUCCAUAUCCAAUUUUGGAUUACCAACCACCUGGAAAAUUUGCACUUCGGGAGCACCCACGGCUUCCACAUGAUCGCUUUGAAGUUUGUGAAGGUGGAGCCGACACGGUGUAUUGAUUAUUCUCUGUUAUUUUCCAUACAAUGUUGUCUGGGUUGUCUGGUAUGAGUUGAACCUAGACUACCACUGUCCACAAAUUGCAGAACUCCAUAAAAUACCCCAAUGCUAAAUUUACACUCGAUCGGACGUUCAUAUCGUCGUGGUCGACGUGCACCAGUCCUCCCAUCAGCCCAUCACGUGGGCUCCACUCCACUUUUCCCCUCGCGCUCUCUCCCCCCUCUCCAUUCCACUUCUCAUCCUUCUCUUUCUCGAUUUCUCCACGAGAUCCACCUAAGCAACUCUGCGCAUGGAGCUGUUUCGCCUAGCGUUGAGCACAACGGUGGCAGGCCUAGUGGCGGGCGGGGAAAGCAGCGAGGCUCCGCCUUGCAGCACACGGUGGCGCUCGAGAUCAUCCGACGAGGCACGGAUGUGGGCCUGUCGGUGCGCGGGGGAAGGAUCACUAGGACCAUCGAGGGCACCUCCGCGCCCCGACGGUGAGUAGCCGACGGAUCCUGGCGAGCUCUGCGGGGGUCGCGGUCGACAGCGAUCUGUUCAUUUUUUCCCUUCCUUUUUUCUCUUCUACUUUUUGUCUCAAAAUCUUUUGUCUGUAUAAAGUUUUUGUUUCCAUUUUUUUAUUUCUUUGCAUCGUGAAUUUUUUCUCCAUUAUUUUGCUUCAAAACUUUGUGGACAAAAUUUCUUUUUCAAAACUUUUCCAAAAAUUUUGUCUCAAUUUUUAUUUUCUGAGUUUUGUUCCCAAAAUCUUGCAAAAUUUUUCCUCCAAAUUUUUGUUCGCAAACUUUUGUUUCCAAGUUUUUCAAAAAAAUUAUCCUCAAACUUUUGUUUUCCAACUUUUUUUAAAAAAAAAUUCUCAUUUUUGUUUAAUGAGACGGGAAUCGCACGUGGGAAGCCGUUCCGACGUGUGGUCGGAAAUCGAUCGCACGGAAGGCUCCCACUAGUCGCGUGUAAACUUGCGUCCCCCAUAAAAUAAAUCUGUGUGAGGCUCGAGGCUGGAGGCCUAAUAAGGCCAGCUACAAGACUAUGCUUGAUAGUAGAGAGAAGUUUUGGUUGCUAGCAGUCGAUGCUGAGUUAGAGCCCCAAUGCUUGGUUAGUAAAAUAUUGCUCCAUAGCAGGAAACAGGCGUCGCUGGGCAAAGAGAAGUGCAGGAGAACCAAAAGGAAAUAGGUACAACUAGCUAAAGAAGCCAGCAGAGAGUAUUUAUGUAAGGUUUCUUAAUUUAUAGGAACCAAAGCACACUCAAACCAUAUUCCAGAAUCUUAUUACAUGCAGAACCUGAAGUAAGGGAGAUUGAAACAUAGGGCACGCAUGCAUGCCUUUAAUUACACUACUACCAGAAAUUAAAAUACGCUGCUGCCAGAAGUGCUAUAUAUUGAGAGGUAGCUGGUGCAGUGUCACGCCAACAUAUGACGCAUGGUAAUGACGGGGAGGACCUGGACGUAGUACUCGAUCCUGUAGGCAACCUUGAGUAUGAGAUCGGGUUGCUGCCAAUCGUAGCCGCCGUCGACGCCGCAGAGGAAGGUCUGCGCGAUCCUGUAGUCGAUCUUGUGCUGCUGGUUGUGCAACACGAUCUUGUACGCAUCUCGGAGAUGUUCUUUCAGACUGCUCACCAUCGACCUGGUGUUCUGGUCCCGCGACAGCUUCCAGGACUGGGGCUGCUGCAUCAGGUCGGCUAUCUGCUGUACGAAUUGUACCAGCUGCUGGAUCUCCCCCCUGUUCUGCCUCAGCGCCUUCGCCUCCUGCACGAUAGAAAGUGCGAGGCGCACGACCUCAUCAUGGUCGCCGGUUCGAGCCCCCUGCUGGUCUCCACGUUCUCCUGGACCUACCGACAACGUGCUGCUCCUCACUGCAUUCACGUCCCUGCGCAUGCAUGCCGAUCAUCUCUGGUUAAAUUUUUCGUUAUUUACGUACUCCAUAUAGGAAGUACUAUAUGAAUGUUUUAUAUAUCAGCACACGAUGAAUACCCGUCCGUGAUGUCCCUGAUUAUCAACUCAAUCACACUUUUAGCGUCGGAUGACAUAUUGUCCAUGUUAGUCAAGUUCCUGAUAGAUGACUUCAGCUCCUCUUUUUCAGUCUGAGAGUGGUCAGAGUACAAAAAAUCCAAAGCUUCCAUGCAUGUUAAAUAUUCAAUAAGACAUGCAUAUAGUAUGAAUAUAGUCAUAAUGAUCAUGUCAUGCAUAAGCUUGGUCAAAAACUAUUAAUAUAUCGCAAAAUCAGGCAACAAUGUUAAUCUACCGCUCCCUCCAUUCUCUUUAGAUAUUAAUCCUUUUCGAACACUAGUACAGUCUAGUAUUGUGCACCUAAAAUAGUCCAACGUGAUGUAACAUGGUGCUGUCUAUAAAUCGUCAGUUUAUGUUUUGAACUUUACUACCUUUUAUUUUUUUAGAUAAUGGAUAAAUAUCCGGCUUCACCCUCCUCUUUCGACCAGGCGGAUCAGUCCACAAUUAUUACAAAAGAAAUGAAUUCACACUAUGGUUUCGACCAAUCAAACCGACUCAAAGAAAUCAAUUCUGGAAUCAAAAGGUAGCUUGUCACUACCUUUUAUUUAUGUUGCAUUGUUCAUUGCCACAAAUUAUUUGCAAAUAUGAAUCUUAUAAUGCUAAACUUUUAUGGUACAAUCUACGUACAGUUUCUUUCUCAAGUUUGCUGUAGUUGUUUGCCGUUGAGUAAUAUGUAAUUCCGAUGGAUUCAAGAGUCUAGCUAGCUAGAUUUUGGUACCUGUGGAAGGCGCUUGCAAGCACCAUUUCGAAGCAGCUUCUCAAGCACGUUCAUGAAGAAGCGCUCCUUAUUGAUGCUUACAAUGAGGAUCAUGUUGGCAAUGUGGAACGACUCCAGGAUUUUGGAUAUCCGUGCAUCAACGGCGACGAUCUUGUUGGCUUUCUUUUUGGUUUUGAAGACAAGCGACCAAGUCCUCUUCUCCCUGCAGGACUCAACGAGCGCCUUCCCGUCGUUGAGCGCAUCUUCAAGAUGUUUCAGCAUGCUGUAGGUCACUGGGUCCGGCAUCCACUGGCUUUUCAGCUCCGUCAGGAGGAGGUUAAUCAUUUGCACGUGGUCUUUUAGCAUAGUACAUUUCUCCCUGUUGCGCUGAGCCGCCUCCGCCAGCCGAUUGAUCUGUUCCACGAUGCUCAUCAACGACGAAAUAAGCCCAAUUGCUUCGGCCACCCCAACCAUCUCGAUCGAUUGCGCUGCGCCUGUAUGCUUGCAACGUCAGAUUUGCACGUAUAUGAGUAUACAUGUCUACCCUCCGCCAUCCAAAAACAAUUGGAUGCCGACAAGUGGUAUUGACAAGUCUAUGCACAACACGCGAUGUCAUGUCAAAUUUUAGCUAAUUUUAGCUUUUCUAGAUUCAUAGAUAGUAUUAUGUAUCUAGACAUCCACUAUAUCUAGGUGCGUAACAAAAGCUAUGCAUCUAGAAAAUUCAAAAUGACCUACAAUUUGGGAGGGAGUACACCCUAAUAAAAAGAUUAAUGGUGGAGCCUGAAGCACAAUUUAUCGUAUAAAAAUAAUACUUGUAAAUAUAUAAAUUUAUUAUAAAAUAUAGAAACUCGAUUGACUAUCUUCUUAAUUAAUGGAGAAAUAUAGGCUGUGAAUUUUCAAAAGGAAAAGGAAAAAGUGUAUUUUUCAUCCUUCAAGUAUUGCAAAAGUGUAACAUUCCUCCUUCAUGUUUCAUUUGGUGCAAAUCAAGCCCUUAACUAACUAAAUCGGUUGCAUUUAUCAUCCCCACCUUAGUUUAAUAAUUGUUUAGUGUCAUAUAACAUCGCUUUAGGCCAUGUAAUCAUCUUACUAAUCAGUAUUUAGCCAUGUAUAAUAUUUAGUCAAUUGAUUUAAUAGUUUGGUGUGAAUCGGUUCCGUUAAUUUUUCCGAUAAAAUAGUUAUAUGGUAGUCAAUUUAGAGGAUUUACUUUUUUUGUGGGCUUUAUAUCUUUGACUUAACAUAUUACAUCACUAAGCAGUGAUUUAGAUGAAUACAUGGCAUAAACCUUCAUUAGAUGUUACUAAACCAAUUGAACUAACGUGAGGAUGAUACAUGCACUGAUAUAAUUAGUUAAGGGGUUAAUUUGCACCAAAUGAAACAUGAGGGAUGAAUGUCACACUUUUGCGGUACUUGAGGGAUGAAAAAUAAACUUUUUCCAAAGAAAUAACUUGAUCGAUCCUGGUCCCAACUAUUUUAUAAAUCUCUUUUAACAUGAAUUUUGUUGAGCUCGCAUGAACACAAAUUGUGGCAAAAUUAAAGAACAUCUACACCGUUCAAUAUACCUACAAUCCCAUACUGCAUGCAGCCAUUUUAUAAAUUUCUUUUGAUGUGAUUUUUUUAGUUCCUAACGCAGACUAUCCUUCAAGAGAAAAAAAUGGGCUAUGGAAUAUAUGAUUAUAUAGUACGAUAUCUCCUGUACAAUGUUAGUAUAUGAGUUGAACCGGUCUUGUACGACAAGAUGAUCCAAGCAAAUGGACUCAGUAGGUAAGGUACAGUUUUGUAGCCACACAACUUUGGUGUGCAAGGAUAAACAAACACUUCAAAUGGAUUCCGUUAAAAUAACUUGUAGGGGAUGCAAUAUGGCAGAUCUGCUGGAGAUGAUCUAAACUUACAUUCACAUAUAUAGGAUAAACGAACACUUCAAGUGUUAACCCUAGCUAAUGCUUGCAAACAGAAACAAUGGAGGUUCCUUGACAUUUGACUGGAUAGUAGUGUAUUGUAGAAAAAAGGGAAAUCAAUAACCUGCCAUACCUUCUCAAAGCUCCAACCAAGAAAUAGCGCUACCUCACCCAAUAGGCUGUGUCGCCUUGCUUCAGCACAAGGUAGCGAGCACACGGCUAUUUAUACAAAUAACAUUGUAUAAAUGAACGCAUGCAGAAAAGUAUACUUUGCCUAGGUACGCAUGGAGACUUGCUUAGAUUGACCUGGUUACCUGUACUGUACUCACUUCAUACUCUUGACAACGCAAUUCAGCUACCAAGGAGUACGACCUGCGUCGACGAGACGAAGACUUGUUUAUACUCAGGGCAACGCAAUUCAGCUACCAAGGAGUGCGACUUGCGUUGACGAGACGAAGACUUGGACCUCGUCUUCGACUGCAUGCAUGCAUUGGACUAAUCUAACCACGCGGCGACUCGCCCCGGCCCGUGAUGACCCUGUAUAUGGAAUAGUGUGCAUGGAGGAUUAUUCACUCACGCUGCGCUGCCGACAAUGAAAGUACCGCAUGCCCAAACAGUACGUUGCUCAUGGUUGAGUAAAUGUAACUAAGUACACCCAACGUCCUGAAAUAUACUUACGGUAUAUUUAAGAACGGAGCUGUACUUACGGUAAAAAAUCAUUGCUCAUGGUUGAAACUUCAAAACAGACGGUUUUUGCCCACCAGCAGCGAUAGCCGGGACCGUUUCCGCGCUCAUCGGUGCAAAUUGCGCAACUAGCAGGACGAGACAUGCACGCAAACAGCUGGUGAAACAUGCAUGCACCUAGCAUGGCUAGUCGUCGGGCAGCAACUAGCACGAGACUAUAUGUUCAUGCAAGUGUCUCAUUAAUCAUAGCGCGACCUAACACCAAAACACAUCAACCAGCAGCGUAUCUAGAUUUUCGACCUAAUGUUACUAAUACAGACUAGGCUAUCACCGUCAGCUUAUCACCACUGGUUUUCGGUGAAUCUGCGGUGAUAGAGUGUCACCGCCGGUCCAAUAUUUAGUCGUACUCAAUGUUCAUUGGUCAUUAUGUCUUUACUAGAGAACCGGGCUUCAAUCCCGACCCAUCAAUCCUGAAUGCCAAUGCUCCCGGUUCAGUGGCUACAUAUCACGUCCGGUUUCUAAACAAAACCGGUAGAUGAUCCGUGGGGCUAACAUCUCUCCUAAUCAGUGGCUCAAACCUGCUGUCAAGUCCGCUACUGCUUGCUCAUCCUCCCAUGAAGUUAAAGUGAAAUCCAGUUUGGCUUAAAUAAGAUUUAUAUUUUUUUGGCCUGUUAGCUUGAGCUUCUUCCAGCGGUUGCGGCUGUUGCUCAUCUUCAGAGUUACCAUCCUCGCUCUUCAUGUUCACCCUUCCCAGCCAUUCUCAAGUCACCCAGAGGGGGGGUACAAAGGCUCUCCGCUAGAGUUCGGAGGCCGGACAAUGCCCGUCACAUCCGCCUUCCAUGAAGGUUUUUGCUGGCAGCCAGGCAUUUCGAGGGUAACAGAUCAAGUGGUGGAAACCUUUAGUAGAAUGCUUAUCACUCAAUUGACUCACAUCUCUUUUGUUUAAGGAAACCAAGCCCACUACUACAAAAUUAAUAUCAAGAUAAUAUGUUAUAAAACUUAUUUGUGAAAACUCAAGAUAAGCAUGCACAGGAAUUUCAGGAAAGUGCCGGGUGCCUCACAACCAAGCUCAUUAAUACCAAAGAAAGAUCAACAAACAAAACAAAUGGACACAACGUUCAGAACCCAAUCAUUUGCCCACCAAGAAUGCCAUACCCACACCAGAACAAAUAAGAACAGAAGUUUAAAAGGGUAAAAAUUGGUUGAUGAUGCAUGGAACGAAACGUAUAGAAUGCUUAUUACUCAAUCGACCCACAUCUCUUUUUUUUUCUAGGAAACCAAGCUCUCAUUACUACGUUGGAACAUCUAACCAACCAAAUGGACGAAAUUGUUUAUUUGGCCUCCAAGAAUGCCAUACGACCUGAAUAACUGAAAGCGCUAACAAAGCCACUUAUUGUUGUGCAUAGCAGCUAAGCUUGACUUAUUUGCAAACGGGUGCGAAAUGCGAUACAAUAAUUCAUAGUUCUAGACGUCAUGAGCCACGCGUGGGAUAAGAAGAAGCUUCUCCUUACGGUGCACAUCAACCCCAUAUGACUCUGUCAUAUCGAUGCUUGUCGACCCUGGUGGAAGCUCGGCUUGCAGCUUGCAGCUUGUUCAUUGAUUGGGGAUUCUGCAUCAGCUCAGCCAUGGCGUAGUCGAGCGCUAUGUACGUUGUGUCUGUCCCAGCUUCGAACGUGUCCUACACGCAUGUAUCAACAAAAUUCAAUCAAACUUUAGCAAACUAGUCCAUGAAACAUGUCCUAUGUACGUCUUGUAAGGAUUAGCUUGGAAGCUUCAAAAGAAACCUUCAAUUAGUAAAAGUUUGAUUUUUUAAAAAAAUUUGAAGUUUAGUUGCAUACAUGCGGUCGGUAGAAAUGGAACUCUGCAUAUACAUACCAUCAGUAUUGCCUUGAUAUUAUCUCUGGUCAGGCCGUACUCUUGUUGAACGGAGAGCAACACGUCGAUAAAGUCCCCCUCGUCCUCACCAUCCAGCGUCUUGCUCUUGUGCUUGUCGAUGAGGCUGUCCAAAAGGUCAUCCCAUCUCUUCAUGUGCUUCACGGCCUUGGCCGACACCAAAUCAAACCUUGCCAAGCUCGGGAAGUAGUCAUCCAGGUUGAAUCCUCCCAGGAGCUUGGUGUUCGUCUCUAGCAGCUCCCGGAAGAGCUGGUUCCGGCCUUGUUCCCUGGGGAGCCUGCCCGUCAUGGCCUGGCACACAAUGUCAUUGGCGAAGAAGCCCAAGAUUUCGCUGACGUCGAUCGCCGUGCCCGCGGCGGCGGCGGCCCUCACCCUGGCUAAGACCAGCCGGACCUCCUGCUCGCGGGCGGCGCGGUAUGACCGGACCUUCGCUGCGGUGAGGAGGUGGGUGGUGAUGACCUUCCUGGCUCGGCGCCAAUACUCGCCGUAAGGCGUGAAGCUAACGUCAGUGGAGCCGUAGAAGAGGAUGUCAGCGACCACGGAGUGCGGUCGGGAGGCGAUGACGUGGUCGUGCGUGCGCAGGACAGCCUUGGCGGCGCGGGGGGAGGAGACGACGAGCGUUGGCACGGCGCCGAGGCGGAGGAGCAUCACGUCGGGCCCGUGCUUCUUGGCGAGGUCGCGGAGGGAGUGGUGGGGAAGGGAUCCGAUGAGGUGGAGGUGGCCGAUGAUCGGGAGCUUGAACGGAGGCGACGGUAGCUUCCGGAGCAGGUUCUCUGUUCUGGACCUUGGUGUUGCCAAGUGCACGGCGACGAGGAAGAGGAAGAAGAGGAGGGCUAGGGACUCUGGAGAUGCGUGUUCGUAUAGAGGUGCGCUAGCGCUGGAGCCGCCAUGGCUGAUCAACCUGCUCGUUGCAGUUUUUGUAGAGCUCGGAAGUCGUGAUCCGUCAGACAGCAAGAAGAGUAUGCUACCAUUUUUUUUCUUUUCUGCAUCACCGCCAGAUCAGAUCAGACAGGAUUUUAUGAGAGAAUCCUAUGGAAUCAUCAUCCUUUUUAGUAAACUUCACCAGACGCAGGAACGCGAGCCGAUUAAUUGGCAAGCUUUUCUCUCAGAAUAUGUGUUUGGUGCUGGAUUAAUUGGCGUGCAGGUUGAAGAAAGGCUGCUUUAUAGAUUAGCCCCCGAAGAAAAAGGAAAUUCCGACGGAAAGUUUGUGUCUUGUGGUUUUGCAAAAAGGACCCUGGAAAGGCUAGAUUCUCAAGUUCCAGUCCUACCCGAGAUCUUUUGCAAAUAUAACCCUAUAAAUUCUGUUAUUUGCAAGUACUUUUACGUGUGUCUUGCAAAUCUUUCUUGCUAGCCCCUGCCGUCUAUGGCUAAUUGCAUCUGGGUCCCUGCCACCUUGUUUGUCUCAUAACUUCUUCCUUCUAGCUCCAUUUUGAGUGAUUCUUUCGCUCACACGUUCGUCUUAACGAGUAGAUUAGUUUGGUACUGCUUUUAUGGUACUGCUUUUAAGUAAUAUUUUUGAUGAUUGGUGUACUGUUUUUAAUUAAAUGCAUUUGUUUGCUUGUAUGUGCUUGUGUGACGCGUAUAGAAGAAGCGUAGUUCGAGGAAUCCAAAGAGGAGGGAGACUGAAGACUCUGAGCAGCAGAAGGGCUUGGAGGAAGGCAAGUGUCCUUGGUCAUUCCCGUUUAUACCUAAAUGACAUGCAUUGAUUCACAAUAUUUAUUUAUCGCAAGCAUUAAUAUGAUGGGUUCCUAUUAAGGAUGAUGCCUAGUUUCUUUUGAUCAUACCUUGCAGCCAGGUUGUUCAAAUAAUCUGGAGGGUAGAUGAUGCUUAGUUUGCUCAACUGGGUUGGUAAAUAAACAAUAUGGUUAAUUUUAUUUAUUUACUCUAUGUUCCUUUAUGUUGAUUUAAUUACAAGACCAUAUGUUCUAAACGAACAUGGAGCGACCACCCAGGAAAAUAGUACAACCACAAGGACUACAUGGCUCUGGUCUUGGCUAACUAAUUAGAGGACUCUAGUGUUGGAUUGGUGUUAAGGGGGGGCAUGUCUCGCGGAACCUCGUGCAUUGGAACACACUAGGGAAGUCUUUGUUAAGGCCUCUAGCGUCCCUAUGCAAUCACACCUCGGAAGUGUGGUAUUGUGCCUACUUUUGCACAGCAUGGUUGAAUCCAAAGUUCACCUGAACUUUUAUGCGACUUGUGGGUAAAGAUGUACAACCUCUGCAAAGUGUAAAACUGUUAUAACAGCCGUGCUCACGGUCAAGAGCGGCCUGGACCCUCACAUGAUUAAUUUACUUGAAGAUGAUACUAGUGUGUUAUUUAUGUUCAUGCUUAUGGUAUAUCAAUGCUCUAUAUUAAUUGUGGGAUGGUAUAAACUUACAUUUGCUAGUGAUUAGGUGUUGAAUAAAAACUUGACCAACUAAAAGUGCUAAUCGCAGUUAACCUUGUCAGCCUUCCACCAUAUAAAGCCUUGCAUAUCAUAGAUAUUUCUCUCUUGCUGAGUACGACAUGUGCUCACGCUUGUGUUUUAUAUAUUGCAUCUACAACGUCCGGAUUGCUGCUCAGACCCGGAGAACUUUGAAGAUUACUGAAGUUUUUGGAGGAGUUCUAGGUGAGUCCACCAGUCAGCUGCCUGUGGAGUUGUUGGAGAUGCGCUGCCUAUAUUAGAGAUUUCUAUCUCAAUUCUAGUUACAUAAUUUAUGUAAUUCUCUCUCUACGCUAUAACACAGUAUUUGAUAUUUACUGAAGUCAUCGUAUGUUUGAAACUUGAUCCUGGCAUACAUAUGAUAGUCAUCUGGUUUUACAUUUAAAACCGGGUGUGACAGGAUGCUACCGAUGGCUCUGCAACUUGAUGCAAUUCAUGCACGCUGCUGGGUGGCACCCAUGGUGCGAGAUGUCCAGGAAGAGUGCAUUGGCACUGUGGCGGCGGAUCCGACCAGUAGCAGCAGCUCGCACAGGUCACGACAAUGUGCAUCAUCACAAAAAUCCGAGGCUGCCCGCGCAGGUCGAGCUUUUAUUUGCUUGGAUCGGAUAUUCCUUCCUACUAAUAUCAUGGCUAUCUGUGUGAGGCUCAUAGGCUGGAGGUCUAAGGGUAGCCAUAGACACUACUAUAGAACUGACCGAGGGCUGAUUAGGCUCAUAGGCUCAUAGGCUCAUAGGCUGGAGGUCUGAUUAGCUCAUAUUCUUUGUCUCACCCUAUGGGUAUCGUGGAGGCACGGCGCCAAGCUGGCGGCACGGUGUAGCCUCAAUUCAGAACUUUCCUAGCCAGGGCGUGGCCGAGGGCGAUUGGUUGCUCAACCUGAUGAGAACUUGGGUGGGUGCUCCUAGAUGGGAGAGAAUAGGGUGACGGAUGAGAAUGCAGAUGAGGGACGGGGCUCAGACGAGGGGUGGGUUGGAGACAUGUUUUCACUGUUGAACUCUUAGCGUCAAGAUGAGAGGUGAGAUGAGAUACCGGUAGGACCUGCUCUUACCAUGGCACUUCAGCAACCCCACCCCAACCCCGCGCGCAAGUCAAAAUUUGAGGACCAUAUGUACAAUACGUGUGCAAACAGAACCAUAAUUUUACUAGUAUCGAGGGAUUUUAGUUAUUUCUUCUAAAAAAUCUCUUGGGAAAUCGUAUUUUUGUAGUACAACAUAUAUAGAAAAUAAGUAUUACUCACAAAUAAACUGCCCUUUUCUUUAGUAUUCUUGGUUUUUGUUAUUAUUUUAUUUAAUCUUAAGAUUUAUAUAUGCAUAAAAAAGUAAUUUAGUAUCUUCAAAUAUGGAAACGUGGUCUUAGGAAUAGGGCUCAUAUUUUAUUCUUGAGCAUGCCUAGUGGAAAAAUACUAUCUAAAAAACCGCAAAGAAAUUUAAUACCUAAGCCUUCGAUCCACUCUACUUUUUGUAUACUAGUUUACCUGCAAUCCACUGGCUUGCACAUUAUAUUUCAUCAUACGGAAAUGUCUGAGAUUGUGAACGGAAGCAAUUUCAUCUGUCUGCAACCCUGCAUAGCAUGUGACAGCCCGGGCUGCGUGCCAAGAAACACCCAGAGCUCCUGACACAACCGCGUGAGCACCUUCUCCGACAUGCGCACAUGAGGACCGCAUGCACCCAUAUGCAAGGUUCACAAAUACGUGCGUGCUUAAACUAUAUAUAUAUUAUACAUAGUUUAUUAUAUUUUUGGCAGGGAUAUGAUAAUCAUUAAUUAUUACUUGUAAAGAUUGGAAACGUUACAAACGAUUGUAGAAAAAAUGCGAGUCACCAGGAAGGUAGGUAGUAGAGCAUGCCGUCAGUGUCUUUCCUGUGACCUGUGUUCGUGGUGCACAUGGCAGAAUGCACAGUCUAUACAUAGGAACCAGAAGUUGGCUUCGAAACCAAAUCACUCAUUAGUCCUUCAGUACUGCAGUGAACGCUAUCUAGCUAGCUAAUUUCCCCUUGAAAUCAGUUUUCUUGCGUGGCCAUGGGUAGCCUUCCACUUGAAGCCAUGAUGCCACUGAACCCCGAUUCAUUCGCUGGGGAGUCCAGUGCCGUGGUCGACUUCCUCGCCGACUACUACCGCAACGUCGAUAAGUAUCCGGUCAUGGCCAACACCCAGCCAGGGACCAUCCGUAAGCUUCUUCCGGAGGCAGCCCCGGAGUUGGUUGGUACUCAACAAGUCGUGGGAAAUAGUGUAGUGUAAGGCCAACCAUGAUACCCUUAUACUACCUAUACUACUCAUGUAUACUACCCAUACCACAGGCGUAGGUUUCAGUAGUAUGAAAUUAAUCUUGACCGUCGGAUAUGUUUAUACUAGUCAUUUUCGAACACAAGUAUAGUCUAGUGUUGUGUUCCGUAAAAGAGCUCAUAUAAUAUGUUAUAAAACUUAUUUGUGAAAGCUGAAGACAACACCAGGGGAUAAAUUCCAGAAUAGGUGAGAACAAAAAUUUAAAAGGGCAAAAUUUGUUGAUGGAUGGAAAUGCAUAGAAUGCUUAUUACUCAAUCGACUCACAUCUCUUUUUUCUAGGAAACAAAGCUCUCAUUAGUACUCUACGUUGGAAACAAAGCACUUAUUGUUGUUCAUAGCAGCUGAGAUUGACUUACAUAUAUUUAUUUGCAAACAGGUGUGAAAUGUGAUACAAUAAUUCAGAAAGCUAGACAUCCUGAGCCAUGCGAGGGAUAAGAAGAAGCUUCUCCUUACGGUGCACAUCCAUCCCAUACGACUCUGACAUAUCGACGCCUGUCGACCCCGGCAGAAGCUCCCAGUUGAAGUGGUAGAUGAGGUUGGCAAGAAUGAUUUCGAAAGUGGCGGUGGUGAAGUUUAUACCCGGGCACAUCCUUCGCCCAGACCCAAACGGCAAGAAACGGAAGUCGUUCCCCUGGAAGUCAGAAGCAGCAUCCACGGCUUCUUCCAUGAACCGCUCAGGCAUGAACUCCUCUGCAUUCUCCCAGUAGGUGGAGUCCCUGCCUAGAGCCCACGCGUUGACGAUUACACGUGUCCCAGAGGGUAUGGUAUAUCCCUCCACCUCCCAUUCGGCCAUGGACAAGUGGGGUAUCAAAAGAGGCCCCGGCGCGUGGAGCCGCAUUGACUCUUUCAUCACCGCCGUCAGGUAGCUCAUGCCGCUCAGGUCUUGUUCAGUGACCAGUUCCUUCCCCUUGGUUGCGCACCCCCGCACCUCAGCUUGAAGCUUGGUCAUCACCUUGGGAUUCCGCAUCAGCUCAGCCAUGGCGUAGUCUAGUGCUAUGUAGGUUGUGUCCGUCCCAGCUUCAAACAUGUCCUACAUGAAUAUAUCGGUAAGUAGAACUCCAAAUCAAAUUUAACCAAGCUAGUCCAUGAAACGUCUCAUAUGUACCUCUCGUGAAAAAUAAACAUACCAUCAGUAUUGCCUUGACGUUGUCUCUGGUCAGGCCGUACUCUUGUUGAACGGAGAGCAGCACAUCGAUGAAGUCCUCCUCGUCCUCACCAUCGACCGGCUUGGUCUUGUGCUUGUCGAUGAGGCUGUCCAAAAGGUCAUCCCAUAUCUUCCUGUGCUUCACGGCCUUGGCCGAUACCAAGUCCAACCUCGCCAAGCUCGGGAAAUAGUCGUCCAGGUUAAAUCCCCCCAGGAGCUUGGCGUUCGUCUCUAACAGCUCCCGGAACAGCUGGUUCCGACCUUGUUCCCUGGGGAGCCUGCCCGUCACGGCCUGGCACACGAUGUCGUUGGCGAAGAAGCUGAAGAGCUCGCUGACGUCGACCGCGAUGCCCAUGGCGGCGGCGGCCGUCACCUUGGCUAAAACCAGCUGGACCUCCUGCUCGCGGGCGGCGCGGUUGGACCGGACCUUCGCCGCGGUAAGGAGGUGGGUGGUGAUCACCUUCCUGGCCUGGCGCCAGUACUCACCGUAGGGGGCGAAGCCGACGUCGGUGCAGCCGUAGAACAGGACGUCGGCCACCGCGGAGUGCGGCCGGGAGGCGAAGACGUGGUCGUGUGUGCGCAGGACGGCCUUGGCGGCGCGUGGGGAGGAGACGACGAGCGUUGGCACGGCGCCGAGGCGGAGGAGCAUCACGUCGGGCCCGUGCCUCUUGGCGAGGUCGCGGAGGGAGUGGUGGGGAAGGGAUCCGAUGAGGUGGAGGUGGCCGAUGAUCGGGAGCUUGAACGGAGGCGACGGUAGCUUCCGGAGCAGCUUCUCUGUUCUUGACCUUGGUGUUGCCAAGUGCACGGCGACGAGGAAGAGGAAGAAGAGGAGGGCUAGGGACUCUGGAGAUGCGUGUUCGUAGAGGUGCGCUAGCGCUGGAGCCGCCAUGGCUGAUCAACUAGUGUGCACAACACACGGCUUGCUAGCGCAACAAGUUAGAACCAGCUCGUUGCAGUUUUUGUAGAGCUCGGAAGUCGUGAUCCGUCAGACAGCAAGAAGAGUAUGCUAUUUUUUUUCUUUUCUGCAUCAUCACUAGAUCAGAUCAGACAGGACCGACCAGAUCUGAUCUUUUAUGAGAGAAUCCUAUCGAAUAAUCAUCCUUUUUAUUAAACUGCACCCGACGCAGACUUUCUUUAUUUGCCCAUGUGCUAUUAUAUUAAUUUUUAUCUCGACUAUAUACCACUGUCCUCAUGUAUGUUGUGUACCAAGAGGAACACGAGACGAUCGAGAUUCCAAUAAAAUAUGUGUUUGGUGCUGGAUUAAUUGGCAUGCUUUUCUCUCAGAUGAGCUGCGUGUAGUGACAGCGGCGCUCGCAAUAGUUGGUCGGCGCACUGGUAGACGGGCAGCUCAUGGAUGCUACCGACGGCUCUGCAACUUGAUGCAGUUCAUGCACGCUGCUGGGUGGCACCCAUGGUGCGAUAUGGCAUUGGCAUUGGCACUGUGGCGGCGGAUCCGACCAGUAGCAGAAGCUCGCACAAGUCUAAAUGUAUCUAACUUUGAUGAAUUUUAAUUUCAAAUCUAUGGAGGCUUUUGAGCUCGAACUAAUUGAAAUGGAUCACACUUUAGUAGUGCUUUCAACAUAAAAAAUUGACACAAAAUUUGGCGGUGAGCAGUCUGCCUAGCCCAGGCAGAAAAACAAAGGCUUGAAACAAACAAGCCCUUGGUGUGUGCCUGAUAAUCAUAUGUUCGAAACUCCGAUCCUGUCGCCCUUGAUUAAAAUUCAUAGUAGAGACCUAUUGAGGAUUAGCCCUGGCAUCGAUCCGGCCACAGGAGAGACCGGGAGCCAAGAAGUGAAGUAAGUUGCGUGCGUGCCUGACGGCGAGGAAGCACCUCCAUUGAGCCACGAGGUGGAGUACGAGGCAGAGGCGAGAUGGGAUGUGUUGGGGACAGACUCACAUGACGGAGAGUGGUGCAUCUCCUACCUACCAUCUGCCAUUGCCGAGGGCCUUUCACCGUGCACCACUCCGGUUCGCUCUUUUGCGUCGCUGGGAGGAAAGGGACCGCCGAGCGUUGGGUGCCGCCACCGCUCCUGCGUAGUUCGCCAUGGCCACCUCCUCCGAGAGCGCCCUCACCAGCGGCUCCAGCGCUGCACCUCAUUCCAGGGAUGGGGCAGCCGCUGCUGGGUCACAUCCGCCCGGGGAUUGGGCCGUUGCCGGGGAAUAAGAGGAGCGCGGCAGAGAAGAAAAGGAGAAAACAGAGGAGCCGUGAUUGACAGGGACGGAGGAAAGAUGAUGAGUGCGUACGGUGGGGUAAAAAUGGAAUUGGUUUUUGGUAGAAACAUUUUCUAACUUGUGGUUUUUAUGGGUCUCCACCUUAUCCUCUCUCAAUUGCAUGAUAGGUGGGUCCGACAUGAGCGGUAAGGUGGUUCUGGUUUGGGUGAGAAAGGUUUUCAAUUAUGUUGGAAAACAGGCUUCGCGGAGGCUCAAACACAAUGAGGUUUGAGCAGUCCUUGCAAUUCAAUUCCAAAGAAAUGAACAUAUGUUUACAUCGGGGUAGGGCUCUCCUUUUAUAGUAUCUCGGAGGACAUUUUGCAUUCCGCAAUUACCCUCACUCACCCACUACAAUCCUAGAAUAUGCUUUACAUGGAGGUAACUUGUAUAACUUGGUCUCCUCCUUGGAUCACGCUUCUCACGCCUUUAGUCAGCUCCAUGAUUCAUGCUCUCACAUGGUUCCACAAAUCAUGCCUUCACAUUUCCAACGCCUCCACGCUUCCUGACCUCAUGACCGAAGCCAUCUUAGCUUCGGGAGUCAUGAUCGCCAUAGAUUCGCACCUAAGAGACGCUAGCCUCGCGCCCUGCUCCUUGACUUGAUUCAGCGAUCCUGCAUGAGACACUAAAUAACUCAGCACUCGAGGUUAGCUUCGACUGCUCGAGGUCAAGCUUGGUUAGUGUUUGGUGAUCUGUGAUUGCCUCCGGGCUUCGAGGUAAGAUUCAGGAUAGCGAGGCUAUGAUUACUUUCCACGCCAGAUUAACCACCCAAGGUUAGGGCCCCUCACCCGAUGUUAAUUAUUUUGAGGGGCUAAGCUGUUGACGCUAAAUGUAACGACCUCGAGGGUGACCAUCUUUUUGGGCGAUCCCCAACAGUAGCCCCUCGUGGGCAAGGCUCGACACCGACGACCGAACCCGUGACUUAAGGAUCUGCUCCCAAAAAACGUCACUCUCGAGCAUCGGUUAGAAAUGAGCCAACAGUGACCUUUUUGGUCUUACGUGUCGAUUUCCUAUUGGGUGACCCUUCGUAUCUAGCUCGUGGUUACAGGCGCCAUUUCACGCAUUUUACCAUGCCUAUAAAAGAGGGGGGUGGGGUCGCUUUCGUUUUUACCCUCGCGGCUGAAACCCUUGCGCUCCUGCUUUUGCUCGCUGCUUCCGUGCUUUAAGAUUCAUGCAUUGUAUGCUGUUGUCCUUGGUCUCGAGGAUCUCGAAGGUAACAAUGUUACUUGUGUCUCUCUUUUAGUGUGAGAUUUUCCCUUGCUUGUCAUUUUGGAGAUGAUGUUUCGAUGCCUUGCAGCUGGCUCGUAUUAUGCAAACCGCUAGGCCCAUGACAUCAGAAGAGUUCACUAAACAAGCUGGGCUUCGCAACGAGGCUGCGGAAGACCAGGAUUUGUCCAAGGCUGACGAGAAGCAAGGAAUCAAGAGGAUUGAGCUUUCUUAUGCCUAGAAGAAUAGGUGGGAAGAUAAUUGGCUAAGCUACUAGUUCUAUAUCAAGAUUGACACAGCCGAUGCGUCUGGUAUCAACCAAUCUUUCUAUCCUUCUAUGCACCCCUGGGCCCUAUGGACAUUGCUACUACCCCUGCAUUUACAAGGUCCAAGGCAGUCAAGGAGUGCAAGGGCGCUUUCCUCCCGGACUCGAAGUCGAUCCCCGACUGGAUCUUGUUGAAGAGUUUUUAGCAGCCAACAUUUGGCCCCUUUCUGAUGGGUGGAGUCCAUUGGAGAUUGUGCCAAAAGAGGUUCCGUGGAGUACUAGCCCGCUCCUCUACCCUUGCUUUGGAGUGGAGCUGCCCGUGGAUGCCAACCCCGGUCUUUUUGCAGAGGAUGUUGAGAGGCAUGCUGUUGAUAUAAUUGGCCCGAGUAUUGAGACUGAGCUGACGUUAGCUCGAAAGAUCAUUCACACGAGCUUCGGGUCAACCGUGUGUUCGAGGAACUUGGGGUCGAUGUUAAGCCUUGUCCCAAACCUCGCAAGACCUUGAAAUGGGAACGAGAGGCUGGCGCGACACGCUCGGAAUAGGUUGGCGGCAGUGGCAGGUGGAAAAAGAGAAAGGCCGAGAGCACCGCUCCUAAGGCCGCGGCAGUGACUUCAAAGAAGGAUGACAGCCAAUCGAGGGUCGUGCUCGAGGUGCGAAAGCAAAAUUAAAGACCUCGAGCCUCGAAGCUCAGAAGAAGUAAGAAACAAUUGGACAAAGUUCCUCGAGCGAGGCCGCGCCCCUGUCUCUAAAGCCGUCCGAGUUGCGACCAAGUCCGAACUCGAGGCUGCCGGCGCGCUGGCCGGUAUGAAAGAAAAGAAGUCUACGAGGAAGUCUCGCGUCGGCAAAGCCUUUGAUGAUGAUGAUGAUAUUGUUUUGGAUGUGGACUUGUCUAUGUUCCCUAUAUCGGUCCCCGAGGCUAGUGUUCCUUCAAAGGAGACUGAGACUAAGGUUGUUGCACCCCUUCUACAGCACGAGGCCAAACCUUUGAAGGAGAAGAUCAUGGAUACCAUUGCUAAGGAGAUUAAGGCGUAUACUUCGAAGGUGACAAAGCCAGGUAAACAUGUCGUUGUACAUUUGCCUAGGAUGAGAUUUUUUGAUUUUGGUGAUGCGUCAUUUAGAUUUCUGAUGGAGCUGGAAAAAACCACUGGUGCACCUGGGGAGAUAUACAGGGAACCUCCUCUAAUAUUUAGGGUAAAACCUUAUUCUACAGAUUCUGAACUGUCACCCUCUCUGGAACGUUACAACGAGGCCUACAGCACCAACCUUAGACAGGAGCUCAUUGCUGUUCAUGUGCCGGGUUCAGGUGAGGACGAUAAUCGCUACAACCUACCCUUGUUGUGGGGAGCUAAGGAUGGGAUGCGUGGUGUAGAUAGAGCAGCCAAGGAGGUUUUCAAGAUGUCUGAGGGGGUUGUCGGUGAGGUUGGUGGGCAUGGAGAAAGGGAGGAAGGAGAGGUUAUCCCUACUCGAGGUCUUGGGAAAUCCACUGUGCCUUUUGAGGUUGAUUACGAGGACAAGUCUUUUAAUCCUGAGAGUAAGCGCUUGCUCCUUAGUUUGUUUUGUCUGUACUUAAUUUCUACUUUGCUAUGCUUUGACGUGCCUUUCUUUUGACAGAGUAUGAAAAAUCAGUUAGACGUUUCGAGCAAAAGGACUUAGCUAGGAUGUCAGCUACCAUCGGAUACAAGGUAUUUUGUUCGACGCUUGCUAUUUGUUUCUUAUCUCUCUUUUUUUACGAGGCUUUUCAUUUUGGUGUUUCGAUUUUGCAGUCCAUCAUCCUUGGGAAGAUGCUAUGGAGAAGGCUGCGGCUAAGGAAAAGAGCAUGCUAGCCGAGAGCACGAAGAUGAUGCAGCUAGAGGCUAGAGUUGCAAAGCUUGAGGAGGAAAGCAAGGUUUUAUAUGCCUUGAAGAAUGAGCUCGCCGAUUCUAACUCUGACCUUAAAAACAACAACGUGCUGCUAACAAAUACCUACAGCGAGCUCGUGCAACAAGUUGAGAAGCUGGAGAAAAGACCCGAAGACAAUCUUGGUGUUUUGGAGAAACUCCGAAGCGCCACAGAAAAAGACGCACAGACUAUCACAGAGCAGGAAAAAAUGAUUCAUACCCUUGGUCAGGAUCUCAAAGAGCAAAAGACCUUUGUUGUGGAAGCAGAGCGGGCUCUCAAGGAAAAGUUCGCUGAGAUCUAUGAGGGGUACAAAACUGCUCUUGCAAAGUUUGGCGCAGAGCCUCUUUUGUUUCUGGGUGAUGAAAGUGUAAAAGAAAUAUUUGAUUGGGUGGAAGAGGAGUUCAAAGGCCUGCCCGAGGUUAUUACUGGCAGCAGCAACUUUGCUGCUUCCUUCUGCCUUGAUAGCGCAGUUCAACUCCUUGAAAAGAACAGCUACUCUCAUUUCUUAACACUCGUGGCUCGCACCUAUAUGUUCCCCUCGGCCUCGGAGCUUGACGAAGAGGAGAAAUCUAAAAAUUUGAGAGCCACGAAGAUAAAUUUCUUCAAACAGCUUUGGGCUACCUCCGGGCGAGAGUACACAAGGCUGGUUGCUCAAGAGCGGCUUGCACAGGUUAGGGUUCACAUAACUUUGUAUUUCAUAAGGUUUUCAUUUUUUCUGUUGAUUUCCUGAUGUUGUUCCUCUUGUGUUCGUAGGCCAAGGCAUAGGAAGCAAAAGGCGAAGGUGGGAGCGAGAACGGUGAUGCUGAUCAAGGAGGGCAGUGAUUAUCGAAGCUAGUUAGAGAUUUGUUUUGUGGUUUGGGAUGUUUUGAUAAACUUGAUACUUAGUUGGCUGCUUUUGCAGGCCAGAUUGUAAAUAUUUGUUGCUCAGCCGGAACUUACAUGCUCGAAGCUGGUUACUUUUGGCGUUUGUACCUUCACGGAUUUCUUUUUGUCUUAACGUUUUUAUGUUUGAGUUAUUCUACUCAAAUGGCAACAAAGCUGUAGCUUAAAGAAACGAGCAAUGUUUUAGUUUAAAACGUCACCCCUGCCCUAGUUUCUUUAUGCGUAGGUUUUGUUGACUUUGCACGCUUGUUGUCUAAGCUUAAACGGAGCUUAAAAACGUCACCCCCUUCUUGGCAUGUGGGUCUUACCCGAGGCAAUUCUCUCAUGGAAAGAGGAUGAAAACGAUUUUUGUUUGCCAAAAAAUGUCACCCCCGCCCUUUUAUCCUUUUUUCGAAAAAACGUCCAACCUCACCCUUUUCUUUUGCAUGAACGAGGUUAAGUGAGUAUUGACAAACCACAAGAUAAGUCAAUAGAAAACUUGUUUUCGAGUUAUGUUGACUUAAAAAUAUGACAGUUUGGUUGAAAUCGCAACCCUUAUGAUGUGUUUGGUUGGGCUGUGGCUUUUCAAAAAGCUGCUCUGAGCUGUGGGGGCUGUUGAAAAGCAACUGUGAGAAAGCAGCUGUGGGAAAAGUAUAUGGCCGUUUGGUUAGAGCAGAUGUGGCUUUUGAAUAAAUUUUUGAGUGGACCCUGCAUGUCAUCCACAGUCCACCCCACUCAACUCUCUCCCUCUCUCGCUGAUGAGCGGGUCUAACCCUUCUUCCUCCCGCUGGCUAGUCCACCCCACAGCACCCCGAGUAGCACCAGGGCCGCAAUGGCAUCCACGACGAUGUAGUCCACAAUCAGGGUGAGGUCCAUGACGGCGAUGGCCUGCACCUCGCCUCCUCCACCUCGCACCACGUGGCGGGCACCGUAGCACCAACGGCAUCUAGGAGGCGGUAGCACCCCGUGGGCACGCAUGCGUCGACAAGGAGGUUGAGGCCGGUCUGUGCUGCCAAGAGCCCGCCCACGGCGCCCGCGCAGGUGAGCCCCACCUCGGUGACGAAGUAGGCUGCCGCCGCCAUGGUGCCCUUCGGCGCGGAGGCGGAGAGUGAUGAGGAGACGGAUGCCAUGGCAGCGGCGAGGAGGAGGAGACGCGCGAUGAUGAGUGUGUGCUGCUGGAGGUCGGAGGCCGGGAGCGAGACGGCAAGGAGGCCUGCGGCAUGGGCGAGGAGGAGGAACGACAGGGAGAGGAGGAGUGGGAGGUGGGGCAGGAGUAAUGGGAGUGGGAGGAACGGGAGCAACGGUGGGAGGAGCAGCAGCGGGAGGAGCGUCGUGGAGGCCAGUGGGAGGAAGGCGAACAGGAGCAUGAGGAGUAGCGGGAGGAGGCAGAGGAAUGGGUGGCGGAGCAGGCGGAGGAGGCGGUGGUGGAGGGAGGACGGGGAGAGGUAGGAGACGGUGGCAAUGAGGAGGUGGGACUGGGAGGUCGCGAGGAGGGAGAAUAUAAGGGCAAGGUGGCACGCGAGCAGCAGCGCCUCCGCCAUUGGGGUUGGGCAGCGUGGUCGGGGAAGUCCCGAGGAGGAGGAGCACCAGCCAGCGGGCGGCGGGCCACUGAGGUGAUUGUCGGGUGGGGGGGACUGGUGCGGGUGACGGGGAGUGGACAGGAAUAGAAGGGGAAAACGAACCAUUAUCCUCCAUAACAAGUGGUAGGUGGGUAAUUUUUUGCCCCAAAAGCAGCUAAAAGCAGGGGGAAGGUGCUUUUGAUUUUGGGCAAAAGCACGUAUGGCUUUGGACAAAAGCACGUAUGGCUUUUAGGCCCUUUGGUUGGCUUUUGGCUUUUGCAAAAGCAAAAGUAGGUUGGAAAGUCCAACCAAAGGCACCCUUAGUUGCUUCAACCAUGAAAUUUUGCGAGGUUGAGAAAAUAGGGAAAUAGGGUGCCUUUUUUGAAAAAAUGUCAGUCUUUCUAUUCUAUUGUGAGAGCUUUGGCUGAGGCUAGGGCCUUCGUGCGAAAGGACAAAAUGAAUUUUCGACUCUGAAAAAUGUCACCCCCCUUGUCCUUUUGCGCAGAGGGGGUUUAGACUCAGCAUGGCUUAUUCCGAGUGUUAUCGCUGCCUUUGAUCGCUUGCUGCAGCCUUUCUAUUCUCUGAGUUGCAAGUUCAAGGCCAAUCACUGUGGUGUUUGAGUGAGAAAAUACGUUUAUGUGCAUAUAGUGUGCAUUCAAUGUUAGACUAUGCAGCUUAGUGCUGCUUUAAAAUAUCUUGCGCAGAAACGUAGGUUUUCAACAUGCAGGAAUGUGAGGUUAGGCAAGUUGUUGUUGCAUCUGAGACUUGUGCAGACACGCAAGUUUUCAAUGCACAGAAACUCAAGGUUAGGCAACUUGUUGUUGCAUCUAAGACUUGCGCAGAAACGCAAGUUUUCAACGUGCAAAAACGCGAGGUUAGGCAACUUGUUGUUGCAUCUAAGACAAAGAUCAUAGGGGGAACUUCAUUUCAUUGAAUAAUGGAAAUUUUACAAGGAUCUACCUCAUUAAAAACAUUGCCUCCAGAAAGGAGGCCCUGUAGCAAGGAAAAGAGUGCAAUCCAAAUUUGAAAAUGUAAAGUGCUAUGGAGUAAAUUCAUUACCCUCAGCGUUGUUUAUAACCUUACAAGCCGAGGGUAGUGUUGAACAAAAUGCUAAGGGUAGUACUCACGCAAGCUAUCGAUAUUCCAAGAGUGUGGCAGCUCCGUGCCAAGCUGAUCCGUAAGAUGAAAAGACCCUGGCCUAUUGCUUUGCGUGACAAGGUAUGGCCCUUCCCAGGCUUCCUAUAGUUUCCCGAGGUCCUCCCAAUUUUUCUUCCUCUUGAUGACAAGGUCACCCACUUUGAUUUCCUUGCGCACCACUUUUUUGUUUCUCCACCUUCUCGUUUCUUGAUGGUACUUGUCAAUAUUUUCAGCAGCUUGCAGUAUCUCAAGCUCUAUCAUGUCUUUUUCAAUUCUUAUAUCAUCUGGGUUAACCUCGGGCUGCAACACUCUCAAGCUAUUGUUUUUUAUUUCCUUUGGUGUCACUGCCUCGGAGCCAAACAGCAAUCAGAAGGGUGUGAAGCCUGUCACUUGAGAUGCAGUGGUGUUGUGGGACCAGAUUACCCUCGAGAGCUCAUCCACCCAUUUCCCUUUCUUCUGAUCAAAGAGACAUUUCUUCAUACCUGAGAAGAUCAAGCCAUUUGCUCUUUCCACCGCCCCGUUUGACAGGGGAUGAUAUACUAAGGUGAAUUUUACUUUAGUACCAAUGCUGGCACAAAACUCUUUGAAAUUAUAACAACAAAUUGCUUGUCGUUAUAAACAAUUAGCUCCCUAGGUACUCCGAAUCUGCAGAUGAUGUUCUGCCAAAAGAAUUUUUGGACUGAGCCCGAGGUUAUAUUUGCCAGCGGCUUAGCCUCGAUCCACUUCGUAUAGUCAACUACUACUAUGGCAAACUUGCAAUUUCCUUGAGCUGUCAGGAGUGGGCCUACUAGGUCCAUACCCCAUCUUUGUAAGGGACAAGUUGGUGAGAUAUGUUGUAUUGGCAGCGAUGGCGCAUUUUGCUAGUUUGCUAUUUUUUGUCAAGCUUCACAGCUUCGCACGAGGCUUUGUGCAUCCUGGAAUGUUGUGCGCCAGUAAAACCCCUACCUCAAUGCUUUACUCACCAAGGCUUUCGAUCCGAUAUGCGACCCGGAAAAACCCUUGUGAAUCUUAGCUACUAGCUCUUUCCCGCUUUCUGUGUCUAUGUACCGAAGCCAAGGGGUCGAUAUCCCAGACUUGUAUAAUUUUCCAACAAUAAUUGUGUAGCCCCUAGCUUUUUGCUUUAAUCUAGCUAGUUCAACCUCAUCAUAGGGUUUGAAGUACCCUCUCAUAUAAGCCAUGAUUUGAGCUCUCUAGUCAAAACUUUAGAUUGCAUUUAUUGUCUUCGGGGUUGGAUCUUUUGUCGAUGGCGUGCGAAUGACCUCGUAAAAUACAUCGGGGGGCAUGGGCUGACUCUGUGCUGCAGCUUUUGCAAGUGCAUCAGCCUCAUCAUUUUCCGCCCUUGGGAUAUGUUGUACCGUGAAGCCCUUGAAAUGCUUUUCCAUCGCUCUUACUGCUGCAAGAUACUUGACUAGCUCCGGCUCUCUAGCCUCGCUAUCCUUUUCUAUAUGCUCUUUGAGUCUGUCUUUAUUACGAAUACUUGCUAACCUAGGGCCUUCAUUUUCCUUAGCCCCAUGAGCAGUGCUUCAUAUUCUGUGGUGUUGUUUGUAGACCUCGCAUCAUUUGCAAAGCUUAGCCUUGCAGCAUAUCCCAUUUUGACUGCCGAUGGCGAGGUUACAAUAGCCAAGAUUCCAGUCCCUCUAUCACACCAGGCACCAUCACAGUGUAUAGCCCAUGGAGUCUCGAUCUCGUCUUGGCUAGCACAUGGAGAUGUCCAAUCUACGAUGAAAUCUGCCAGGACUUGUGAUUUUAUAGCACUCCUUCUCUCGAAGUCCACAACAAAUUCUGACAAUUCUGAUGCCCAUUUAGUGAUCCUCCCCGAAGCUUCUCUAUUUGAAAAGAGAUCUUGUAGAGGUUUGUUAGUAACUGCCAUGAUUCUGUGGCCCUCAAAGUAAUGUCGCAGCUUGCGUGCUGCCAUAACCACUGUGUACACAAUCUUCUCUAGCUCCGAAUAAAACAGCCUCGAACCUGAUAGUGCUUCCGAUGCAAAAUAGACUAGGAUCUGUUUUAGCUUUGCCAUCGACUUCUUUUUCUUGAAUCAGGGUGGCGCUGACGGCUGUAUUCGAAGCUGGCACAUAAAGCAAGAGAGGUGAUUUGGCUCUAGAGCGCACAAUUUGGUCAUGUUCGCCAAGUAGUCUUUGAGGUAUUGAAAAGCCUCACUUUGUUACUCCUCCCACUCAAAAUUUUUAGAGUUUCUCAGGACCUAGAAGAAUGGUAAGCUUCGCUUCACGGCUCUUGAAAUGAACCUGUUAAGGGUAGCAACUCUUCUAGUUAGCCUCUGGACAUUCUUCAGCGAGGCUGGCUCCCUCAUAUCAAGCAGUGCCUGGAUUUUGUCUGAGUUCGCUUGGAUGCCUUAUGUUGUAACUAGACAUCCCAAGACUUUGCCUCACUAAACCCCAAACACACAUUUCUCAGGGUUGAGCUUCAGGUUUGCUGCUCUCAAGUUGGCGAAAGUUUCCGCGAGGUCGAGGAUGUGGUCUUUCCUCUUAUCACUUUUCACAACUAUAUCGUCAACAUAAGCGAGAAUAUUUCUACAAAGCUGUUUGGAGAGGAUGAUUGCUAUCAUUAUUGAGAAGGUUUUCCCUACUAUUUUUAGCCCCAUGGGCAUCCUCACAAAGCAAAAGGUCCCGAAUGGUGUUACCAAUCCUAUUUUUCUCUCAUCCUCUUUUUUUUAUUUUGAGCUAAUGGUAGCCUGAGAAUAAGUCCAAUAAUGGUAACAUUUCACUAUUGGCAGCAUCGUCCACCACCUUGUCUACUCUUUGCAAUGGGUAGUGAUCUUUCAGGCAAGCCUUGUUUAGGUCAGUGAAGUCUAUGUACAUUCUCCACCUGCCGUUCUUCUUUUUGACUGGAAUAGUAUUGGCUAGCCAUUCUGGAUAGAUAAUGGGCCAUAUGACAUUAGCCUCGAGGAGUCUUUCAAUCUUGGCCUUCACUACUUGAGCUUUUUCAUCUGACAUUUUUUGAGCUUUUGCUUUUUUGGCUUCAUGCUAGGCUUGAUGUUGAGGUUGUGCUCUAUUAUCUCUUUGUUGACCCCUUGGAGGUCACUUGAGGACCAGGCAAAAACAUCUUUGUUUUUGUUUAAGAAAUCGAUUAACUCCUUCUCCUCCUCGGGCUUGGGGUUGGCUCCUAUUGUGACGUAUUUGUCAACAACAUAGUCAUCCAAGAGGACUCUUUUUGUUUCGCCAUCCACACUUAUUUUUAUCUUCUCUUUGUCCCUUUUGGGCUCAACAUAUGGUUUUUUCUUUUCUUACUCUUCAGCCUCAUUGGGGGUUGUUAGGUGGUGGACAUUCUUUUGUCCUGGGGUUACACCCUUUUCUAUAUUUCUGGCGGUUUGCUAGUCGCCAUAGAUUGUGAUGACUCCUUUCAGAACUAGGAUUUUCAUGCAUAGAAAUAGUUGCCUGAUUGCUGCAUCGAACUUGUUAAUGAACCCUCUCUCGAGGAUGGUGAAGUAAGGGUAGUACAUUUCAAUGACAUCAAAUGUGAUGCGCUCUAUUCUUGCAUUGUCGAGGUUUCCAAAUGAAACUGGAAGUGCUACCUUUCCCAGGGCUUUAACUAGCCUCCCCCUGAAGCCAAGUAGUGGGACUUCUGCUGGCUCGAGCAAGUGCUGGUCAAUUUUCAUCUCCCUAAAGGUGUUUGUGAAGAUGAUAUCUGCGGAGAUGCCAUUGUCCACUAGGACCUUCCCUAUCUUCCAGCCAGUAAUGGUAGCCUCGAUUACCAUUGCAUCGUUAUGCAAGGUUGUUUUCAAUUUGAAGUCUUCUUCUAUGAAAGAACUUGGCAUGUGUGCCCAUUCCGGCUUAGCUGGGGGACCAUCAGGUAUGAUUGUGUUCACCUGCCUAAAACAAUCUCUUUUUUAGCCUUUUGUUCUUGAACUCGAGGGAACAGCCAUCGGCGAUUGGCAUUAUCAUGCCAUAGGUUGGUAUAGCAUUGGAGUUGUCCUCGCGAUGCUCGGAUUGUUAGGAUCCCCCUGAGAUUGGCAUUAUCAUGUUGUAGGUAGGUAAGGCUUUAGGAUUGUUGUUUUGUGGGUUAAGCUCAGCUUUUGGAAUUUCAUUGGGUAGAUUUGGUGGUGGUAGUGGUAUUUCAUGGUGGGGUUGAGAAGGUACGAAGUUUGCAUUCUACGAGGUUGGUUGAGCACGAGGCCGGAAUUGUGGCGAGUGUUGCCACAUCAUGGUGGGCUAAAAGGUUGCGUGGUUGGGGUUUGGGUAGUAUGGUGGAUGUGGCCAAAAGGUUGUAUGGUGGAUGGUUUUGAGUGCCUCAGCCACUUUCUUUUCUUCGGCUAUUCUUUCAAAAACCUUUUUGGCUUCUUGGCAAAAAUCAGUUGCAUGGUCGAGUUGUUUACCAUGGAAUGUGCAGUAAAAUGAUCUUUGUUGGUUACUUUGGUUAUUUCACCUCGGAGGUCCUCUGCCUCGGCCUCUUCCUCUUCCGACAUGGUUGCCUCUUUGGCCGCUUCUGAAAUUGGGUUGAUGUUGGUGGUAUCGGUUCUGGUUUUGGCCUAGGUUUUGGUUUUGGGUUUGGUUUUUGAAUGAGGGUUGGUUAUCCUUGAUGGCCAGCAGUUGGUUUGGGUGCGAGUGGUGCUGUUGUUGGUGACUGUAUCAUGAAGCUUGCCAGUUUUGACCUUUCUCUGCUUGCCUUUGGCGGUUUCUUUCCACGACCCUUCUUUUAUGGUCUUCAUCUGAUCUGCAAUAUUUAUCCAUCUCUGCGAAUAGGGCUUCCAUUCUUUUUGGCUUUUUCCUUGAUAGCUUCGAGGCUGUUGGCCCCGGAUUAAGCCCCUUGAUGCAGAUCGCUAUGACCAUGCUAUCCUCCACAUCUGGGGUUUGUGUCUUAAGUUGGAAAAAUCUUCUCACGUAGCUUGCUAAAGGCUCUUUAUCUUUUUGCACACAAUUGAACAAAUCCCCCUCAUCAGUCAUGGCUCUAUGAAAGCCUUGAAAGUUUUGUAUCAGUUUGGUUUGAAGAUCGACCCAGCUGUAUACAAAUUGCAGCAGGAGUAGAGAGUACCAAUUUAGUGCUACACCCUCACACGCUAUAAUGAAUGACUUUGCCAAUACUACAUCAUGUCCCCCUGUCGAGGCUAUGGCUGUUUCAUAACUCAUGAGGAACUAGCGGGGAUCUGUUUGUCCAUUGAAUUUUGGUAGUGCAACUGCCUUGUAGGUUGUGGGCCAUGGGGCUGUUUGCAGGCCUAAGGAUAGUGGGGAGCUUUUGUCGGUAGUUGUGUAUGCGCUCAUUGUCACUAGGGUGUUGUGCCCAACAAGGCUAGGAUUCGGGUAUAGGAUGGGUGUGUCAUUGGUGUUGAAGGUUUGAAGUGGUGGCUGCUGCGGCUAUUGUGGUGUGUUGCACAAGUAUUCCAAUUCGUUCAACUCUUGCUGCAACUCUGCCAGCUGCCUUUUGGCCUCAUUUAGCCUCACUAGCUUGUUGGCUGCUAGUCUUUGAGCCUGAAGCUCUUGAGCAAUUUUUUCUUUUUCUUUUUUAAUGGCUCUAGCUGCUUGAGUGCCGAGGCCAUCUCUUCUUCUAUUUCACUAAGGGGUUCAUCUUGCGUGCUUGUUUGCUGCAGAGUUUGGUUCGAGGUCCCCGCCUCAACCAUUCCUUUCUGUGAUCUUGUUCUUAAUUUAGCCUCGAUUCUUUUAAACUUUUUCUGCCUUCUCCGUGUUAACUUGUUCGACUGAGACAAGCUGCCUUUCUUGUCCAGCCUCAUCUUCGAUGGUUCUCUUCUUCUUUUGAGGUGGCAUCGUGGGUUUCUUAGUCGCUCAGAAUACGGUGGGUGCCAAUGUUGGGAAACAGGCUUCAGGAAGGCUCAAAAACAACAAGGUUUGAGUAGUCCUUGCAAUUCAACUCCAAAGAAAUGAACAUACGUUUACAUCGGGGUAGGGCUCUCCUUUUAUAGUGUCUCGGAGGACACUUUACAUUCCGCAAUUACCCUCACUCACCCACCACAUUCCUAGAAUAUGCUUUACAUAGAGGUCUUUUUAAGAGGUAACUUGUAUGAUUUGGUCUCCUCCUUGGAUCACGCUUCUCACACCUUUAGUUAGCUCCGUGAUUCACUCUCUCACAUGGUUCUGCAAAUCACACCUUCACGUUCCAAUGCCUCCAUGCUUCCUGACCUUGCGAUUGAAGCCAUCUUAGCUUCGGGAGUCAUGAUUGCCCUAGCUUCGCACCUGAGAGAUGCUAUGCACCAUGCUCCUUGACCUGAUUCAGCGACCUUGCAUAAGACAGUAAAUAACUCAGCACUCGAGGUUAUCUUCAAGUGCUCAAGGUCAAGCUUGGUUAGUGUUCGGCGAUCAGUGAUUGCCUCCGAGCUUUGAGGUAAGAUUCAGGAUAGCAAGGCUAGGAUUACUUUCCAUGCCAAAUUAACUGCCUGAGGUUAGGGACCCUCACUCGAGAUUAAUUAUUUUUAGGGGCUAAGCUAUUGACGCUAAAUAUAAUGACCUCGAGGUUGACCAUCUUUUUAGGCGAUCCCCAACAAAUUAUUUUCGAUCUUUAUAUUACAGAAAUGCAUGCACACGGCUUGCUUGAUGGCGUUGUCCGCUCAUCUUGCCAUGCCUCGCCUCGUCGCCGACCACACCAUCAUGAAUGGAGAAACCACGCAUGCACUGUGAUAAGUUUAGAGCAUCCUAGUGACGGUAUUCAAGGUGCUCAAAUAGUGGUAUUCAACUUAGAAAAAUUAGUAGCACCGGAAUAUUGAACGGUCAUCGGAGCAACCAUCAGAGCACUUGGUAUGAUUAAGAAAUAAGCUUGAGUUGCAGCAAGCACCAGAUGAUCCGACAGGGUUCUGUUUAUAAGUGUCAGAGCAAUUCGCAGAGAAGAUAGAGAAAUACCUAUAGCACCAGAUGUUCCAAUGGCUAGAAGAUGAAGGCGUUGGACCAAGCAUAUUUACAUUGAAAAAUUCAUGAGAGAUUCUAGGGAAAACUCCUUCAGCACCGGGUCUUCCGACGGUACGUCGGAUGAAUUUAGGCAAAGGUCCAAUGGCUAUAUGUGUCAGUAAGGCGCACUAGAUGAUCCCAUGCUUACCUUAAGUGACCAUCGGAUCGUCCGAUGCUCACAUAUUUUACUAGGUGUUGGAGCAAAUGCCCUUUGAGGUUCAUGGGCUAUUUAUGCCCCCUCCACUCGCCCAUUCAGAGUUGCUGGAGUGUCCAUACAUCGAUUGAUGACCAAGGCUCAUCAAGAACAUAUACAUGCCACCAAAAGUGCAAAAGCGAUAAUCCAAGGCUUAGCACGAGCUAAGAGAUUGAUUAGUGCUAGGAUAGGCCUAGAGAGAGUAGUGCAAGGUGCUGAUACCUUGUGAUUGGUUCAAGGAGUGAUCCACUAUUAUAAGCUUGGUGCACCGGUGGCUUGGGGUCUUAGUGGCUCUCCGGCAAGUAUUCGACCCUCCAGCUUGGUGUGGAGCAGCAUCGACGGCCAUAUGCGAGGGACAAGAAGACUCCUUCCUUCGUGGAGCAGCUUCGUACUUGAGUGCCUUGAAUGCCUUUACUUUCUAGAGUAGUACCUUGUUAGGAUUGGCUCUAGGUUGCAAAACUCUUUAUGGGUGGGAAGUUUCACUAGAUCAACCAUAGAUGCACAUGUAGAUAGCAUGAUCUAGUUUAUGUUUGGAAGCAAGUAGUGGAAGUCAUAGGCUAAGGAUCAGUAGUUCGUAUGUGCUAGCAAUCAUCGCCUCCAGCUUCGUCGCCCCCUCUCCAUCACCCCAUCCCCGUCGCCCCCGGCCCCGUCGCCUCAUCGCCUCAGCGCCACCGUGCCCCGGUUGUCUCAAUCCUCUUCGACGUAUGAUGACUCUGUGCUGCCCCAUCCUCGUCGACAUCCUCCUCUCUGAUGUGGCCCUCGCCUCCUCUCUAAUGACUCCACACUACUGCGGCCACUGGCCCUUGGCUCCUUCUCAACCCCGAUGUCGCCCACACCCCCGGCCGUACAUCGACUCUGGUCGUCGAGCUCACCCCUCUCUUUUCCGACUCCGCGUCGUCCGGCCACCGUCAACUACUCUGACACCUGCACCCCCGGCCGUCUCCCCUCCGACGUGUUGCCCAAGCCCCCGUCACCUCCAUCCUGUCUGACGACACCGCGCCGCCCCCUACACACUUGCGGUGACGUAAGCCCGCGACCGCCGUGAUGACGUAAGCCCCUGCGGCUGCCGACAUCAUUAUGUUUCUUCUGAGCUAGAAUAUGUCUACAAAUUAUAGGAAAUUAUAGAAAAAUUGUAGGAAAUUUGUGUAAGUGUUAGAAAUCAUGCCUUUUUUUUCAAUUUGUACGUGCGUAGAGAAUAGCUAGUAAUUAUAAAAAUUGUUGGAGUAGGUAUAAAUUACAUAGAAAUUGUAGGAAAUUAUUGGAAAUUUGCAAAAAAUUUGUAUAAGUACUGGAAAUCAUACUUUUUUUUAAUUUGUACAUGCAUAGAGAAUGGCUAGUAAUUAUAAAAAUUGUUGGAGUAGGUACAAAUUACAUAGAAAUUGUAGGAAAUUAUUGGAAAAUUGCAGGAAAUUUGUAUAAGUACUGGAAAUCAUGACAUUUAUUUUUCUGUUUCAUUCUAUUUAUAUGUUGUAUAAAUGUUAGAAAUUUGUGUAGGCAUUGCAAAUUAUCUAUAAAUAUUGUAUGAGUGAUGUCAUUAUUGUUUCAUCCUAUUUUUGUUGUCAUUUCAUACUAGUGUUUCAUUCUACUUUACAUAUUGUUGUAACAUGUUACAUAUUAUAAGUGUUUAGUUCUUUUAUAUUAUACUAGGUACAAUGGCAUGAUCAGAUGACGAGAUUAUAUAUGACAUGAUUGCUGGAGGGGCCUCUCAAGCAAAUGAAGAGGUCUAUCACAGCCAGGCUAACAUGUACCUCAACCUAGCUGGUGAUGGCAUUGAGGAGCAAUGACUUGCCGAGGGAGGCAACGUGGAGCAACAAGUUCCCGAUAGAGGCAAUGUGGAGCAACCAAUAUUAUACGUAAACAUUAUUUCAAUUACCAUCUUAUCAAAAGAAACAUCAUCAUGCAACAUUUCAAUUGUCGUUUUUAGCCAUCUAGAUCGAGCAAAAUGCCUCAAAAGAAACAAGGCAAGAACAAGAAAGAUGAGGGCCGUAUCAUCAUCAUAGAAAUUGCUAAAAUAGUGAACCGAUUGCCCAUCCCAAAGCUAAGAUCAAGUUGGUGAAUCAUAUUGGGUUCCUUAUCAGAGAUAACAUUCCAAUCUGGUUUCUGAAAUGGAGGAAACCCAAGCGCAUCCGGGUCAUCACAAACCCGCUCCUUUAUGUCCCUGAUCGAGAGAAGGAAAUGUUAUGGGUACAAGUAAAAGAACACUUCAUGUUCGAAAAUGUUGACAAAGCCAAAGUGAAAGAAUGGGGCAUGAAGAAGGGUGCAAUUGUGUUUCAGACCUAUAAAAACUUGACCAAAGACUAUGUAAAGAAGGGGGUUCAACCUUAUUUCAUUGAGCACACUAAGAUAAGGGAUAUCUGGGAUUCCUUUGUACAGUUCAAGGGCACGAGCUGGGUGUCUAUGGUGAUGACCAAUAAACACAGUGAGACCCUCAAGAAAUAAUUCGAGUGAAACUUCCAAUGAAAAACACUUCACGGACAAGAAAAUGCUCAAGCCAGGCAAAAUCUAGGAGCUCUGGGUGGAUGGUUUGCUUCCCAAGGACGGACGGUCCAUGAGCGGUGGACGGUCCAACCUUAUGACUUACACAACGCAGAAUUGUUGAAAACAAAUGCAUGGCCAAAGUUUUGGCCAAAACUCUAUCAAAUCAAGUCCAAAUGCCACCAAAUUUUAGCCAUAGCAUCACAACAACACAUAGAAGCUACUUCUAAGAGAUCAUCCCCAAAAGAUUGGUCAAUCAAUAGGAAAUCCAAAUCUUGUGAAGAAUACCGCUUUUUCAACCUUGGAAACUUGAAUCGCCCUGAUGUAUGAACUCGUGAGGGGUUAGAUGAAUUCCUUUGGUAGAAAGACUUCACUCACAUCCUAGUUCAUUUCCAAAUGAUCGGUUUGAGUCAAGAAUCCCUAGAAAUCACGAAUCGAACAAAAAACAUGAGAAGGGAAAAACGGGAGAAAACAAGAAUGCGAAGAAGACAAGAGAGAUUUGCACAAAGCCGCUGUCCCCCAACACACGGAGGACUCGAGGAGGUUAGGGCUUCCAUUCCCACAACAAAAACUUUAGUUCAAUACAUGAAUUCGAGUUCAAAUCAUCCGCGGACCUCUAGAGAGAGAAAGGAAAAAACCAAAAUGAAGUGCUAGAGAGAGAGGGGGUGAAAGAAAGGUGGAAGAGGUGCUAAAAAUUUCAGCCCCCAAUCUCUAUCUAUAGGCGCCGACAAAGGACUAGACAACCCCUAAUAGCUACUACUAAGAUAACUACCCAUGUAGGGGUAUUUUUGUCCAAGUUUUUGUACGUUCAUCAGACGGACAUGCCACCUUCUCAACUUUGCUUCGCCUUGAUGUAAGCUUCAUGAUGAUGCCACAUGCCCUCCUUUUUGAACCUCUAACCGCACCGAACUCGCUCCCCCCCCCCCCCGCUUUGAGGCCCAAACCGGGAAACCUGCCAACGUGGUGGUUUUGAGGCCCAAACCACCCAAACCGUCCAUUCUUUGCUUGGCCACCAAGUCGACGUGUGUCCUGUCUCCGCCAAGUCUAGCUUUGACGCCUCCAAGUCGUUUGCUCACGGCUCCCGGGCUGCCUACUUGACUUGCCUCCGUCCUGCUUGACUAGAUCGACGCCGUCUCUAUCACCAUCAUGUUCCCUUGCUGUUCCAGGCACCAUGUGGACCGCCUAUGACUCCACCUAGACUCCUCAGGUCCAUCGGUCCAAGCCUACUCACGUUCAUCCUUCACCGCCCUUGGUCCAUCGGCACGAAACUUUCGCUUGACCUUCACCACAUGCCGUCGGUCGUCACAUCGCAUCCUACACCUGCACAUCACAAACCAAGAGCAAUAUCAAUCUAACACAAUCGUUGUCAAUCACUCAUCAUCCAAGGGUGACCACCAUUGGUCCUUAGCUCUGAGCAACCGAACCAGUCAACAAGCAGCUAUUGUAGCAUCAGGGCCACAUGUCGAUUUAAGCCCAACUUAGCAUCGAAGCAGUGUCACUUCAACAAAAGCCUUAGUGGGAAGAUCCACUAAGGUCAUUGAGGAAGGUCACCCCAUGGAUGACAUCACAGGGACAACCCCUAGUAAGCUUGUUACUCCGGUUUAAAACAAGCUCAUAGUGGUGGCUUAUGGUGCGACUGAUCGACCGACACAAGGCCAAAUAAUACAUGGCAUGCUGGUUCAAGCUGGCUAUGCCAAAGUUGCGUUGGACCGAGUGGUCAACGGUUGGAGAACCUAGAACUAGAAAUCCCUAGAGGUGAUGAGGAAAAGAAUCUAGAAUAAGCUGUCCAUGGUUGGAUUCAGUGGCCCAAGCGCUUCAUGAGGAUUACGCAACCGAAUGAUGAGUCCACCUGUACCAGAAAGGGAUCCAAGCAUGACUCCAACUCCCCCUCCCAUGAAGAAGCGUUCAAUUCCACCUCCACCUCCACCUUGUAAGAAGAAGCAGAAGAAGCAGAAGGAGAAGGCACCACCUGAGAAAUUACCUUAUGAGAUGGCACACGAGGAGUCCAAGGCUGCAGCAAAUGCUUAGUUACAAGCAUGGAUUAAGGCUUGAAAAGAAGAAUGGUUGAAGAAACAGAAUCCAGAGAAACCACUGGAUAAGCGUAACCUUCAGGCUUUCAUCAGAAAAAGGAGGUGGAGAGAAGGAAAAAGCCAGUGAAAGCUCCCCUUUCUGAUUAUGGUAGGUAGAUCACAAAAGCAGUCAGCUCAUAAGAAGAAGAAAAGUGGGAAAUCUAUUUCUUAACUCAGAGAUCCACGUGUGCAGCUUUCUAACUUUGAAAAAAAACCUGCUUGAAUUCGCUAAUGAUACAAAUCUGACAGCAGCACAACUUCGAGGGGAGGCUGACAUCCCAAUGCUCCUUGUGCCUGAAAAAUGGAAAUAUGUGUAUGGUAAAGAGCUUGUGAUUCCGAAGUUGCUAAAUUAUCUGCCAACGAAGAUGCCCAAGCUCCACCAAUGGUAUAUGGAGGCCAUAGCAAAAGGUUUGGCCAUGAUGGAAGUUUGGAUUGCUGAUCACCAUGACUUCCGUGGUGAUGACAUCAUAAUGGCCUUACUAUCAGAACUUUUCAUGCUAUUCAAUCAACAAGCACUAGACAAGUCACUCAUCAGUUGAUGGGUCCUGUAAGUCUUUAAUAUAUUCCUCUAACUUCAAAAUCCCUGCUCUAGUCAUUUUGCAGUGUCUUAACUCCUAUUCAAUUUUGUAUCAUGCAGGAUGGAGAUUUAAACUUGUCGCAAAAAUGGAUACAAUGACAUGCGCUUCAUGGACCCCUCAACAAUACACAAGAAUACUCUAAGGGAUAACCUAGAUGAGACAGCGGACAAUAUAUUUUUGUUCCUAGACAAGCACUAGGAUAAGAAAUGCAUAUUAUUACUGUGGAACUCCAGGUAAGCAUUUUUACCAUCUCUUUCUUUUCUGAGCUAGCACUUAUACAUAAUACUAAUUAGCUUCAAUUUCGAUGUACAACAACCAUUGGAUACUCAUUGUUAUUGUGCCCUAUUGGAGUAUCGUGUAUGUCUUUGACUCCUUGAGGAGACCAAAGGAAAGUUACGCUGACAUAAUGAACACUGUGAAUAAAUGCUGGGCUCGAUUCCGUCGAACUCACAAGGGUGAUUUCAAGGAAAAACUUGAUUGGAAGAUAGAUUUUCCGGUAUGUGUUCUCAAUUUUCACAUCUCGUGAAACUUCCAUUAACAGAAAACAUAUUACAUAACUUUUUUUCAAUAUAUACAGUGUGCAAGACAGCCGAAUGGUACUGAAUUAUGCGGAUACUACGUUUGUGAUUACAUCCAUGCCUUGAUCAGUCCGAGCGGCCAUAUCAGCGAACACAAAUUAACAGUACGUAUAUUUUUCAACAAAAAGUUAGUUCAUGUGUAUAUUCUUCAAAAAUCAAUCCAAGUGUAUAUACUUAGAAUAAUUAGAUUAAGUAUUUCAAUUCAUUUGGUUGUACAUCAACAAAGUUUCAAUCGUUCAAAAAUUUUAGCUUAAGUAUUUCUAAUUCAUUUGCCAAUGACACAGAUGAUGACUAGGAAGGAAAGACUCGUAGAUACAGAAAUUUUCAGGGCAAUCCAAGAACAACUAUGUGGAUUUCUUCUAGAUAAGGUCGCAAAUCCUUUGGGGGAGUUGCACCAUGAUGGGACUCCGAUAGUGCACAAACCGGCCUCGGGUUCAUAAUAGCAGAUACGAUAUGUGUAUGCAAUGUGUAAUAUUAACCAAACAUCUGUUUAUGCACAAUACGACAAUAUUAUCUCAAAUGUUAUAUUCAAAAUAAAUAGAAAUUUACAUAUAUUAGUGUAUUAGAAUCAGUAUAUGUAAAGGAAACAGAUAUAAAAUAUGAAUAUACAAUAAAGUAACAGAAAAUAAGAAAAAAAAGGAAAACUGCAUUAGUACCGGUUGGGGAUACCAACCGGUACUAAUGAGGGCACCUCCCCGCGUGGCAUGGCAAGCCCUUUAGUACUCGUCGGUUUACUCAACCGGUAUUAAAGGUUACAAUUUAUUACUGGUUAUUUCAACCGGUACUAAAGGGACCACCUCUAGUACCGAUUGCACAGUACCAGUUACGGUUCCGGUACUAGAGGGGGGUUACUGACCGGUACUACACGUCAUUUUUCCAGUAGUGUAUAAACUGGCGGGAAAGAUUCCUUCAUCACCGCUAGCUCUUGUACUAGACCGUCAGUGCUGAUGGUCCUCUUCACAGCCCAUGGGACAGCAACCGGCGGUGAUGAACUCGCAUCACUAUCCGUCCAUGGUCCGGCUAUGAUAGGCAACCUCAUCACCACCGACAUUUAUGUGCCAGCAGGCCCCCAAACCACCCGUGAUGCAGGGUUUUGGGGCUAGCGGUGAAGGCCUGUUGUGCAGUAGUGUGCAUACAAUGAUUCAAAAUAAACCUAAUAUUUUCCCUUUAUAUCUUUUUUUCUUUUAUCGUACUUUUCUAGGCCUCACUUUGUAGUUUUUCUUUCAAUUUCACAGUGACUGAGGUGUCAGGUGGCUUGCCGACGCUGAAUGAAACAACCUGAGGUGGGCUGGCCAUGACGGGUACCUAAUAAAGGGAGUGUCUGUCGCACAAGCGUUGGAAGAGCAUCUCCAGCAGUUCCCAGUAACAAUGAAAUGGAUAUUGGAGUAACCCCAUGCACUAAUUAUUGAGAAAUAUUUAUUAAGAGAUUGCUGGAGAUGCUCUAAGGUGAGCUCAUACGAGAUACAUGCAUGCUAGUGCUCAUAUGAUGGUAUGUUUCUGUGUCAUCUAAUACCAACACAUGUAUUCCUUUCUCCAUCACAAUCCUCCUUCGCAUAAGGUGUUCAGUGCUGUUGUGAAAUAAGCAUAGCUCAGCUUGUAUAUUUCCUUGUGGAACCCGCCCAUCAAGGUUCGAGUUAUUGACUUGGCACCGGUGCUCGCAUUUUCCUGAUUAAUUCUAGAAUUUAACCAGCACUAUCCUUUCAGUGGUAGACAACAUGCUCGUCGAUAGCGAGGCACCAUAAGUGACUUCGCCAAUCUCGAGGAUCUGUCGGUUCAGUCUCUUGGAGGUGCUUAAAGGUAGGGUUGCAUGUGUACAGACACAGACGCUCACAUAAACUUACAUAAAUUCAAUGGUAUUAAUACACCCUACCCUUAUCAGCACCUCUAAAACACUAAGCCAAUAGGUCCUUGAGAUUGACCCUUAUGAGCAACUCUGGAAAACUAAGCCAGCAGAUCAUGGAGAUUGACAAACUCACCAUGGGCAGCUCGCCAUCGAUGACUAUGUUGCCUACCACUGAAAAAAUAACAUCGGUUAAAUCCUAGAAUAAAUCUAGAAAAAUAGAAGAAGCGCUAGCGUCGAGUCAAUAACUUGAACCCUGGUGGGCUAUUUACCAGCUGAGCUAAUACUGAGUUCUCUACCCUGGUGGUUUUUGGGAGAUUUGCUUCCUACCUACCGGGACUAAUACUGAGUUCUCUACGUGGCCAGAUUUCUACCACCAGAAAUCUAAUAACUGCAGCCUUGUUAAAUUUAAUUAGCAUUCUUAUUCGUGAUAUUCUGAAUAUACACGCACACAUGACACAUAUCACACAUGGUUUCCACUCCCUUUCUUGGCGCUCUCCGCCGCCACGGACAGCGCAAUGGCCGUCUCUAGCCACAAAUUCAACAGUACGAUGCAAGUCUUUUGACAACUCUCCUGAGCUUAUAAAUGGUUGUAGUGCUAAAUUGCUAAAUGCCACAUGUGGAAUUGAAUCUUGGCACAAACUUUAAUCGUGGGAAACUCGCACGGUAUGAGUUUGGCACAAGUUGGGAUUCCCUGCGUCAAGUAAUUGCAGGGCUAAAAGUAGAGUCCCAAGUAUGUGUUUUGUCCUUUGCAAACGUUGGUUGUUGGCAUUACUAAAAAAUUAGCUUUCUAUAUAUAUAUACUCUAUUCGUCUCACAAAAAACACAAUUGUAUGAUUCAAAUUUGUCCAUAAGGAAUGUAAUUGCAGCUUCUACCCAUUUCUUUUAAACUUCUCAUUUUUUGGAGCAGUGAUGUCAUAGGGUGACCCCCGCUACUGAAAAUGACCAUGAUCUGGCUCUACAAAUGCUUCUUCAUAGGUGGGACAUGCAGAAAGUACGGUAAGCCCACCCCUUUUGUAGAAGAGGGUGACCUUUUGGACCACCCAGAGAAAUAAAUCGGGAUGCGCCUACAAAUCCUUUCUGUAGUAGUGAGAGAAAGAGAUUGCGGUUGAAACAACAAUCCUUUCAUGAAAUUACCGCCUCAUAAGUCAAAUUUUAGGACAACAAGACGGCUAGUCCAUAUUUGUACGAGUUGUGGUUACUCUGCAACUCAUAAUAUAUUUUUUCUAUGCACAAAGUAAAAGAAUAGAAAUAUAUAAUUACAUCGAGACUACUUAAAAAUACAACACAAUGUAAAGGUUAUUUGUUAACUUGCCUCAAGAUUACAUGUUCUCUAUUAGGUAACACCAAUAUAUAUACUGGUUCUAAAGAUUCAAUUUAUCAUUAGCUAGACACAUGGCGAUCAUGUGCAUUUAAAUCUAUAGUGUGACUUGGAGAAAAAAAAAGUAAUCUUCAUCCGUAUGGCCGUACAGUGACUCUCGCUCUUGACAGGUAUUAGUGUAAGUAGCAUAUAUAAAGAACCCUCAUGCACGCUUUGGAUCCCCAUCCCUGCUAGCAUAUAUUCAUUCAUAAACUCACGGGUAUUCUCUCAUGGUCAUGGUGCUCCCAAUGUUGCUGGUUUGUAUGGUAGUGACGGUAGUGAUCACCGUUCAUGUCAUCUGUGCCCUAGAUGAACACAAGCGAAAGAGAUUUUCCGGUGCAUCUCUUCCACUGCCCCCUGGCCCGGUCGCUCUCCCCAUCGUCGGGAAUGCCUUCAGCUUCAUCGGGCCGUUCGGCCACAACCCACACCGCAUACUCACGAGCCUCGCCAAAACCUAUGGGUCCAUAGUGUCCUUUCGGCCAGGCAUGGCAGGCAAUUUCGUGGUAGUGUCAUCCCCUGAAGCAGCACGUGAAGCUCUCAUCAAGAACGAUGCCGCGCUCGCUGCCCGGUUCGUGCCGGACAAUACACGCGCCUUAGGCCAUUGCUCGGAGUCAAUGUUCUUCCUCCCAACCUAUAGCCAUUUGUGGAAGCAGCACCGCAUCACAUUGGGUACCAGCCUCUCAACUGGCCGGGGCCUUGACACAACCCGCCCCAUUCGGGAUCGCCAUGCCUGUCGGCUCAGCGAGCACUUAAGGUUCUGCUCUGGCAUGCCAAUCAAAAUUGGAGAGGCCGUCCAAGGCACAGUGCUCGAUGUUAUGUCCAACAUCCUCUUCUCUAAGGACGGGACGCACUUGCGCGUGAAGGGGGGCCAGUUGUUCAAGGACCUCCUGGUGGAGGUCCUCGAGGACUGGACUAAGCCCAACGUUUCUGACGCUUUUCCCUUCUUCGCGUCACUUGACCUCCUUGGCUCACGCCGCCGAAUCUCCAGAGGUUUGGCUAAACUGUACAAGUUCUUUGAUGAAGAGUUCGUCGAACGUCGGUUAGGCAGCAGUGAGAACCACCACGAUUUGUUGGACUUCAUCCUCUCGCAGCAUGCCAAGUCGAAGCUCACGCGUUCAGAGAUCACCAAGUUCUUCACGGUCGGCUAUACAUAUGAUCUCUGAACAUAAAUAUAAUUGCUGUCUUUCUGCUUUCUGUACAUUUUCUUGGGUAACUGAUAUACUAAUUAACUUACAUUUUUUUAUAUGCAUUUCUGUUCUUAACCUAUCAAUAGGAUAUCUUUCUUGCCGCGAGCAACACAAGUAGGAUCACCGUGGAAUGGGCAAUGGCACUCCUACUUAAGCAUCCAGAAAAGAUGAAGAAGCUGCGUGCUGAGCUUGCAGCGAGCCUUGGGACCAAGGAGUUUGUCCAGGAGAGCGACUUGGACAAGCUCCCCUACAUCCAUGCUGUGGUGAAGGAGACACUACGACUGCAACCAUCAGCACCGCUGCUACCACGAAUGGUGUCCACGGACGGCAUGUCACUUGGCGGAUUCUCAGUACCAAUUGGUACCAACAUUCUGAUUAACCUUUGGGCCAUUGGAAGGGACCCAACGGUGUGGCCUCAGGCGGGAGAGUUUCUGCCUGAAAGGUUUCUGGGCAGCCGAUCACUGGACUUCCGGGGAUCAGAAGACUUCACAUAUAGGCCCUUUGGGGCAGGGCGAAGGAUGUGCCCAGGACUGGACUUCGCUGCGCAGUUGAUUCCACUUUUGCUAGCCUCGAUGUUGCACAAGAUCGACUGGAGCCUACCUGAUGGGAUCGUGCCUGAGGAUGUGGACCUCAGGGAUCGCUACAGCAUGGUUCUGGAGCUCGCUAAGCCCCUCAUUGCGGUGCCAGUGUCAACGGUGUGCCGUGCUCCGCCGUGGCUGAUGUAGCGUAACUUCAUAUCAGCCGCCGGUACACAAGUGGUUUUAGAGGUUUGUGUGGGUGAAUAUAGGGAAUUCAUACCCAAAUCCAAACCCAGCUUAAAGGUAUGGGUAUAUAUAUACACACACUAGCAAAUUUGCUCGUGCGUUGCCACAGAACGUAAACCUUGGACAAAAUACCCGUGCGUUGCUACGGUAAAAAAUCAAUUGUAUUUUUUCAAAUUAAUAAUAUUUUUUAUUUUCAUCACUAAAUUUUUAUUCCACUUAUUAGAUAUCUACACAUUUAAUAGAAAACUAAAAGUCCUCCAUCCAGGCCCUACCUCCUCUCCUCCCCUAGAUUCGGCCGGCGCCCUUAAAGGCUAGCUAAGCCAGCAAUUCAACAUUCGCAUCCCACUUUCAUUCUUAAAGGCUAGCUAUGCCAGCAAUUCAACAUUCACAUCUUUUGUGUAAGCAAUACUGUUUGCGUUGUCUCUGACAUGGGACAUGGCUGGUGCAAACAUGCAUUGCAAAGAGAGCUCUUGUUAUACCCCUAGUUUUCUCACACCAAAGAAGGGGUAUAUAUAUUUGUUUCUUUCGGGUAAGUCACCAGCAACAUGGGCUUCAAGCCCACAAACCAGCCCACUAAGCCAACUCUCUGCCCUCUGAAGCUGGAGUCACAAGGCUGGAGUCUGCUCGGACGUUCUUAUCCACGCGCUCAUGACCGGCCGUCGACCCGCGCCCCACCGCAGAGGCCAUAACCUAUAGCCAUGUAGCCCGCUUGUCAGCCACUAGCCAUGCACCACGUUCUCGUCGUCCAUAGUCCAUCCUCUCCAUGUGCCCCACAUGCACAUUUACCGCCACUAAACACCUCGCCCCCACCCCAUUCUCUGCUCCCUCCCAUGCGGGCACGUGGCUCGUCCGUUUCGCUCCCAUGCCACCGCACAGCAAAACCCCGGCCGACCUGCUUACUUCCCUGAGCAGCAGCAGCGGAAUCAGACCACCGGGCUCGGGACCUCGGGUACACCGAGGGAAAGAAUGUUGGAGGCCGCACGCAGUGGCUCACACCCGUGGUGCUGUUCGUGCUCGUGAACCUCAUCAUCGCCACGUCGCCGUCGCGUCCAAGCUGAUGUCGUCAGGGACAGGGACGGCGGCGCCCGGGGGGUCGACGAGGUGGGCGGCGGCAGGUGGAGGGCCCUCCUGCGUGUGCCAUCCCUCACCGUCGACUGCCUCCGCACGUCGUUCAACUUCUCCCGCCUCGGCGGCCUCGCCGCCGACCACUCGCCGCUCUUCGAAUACGCGGCCUCGGAGCUAGCCUUCCCCCAGCUACCGGCGAUGAGCUACCGGUGACGGGGGUCGCGGCGGCGCCGGGAAUGGUGGCCACGACGAUGAGCUCGAGCGCGAGAAGGUGGUGUGCAUCUAGAGGAGCCGGUCGGAGGCGGCCAUGGAGCUUGCGCCCAGCAGCUGGCGUCCGCGGGCGAGGAGGACGCGGAGGGCGGCGGCGGUCGAGGAGCCGGCGCUCGCGCACGACGUUCUCGUCACCCCCGCGUGGCGGCGGUGUCGAGGGAGGCUAGCGCCGUCGCCGUCGCCGGGCGCGGCAAGGUGCCAGCGGUGGAGGUAGACGCGCGCGCGAAUGACUUCAUCCGGCGGUUCCGGGAGCAGCUCCGGCUGGAGCGCCUCGACUCCAUCCUCCGCUACCAGGACACGCUUACGCACCACGAUCAAUAAAUCAAUUGUUAAACCCACCCGUCAAUGUUGGAUGAAACUAAAAGAGUGGAUAUGGGAAGAAAUGGGAUUGGAUUGUGCACGUGUGUUUAAAAUAAAUGUCAAGAACUCAGCUAUGGAAAUCAUGACCUGAGCUUGCUCUCAGAUUGAACCAAGUUGCACGCACCUCUAUUCCCGUGUGUACCCUUGUUUUACGAACGGUAUAUCUUACCGUCACCUAAUUGGAGUCCUUUUCAGUUAAUCCUUUUCUAGGAAAAAGAUACCCUGUUGAAACAUAUAAGAUAAUGUUUUGGUUUCAUGAAAAUUGAAAUUAAGGAGAGUCGCAGCUAUCUAUUCGCAGCUUACAUGAUGUCACUGUCCUCGUCAUCCUCGGCACUGGCAGAGCGUCGUUGGGGCCUUAGAGGACCACGGCCCCCUUGCUUGGUAAAAAAAAAAAUCAGAAGAGCAAAGUGCAAAUUUCCAGUCCAAGUGCAGUCCGUGGCUUCUUGACACGUAAUUCAGCGCACAAUCAAGAAAUCCCACAAGGCAUUAACCAUAUAGGCACAAACAAACAUUGAAAACAAUAGAAAAAAACAUUGAGCCAAUUCCAGCAACUAGCGGAUGAGACAACGACCUCAGCCGUCGCAAGACGGACGCUUCCUUCACAGUUGACUCAUUGAGGUUGUCAUCGUCGGCUGUCGCCACUCGCCAGGGCUGGCGCCUUGCAGCCUGGUGCUAGAACUUUCAUCCGGCCAUUUUUGUUUAAGCCAGUUCAAGUUAGGGCAAGGAGGAAAGGAAAGUAUGGUUGCUUUUCUUCCUUCUUUUGUUUAUCUUCUAAGUUCUUAACACAUUAGAUCCGUAGAAUAUGCAGGCUACUAUUGCCUAAUUAGCUGGUAAUUUGUUGUCAGUUGAGAUCUAUUGUUAUUUCUUUUGAGAAAAUUGAGAUGUUUCGCUAGUUUAUUUGGCCCUAAUCCCCAAAUUGCACAGUUUAUACGGUUUGGUGGUUUUAUAACUAAAUAGAGUUCUGCAAUUUGGUAGGUAGGUACAAAUGGGUAAAGAGAAGCCUAUUGAUUCAUUUUUCAACAGCAAAAGAGAUGAACCAAUUGUGGACUGUCGAGCAACCUCUGGUUCAAGCCAACCAAUUUCCCCCCUACAAUUUGCUUCACGCUCCGCCACUGAUCCUCGAUCCUCGGUGAGAAUUUUUAACCUCUUUGAAAAAGUCGGCGAUUGCGAAUCUCCACCUGCAUUUUUUGUUCUAAACCUUUUUAAACUUGUUUGUGAUUGCGAAUCCAAGGAGAUGUACCUGCAUAACAGAAGCUAUCUUUGCUGCUAGACAGAUCGAGCAGCGAGCUCACCCAUAACUAUUGAAUCCACAGUAGUGGUUGCCAGGACUUGCAGGCGACAUACCUGUACAGAUGAUUUGAAGUGCAAAACCACUCCUAAACUUGCUGUUAAUUCGAAUAUUAUUACCUUGCCCAUCUAGUAAAACAGAUGCAUCUGCGUAGGCAAAGUUGGACCGCAAAACUGGACAGCUCUCUGUGGUGUUGUUUAGAUGGACGCUGCCCCCUCCCGUUUGCAUGUUUUCUUCCCAGCACAGACGCUGUUUCUUGAAAUGGAUUCUGAAAUAUUGUGGCGAAAUGUCCUUUUCUAAGUGGGCCUAGACCCAUAAAUUCGCGAGCUCCGCCCCACUCACCACUGCCACACCGUAACUCCGCCUGUGCUGUCGUGGCCACUUGCUCGCCUCGUCGCUCUCGCGCGUCACAGUAGCAGCAGUUCUUGAGGCGGCACGCUGCCUGAAAGCUAUGCGAGCCCGUCAGCUCGUCAGACACGCUGCCUGCCUCCCGCUACGCUCCACCUCCCCAUCACCACGCUGCAAGCCGACGCCCGCAAGCUGCCGCUCGGCCACAGCGCCGCUGACACUACGGGAAAGCAUAAAGUCGCCGAGUGUAAUAACUUCGCCGAGUGCUUUUUUUCGGGCACUCGGCGAAGAACCGUGUUGCCGAGUGUAACACCAAAAACACUCGGCAAAAAUAAAACACUCGGCGAACAACCUGUUUGCCGAGUGCCCUCCAAAAAACACUCGGCAAACACCCAGGCGGCACUCGGCAAACUUUGACACUCGGCAAACUGACGCCCACGUGACUUCCCCGUGCCGACGGCGGCGCCCCUCCGUGACGGCCGUUAGUGUUUGCCGAGUGUCAAUAUAGGGCACUCGGCAAAGGCACUAGUUUGCCGAGUGCCAUGAUGGGACACUCGGCAAACUAUAGUCUUUGCCGAGUGUCUUGUUGGGACACUCGGCAAACCCUAUAGUUUGCCGAGUGCUAGGGUGUACACUCGGCAAACUAUAGCGUUUGCCGAGUGUUUUUUUACACACUCGGCAAACAUAAUUUUUUUCCCCUCCUCCACCCUCCAAACUUUUUACACUCCACAUGUAUGGCAUUUGGCACUGCAUGGUAGAAGAUGGACUAUUUUUUGACCUGUUUGCUAUAUUUAAUCAAUUAAUUUCAUUUAGAGUAAUUUUUUGAUUUAAGUCAAAUUUGAACUGCAGGUGGUUGGAAUAAUGGAAUAAUAUGAGUGAAAAAAUCAUAUUGAUGUUAGUGAGUCUAAAUUGAUGUCUCACCCAGAAAAUGAAAACAAAUUUCGAACAUGUUGCUAAGGAAACACGACUACGAACGUGUGGCCAAAUGAUUGUUUAAUUCUUAAAAAUACAAACGAAGUUUGAAAAUCAUGAGAUUUUGCAAGAUGCUUUGAUUUCGUAUGCAGAGGCCGUGGUAAAAAAUUGAUAAGGUUUCGCACAAGUUUUGACAUAUGAUGUUUACAAUUCGAAGCAUCUCCGGAGAGGUUUCAGAGAAGUUCAAAGGAUCCGGUAAGAUUUUGAGAUGAAUCGAUAAAUAUAAUUCACAUUGAGUCCAAAUUUUUUUUUAUAGGCUAUAGAGAACAUAGAUAGGUUCAUGUCAAAUUUUGGGAAAUUUUCAGAUCCGUUUGGUAAUUUUUAUUCAUUAAUUGGACGUAUAUGAAUUUAAUAGAUAUAAAUUAAAUAUGAGCUAUAAAUCCAUGAAAUAAUGGUACAAUAUUACUUAAAAAAUGAAAUACGCAAUGUUUAGUGAAUUGGACUAGGGUUACACAAAGUUUACGUCCUUUUAAUUACUAAAAGUGGUGUUGGACAUGCAAUAUAGGUAGGUGUUUGCCGAGUGCUACCUAGGGCACUCGGCAAAGGGAUGGUUUGCCGAGUGUCACAAAUAGGGCACUCGGCAAAGUCACAAAUAGGGCACUCGGGUCCACGUCGCAGUGUCUGGCAAUGUUUCGGGGGGAAAAACACCCUUUGCCGAGUGCCCCGGAUCUAGCACUCGGCACAGNNNNNNNNNNNNNNNNNNNNNNNNNNNNNNNNNNNNNNNNNNNNNNNNNNNNNNNNNNNNNNNNNNNNNNNNNNNNNNNNNNNNNNNNNNNNNNNNNNNNGACGAGGAAGAAGAGGAAGAGAUCUCCAGCAUCCGGGGGAUGACUCGGUCGAGGACGCGUGACCGUGGAGCAAGAGACCACGCAGCAACCAGCACCAUCACCCAGCACAGGCGCUGCUCAUGCACCAGCACGACGCCCGUACCGGUCGUCGACUUGAUGGAUGAUGAGCCCGAAGCAGAUGCCGAGCACGAGACAUGGACCAAAUGGGUGAAGAUAGAUCAUGGCCAAGGAGUGCAAAUGGCUCGACAUCCUCAGGUGGACUUGUCACCGCUUGGGGUACAGCAUGAGGCCACUCUACAAGUCCUCUCGGUUCACCCACCCUCGCUAUCCCACUUUUUACGAGGUGAAGGUUGUCCUUGGUGAGGAGCACGAAGGAGGAUGGUAGGUGAAGUUUAUUCACCAUGAUGUGACCAUGAGGAGGCCCAUGGAGUCCGACGCGCACUAGGCCCCCAGAAGGGCAGUUGAGGUCGGCUCCCACCCGCAGCCCGUGCCACUGGUCCACAGUUACCACCGGUCCCUUCCUUACGCAGCUAGUGGGGAAGCCAGCCCCUCCACGCCCACUAAUCAGCGGGUCGCCCCGCCCACCGACUUCCGCCGCCAGGCGCCGUCCGCCCCCCUGCCGCCCCGCACCGACCGCCCCACGCCCCCGGCCCCGACCCUCGGCCGCCCCGAGCCGUCGCCGCCAGGCCGCGCCCCUGCCGCCGUCCCGCGCCCGCUCCUCCGUCACCCCUCCGGUAAGUUUAUGUUGCCGCUACACAUCGUAAAUUAGAGUAUGCAUGAAAAUGGAAAUUAAAUGUGAAAAUACUAGAGNNNNNNNNNNNNNNNNNNNNNNNNNNNNNNNNNNNNNNNNNNNNNNNNNNNNNNNNNNNNNNNNNNNNNNNNNNNNNNNNNNNNNNNNNNNNNNNNNNNNNNNNNNNNNNNNNNNNNNNNNNNNNNNNNNNNNNGCUUACCAGGGAUCUAAUAAAAUGAUCACGUACACAUCCUCGGGUGGGAUUAGGACCUAUCUUUACCUAGUAGACAAUAUAGGAGCGUGUAUAUGCCAUGUGAAUUUUGUAUUACUUAUUUAAAUGGUAGAGGAUGGAGGAUCGUCAGUGGAUGUACACGGGUCGCACUAGUCAGAAUACGUUGACCAAUGAAUGGCUUGACAAGACGGAUGCUUUCUUGGAACGGGCGUUUGCAAGUGUCAAUGGAGCUCGAUCGACUUGGUGUCCGUGCAGCAAAUGUGGAAACAUGCGUCGGCAAACCAAGCUGGAGAUGGGCAAACAUCUGGUGAAGAACGGAUUUACGUCAGACUACACCAGGUGGAUCUACCAUGGUGAAUAUGACCGUGGGAGAGAGGAGGUCUUGAGACAACGAAUCGAGGAAUUUGAUGAUGAUGCCGGGGUGGGAGAUAUGUUGAAUGACUUUCAUGAAGCACACUUCGAAGAGGCACGUAGGGAGGAGGAUCCAGAGGCUACCGCUAAGGCUUAUUACGAAAUGUUGUCUGCGGCACAGCAACCCCUUCACGGCCAUACCAAGGUUUCUCAGCUAGAUGCCAUUGCACGCCUAAUGGCUGUGAAGUCUCAGUUUAGUUUGAGUCGAGACGCGUUUGAUAUUAUGUUGACAGUUUUUGGAAGCCUGCUCCCGGUUGGUCACAUCUUGCCAAAGAGCAUGUAUGAGGCACAGAAACUCCUUCGUGCACUUAAGAUGCCAUACGAGCAUAUACAUGCAUGCCCGAAGGGAUGCAUCUUAUUUAGGAAAGAGUAUGCGGAAGCAAAAUACUGUGUGAAGUGUGAAUCGUCUAGAUUUCUGGAGGUUGAUUCGGGUGACGGUCAGAAAAAGCAGCUCGCAAUUCCUGUGAAGGUUCUACGGUAUCUUCCUUUCAUACCGAGGAUCCAACGGCUUUUCAUGACUGAAGAAUCCGCAAAACAGAUGACAUGGCACAAAAAUGGCCGUCGCUAUAAUCCAGAGAAGCUGGUACACCCAUCCGAUGCUGAAGCCUGGAGAAGCUUUGAUGCGAUUUAUCCUGCAAAAGCUCUAGAGGCCCGUAACGUACGCGUUGCGUUGGCAACUGAUGGGUUCAAUCCCUAUGGAAUGGCGGCCGCCCCGUACACCUGUUGGCCCAUUUUCGUUAUCCCACUGAAUCUCCCACCCGGCGUCCUAUUUCAACGACAUAAUAUAUUCUUGUCGUUGAUAAUUCUAGAGCAUCCGGGAAAUAAUAUGAGUGUGUAUAUGGAGCCUCUGAUUGAUGAUUUGCUCCGUGCUUGGGAGGAAGGAGUAUGGACCUAUGACCGAUGCACAAAGACAAACUUCAAGAUGCAUGUUUGGUACCAGUACUCACUGCAUGACUUGCCGGCAUAUGGGAUUUUCUCCGGAUGGUGUGUUCACGGGAAGUUCCCUUGCCCAGUAUGUAAAGCAUCUUUGAAGUUUAUUUGGUUGUCGAAAGGGGGCAAAUAUUCAUCGUUUGACAAACAUCGACAAUUCCUCCCUCCUGACCAUCCAUUUAGACGAGACAUGAAGAACUUUACCAAAGAUGUUGUAGUUACAGCCCCCGCACCGCCGAUGAUGACAGGGGCCGCAGUUCGUGCUCAGUUAGACGCUCUUGAGUUCAAUAAUGAAGAAGGUGGUUUUUUAGGAUAUGGCGAGCAACAUGCUUGGACGCAGAAGUCGUGCUUGUGGAAGCUUCCAUAUUUUGAUGAUCUACUUGUUCCACAUAACAUUGAUGUAAUGCACACGGAAAAAAAUAUCGCCGAGGCAAUUUUUGGUACUAUAAUGGACAUUCCUGACAAGACAAAGGAUAAUGUUAAGGCUAGAGUGGAUCAAGCGACAUUGUGCAACAGACCACAGCUAAACAUGGCGCCUCCAAGAGCUGGCAAGUCAUGGAGGAAGCCUAAGGCCGAUUUCGUUCUGACGAGGGCUCAAAGGAGGGAGGUUCUAGAAUGGUUCCAAACAUUAAUGUUCCCUGAUGGCUAUGCAGCGAACUUGAAGAGGGGAGUGAAUUUAGCAACUAUGCGAAUCAACGGGCUCAAGAGUCAUGAUUACCAUAUAUGGCUUGAGCGCCUCCUUCCGGUGAUGGUUCGAGGCUAUGUCCCUGAGCAUGUGUGGCAGGUGCUAGCGGAGUUGAGCAAUUUCUUCCGCCGGCUUUGUGCGAAGGAGUUAUCUCGUACCGUGGUUGCAGAAAUGGAAACAAUGGCGCCUGUGUUGCUUUGUAAGUUGGAGAAGAUCUUUCCUCCAGGGUUCUUCAAUCCAAUGCAGCAUAUGAUUCUACACCUCCCAUAUGAAGCACGAAUGGGGGGGCCUGUGCAGGGUCGUUGGUGCUACUCAAUUGAGAGAUGUCAAAAGGUUCUUCGAACUAAAUGUAAGAAUAAGUGCAAAAUUGAAGCAUCCAUUGCAGAGGCAUACAUUCUGGAGGAGGUGUCAAACUUCACAUCGAAAUACUACGCUGAGAACCUUCCUAGUGUGCAUAAUCCACCUCCUCGUUACAAUGCUAGCGAAGAUGAAUUAAGCCUUAGCAUUUUCCGAGGGCAACUCGGAAGUGCAAGUGGUGCGACCCGCAAGACCCUUAAUCAUGAAGAGUGGCGCUCUAUCAUGCUAUAUGUGUUGACCAACCUAUCUGAAGUGGAGCCGUACAUGAUGUAAGUCACCGACAAACUUAUUUCGACGUAUUAAUGGUAUCUCUUGCCUAAACGUAUCUUUCUCCUUGGCAUAGGCAAUUUCAUCGUCAAUUCUGGCGUAAAUCAAGGCAACCGACCCCGCACGAAGCUGAGACUCUUCUUAAAGAGGGUGCGGGAAAUGGAAUGCCCGAUUUCAUUUCUUGGUUCAAACAGAAGGUAAAAUUUCAUUUCCGCGAACAUUCUAGAUACUCGUGCAUACGAUUAAUAUAACGAACCGCCCUGUUCGUACUUGCAGGGCCGAACCGAUGCGUCUAUGAAUGCCGAGUUGAGACAGGUUGCCAAUGGCUGUGACUAUAGGGUCAGGUCGUUUGCCGGUUAUGACGUCAACGGAUAUAGGUUUCACACAACAAGGCACGAGCAGAGUCGGCCCAAUCGAAGAACCACAAAUACCGGAGUUUUCACGCCAGGCUCCGAUGGAGUCGAGUACUACGGAAGAAUUGAAGAAAUAUACGAACUCACUUUUCAUGGGUGUAAACCUCUUAAUCCAGUUAUAUUCAAAUGUCAUUGGUUUGAUCCAUCUGUCGUGAGACGGGCCCCUAACCUUGGGCUAGUCGAAAUUCGACAGUCAUCCAGGUUACCAGGAGACGAUGUCUAUAUUGUGGCUCAACAGGCCACGCAAGUUUAUUAUUUGUCAUACCCGUGCCAAACCGACAGCCGUCUUAAGGGUUGGGAUGUUGUGUACAAGGUAUCACCACACGGUAAACUACCUGUACCAAACAAUGAAGAUUACAAUAUAGACCCCGACACGUACGAAGGAGAGUUAUUCCAACAAGAUGGGCUCGAAGGGAGUUUUGUGAUAGAUUUAACCGAAGCGAUCGGAAUGGAAGUAGACAACGAGAGGGUUGCUGCAGAAGACGGUGGAGACGAGGUUCAGAAUGUGAAGGACUUAGAAUUACUUCAACGAUUACAGUUAGAUAAUGACAGUGAUGACGACAUUUCUUCUUCGGAGCACGAGCUUGACUAUAUCGACACGCGUGAUAGUGAUGAUGAGACUUAUGAUCCAGCUAAUCCCGAUCAUGAUGAUUAUUUCUAAUACAUGUAUGAUUCGUAAUAAUUUAGCUAUAAUUACUUGUAAUUUGCAUAUAUUUCUAAUUAUGUUUUGUUUGUCUAUGCUGACUCGUGUACUCUUUUUAAUUGCAGGUCAUCAAGCAAUGGUGGGCGGUAUCAGGAAGCUCACGUCGAUUUGCGAGAGACUGGCCGCGGCAGGGACUGGUUCAGGGUCAGGGUCACGUUCAGUCUCGGGUCGAGGGAGGCGUCGAGGCAGGCCUCGACGUAGGGUUGAGGAGGAGGAGGAGGAGGAGGAGCAGGAGGUGGUCCAGAGGCCUCGAGGGAAAGGUAAAGCGGCGAGGCCCCCGUCGCCUGAACCUGAGGAGGAGGAGGAGGAGGAGGAGGAGGAGGAGGUACCUUCCGCACACUCCUCUGGGGACGAGGAGGCGGAGGAGGAGGAGCAGCAGGAGCAGGAGGGGGAUGGGGAGGCAGGGGAUACCCAGGCCAAGAUAUGGUUGCGAGGUCCCUCAUCCCUCCCGAAGCGGCCGAUACCUGAGCAUUUACGCCCGCUCAUUAAACCGGUUGGGAUCAAGUAAGUAACUUUAAAUAUUCUUGAAAUUGUUCUUAUGUUGUAAGUUACAAAAAAUAAUAAUUCAUAUUAAUUACUUGUGCAGGAGUUGGGUUAAGCUCAGCGGGGGUGACCACAACCGUAAGGCCAACGGGAUCCUUGGCCUUUUGUGCAGGGUUCACUUCCCUGGCUUGGUGGUGUACGCCGGACAGCUGCAGCCGGCCUACACGUGGGACCACUACGUCGCCGCCCCCGACGUCCCUGAUCGUCAACAAAGAAGAUUCCCCAACAUAGCGGAGCGGGUCAAGGCCGAGCUGUGGGUAAGUACUCCUCGUACUAAAUUGCUCAAUACAUCACUACUUUCGACAUUCUUGAAAUAAUAAUUGUUUACGCGUGUAUAUGCAGGACUUCUAUAGAUGCCAGGAGGGGUUCGAGGCCAAGGCGAAGGCCGUCUGUGAUGUAGCCGCCAAGAAGCUCGUGAGGGACAUGCAUUACGAGGCGCGCAUCCAGGCCAUCAUAGAGUUCAACGCUCAAUACAAUCAUACGAAGGUUAGAAAAGAGGAGGCAAGAACAAUGAACCUGACUAAGGAUCAAUUCAUGAGGGUAAGUAAAGAACGUUGAUGCUUACUAUUUAUGAUUAAUUAGGCUCAUUUUCUUUUUCAUACGUCACACGCUUGAUGAUGUAGGUGCCUCCGUGGUGGUGUCGUGCGCAUAUGCCGUGCUGGGAGAGGAUGGUCGACGUGUGGUUGGAGCCCGGGUGGUUGGAGACCCACCUUUCUUGCCGGCAGCGGCGUUUGCAGAUGCCGACUGCAUCACACCAUCAAGGCAGCCUAAGCCUUGAUGAAUAUAGAGAAAAAUGGGUACGCAACUUCAAUUCUUUAUUGUAACGUUUAGUUCUACGUAAUUUUUAAUAAUUUUGUAUUUUGCCGCAGUCGGCGUCACAUGAUGGCCGACCUUGCUCCCAGCUCAAGGCAUGGGUCCUCUCCAAAAAGGGCAAGGCGACGGCCGAUAUAGAUUUCAACCCAGACGACCCGUCCGAGGCGUACAGCCACCCUAGCAUAUACAGCCGCGUCAGCGAGUAUACAAAGAUGGCUAGGGAGGUUCACGGGCCAGACUUCGAUCCGAGCUCCGAGGACAUUGAUGGAGAAAUCGUGAUGAGGGUGGGAGGAGGCAAGAAGCAUGGCCGAUAUUGGAUUGGCGACGGCGUCAUCGACACGGCCUCUACUCCCACUCUCUCCCAGAUCCGAGCUAGGAGCACGGACUCGAGCCCGGCAGUACGCCCACGACCCACCGCUGCACACUUCCAGAUGGAGGCUCUACAGGUUCUUUCUCUUCCAUUCAUCGUUCGUUUGUUGUUGUACUUUAGCUUUGCAUUAUAACAUUGCAAUGAAAUAUUGUAGGCCCAGGUGGAAGAAUCAAGGAAGAAACAAGAGGAGAUGGCGGCGCAGAUGGAGGAAAUGCGGCGGAGGAUGGAGGAGGAAAACCGGAUUAGGAUGGAGCAGAUGUUCCAGUACAUGCAGAACUUUGCUACGAGCAUGGGACAGACUUUGCCUCCGCCACCGCCGAUGAUGUUCCCUCCGCCUCAGCCACCCACGACUACUCCUGUGAGUCACUUGACACAUUGUGUUUAAGAUUCAAUAGUUUAAAUUUGACAACUUUAGAUGUUACCUCAGAAUGUCCUAUCCUAUGUGCAGAAUCAAUCGGCGGCUUCGAAUAAUGAAGAUCAAGAUUUGUCGCAGUGGUCUCCUUGGCCUCCACGGAAGUAGACUUGAUUGUGAACAAUGUGGAAACUAAAUUGUGAGAAGAACUUGGAUUUAUGGAUUAUUUCGUGCUUAUGUUGAACUAUGCCUGUGGUGUUUAUGAAUUAUGCCUGUGGUUGUGAAUUAUUCAUGUGGUUGUUUAUUACAAAUGCCUGUGAUAUGUGUAUUGUGAAUUGAGAGGGGUCCGUUAUACGUGGCAAAAUUUCGAAAAAGGGGCGGUUCUGGUCACUUUGCCGAGUGUUACACUCGGCAAAGAUGGGCCUUUGCCGAGUGUCGUGACCAUAGCACUCGGCAAAGGGGCAUUUCCCAGGUGUAGGAAAGGUCCUUUGCCGAGUGCUAUGGUCAAGGCACUCGGCAAAGUGGGCGGCUUUGCCGAGUGCCCUAGCGCCGGCACUCGGCAAACAUAUCCGACUUUGCCGAGUGCCCGGGAGCCGGCACUCGGCAAAGGGACAGUGUUUGCCGAGUGCCGGGAGCCGGCACUCGGCAAAGGGACAGUGUUUGCCGAGUGCCAGGCGCGUGGCACUCGGCAAACUCGCCGUUACCCGACGCCGUCAGUCCGCGGUUCGCCGAGUCCAUCUAUUCGCCGAGUGUUUUUUGGCCGUCGGCAACAUGUUUGCCGAGUGUCCGAGUUUUGACACUCGGCAAACUAGGCUUUGCCGACACAAUAUUUGCCGUGUGCCCUUUGCCGAGUGUUACACUCGGCAAAGGCUUUGCCGAGUGUUUUCGUGCCUUUGCCGAGUGCCCCAGGCACUCGGCAAAAGUUCUGUCUCCCGUAGUGUGAUGCCGUGCGUUUGAGCAGCCUUUUUUUUGUUUUCUAGCUUUUUUUUAGAUUCUCACAAAUACGGAAAUAUUUCAAAAUCUGGAUCCAUAGCUUGACGUCAUCCACACUGUCCACCGUCGUGUUCUUCUCCGUUCUCCCUUUACUCCUCCCCACCGUCCGGCUCUUCGUGUCGUCGUCAGCCUCCCGCCGGUCCUCCCUGCCUUCCACCCGCCGCUGGCCCUCGCCGCAGGGGGCCGCGCCGGCCAGCAGGGUGCCACCUGCACUUGCCGCCAGGCGCUGCCGACCCACCAGCCGCCGCCUCCUAGCCACCGGGCGGAGUGGGCACAAUGUGCCGAUGACACCCCACUUCACCUCCGUGCCCUCUCUCGUUGGAAGGUAAAUUUCUUAUUAGUUUUAAUAGUGAGAUAUAUAGAAUAGGUAGGUAGAAUUGUUAAAUAGAAUUUAGAUAGAUAGAUAGAUAGAAUAGUUAGAUAGUUAGUUUGAAAGAUAAUUAGAUAGAAUUUUCAUCUUAUGUAAUUUUCUUUUUAGAUAUAUAUAGUUAGAUAGAUUAGUUAGACAGAUAGUUAGAUAGAAUUUUAUUCAUAUGUAAUUUUUUGACUUAGAUAGAUAGAAUAGUUAGAUAGAUAGUAAUAUAGUUAGUAUGAUAGUUAGUUAAAUAGUUAUAUACUAAGUUUAUAAACUUGAUGGACAACGUAGUGAGCAUAUAUCAUGAAGGUACCAUGGAAAGAGAUGAUUAUGGAUGUGUUAAGUUUGUUAACAUGCAAAGCAUGGUUGUGUUAUUAAUUGAGAAGCCCUCAUUUAGUGAGUUGGUUGCAAGUGCUCGGGAGGAGCUAUAUUGCCACGAAGAUGAUGACAUCACAGUGGAGGGCGUACUUCACCUAGUUUCCCCUUUCAACAUCCAAAGGAAGAUGAUCCCAAUUUGGUGUGCAGAUAAGUGGGAGAAUGAUGUGAGAUCGGUUAUGAAGCGCCAGUUCUAAAGUUUGGACGUGGUUGUGCGUCGGGUGUUAGUUGAUCCCAUCCGUCAUCGGUUUUCCCGACCAAUGGGUCAGCAUGCACACUUUGACCCUUUCAUCCCAGAACCUAUUAUGGAUGUGGAGGUUGCACGUACGGUUCCCGAUGCUGAAUCUGCCCCCAAUGAGGUAGUUGGAGAUGCUUGUCGGACACUUGAUGCUGUGGUAAAACCUCCUCAUGAGAUCCCUUUGACACAAAAUCGUCCGAGUAAGUGUCUUAUCGGCACGCUUCUUGGGAGCUAACCUCCUUCAUUACAUCAAUUUUUUUUCUUCCUUUCUCAUAUUUCUAUCAAUGUUUUAGGAGACAUUCCUGAAAAUGUGGAUGUGCCCCCAGUUGCUACUCAACUGCACUGUGGAGAAGGAUUACGUGGCUCUAAUAGUGUUGAAAUUAUGAAUGAUUCGGAUGCAUAUGAGAUGGGAAUGUAUCUUGAUUCUGAUAAUGAUCGCCCUAUUGGAGAGAUGACAGAGAGUGAUGUUGAGAUGUUCAGGCGUAUCUUUCCUGGCCUUCGUGAUCCAAGAGUUCACGAGUUCAGUGAUCUUUCUCAUUCUGAUCAUGCGUGUGUAGAGGGAAGUGAUGAUGAGCUCCUAGAAGCUCCUGAGGCUGGACCUAGCAUAGUGAUUGAGGAGGGUAGGGUAUUCAAGGAUCUCCCCACAUUGAAGAGGUGGUUACAGGCGUUUGCAGUGAUACAGAAGAGACCUUAUAAGGUCUUGCAUUCAUAUGCAGAGCACCGUUACACAGUUGUGUGUGACAAGUAACAGUGCCCAUGGACGAUUUGUGCAAGGAAGAAAAAGAUCACCGAGAAGUGAAAGAUCACAAAAGUUGUUGGGCCACACAAUUGUGCUAACACUAGAACAUCGAGAAGUGGAAGAUCACUGGAUAGAAUGGUAAGUCAAGUACCUUACUUUCCCAUGUUAAAUUACUUAGUGAUUUACUGGUUUACUUUUUAUGGACUUUGUGGACUCUUGUUAUGAACUAUUUUGGACUUUCAUUAUGGACUAUUGUGCAUAUAGACAUUCAUUAAUGAAGUUUUGUGUGUAUGAACUAUUGUGGACUUUCAUUGUGAAUUAUUAUGUGUAUGAACUAUUGUGGACUUUUAUUAUGAACUAUUGUAGAUUUUCAUUAUGAAUGUGGCAUAUGUUUGUAUGUUUGAACAUGUUGUAUUCAGGUAAAAUAUUCAUCUCAUAAUUGUGUAUGAAUUACAUCCAAAAAUACGGGAAAUUCUGCCGAAAUUUCACAAAAAUAUAGGAUUGCAUUUCGCUUACAAAAAUUCUCCACCAUGUAAGCUUAUGUGCAUUAGGCAUGUGCUCACAUAUUUCUCGCAAAGAAAACGACAUCGCACAUACUACUAGGGUGUCCAUACUUAAAGUGCAUUACAUGACAACAUAAUGAAAAGUCCAACAGUAGACAACAUGUUUCAUAAAUAAACUAUCAGACUACAAGUAAUGGAGACUACUGAGUGCAACGAGUCCACUUUCCCUUCCUCAAUCGCUGCUUUCGCUCGGCGCGCAUGCUCAAGCUUCUUCUCCCUCUCCUACCUAUCGAUAGCAACACACCUCCUUUCCUCCUCUUCCUUGUGCUCCUUUUAUGCAGCCUCCUCUCUGAGUCUCUUCUCCAUCAUCUCCUUCCUCUCUGCUUCCAACCGCAAUAUUUCUUGUAUCUCCUCCUUGUCUUCAGGCUUGAUCUCGGUGUUGAUCCACUGCUCAAAAUCACAGAGCGGUGCAGGGGUCUACAAAAAAUGCAAUUGUUAUAAAAUAAAAAAAAUCAUGUAAAAUAAUUAUAACCCAACAACAAUUCCUCACAAUCUUGUUAAUGCAGUGUUGACGAAGUGUAGGCUCAAACUUAAAAUUAGAACACAUUUAGUACCUCUACCUAUACGUGUCAUCUGCAUCGGACUUGGCUACCUUGCAAGGAUCGCUGCAAAAGCACAUGGGUAUUGGAACACCACUAGGCAGAGGCAAUGGGUCAAAGGCAUUUCCGGUCAUCCGGGCAUAACUACAAUUUAGUCAUUUUCGUUGUAAAAACCGAAAGCAGUUAACAUUAAACCUACACCUAGGGUUUCCAUUUGAUCCACAAGAAUGAAUCCAUAACAUAACUACGUGCGCUGACCUUACCUUUGUUUCCUAGCUUUUCCACGCCUUGGCAUCCUAUGGUUGCACGAAACCCUAUGUUCAAAAAUCUGACUAAUAUAUAGCGAAUCGAUGUGAAAAAAAACUUGGAGGGAGUGGAUAUCUUGCUCUCGAAGAUCCAUGGAUCAAAUAAAAGUUUCUAAGAUUUAAUAUGCCGAUUCGUGGUGUAGGGCGAAGGGGGGAGAGAAAAAACCUGAGAGGGAGGAGAAAGAGGAGGAAGAAGCUUCGGGCAAGAAGAAAGGGUGCGGCCUUAUGGUAGCAGGUUUGGCUCCAGGCUGGCUGGCACAAGGCCACCACUAUGUCAGCUGCCCCGUCAGCAGCUGUUGAGUGACCUAGGUGUUGGGAUAGCCGGCGCCGAGAUGCCUAAGCUUGGCGCCAGCGUGGAUGGCGCCAAGUUAUGGGUCCAGAUUUUGAAAUGUUUCCGCCAGAUGCGUAUUUGUAAGAAUCUUUCAGAAAAAAGGCUAAAAACAAAAAAGUUAGAUGUUUGAGCCGCUCCACAGCCCUUACCAUCACCGACUAUAAAAGGCAGGGUCGAGCGCCUCUCCGCAACCGAACUUGCCGAGCCGCCAGCUCCGCUGCUCAACUUCUUGCAAUUCUGCCUGCAAUUUAUUUAUGGAGUGAUCGAGAAAUUGAGCGAGUUUGGAGGCUAGUGGUUGAUACGUUUUUUGCAUCGAAUUGACAUUGAAUUAGUUUUCUUUGAACUGCCAUUUCAAAUGUUUUUUCUAUAGUUGCAUGUGAAACACGUCUAUUGCCGCUAAUCAAUCUGUCGACGCUUUUUUGGGCCAACACAUGAAUGUACGCGAUUGUGCGGCGCGUGGAGGGGCUCACUGUAGCACGUCGAUGCAUGCCGGUUUGACCACUUACGGUCUGACCGGUUGUUAGGCCACCUAGUAGUAGAUUGGAAAAUUUAGGGAAAAAGAAUAAAGGAAAAGACAAUAAAUAGUAGCUUGGUUUUUUUCGAUUAGGUUGGAUGCCCUCAAUCGGCCGAAUCCCUUUAUAUUUCUAAGGAGGGAAGGUCUUUAUAUUUAUAGGAAGGGAAGGUCUUACCCAUGAGGGAGUCAAAAUCCUAAUAAAAAUCGUGCUAAAUUAAAAGUUCUACUCGGUUUACACUGAGCCAGAUAGGUCAGACCAGCCUGGGCAACCUGUCGGACCAGUCUGCCCGGGUGUAUAUCUUGCGAAGGUCGUAUCUCUCUCAUCCGAACUUCAAAUCGGACGUUCUAUAUAAGAAUCUUGAUCUACUCAACAAGAUACAGGAAAUGGUAGAGUCCAAUCUUCAUUUGGAGCACUUUGAUCCAACCAGUCCGACUGGUGGCAUCAGGACUGGUGGCAUCAGCUGGUCUGACCUGUCUGUACGGGGGUGCUGAUCUUUCCGAGGGCAUAACUCUCAGGUCCGAAAUCCAAAUCGGACGUUCCAUAUAUGCAUUUUGAUCGCCUUGAUGAGAGAUAUGUCCUGGUGAAGUCCAAUUUGCUUUUUGAGAACUUUCCCAAACCGGUUUGACCGCUUGGAAGACCGGUCUAAACAUGUCUGAUCAGAUCUAUCCAGACCUGCCACUUUUCGGCAUCAACACGAGUUUUCCAGUAGUGACAACACAACAACUGUAUUACCCACGGCAUGAAAAUAACACAUAACAAGAAGCUAUGUACCACUAAGCAACACAAUCAAUACUCUUGCAAAGGGGGCGAAACACCAAAGGAAAUGGCGAUGAAAUUGAAACCCCGCCAACAGAGCUUUGCUUGAGCACGUACAGCUCUUUAUUACAGAAACAGUAUAGGAUACGAUCGAUGUGCCAUCAAGCAUAAAGCAGCAACACUUAUUUCUUUUCUCAAAGCAAGCAAGAACAGAACUGGUCAUCAAAGAAGUUGACGGGAUUCAUUCAUUCAGAUGGCCGCCGCGGUCGGUGUGCAGCGGCGCUUGCAGAAGUUAGUGAGGACGUCGACGCACCGGUAGACAGGCGCCUCGGUGGUGCUGGUGUACUUGACGCAGUUCAUGCACGCUGGGUGGCAACCCUGGAACGAGAUGUCCAGGCAACUGCAAUCUGGUGGAUUCUUCCUGUUGCAGAAGCCGCACUGGUUGCAGCACGGCCAGGAGCUCGCGUUCGCGGCGUCGUCAGCGACCGCCGCUCCUCCCUCCUCCCCGCUCCCUGCGGCCACCAAAGAUUAGUCGACGCAUCCAGUUGAGUUGAGUUGAGUGUCAAACUGUUAAUUUCUCACCUUUGCUGAGGAGUGGCAGAGUUGCGAGGACGGCGAGGACAGCCAGUGUGACGAGCAACACCUGAGGUCUCAUGCUUGUUUCUCUUGGUAUGUAGGAAUACAGGGUGUUGCCAGGUUUGUUGUGGUUGGACUUCCUUCCUACUGAUGGGUGAUGGUUAUCUGUAUGAGGCUAGAGGCCUUAUUAUAAGAGGAGGGGGUGCCAUGACAGCUGUGUGCCUGCCAAGUUAAGGCUAGCUUGGCACGGCUCUUGAACAAUGGCUUUAGCUCUAGCUUAUCUAAUGAUCUUGUAUGUUGGAGAAACAAUCUUUUAAGAUAGAUGGAAGAGGUCAAAUAUCCAAAAUACCCUUAUUUAUUUCCUUUCUUUUCUCUUUUCUUUUAAUUUCUUUUUCUUUCCCGGUCAUUUUUCUUCCUUUCUCAUUUUUUCCUUCACCAUUUAUUUUUCUUCCUUUCUUAUUUCCUCUUCCUUCUAUCCUUAUCUUCCUUUCCUCAGCUCCUGCAGAACGCCGCCCCUGCCUCUCAUGACCAUGGCCAUCACCCGCAGCUCUUCCGGCUCGACGUCCCUGCCUCCCCACUCCUCCAACUCGACGCCCUAUCUCCCCUAGCCCACUCCCUCUCCUCAGCCCGAGCGCCCAACAACCCCUUCCUCCCAGCACGUCCGGCCUCGCUUAGCAGUUUGUGCGGCACGCCUGCAGCGUCGCUUGUGCAUCCAACGUGCUCGCCCCGUCCCGCCGUGCUCCACCCACCGCCGGUCAGGUCAGCACCGGCGUUACUCCGUCCGUGCCACUGCACCAUCCGCCACCGCCCACCAACACAGUGGUUUCAAGAAAUUUCAAACAAUUUAAAUAUUUGAUAAAUGAUUUCAAAGUUGUUUCAAACUUUUACAAGUGAACAUAAAUGUUAUUUAGUGAAUGUAAAAAAUAUAAUUUCAUACAUAACACAGAUAUUUUGACUAGUUAGUUCACAUGUCCCUAUAGGUUGAAACACCUCAUGAGUUAUAGGGUGAUCAUGACUUGGAUAUCCAUUUGAGAAAAACGUACUGUUACAAUAUCUCAAAAUUAUGUUAAUAUUUUUUAAUCCAUGUUGGUUCACUGCUGAAGUGGUUACAUGCAAAAUAUCAUGAAAAACAUUCCCCCUUAUAUUUGAUGUUUUUGGAGCGUUCCCGAGCUAAUCUCGGUCAAGCUCCAAAUGGAAGGUUGACUAAGAUAGAAGAUGCCCGCGGUCUUAAAUGGGUACUUGCGUUGCCCGCCAGCACAGAGGCUAGUAUGCUUACGAGUUCUCCCCCGCAGGUCCAAGGAAGAUUUGUGCUGGUGGGUGCCAAUCAAACCCACCAGCACACUAAUUUACCUGUGUGAACACAAAUUAAAUCUGGCGUAGUGUUUUCUUAGUAUCUUUUGCUGUGGUGAGGCAUGUGAGUACUGCUGGCACGAUCAUCAGCUUGUCCUGGGCUGCUGCUAAGCAUGCACCACGAGCCAAAGGUUUUCGGGAUGCUCAGCUCAUAAGGAAUUGACUGAAAGUGACUGUUCGUUGUGUGAGCUAGCUGUCUCCACUGGUGGCUUCUGAAUUAUUGGUCCUAUAUACAUGCACCACGCGCAACAUAAGGGAAAAAAAGUCUGCAACAUGUGCGGCACUGGAUAAUUGAGCUAGCAAUAACAGUGUUGUACGCUUGUCUAUGAGGGAUGCAUGGUGCCUAACAAUCACAAUGAUCUAUACUGACUACUCCCUCCGUUCCAAAUUAUAAGUCAUUCCAAGAAUCUUGGAGAGUCAAAGCAUCUCAAGUUUGACCAAAAUUAUAGAAAAAAUUAUAAAGAUUCAUAACAUUAAAUAGUUAUACUAUGAAACUAUAAUUGAUGAAGAAUCUAAUGAUACUUUGUUGACAUCACAAAUGUUAUUAUAUUAUCAUAUAAAUUUAGUCAAACUUGAGAUACUUUGACUCUCCAAGAUUCUUAAAAUGACUUAUAAUUUGGGAUGAAGGGAGUACAUCAUAGCUUGUCUGCUUGCCUAGUGCGCGUGAACCAUGAGGGCAGGACUAGUGGCUGCACACUACUCCACGAGGGUAGGACUGGUGGCUGUGCAUCGACAGAAUUCACUAUUCGACACUAAAAAAACUAAUCGUGACACUAAACAAAUUUUGGUUCCCGUUUGAUACUGAGUUCAAUUUUCAUUCUUUAUAUAACAUUCUGUUGGAUUUUUCAUAUGAGAACCAUUAAAUGCCCGAUGAAAAGACGAUUUUGCCCUUGUGAGCCCCACCACCCUUCUCCGAUCUACUCACCUUCUCCAUCCGCUCUAUUGUACCUCCCCCACUGCUCCAUCCAUCCUCCUUAUUUAUUUCCAAGAUACCCUUAUUUAUUUCCUUUCUUUUCUCUUUUCUUUUAAUUUCUUUUUCUUUCCCGGUCAUUUUUCUUCCUUUCUCAUUUUUUCCUUCACCAUUUAUUUUUCUUCCUUUCUUAUUUCCUCUUCCUUCUGUCCUUAUCUUCCUUUCCUCAGCUCCUGCAGAACGCCGCCCCUGCCUCUCAUGACCAUGGCCAUCACCCGCAGCUCUUCCGGCUCGACGUCCCUGCCUCCCCACUCCUCCAACUCGACGCCCUAUCUCCCCUAGACCACUCCUUCUCCUCAGGCCCGAGCGCCCAACAACCCCUUCCUCCCGGCACGUCCGGCCUCGCACCUCCGGUCCACUUAGCAGUUUGUGCGGCAUGCCUGCAGCGUCGCUUGUGCAUCCAACGUGCUCGCCCCGUCCCGCCGUGCUCCACCCACUGUCGGUCAGGUCAGCACUGGCGUUACUCCGGCCGUGCCACUGCACCGUCCACCACCGCCCACCAACACAGUGGUUUCAAGAAAUUUCAAACAAUUUAAAUAUUUGAUAAAUGAUUUCAAAGUUGUUUCAAACUUUUACAAGUGAACAUAAAUGUUAUUUAGUGAAUGUAAAAAAUAUAAUUUCAUACAUAACACAGAUAUUUUGACUAGUUAGUUCACAUGUCCCUAUAGGUUGAAACACCUCAUGAGUUAUAGGGUGAUCAUGACUUGGAUAUCCAUUUGGGAAAACGUACUGUUACAAUAUCUCAAAAUUAUGUUAAUAUUUUUUAAUCCAUGUUGGUUCACUGCUGAAGUGGUUACAUGCAAAAUAUCAUGAAAAACAUUCCCCCUUAUAUUUGAUGGUUUUGGAGCGUUUCCCGAGCUCCUCUCGGUCAAGCUCCAAAUGGAAGGUUGACUAAGUUAGAAGAUGCCCGCGGUCUUAAAUGGGUACAUGCGUUGCCCGCCAGCACAGAGGCUACUAUGCUGACGAGUGGUCCCCCGCAGGUCCAAGGAAGAUUUGUGCUGGCGGGUACCAAUCAAACCCGCUAGCACGCUAAUUUACCAAUGUGAACACAAAUUAAAUCUGGCGUAGUGUUUUCUUAGUGUCUUUUGCUGUGGUGAGGCAUGUGAGUACUGCUGGCACGAUCAUCAGCUUGUCCUGGGCUGCUGCUAAGCAUGCACCACGAGCCAAAGGUUUUCUGGAUGCUCUGAAAGUGACUGUUCGUUGUGUGAGCUAGCUGUCUCCACUGGCGGCUUCAGAAUUAUUGGUCCUAUACACAUGCACCACGCGCAACAUAAGGGAAAAAAAGUCUGCAACAUGUGCGGCACUGGAUAAUUGAGCUAGCAAUAACAGUGUUGUACGCUUGUCUACGAGGGAUGCAUGGUGCCUGACAAUCACAAUGAUCUAUACUGACUACUCCCUCCGUUCCAAAUUAUAAGUCAUUCCAAGAAUCUUGGAGAGUCAAAGCAUCUCAAGUUUAACCAAAAUUAUAGAGAAAAUUAUAAAGAUUCAUAACAUUAAAUAGGUAUACUAUGAAACUAUAAUUGAUGAAGAAUCUAAUGAUACUUAGUUGACAUCAUAAAUAUAAUUAUAUUAUCAUAUAAAUUUGGUCAAACUUGAGAUACUUUGACUCUUCAAGAUUCUUGGAAUGACUUAUAAUUUGGGAUGAAGGGAGUACAUCAUAGCUUGUCUGCUUGCCUAGUGCGCAUGAACCAUGAGGGCAGGACUAGUGGACGCACACUACUCCACGAGGGCAGGACCGGUGGCCGUGCACCGACAGCAUUCACUAUUCGACACUAAAAAAUCUAAUCGUGACACUAAACAAAUUUUUGUUCCCAUUUGAUACUGAGUUCAAUUUUCAUUCUUUAUAUAACAUAUGAGAACCAUUAAAUGCUUGAUGAAAACACGGUUUUGCCCUUGUGAGCCCCACCACCCUUCUCCGAUCUACUUACCUUCUCCAUCCGCUCUAUUGUACCUCCCCCACUGCUCCAUCCAUCCUCAUGUCCAGGUGAGAGCUUAGGCACCAGGAGCUCACUACAGUUCUAUUUGUGUGGUUAUUGUCAUCGAGGAUGGUCGGGACAGUGGAGCUCCAAGGGAGGGGGGUCAUGGCAGGCUGAUGGCUCGAGUCACCAAGGAAAGGAUGAUUCCCGGCGGGGUUGAGCUCGUCCUAGCCAACAAGCAGGUCGGGGAGGUCGAGCGCAAGGUGAGGGAGGUUUGGGUGCGACGGAUUGGGUUUUGGCAGAGGUGGUGAGAAUUUGGCUGGCGAUGAGGUUCGGUGGCUGGUGGCAGUCGCAAGACAUGGAAUUCCCAGCACUAAGUAGUUUGUGAUUGGGCUGGAACUAGCCUGGUGUCGGGGAUACAUCCCCAAUACCCGCAAGGAAGGAAGAAGUCAGACUCCUACUAGGAUUCCCUUGUAAUCCGACUAGGACUCAUACCGUGUACUCCUACUAGGACUCCUCCUUGUAAUCCGACUAGUACUCUGCCCCCUGGAGUAUAUAAAGGAGGGUAAGGGUACCUAGCUCGGUAGGUCACACCUCAACACCCAAGCGUAGGGCGCAGUAUACAAAUACCCCCAAACAGGACGUAGGGUAUUACGCUACUCCGGCGGCCCGAACCUAUCUAAAUCCGUGUCUUGUGUCCUCGCUUUUACCUUCAAGUUCCAGGUCCGGCGAUCCCCCACUACACAUUCUGCUACCUCGGGUACCCCUUGGUAGACGGCCGAUAUAAAUCACCGACAUUGGCGCCCACCGUGGGGCAGCUCGUCGAGAUCAUCAGGCGAGCUUGAAGGACCUCAUCUUCAAGCCGGCGUUCGCUUUCAAAGCGGGCACAACCUUCGUCUUCGACUCCUGACUUUGCAUCACCGACGGCACUGGGUCCUUCCAAUGCUGCAUCAUCGACAACCAGGAGAAGAAGCGCCUCGACGGGAACUCUCUUCCACAAGAAGCAGAAAAUCUCAUUGAGAAAAUCGACAAAUUAAACCUUGGAUCAAGGUUCGACUGCAAACUCGUACUCCAACGGCGACUUCGGGUUCGACCAUGAUUCGAACUCGAACUCCGACGGCGACUACGGGUCUGACUACAACGCGGAGUCCGACAGCGACUCCAGGUCUGGCUACGACUAUGAGUCCGAUGACGACUCCGGGUUCGAUCGCAACACGGAGUCUGACGGCGACUCCAGCUUCAACUCCGACUCAAAGUCUAACAGCGACUCUGAGUUCGACUACAACUCAAAAGUCCGACUACAUUGCGAGCCCUCCGACGACUACAGGCGGCUCGUCGAUGAUUUCUUGGACUAUGUUGCGGGCACGCCGACGACCACGGUCGACUUGCCGACGACUCUGUUGACUACGGGCAGCUCGUCGACGACUUCAACUACGUUGCAAGCUCGCCGACGACUACGGGCGGCUCGGCAAUGACUUUGACUACUUUCCUCGACUACUUCGCUCGGCAACACAUUGAUGACUACUUCGUCAUGACGCUCGCCGACGACUUCUCCGAGUACGUCACGGCGCUUGCCGACUACUACGGGCAGCUCGCCGACGACUACUCCGACCACAUCGCGACGCUCGCUGACGACUACUACUCGUCUCGACUACAAGGCUAGUCGAGGGCGGAUUACAACUCGUCUUGACUAAAAAAUUAGUUGGGGCAAACUUCACAUCAUCGACAACUAGUCAGAAUCUCCUCCGACUAGUCGAUUUCGUUAACAACCAUUACGGCUUCAUCAACGACCAUCACGGCUUCGUCAAACAAUCAUCCACGAAUCAAGCUAAGUCACUUUUCUAAAUUAUUUUCCGGCUUACUUUCCGCUUGCGCGCAACACGCGCUCUACUCGCUGGAAACUCUCGCGCACAACAUGCGCUCUAUUCGCCGGAGGGCAGCAAACUCUUUCGCGCUACCUCGCUCUCUUUUUAUCGCAACAGUGACUAUUCCUUUUUGUCUUCUCUUAUGGUCACUACUCUUCUCGAGCAGAACAUGCCUUAACUCGUGAAAGCCUCAGGCGCAUCUGUCACGCCUAAGCCUAUACGUGUAUACGAGACAAAGGUCUCACACACGCAGUGGCAACGGCUACCCAGAGACUGAGAGUCUAAGCAUAACAGGCUAACUACUCAGGAAGAGUAUGACUAAAACAAGAGCUUGACUCGCAAUCAUGCAGUCUCUUUCUUGUCGCAGCAGCGACUACUCUCACUUUUGUCUUCUCUUAAGGUCACUACUCUUCUCGAGCAGAACACGCCUUAACUCGUGAAAGCCUCAGGCGCAUCUGUCACGCCUAAGCCCAUACGCGUAUACGAGACAACGAUCUCACACACGCAGUGGCAACAGCUACCCAGAGACUGAGAGCCUAAUCGUAACAGGCUAACUACUCGGGAAGAAUAUGACCGAAAUAAGAGCAUGACACAACAUUCAUAUUGAUCACUGAAUAAAUUUCAGCAGUUUCAAAAUCCUACAAAAAUGCUACAUAAUGUAUGCAUCUUUUCUUUCAGAUCGAGCUUCAGUGACACUAAGCAUGCCUCCAAUGGCACAGGCUAGUUCCCGAACUCGGGGGCUAAGCACCAAUCAGUACUCGGAAUAUCUCCAGUGGCUCAGCUAGCUCCCAGGCUCGGGGGCUGGAUGCCGCAAAACCACUCGACGUGGCUCCAACGACUUACCUGGCGCACAAGCUCGGGGGCUGGACGCCGCAAGACUACUCGAAUGAUGACCUGAGUGAAGAUUCAAGACCCUCGGGUUGAUUAUUCAAUCAAUCAAAGGCUCGGGGGCUGAUAAGCUACACCCAACAAUUGAUUUUUUCAAGUCAAAAGAGGAAGAUUCAAGAUUUUGACCCUCAGCCUGAUUCUGCGAUUCAACCUAAGGCUCGGGGGCUACUCCAUAUGGAGUGUGACUUUCACCGUCCUCCAUACAUGAAGACUUCAAUAUCAUGUUGAUCAAGACUUUGAGCACACCAUAGCCUCAUGGUGGCUUUGAGAAACAUUGAAAGAUUCAGUCUGACAAAGUACUCGAAGAGCACCAAAACUACCCGGCGAAUAUCUCAAGACUACUCGAAGACUGCUGCAUUCGACUAUGAAGCGCUCGGAGGCUUGUCAGGAAUACAUCCCCACUACCCGCAAGGAAGGAAGAAGUCAUACUCCUACUAGGAUUCCCCUGUAAUCCGACUAGGACUCAUACCGUGUACUCCUACUAGGACUCCUCCUUGUAAUCCGACUAGUACUCUGCCCCCUGGAGUAUAUAAAGGAGGGCAGGGGUACCUAGCUCCGUAGGUCACACCUCAACACCCAAGCGCAGGGCGCAGUAUACAAAUACCCCCAAACAGGACGUAGGGUAUUACGCUACUCCGGCGGCCCGAACCUGUCUAAAUCCGUGUCUUGUGUCCUCGCUUUUACCUUCAAGUUCCAGGUUCGACGAUCUCCCACUACACAUUAUGCUACCUCGAGUACCCCUUGGUAGACGGCCGGUAUAAAUCACCGACACCUGGGAGGGAGAUUGGAAUUUGGAGAAUUCUUGUGUGAGACCACGGGGCACCGUCUCAUACACCAGCCUUGCCGUGCUGAAAUCAGCGAGCUUCACGCCGUAGCCUUUGGUGUCGCAGCAGUCGAGGAGCACGUUCCGGCCCUUGACAUUCUUGUGCACGACGGCCACCCUCCUGAGCCCACACACCGAGCUCACUGUAACACCCAAAAAUUCCAUCAUAAACACAAUAUAAGCAACAUGUGGUCUAGCUCUUUAUUUUCUAAGAACUAAAUAAAAUACUAAUAUUAAAUUAUGGCCUUUAAAAAAUUAAAGAACACUUGAAAUAACUUUUUAGAGACAAGUGCUUGUUAGGGUUCUUCGUUUGCUUCCCUUUUUGUUUGCGUUUGCAAAAUUUUACAUGAUGUCACUGUCCUCGUCAUCCUCGGCACUGGCAGAGCGUCGUUGGGGCAUAGAGGACCAUGGCCCCCUUGCUUGGUAAAAAAAAAAAUCAGAAGAGCAAAGUGCAAAGGCCCAGUCCAAGUGCAGUCCGUGGCUUGUUGACACGUAAUUAAUAAAUCAAUAAAUCCCACAAGGCAUUAACCACAUAGGCACAAACAAACAUUGAAAACAAUAGAAAAAAAUAUUGAGCCAAUUCCAGCAACUAGCGGAUGAGACAACGACCUCAGCCGUCACCCCUUCGCAAGAUGGACACUUCCUUCACAGUUGACUCAUUGAGGUUGUCAUCGUCGGCCGUCGCCACUUGCCAGGGCUGGCGCCUUGCAGCCUGGUGCUAGAACUUUCAUCCUGAAGGUAUGGUUGCUUUUCUUCCUUCUUUUGUUUAUCUUCUAAGUUCUUAACACAUUAGAUCCGUAGAGUAUGCAGGCUACUAUUGCCUAAUUAGCUGGUAAUUUGUUGUCAAUUGAGAUCUAUUAUUAUUUCUUUUGAGAAAAUUGAGAUGUUUCGCUAGUUUAUUUGGCCCUAAUCCCCAAAUUGCAGAGUUUAUAUGAUUUUGUGGUUUUAUAACUAAAUACAGUUCUGCAAUUUGGUAGGUAGGUACAAAUAGGUAAAGAGAAGCCUAUUGAUUCAUUUUUCAAAAGCAAAAGAGAUGAACCAAUUGUGGACUGUCGAGCAGCCUCUGGUUCAAGCCAACCAAUUUCCCACCUAAAAUUUGCUUCACGCUCCGCCACGGAUCCUCGAUCCUCGGUGAGAAUUUUUAACCUCUUUGAAAAAGUCGGCGAUUGCGAAUCUCCACCUGCAUUUUUGAAAUGGAUUCUGAAAUAUUGUGGCGAAAUGUCCUUUUCUAAGUGGGCCUAGACCCAUAAAUUCGCGAGCUCCGCCCCACUCACCACUGCCACACCAUAACUCCGCCUGUGCUGUCGUGGCCACUUGCUCGCCUCGUCGCUCUCGCGCGUCACAGUAGCAGCAGUUCUUGAGGCGGUACGCUGCCUGCAAGCUAUGCGAGCCCGUCAGCUCGUCAGGCACAGUGCCUGCCUGCCGCUACGCUCCACCUCCCCACCACCACGCUGCAAGCCGACGCCCGCAAGCUGCCGCUCGGCCACAGCGCCGCCGCUGAUGCCGUGCCUUUGAGCAGCCUUUUAUUUGUUUUUUAGCUUUUUUUUUUUUGAAGAUUCUCACACAUGUGGAAAUAUUUCAAAAUCUGGAUCCAUAGCUUGACGUCAUCCACACUGGCACCAAGCUUACACGUCUUGGCACCAGCCGUUCUGGUGCCUAGGUCGUUGCGCAGCUGUUGAUGGGGCAGCUGACGUGACGGUGGCUUGGCGCCUGGCUGUUUAACACACGGCCUCCGCCUCUAACUUCUCCCACCGGCUGCCGCCUCCUAGCCACCGGGUGGAGUGGGCGCAGUGCGCCGAUGACACCCCACUUCGCCUCCGCGCCCUUUCUCGUUGGAAGGUAAAUUUCUUAUUAGUUUUAAUAGUGAGAUAUAUAGAAUAGGUAGGUAGAAUUGUUAAAUAGAAUUUAGAUAGAUAGAUAGAACAGUUAGAUAGUUAGUUUGAAAGAUAAUUAGAUAGAAUUUUCAUCUUAUGUAAUUUUCUUUUUAGAUAUGUAUAGUUAGAUAGAUGGUUAGAUAGAUAGUUAGAUAGAAUUUUAUUCAUAUGUAAUUUUUUUACUUAGAUAGAUAGAAUAGUUAGAUAGAUAGUAAUAUAGUUAGUAUGAUAGUUAGUUAAAUAGUUAUAUACUAAAUUACAUAGUAACUCGACAUAGUUAGUAGUAUUUAGUAGUUUGUAGUUAAUAGAUAGUAUCUAUUUAGUUAGUUGGUACGUAAUGAAGAUUUUAUACUUAGAAUGCUUCAUUUAUAUUGGACUAAAUGAAUUGUUCUGUUUAUAACCUUGAUGGACAACGUAGUGAGCAUAUAUCAUGAAGGUACCGUGGAAAGAGAUGACUAUGGAUGUGUUAAGUUUGUUAACAUGCAAAGCAUGGUUGUGUUAUUAAUUGAGAAGCCCUCAUUUAGUGAGUUGGUUGCAAGUGCUCGGGAGGAGCUAUAUUGCCAUGAAGAUGAUGACAUCACAGUGGAGGGCGUACUUCACCUAGGUUCCCCUUUCAACAUCCAAAGGAAGAUGAUCCCAAUUUGGUGCGCAGAUAAGUGGGAGAAUGAUGUGAGAUCGGUUAUGAAGCGCCAGUUCUAAAGUUUGGACGUGGUUGUGCGUCGGGUGUUAGUUGAUCCCAUCCGUCAUCGGUUUUCCCGACCAAUGGGUCAGCAUGCACACUUCGACCCUUUCGUCCCAGAACCUAUUAUGGAUGUGGAGGUUGCACAUAUGGUUCCCGAUGCUGAAUCUGCCCCCAAUGAGGUAGUUGGAGCUGCUUGUCGGACACUUGAUGCUGUGGUAAAUCCUCCUCAUGAGAUCCCUUUGACACAAAAUCAUCCGAGUAAGUGUCUUAUCGGCACGCUUCUUGGGAGCUAACCUCCUUCAUUACAUCAAUUUUUUUCUUCCUUUCUCAUAUUUCUACCAAUGUUUUAGGAGACAUUCCUAAAAAUGUGGAUGUGCCCCCAGUUGCUACUCAACUGCACUAUGGAGAUGGAUUACGUGGCUCUAAUAGUGUUGGAAUUAUGAAUGAUUCGGAUGCAUAUGAGAUGGGAAUGUAUCUUGAUUCUGAUAAUGAUCGCCCUGUUGGAGAGAUGACAGAGAGUGAUGUUGAGAUGUUCAGGCGUUGCUUUCCUGACCGUCGUGAUCCAAGAGUUCACGAGUUCAGUGAUCUUUCUCAUUCUAAUCAUGCGUGUGCAGAGGGAAGUGAUGAUGAGCUCCUAGAAGCUCCUGAGGCUGGACCUAGCAUAGUGAUUGAGGAGGGUAGCGCAUUGAUGAGGUGGUUACAGGCAUUUGCAGUGAUAAAGAAGAGACCUUACAAGGUCUUGCAUUCAUAUGCAGAGCACCGUUACACAGUUGUGUGUGACAAGUAACAGUGCCCAUGGAUGAUUUGUGCAAGGAAGAAAAAGAUCACCGAGAAGUGAAAGAUCACAAAAGUUGUCAGGCCACACAAUUGUGCUAACACUAGAACAUUGAGAAGUGGAAGAUCACUGGAUAGAAUGGUAAGUCAAGUACCUUACUUUCCCAUGUUAAAUUACUUAGUGAUUUACUGGUUUACUUAUUAUGGACUUUGUGGACUCUUGUUAUGAACUAUUUUGGACUUUCAUUACGGACUUCGUGGACUUUCAUUAUGGACUUUGUGGACGUUCAUUAUGAACUAUUGUGCAUAUAGACAUUCAUUAUGAAAUUUUGUGUGUAUGAACUAUUGUGGACUUUCAUUAUGAAUUUUGUGGACGUUUAUUAUGAACUAUUGUGUAUAUGGACUUUCAUUGUGAAUUAUUAUGUGUAUGAACUAUUGUGGACUUUUAUUACGAACUAUUGUAGAUUUUCAUUAUGAAUGUGGCAUCUGUUUGAACAUGUUGUAUUCAGGUAGAAUAUUCAUCUCAUAAUUGUGUAUGAAUUACAUCCAAAAAUAGGGGAAAUUCUGCUGAAAUUUCACAAAAAUAUAGAAUUGCAUUUCGCUAACCAAAAUUCUUCGGCAUGUAAGCUUAUGUGCAUUAGGCAUGUGCUCACAUAUUUCUCGCAAAGAAAAUGACAUCGCACAUACUACUAUGGUGCCCAUACUUAAAGUGCAUUACAUGACAACACAAUGAAAAGUCCAACAAUAGACAACAUGUUUCAUAAAUAAACUAUCAGACUACAAGUAAUGGAGACUACUGAGUGCAACGAGUCCACUUUCCCUUCCUCAAUCGUAGCUUUCGCUUGGUGUGCAUGCUCAAGCUUCUUCUCCCUCUCCUACCUAUCCGCAGCAACACGCCUCCUUUCUUCCUCUUCCUUGUGCUCCUUUUAUGCGGCCUCCUUUCUGAGCCUCUUCUCCAUCAUCUCCUUCCUCUCUGCCUCCAACCGCAAUAUUUCCUGCAUCUCCUCCUUGUCUUCAGGCUUGAUCUCGGUGUUGAUCCAGUGCUCAAAAUCACAGAGCGGUGCAGGGGUCUACAACAAAUGCAAUUGUUAUAAAAUAAAAAAAAUCAUGUAAAAUAAUUAUAACCCAACAAUAAUUCCUCACCAUCUUGUUAAUGCGGCGUUGACGAAGUGUAGGCUCAAACUUAAAAUUAGAACACAUCCAGUACCUCUACCUAUACGUGUCAUCUGCAUCGGACUUGGCUACCCUGCAAGGAUCGCUGCAAAAGCACAUGGGUACUGGAACACCACUAGGCAGAGGUAAUGGGUCGAAGCUAUUUCGGGUCAUACGGGCAUAACUACAAUUUAGUCAUUUUCAUUCUAAGAACCGAAAGCGGUUAACAUUAAACCUACACCUAGGGUUUCCCAUUUGAUCCACAAGAAUGAAUCCAUAACAUAACUACGUGCGCUGAGGUUACCAUAGUUUCGUAGCUUUUCCACGCCUUGGCAUCCUAUGGUUGCACGAAACGCUAUGUUCAAAAAUCCGACUAAUAUAUAGCGAAUCGAUGUGAAAAAAACUAGGAGGGAGUGGAUAUCUUGCUCUCGAAGAUCCAUGGAUCAAAUCGAAGUUUCUAAGAUUUAAUAUGCCGAUUCGUGGUGUAAGGUGAAGUGGGGAGAGAAAAAACCUGAGAGGGAGGAGAAAGAGGAGGAAGAAGCUUCAGGCAAGAAGAAAGGGUGCGGCCUUAUGUUAGCAGGUUUGGCUCCAGGCUAGCUGGCACGAGGCCACCACUACAUCAGCUGCCCCAUCAGCAGCUGUUGAGCGACCUAGGCGCCGGGAUAGCCGGCGUCGAGAUGCGUAAGCUUGGCACCAGCGUGGAUGGCGCCAAGGUAUGGGUCCAGAUUUUGAAAUGUUUCCGUCAGAGGCGUAUUUGUAGAGGCGUAUUUGUAAGAAUCUUUCAGAAAAAAGGCUAACAAAAAAGUCAGAUGUUUGAGCCGCUCCACAGCCCUUACCAUCACCGACUAUAAAAGGCAGGGUCGAGCGCCUCUCCGCAACCGAACUUGCCGAGCCGCCAGCUCCGCUGCUCAACUUCUUGCAAUUCUGCCUGCAAUUUAUUUAUGGAGUGAUCGAGAAAUUGAGCGAGUUUGGAGGCUAGUGGUUGAUACGUUUUUUGCAUCGAAUUGACAUUGAAUUAGUUUUCUUUGAACUGCCAUUUCAAAUGUUUUUUCUAUAGUUGCAUGUGAAACACAUCUAUUGCCGCUAAUCAAUCUGUCGACGCUUUUUUGGGCCAACACAUGAAUGUACGCGAUUGUGCGGCGCGUGGAGGGGCUCACUGUAGCACGUCGAUGCAUGCCGGUUUGACCACUUACGGUCUGACCGGUUGUUAGGCCACCUAGUAGUAGAUUGGAAAAUUUAGGGAAAAAGAAUAAAGGAAAAGACAAUAAAUAGUAGCUUGGUUUUUUUCGAUUAGGUUGGAUGCCCUCAAUCGGUCGAAUCCCUUUAUAUUUCUAAGGAGGGAAGGUCUUUAUAUUUAUAGGAAGGGAAGGUCUUACCCAUGAGGGAGUCAAAAUCCUAACAAAAAUCGUGCUAAAUUAAAAGUUCUACUCGGUUUACACUGAGCCAGAUAGGUCAGACCAGCCUGGGCAACCUGUCGGACCAGUCUGCCCGGGUGUAUAUCUUGCGAAGGUCGUAUCUCUCUCAUCCGAACUUCAAAUCGGACGUUCUAUAUAAGAAUCUUGAUCUACUCAACAAGAUACAGGAAAUGGUAGAGUCCAAUCUUCAUUUGGAGCACUUUGAUCCAACCAGUCCGACUGGUGGCAUCAGGACUGGUGGCAUCAGCCGGUCUGACCUGUCUGUACGGGGGUGCUGAUCUUUCCGAGGGCAUAACUCUCAGGUCCGAAAUCCAAAUCGGACAUUCCAUAUAUGCAUUUUGAUCGCCUUGAUGAGAGAUAUGUCCUGGUGAAGUCCAAUUUGCUUUUUGAGAACUUUCCCAAACCGGUUUGACCGCUUGGAAGACCGGUCUAAACAUGUCUGAUCAGAUCUAUCCAGACCUGCCACUUUUCGGCAUCAACACGAGUUUUCCAGUAGUGACAACACAACAACUGUAUUACCCACGGCAUGAAAAUAACACAUAACAAGAAGCUAUGUACCACUAAGCAACACAAUCAAUACUCUUGCAAAGGGGGCGAAAUACCAAAGGAAAUGGCGAUGAAAUUGAAACCCCGCCAACAGAGCUUUGCUUGAGCACGUACAGCUCUUUAUUACAGAAACAGUAUAGGAUACGAUCGAUGUGCCAUCAAGCAUAAAGCAGCAACACUUAUUUCUUUUCUCAAAGCAAGCAAGAACAGAACUGGUCAUCAAAGAAGUUGACGGGAUUCAUUCAUUCAGAUGGCCGCCGCGGUCGGUGUGCAGCGGCGCUUGCAGAAGUUAGUGAGGACGUCGACGCACCGGUAGACAGGCGCCUCGGUGGUGCUGGUGUACUUGACGCAGUUCAUGCACGCUGGGUGGCAACCCUGGAACGAGAUGUCCAGGCAACUGCAAUCUGGUGGAUUCUUCCUGUUGCAGAAGCCGCACUGGUUGCAGCACGGCCAGGAGCUCGCGUUCGCGGCGUCGUCAGCGACCGCCGCUCCUCCCUCCUCCCCGCUCCCUGCGGCCACCAAAGAUUAGUCGACGCAUCCAGUUGAGUUGAGUUGAGUGUCAAACUGUUAAUUUCUCACCUUUGCUGAGGAGUGGCAGAGUUGCGAGGACGGCGAGGACAGCCAGUGUGACGAGCAACACCUGAGGUCUCAUGCUUGUUUCUCUUGGUAUGUAGGAAUACAGGGUGUUGCCAGGUUUGUUGUGGUUGGACUUCCUUCCUACUGAUGGGUGAUGGUUAUCUGUAUGAGGCUAGAGGCCUUAUUAUAAGAGGAGGGGGUGCCAUGACAGCUGUGUGCCUGCCAAGUUAAGGCUAGCUUGGCACGGCUCUUGAACAAUGGCUUUAGCUCUAGCUUAUCUAAUGAUCUUGUAUGUUGGAGAAACAAUCUUUUAAGAUAGAUGGAAGAGGUCAAAUAUCCAAAAUACCCUUAUUUAUUUCCUUUCUUUUCUCUUUUCUUUUAAUUUCUUUUUCUUUCCUGGUCAUUUUUCUUCCUUUCUCAUUUUUUCCUUCACCAUUUAUUUUUCUUCCUUUCUUAUUUCCUCUUCCUUCUAUCCUUAUCUUCCUUUCCUCAGCUCCUGCAGAACGCCGCCCCUGCCUCUCAUGACCAUGGCCAUCACCCGCAGCUCUUCCGGCUCGACGUCCCUGCCUCCCCACUCCUCCAACUCGACGCCCUAUCUCCCCUAGCCCACUCCCUCUCCUCAGCCCGAGCGCCCAACAACCCCUUCCUCCCAGCACGUCCGGCCUCGCUUAGCAGUUUGUGCGGCACGCCUGCAGCGUCGCUUGUGCAUCCAACGUGCUCGCCCCGUCCCGCCGUGCUCCACCCACCGCCGGUCAGGUCAGCACCGGCGUUACUCCGUCCGUGCCACUGCACCAUCCGCCACCGCCCACCAACACAGUGGUUUCAAGAAAUUUCAAACAAUUUAAAUAUUUGAUAAAUGAUUUCAAUGUUGUUUCAAACUUUUACAAGUGAACAUAAAUGUUAUUUAGUGAAUGUAAAAAAUAUAAUUUCAUACAUAACACAGAUAUUUUGACUAGUUAGUUCACAUGUCCCUAUAGGUUGAAACACCUCAUGAGUUAUAGGGUGAUCAUGACUUGGAUAUCCAUUUGAGAAAAACGUACUGUUACAAUAUCUCAAAAUUAUGUUAAUAUUUUUUAAUCCAUGUUGGUUCACUGCUGAAGUGGUUACAUGCAAAAUAUCAUGAAAAACAUUCCCCCUUAUAUUUGAUGUUUUUGGAGCGUUCCCGAGCUAAUCUCGGUCAAGCUCCAAAUGGAAGGUUGACUAAGAUAGAAGAUGCCCGCGGUCUUAAAUGGGUACUUGCGUUGCCCGCCAGCACAGAGGCUAGUAUGCUUACGAGUUCUCCCCCGCAGGCCCAAGGAAGAUUUGUGCUGGUGGGUGCCAAUCAAACCCACCAGCACACUAAUUUACCUGUGUGAACACAAAUUAAAUCUGGCGUAGUGUUUUCUUAGUAUCUUUUGCUGUGGUGAGGCAUGUGAGUACUGCUGGCACGAUCAUCAGCUUGUCCUGGGCUGCUGCUAAGCAUGCACCACGAGCCAAAGGUUUUCGGGAUGCUCAGCUCAUAAGGAAUUGACUGAAAGUGACUGUUCGUUGUGUGAGCUAGCUGUCUCCACUGGUGGCUUCUGAAUUAUUGGUCCUAUAUACAUGCACCACGCGCAACAUAAGGGAAAAAAAGUCUGCAACAUGUGCGGCACUGGAUAAUUGAGCUAGCAAUAACAGUGUUGUACGCUUGUCUAUGAGGGAUGCAUGGUGCCUAACAAUCACAAUGAUCUAUACUGACUACUCCCUCCGUUCCAAAUUAUAAGUCAUUCCAAGAAUCUUGGAGAGUCAAAGCAUCUCAAGUUUGACCAAAAUUAUAGAAAAAAUUAUAAAGAUUCAUAACAUUAAAUAGUUAUACUAUGAAACUAUAAUUGAUGAAGAAUCUAAUGAUACUUUGUUGACAUCACAAAUGUUAUUAUAUUAUCAUAUAAAUUUAGUCAAACUUGAGAUACUUUGACUCUCCAAGAUUCUUGAAAUGACUUAUAAUUUGGGAUGAAGGGAGUACAUCAUAGCUUGUCUGCUUGCCUAGUGCGCGUGAACCAUGAGGGCAGGACUAGUGGCUGCACACUACUCCACGAGGGUAGGACUGGUGGCUGUGCACCGACAGAAUUCACUAUUCGACACUAAAAAAACUAAUCGUGACACUAAAUAAAUUUUGGUUCCCGUUUGAUACUGAGUUCAAUUUUCAUUCUUUAUAUAACAUUCUGUUGGAUUUUUCAUACGAGAACCAUUAAAUGCCCGAUGAAAAGACGAUUUUGCCCUUGUGAGCCCCACCACCCUUCUCCGAUCUACUCACCUUCUCCAUCCGCUCUAUUGUACCUCCCCCACUGCUCCAUCCAUCCUCCUGUCCAGGUGAGAGCUUAGGCACCAGGAGCUCACUACAGUUCUAUUUGUGUGGUUAUUGGCAUCGAGGAUGGUCGGGACGGUGGAGCUCCAAGGGAGGGGGGUCAUGGCGGGCUGACGGCUCGAGUCGCCAAGGAAAGGACGAUUCCCGGCGGGGUUGAGCUCAUCCUAGCCAACAAGCAGGUCGGGGAGGUCGAGCGCAAGGUGAGGGAGGUUCGGGUGCGAGGGAUUGGGUUUUGGCGAAGGUGGUGAGAAUUUGGUCGGCGAUGAGGUUUGGUGGCUGGUGGCAGUCGCGAGACAUGGAAUUCCCGGCACUAAGUAGUUUGUGAUUGGGCUAGAACUAGCCUGGGAGGGAGAUUGGAAUUUGUAGAAUUCUUGUGUGAGACCACGGGGCGCUGUCUCAGACACCAGCCUUGCCGCACUGAAAUCGGCGAGCUUCACGACGUAGCCUUUGGUGUCGCAGCAGUUGAGGAGCACAUUCCGACCCUUGACAUUCUUGUGCACGACGGCCACCCUCCUGAGCCCACACGCCGUGCUCACUGUAACACCCAAAAAUUCCAUCAUAAACACAAUAUAAGCAACAUGUGGUCUAGCUCUUUCUUUUCUAAGAAUUAAAUAAAAUACUAAUAUUAAAUUAUGGCCUUUAAUAAAUUAAAAAACACUUGAAAUAACUUUUUUGAGACAAGUGCUUGUUAGGGUUCUUCGUUUGCUUCCCUUUUUGUUUGCGUUUGCAAAAUUUUAAAUCAAAAAUCUUAUCAAUCUUCUUUCUCUCUUUCUGUAAAACUCAGCAGGCCGGCCCACCUUUCCACUUUCUUUCCCUCCCGGCCCGCUCUCUUUUUCCUUCUCCAGCCGGCCCACCUCCUCAUUUCUUUGCGCAGGCCCAAGCUGAUCCGCCGGCCCAUCAGCAUCUCCCCAGCCCAACCCCCCCUCUCCUCCCACCGAUAGGUGGGGCCCACCUGUCAGGCGCGUCCUCAACCUCCAGCUGCACCGCAACUCCAGCACUGCCAGCAGCGCCUGCUCGCCUCCCAUCGCCACUCCAUCUCCUGCGUCCCUCCACUUGCUGGAACUACAUCGCCUUCCCACGCGUGUGCGCUGCUAGCGCCCUCUCCUCUCCUAACUCCAGUUACAGGCGUCCCAUUUUCCACUCGCGAUUAAUGGCCAUCGGAGCUCGUUUCAUCUACCCAAGCGCCGUCUCAACUCCUCCUCACGGCCUAUAAGUAGCGCCUACUCCCUCUCCCCGGCUCCAUUCUCCCAUUCUCGCCACCACCAACGCUACCCGCACCAGAGCGCCAGAGCGCCACCGCAUCUCACAGCACCGCCACCGUCCAAAUUCCUCCGCCGCUGGGUACAACGCCGGCCUUUCUCGCCCGCCACAGCCGCAGGUAUGGCCUCCCUCGCUUUCCCCUCGCUCACCUCCGUCGCCUGCGCCACCCGCUUUGCUCACCGCCGCGCCUGAGCUCGCCGGCGAGCCACCGGUCAUGCGAGCCACCGGUCAUGUGCCUAUGCGCGUGCGCGAGAAAGGAAAGAGGAGGAGGAUAAGGCUAUUUUGCAAUCUAGUCCCUAAACUCUCUGAUAUUCUCUUGCUUGAUUCAUGUGUCUAGUAAGGCUUGCAAAGAAUCCCCUGCAAUCCUUAGAACCUUUCUUUUUAACCUGAGCUCUACAAUCUUGCAGAUCUAACCCUAUACUUUUCUAUAUUUCUUAGUUGUUCACUUAGUCUUGUGAAACUUCCUUGGUAGCCCCUAAAGUAUAUAGUUAAUUCCGUUUAAGCCCCUAAAACUUGUUUACUACAUAUCUUCAUCAUUUCAACUCCGAUUUCAGCGAUUCUCAGCUAGGCACCAUACCACACUUUCGAGGUGUAAUUGCAAAGGGACGUUACGAGGCCUUUACAAAGAUUCCCUAAUAAGAAGUAGUCCGCUAAGGUUUCAUGAUCAGUGCAAUGUAUAACAGUCCCCUAGUGGGUAUAGUGUCUUAGCAAAGCCCACUUCCUAAGAGAGCGAGUGCUAUACACCAACUACUGUCUCUCCCUCUUGCCCUUUCGGUAAGACCGCUCCAAAAUAGAGUUUCUAAUUAUUCAGCCAAGACCAGAGCUAUUUAGUCUUGUGGUAGCACUGUUUUCCUGGGUGGUUCUCCAUGUUUCAAUUAACAUUAUUAUGAUAUUAUUAACAAAGCAUAGGUAGAAGGUUGGUUAGGGACACUUGCCUUUUCUCCAACGAAAAGUUACUCCUACUGCUCUUUAGCUUUUUGCUUUCUUGAAACUCUUACUCUUCAAAACUUCGAAACAACGAUCCUUCUACUCGGAGCAAACAUCAGCACAAACAUACAAGCAACAAACAAGUACAACUAAGAACAAUACACCAAAACAAAAGACAGGCUUUAAAAGAGCAUACUAAAGGACAUGGCUUGAUUCUAGGAUUACGCAGAUGCAGGAACGCUUACAACGUAACUAUGGUUGAAAAGAUAAAACUAUCGAAAGAUUUGAAUUUUAAAAGAAAGGUGAGAGUUACAAACUUCAUUUAUUUUAGUUGAGAAAAAUAAUGUAAAGAUAUUUCAGAGAAAUAUCCUUAGUUAGAAUUAAUCAAGUCAUAUUUAUAUUUUCAUAAGAAAAGACGGUGUAAAGCUUAGCCCAAAUUUAUUUAUAAAUAUUUAAGUACAAUUUAUGCAAAUUAGACAUUUAAUUUAAAAAUAAGAUACAUGUAGACAUAUAAGCGUAUAGCUUUACAUUUCGAGUUCAACUAAGUAGAUUAAAUUAAAAACACAUUUAUAUUUAUAUUAGCUAAAUUAACAUUUAAUUAUGAAACUCGAGAUAUAACCUAUGUAGCUUUUAUUUAGAAAACAAAUUGAAUAAACAUUAAUCAAAUUGAAUUUAAUUUAUGAAACGUCGAGGUAUAACUCUAAGUGGCUUUUAAUUGCAAGAAUUAUUUAGAUAUGCAUUAAUCAAUUUAACUUUAGUUUAUGAAAAACCGAUAUAUAACCUAAUUGGCUUUUAUUUAGAAGAGGGUAUGAAGUAAGCAUUAACCAAAUUGAUGUUUAUUAUCAAAAGCGGUGUAUAACUCUAAGUAGAUUUUAUUUAGAGAAGACGCAUGUUUAUGUGGCAUUAAUCAAAUUAAUAUCAAAUUUAUUUUUUUAAAGACAUGCAUGAUCGCAAACAUCACUACUAACACGUCAUUUAUGUUAUUAUGAAUCUAACGCAACUUGAACGAGGUUAAACGGAUCUAAAACGUGAAGUAUAGGAGCUAAACAAGGUUGCAAGGGUCUAAAUGUAAUUAACCGUAGACUUGGAGGGUUAGUUGAGAAGAUUACCGAGACACAGGGAACAGGACUCAUGAAAAGCUGAAAACACUAGGUUAGAUCUGCAAAAGGUCAAGGUUUGGAUUAGAUUGAAAGGAUCUCAAAGUUACAGGGGAUUUUCUACAAGGUUUGCAAGACACAAGUAAUAGGAACAGAAAUUAACAGAUUCUCCAGGGGCUAGAUCGAAAAGCAGCGCUUCAUCUUCUUCCUCACGCCACAAGCAUGGCGCAGCUCCAGGCCGGUGGUUUGCCGGCGUUCCGGCGCGGCGGAGGCCUGGGCGGGUGGUGCAGGUGGCGAUGGCCAGGCUAGGGGCCAAGGGCACGGCUGUACACCUCGGAAGUGUGGUAUGGUGCCUAGCUUGCACCGUAUGGUUGGGUCCAAAGUUCUUUGAACUUUUACGCGACUUGUGGGUAAAGAUGUGCCACCUCUACAGAGUGUAAAACUGAUCGAUCAGCCGUGCUCACGGUCAAGAGCGGCCUGGACCGUCACAUGAUUAAUUAAACUUGAAGAUGGACUUAAAUCAUUAUUCUGGUUAUUUCUAGUGGCCCUGCUGAGUACCAACCAUAAGUGUACUCACCCUUGCUUACUGCUGCUCAGAAGAAGAAGGUACGCAACCCCCAGUCGAUUGCCUGUGAAGUUUGGAGCCUCCAUUUCCAGUAUUUAAGCUGUGUAUCUCUGAUACACUCACCCUCACGCGACCGUCUCUGCAUGACUGUUAGUUUUAGGAGUUUGUUUUAAGUCUUUUUUUUUCUCAUGUUUGGUGUACUAUUUUAUUUAUUGUUUAUUUUGCUUGUGUCAUCGUGUGGACGACAUGUCAUUCAAGGAGAUUUAGCAGCAGCAGCCGUUCGACGAAGAGUUCCCUCAGUUUUUCAAGGAAGGCAAGUGGUCAUCUUCCCCUGCAUAUUCUUUUUUGUCCCAAUAAUAGCAUGCUAAAUCACUUUACUAUUUUCUUGUAUGUGUAUAAUUUGAUGGGAAUACCUAUUAAGGACUUACCUAGUUUUUAAUCCUGAUCCUUGAACAAUGGUUUUAAUCAUGUUGGGUAGAAUUGCUUAGUUGCUUAAUUUUGGGAUGGUAAUAAUUUUGAGAAUAUUAAUCAUGACUUUAUUAAUGCUAUACCUAUGUUAUUACAAGAUCACUUGAUUUAAUCGGAACAUGGAGAACCACCUAGGAAAACAGUGCAACCACAAGUACUAUCAUGACUCUUGUCUUAGCUAAUUAAUUAGAGACUCUAGUCUGGGGUAAUCUUACGGAAGGGCAAGAGGGGUGGCGGAUGAUGGGGUAUAACCCGCUUCUCAAACUGAUCUACUCUAUGGAAGCUUCGCAGUCUUGAGAGGAGCUUAUGCUCUACUACCGAUCCAGAAAUCUUAGCGGGUUACCACUUACUAGGGGAUCUUUGUAAAGGCCUCAUAGCGUCCCUAUGCAAUCACACCUCAGAAGUGUGGUAUUGUGCUUGGCCAGCAUAGCAUGGUUGGGUUUACAGUUCUUUUGAACUUUUAUGCUACUUGUGGGUAAAGAUGUGCAACCGCUGUAGAGUGUAAAACUAAUAUAUCAGCCGUACUCACGGUUAAAAUGCGGCUUGGACCCUCACAUGAUAAUUGAACUUAAAGAUGAGAAUAAAUCAUGGUUCCUUUAUCGUUGGGUUUUUUAAAUGCUUUAUGCUUAAGUGGGUUGGUAUAAACUUACACCUAAAAAUUAGGUUCUUGCUAUGCAUUCAAUUUUGUCCAAAAAUCGGGUGUGACAAAAGUGGUAUCACAGCUGUGUUGACUGUAGGAUAUAAGCCUAGAUAAAAAUGGUCUAAAUAAGGACUCAUUUUCUUAGCAAGCCAUGUCUUCUCAAAAAUAUCUUAUUUUUCACAGAAAAAUCUAUUUUAUUUUUGUUCUUUGCCACAAAAAGUUGUCUCUUGUUGGCUUUGUUUUGAGUAUCUUUUCUUUCUUUGUCAGAUGGCUAAGACCAGGUUGACCGCUCAUAAAAGCACUAGAGGAUACUAGGUUGGCCUUGCCCCUGCUUAGCCAGCUGCUCUGAUUCAGCAUGUAGAGGAGGUUGAAGAAGAUUUGGAGGAGGUCUACAAGCUGCCCCAGCUUCAUACAGUCCUGCAUCAAUUGCCCCUACAUCAGAUGCUCCAGCACUAGCUGAUCUAGCUCCACCACCUGCUACCGAUGGUGGAGACCCGGACGACUCUGGGAAUGACAGCAAUAGUGAGGAUAAAGAAGAUGACGAUGACGACUACAACAAAAACAAUGACCACAAUAGCAACAAAGACCACAACAACAACCAUGAUAACAAUAGUGGUAGAGAUGGAAAUCAGAAUGGUGGACCGCAGAAUGUGACACCAGCUUGUGACUACCACACUUUGGAGGAUGAGUCUGGAUACUUUCCCACACUGCUCUGGGAAGUACUAUAGAGUUUGGGAAGCACCAUGAAGCCCCUCUACGACACUCAUCGUGUCUCCCACUCCACCAUGGAUGACUACUACGCCAGUCAGGUCCACAUAAGGGAACGGUUGGCGACUUCCAGAGUAUUGAGGACUUGCUCAGCACACGACUCCACUACGGCCCACGCCACCUAUGCCUCAGCCAUCAGCGACGCCGCCAGGAGAGCUCUGUCUUCCCUCUGCUUCACCCAUCUCCAGGAGUUGAGCAACACCAUCUACCGUAACCUGCCUCGCCGAGCUAGUGGCACUGAGGACACAGCUGUACAGUUGGGAGAAGCAGGAGAAGACUGCAUCAACAUCCUUGCUCGAGUCACCACUGCUCUCAACACCAACCUCGACGGAGCUAUUGCAGAGCUUGCCAAGACCAAUGAUAAGCUGCAAGAUGCUCACGCCAGGAUUGUGUAGCUUGAGGCACAGCUUGCCGAACAAGAGCCACCUGAGGAGGCAGCCGAGUUCCACUACCCCACCAUUUCACCACCCCGCAAGAGGCUUCGCUAUGGCGCGUCUGGCUCCAUCACCGGUCUUUUAGACUAGGUUGUGCUUUUAGGUUGCCUUCCAAAGUCUUUCUGUUAGAGCUGUUACUGUGAGGACGUGCGAUGUAAUAACGUUUGCUGGUUGAAAACAUGUUUGAUUUGGACCUUUGUAUUUUCUAGGAUAUUUUGUGAAGUGAUGGCCACAAAUGCAUCAUUACAGAAAAUAAAGUUUAUUAGUUUAUUGGGUCUAAAUCUUGGUUCUUUGCCCCUAUAUCUACCUUAUCAAAUCAUGACUCUUAUCCGAGAUUUAUUUGUCUAAUACUCAGAUGGUAAACACCAGGUCAGGAGGAGGACAAGACAUUCCAAGUGAGAGGCAUGCUCACAUAAUUAAUCAGCAGAAUCAAGCACCACCUCCACCACCAAGUUCGACAAUGGAACAAUUUUUGGCUGCUUAGAUGCAACUACUGCAGAACCUCACUACUACUAUUUAGAAUCUACAAGCUUAGCAGAAUCAACAACCACCACAAGCACCUCAGGCACCGAGAGAUAAGCAUAGGGAAUUCAUGAGCCACCACCCUCCUCCUUACUCUCACUCAGUGGAUUCAUUGGAUGCUGAUGACUAGAUGAAGGUCAUUAGUAAGAAGCUAGAUAUUACACAGUGCAACGAUCAUGAGAAGGUUUUGUAUGCUGCAGGAUGCUUGGAAGGAGUUGAAGCCAACUAGUGGGAUGCCUAUACUACUGCCCACGCCAAUGUUAAUGCUAUUACUUGGGAAGAGUUCACGAACAACUUUCGCACACACCCCAUUCUAGCUGGUGUGAUGAACCUCAAGUAGAAGGAGUUUCGAUCAGCGAGUAUUGGGACAAGUUCACAUAGCUGUCUUGUUACACGCCAAAUGAGGUGGACACCAAUGAGAAGAGACAUGAAAGUUUCCUGGAUGGACUGAUAGGGCCACUUAACUAUCAACUGCAGAGUCACACGUUCCCUAAUUUUUAGACACUACUAGACAAAGCCAUUGGUUUAGAGAACAAACAUAAGGAGCUCGGGGAACAAAAGCGGAAGUUUCAGUCGCAAGGUCAAUCUAGCAGGAACACCCACCCUUGCUUCAACUUAUCGCAGGGAUCACAAUUUCAUUCAGGAGGACAAGGUUGAAGCUAUCAACAGAAUCAGCAAUUCCAAAGUACCACUCAACAACCAUAGCGAUUCAAUCAACAAGCAUAGUACACCUCAAACCCACAGCAAAACCGAGCAAACAAUACCACAGGAGCACCCGUGUGUAACAAUCCAAUUACCCUGGUUCGACCCAAUGGAUGCUUCAAGUGUGAUGAAGUGGGACAUUAUGCCAAUAACUGCCCCAAGCAUGGAAUGCAGACCCCUCAGAAGACCAAUGGUUAGAAGUCUGGUCAGCAACAGUUGCAAGCGCGUAAUGGAAAUCCAAACUCUCAGGGCAACAAGGGCUAGCAGAACUUCAUGCAUGGUAGGGCGAACCACGUGAGAAUUGAGACAACUGAAGAAGCUCCAGAUGUUGUUUUUAGUAUGUUCCUCAUGAAUUCCGAACCUGCGUCAGUUUUAUUUAAUUCUGGAGCAUCACACUCAUUUAUAACCAAUCAAUUUGUGGCAAAACAUAACAUACCUAUGCAACCUAUGAAGAAAACUUUGCUAGUUAGCUCACUAGGUGGUGAUAUAAGAACAAGUCAAAUAUGCUCGCAAGUCAAUAUGAAAAUCAUGUGGGUAGAUUUCAUAGCCCACCUAGUGGUCCUAAACUCCAAAGGUAUUAAUGUGAUUCUUGGAAUGAACCGGUUAGGAGUAUAUGAUGGAAUUAUCCUAUAUGCCAAGAAGUCAGUGCUUUUAACUACCCCUCAGGGGACAAAAUUGAGUUUGUGGCUACUACCUCAUCUGAAGAAAAGGGUAUAGUCAAUCAAAUAAAAGGAAAAUCUUUGGAGGUGUUGACGCAAAAUCCUGAAGGUGGUGGACCCUGCAUCACCACAUGAGGACCUGGGAGAUCUGCUUAACUCCAGUGCAGAAUCCAAAUCGGCGCGCAUGGUGUGCGCGGGCAUGCCAUUCAGUUUGACCAUUCAACUGACAAGGUGGAGAUAAUUCUCUCGAAGUUCGAUGGAGUCGGCCGAUCGGGCCGAUUUAAUAUAAUUUACAAUAACCAUUAGCCAUACGGACGAUAGGAAACACAAUGCUGUUGAGUUGUUGCUCCACCAUAGCUAGAGCCACAAGCCGAUGAGAUCAAAACUAACAUCACCACCAAUAUUUUUAGGUGAAACCAUAGCGAUGCGCCCGGUAGUUGCAGUCUAGAAAUAUUUAGCAAGACGUUAAUCUGAACCCCGCCAGCUGAUGAAUCCAAUCACAAUGGAACUUACUCCCAACAGCACUCGAAGGGGUAACCAAGAUUAAGAUGCAACAGGCUAUUAAAUGAUCUAUCGUCUAUGAUGAACCGAUCUAAAGCUAAUUAAAGCAAACUGAACAGCAAGACGAAAGAAUAGAUAAAUAUCAGCCGAUGCAAGCUUAAUCAAGGCGUGAUAACUGGUGAAUACCGUAGAUCGAGACAGAAGCGAUGCGCCGUAAGUUAAAGAUCCAAGAUACUUGAUAAUUGGUAAAUGAAACUAGACAAAACCACAGCGAUGCGCCCGGUGGUUAAAGCCUAGAACACCUGGUGAUGGAACUUGCAGCUCGCCGGAGAUCGAGGUCGAUGCAGCCCAGCUUGCUAGAAGGAACUCGUCGAGAAUCUACAUUACUCCUACUCCUAGGGCAAUGGCGUGAAGCUGAAAGGUAAAGGUAAAUAUGUUGUAUUAUUGAUCGUGUGAUGAUUCCUUACAAUGGCCACGUCCCUUUAUAUUUAUAGGGCGGACGUUACAUAAUUGGCAUCUAACCACGCACAAGGCAAGUCACGUACACAAUCUUUUCUAAUAAAAAACUCUAUCUCUAACUAACCCAACUCUAUCUCUAAAAUAUUUAAUUCUAUGAAACAACCUCCCGUACAUGCACAGAUCGGCCGCAUGUAUAAUUAUUCUGGAAGCCUCACACGCAUGGCAUGCAAAGUGCACCAGAAUCCAUGUUGUAUAUUCUAAUCAUUUUUAUCCAUACGUGCUGGCCUUUCCUUUAUAUCAUCCUUGCCUCUCCUUGCCGAUCAAUCCAAUGAAGCCGAUUUGGACUCCGUGCCCAUAUACACGCAUGCUACCUUUUUAUUGUUGUACGUGACUCCAAUUAUCUUGUACUCCGAAUUUAUAGGAUUGGUCAAAAUCCGGUGUCAACAGGAGGAUAUCAAGGUUGUAUGCGAAUACCCCAAAAUGUUUCCCAAGGAUUUACCAGGUACGUCGCUUGACUGAGAUAUUGAGUUCUCCAUUGAUCUUUUACCUGGCACUUCACCAAUAUCUGAAAGACCUUAAACAAUACAUGUUAAGGAUUUGGUUGAGUUAAAGAAACAAAUAGAAGAAUUAUUAAGUAAAGGUUUUAUCUGUCCUAAUUCUUCACCUUGGGGAGCACCUGUAUUUUUUGUUGAUAAAAAGGAUGGCACCAUAAGAAUGUGUGUGGAUUAUAGAGCUCUUAAUGAUGUGACCAUUAAGAAUAAAUAUCCACUCCCUAGGAUUGAAGAUCUGUUUGAUCAGAUGAGAGGUGCAAAAGUCUUUUCCAAAAUCGAUCUAUAAUCAGACUAUCACUAGUUCAAGAUCCCAGCAGAAGAUAUACCUAAAAUGGCGUUUACAUCCAGAUACAACCUAUAUGAGUACACUAUGAUGUCUUUUGGAUUGACCAACGCUCUAGCAUAUUUCAUGUACUUGAUGAACAAGGUGUUUAUGGACUACCUAGAUAAGUUUGUGGUAGUGUUCAUCAAUGAUAUAUUGGUAUUUUCUUGAAAUGAAGAAGAGCAUGAGGAGAACUUAAGAUUAGUGUUACAGAAGCUUCAGGAGAAUCAAUUAUAUGCCAAAUUGAGUAAGUGUGAGUUCUGGUUGAAAGAAGUUUCCUUCCUUGGACAUGUUAUCACCGAUGGAGGAAUCACAGUAGACUCAAGCAAAGUUCAAGAUGUGCUGAAUUGGAAUCCUUCCAAGAAUGUGUCUGAAAUCAGAAGUUUUCUUGGAUUAGUAGGUUAUUACUGCAUGUUUAUUGAAGGUUUCUUGAAGAUCGUCAAACCCCUCACUUCAUUGUUAGAAAAGGGAAAAGAGUUUAAAUGGGAUGACAAGAAGUGAGUUUUGAAGAGCUGAAGAAGAAGUUGACUACAAACCCUAUACUGAUAAUGUCUGAUAUACACAAAGGCUUUGAUGUUUAUUGUGGUGCUUCACGUCUAGGUAUUGGAUGUGUACUAAUGCAAGAAGGUAGAGUAGUAGGUUAUGCCUCAAGACAGUUGAGAAACCACGAGAAAAAUUAUCCAAGUAAUGACUUGGAACUAGCUGUCGUUGUGCAUGGAUUUGGAGAUAUUACAUGAUCGGGAACAAGUGUCAGAUCUUCACUGACCACAAAAGCCUAAAGUACAUAUUCACUUAGAGGGGUCUUAAUUUAAGGCAACACAGAUGGUUAGAGUUGAUAAAGGACUAUGACUUGGAUAUUCAGUAUCAUCCCGGCAAAGCAAAUGUCAUAGCGUACGCCCUAAGUUGAAAAGGUCAAGCUAAUGUGACUAUAGUACUGUUGAUAUCUCAAGAGUUAUGUUGGGAAAUAGAGCGACUCAAUUUGGGAAUCAUUGCCCAUACUGAAUCCAUGACCAUGGAAAUUGAACCUACACUGGAACGAGAGAUAAGAAAAGGGCAAUUGACGAAUGCUAAAAUCUAGGUAACCAAGAUCCAAAUUGGUUUAGGAAAGCCCCCCAACUUCACUAAAGAUGAUCAAGGAAUGGUUUGGUUCAGGAAAAGGAUCUAUGUACCAGAGAUCGACCAUCUUCGUGAAUGCAUAUUGAAGGAAGCACACGAUUCGGCUUAUUCUAUUCACCCUUGUAGUACUAGAUGUAUCAAGAGACGUAGCAACCCACGUUGCUUUGUGUGAUGUAUGUUAGCAAGUGAAAGCAGAGCACCAAAGACCAGCAGGUUUACUUCAGCCAUUGAAAGUACCUGAGUGGAAAUGGGAAGAGAUCGGAAUGGAUUUUAUUGUUGGGUUACCCCACACUCGGGAUGGCUAUGAUUCCAUAUGGGUUGUUGUGGACAGAUUAACUAAGGUUGCUCAUUUCAUUCCAGUUAAAAUAACCUAUAGUGGACCAAAUUUGCAGAGUUGUAUAUGUCAAUGAUUGUAUGUUUACAUGGUGUUCCUGUUGCGUUCCAAUCUCUUGCGAGGUUAAGAAACAACACAAUAGGUAGUAAAUGAACUGCUCUCUAUUAAAUGAAGUGUCUGAAUCUCGUUACAUGAGGGGACGACCCCCUUUUAUACUGUCCAGAGGAUACCUACAAUUUACAAUUUUACCCUCUCUCACCCACUACAUCCUCAGUAUAUUCUGUACACAUUUGUCAUCUCAUGAAGUCACGUGUUUUGUCCUCCCAACAAUCCCAUAAAUCACACUCUCACAGGGUAUCGUAAUUGGUGUUGUCCUGUCGGUCAAGUCGCCUUCCCCCUUAGCUUCGCGUCUAUGCCCUAAUUCGUUCGCCACUCCUUAAUGAUGCUCCCAUAGCAAGUUGGCUUCAGUCUCUCGUGUUAUACUGACUUCGGGCCCACAAGUCCCCUGGCGAGGUUGAUGCUGCUCCUGCGGGCACCGAAGACAACGGACGGGCAAUGAGUCAGAAAAACAAAGGUUAGCUCAUAUUACCUUCACCUUUGAUUUUGGUUUGUCCCGAAGCUGGGUAAUCACGGCCCCGACCGAAGCUGAGCCCUUGGCGUGAAGUUGCAAAGUCCGCUGAGCCCUGGUGCAUAGAAAAUAGAGGUUAACCCACCUUGCCUUCGCCCCCGAUUUCGGUUUGUCCCGAAGCUGUAAAGUUCACCGAAUCUUGUCGCAUCUUUCGGGAGAGAGAUGACCUUGAGGGGGGCUGUUUUGGGCGAUUCCCCAACAGUUCCAAAGAAGAUAGUAUCUGAUCGAGGUACUCAAUUCAUGUCACGUUUCUAGUAGAAGCUACAUGAAUCAAUGGAUAGAAAGCUUAAUUUCAGUUUGGUGUAUCAUUCACAAAUGGAUGGUUAGACUAAAAGAAUCAAUCAAAUAUUAGAAGAUAUGUUAAGAGAUUAUGCUUUAAAGCAUAGAGGUAGUUGGGAUAAAAGUUUACCAUACGUAGAAUUAUCUUAUAACAACAAUUAUCAAGCCAGUCUUAAGAUGGCCCCGUUUGAAGUGUUAUACGGAAGAAAGUGCAGAACACCAUUGUUCUGGAGUCAGACUAGAGAAAGCCAAGUCUUUGUACCGGAAAUUCUUAAAGAAGCUGAAAGACAAGUUCAAAUAAUUUGAUAUAAUCUCAAGACUGCAUAGUCACAACAGAAGAGUUAUGCUGAUACUCGGAGGAGAGAAUUGACAUGUGAUGUUGGAGAUUACAUGUAUCUCAAGGUAUCACCUAUUAGUGGUCUUCGUCGAUUCAAGGUUAAAGGGAAGCUAUCACCUUGUUACAUUGGUCCUUUUCAAAUUUUGGAAAGAAAAGGAGAAGUGGCAUAUCAGUUAGACUUACCUGCUCAGCUAUCAGAUGUUCAUGACAUGUUCCACGUAUCUCAGUUGAAGAAGUAUCUAAGAGUACCUGAAGAACAAUUACCAUUGAAAGAACUCAAUGUGAAGGAUGAUUUGACUUAUUUAGAGUACCUUGCCAAAAUACCAGAAAUAUCUCAGAGGGUCACUCAGAGCAAGGUAACCAGAAUGUGCAAAGUAUAGUGGAGUCAUCAGUCAGAAGAUGAAGCUACUUGGGAAAGAGAAGAUGAGCUUAUCGAAUAAUUCCCUCAGUUGUUUUCCAAUCUCUCUGAAUCUCGAGGACGAGAUUUUCUUUAAGGGGGUAGGAUUUGUAACACCCAAAAGUUUCAUCAUAAACACAAUGUAAGAAACAUGUGGUCUAACUCUUUCUUUUCUAAGGACUAAAUAAAAUACUAUUAUUAUAUUAUAGCCUUUAAUAAAUUAAAGAACAAUUGAAAUAAUUGUUUAGAGACAAGUGCUUGUUAGGGUUGUUUGUUUGCUUCGGUUUUUGUUUGCAUUUGUAAAAUUUUAAAUCAAAAAUCUUAUCAAUCUUAUUUAUCUCUUUUUGUCCAACUCAGCAGGCCAGCCCACCUUUCCUCUUUCUUUCCCUCCCGGCCCGCUCUCUCUUUCCUUCUCCAGCCAGCCCACCUCCUCAUUUCUUUGCACCGACCCAAGCUGAUCCACCGGCCCCUCAAGCAUCUCCCCAGCCCAACUCCCCCUCUCUUCCCACCGACAGGCAGGGCCCGCCUAUCAGGCGCGUCCUCAACCUCCAGUUGUACCGCAACUCCAAUGCCUGCUCACCUCCUGUCGCCGCUCGAGCUCCUAUGCCCCUCCGCGUGCUUGCACCACGUCCAUCCUUCCUCGCAUUGAGCCCCUUCUUCUCUCCUUCUCUCUGUGCAGGUGCAGGAGGGCGAUCCCCAUCUAGACUGGCCAUGUGGAAGUAGGACCACCACCAUGUGUAGUUGGUCCCCCGUGUAUGCAUCAAUGCUGCACCUAUUGACUGUGACCUGGCACCCCGACAGUGAGCCAUGUGAUUUUCGCAUCUCAAAGGCAUGGUUUAUCCUCCCUCUUCCUGCUGCUGCUCAUCCUCCCUUGACCCUUCACCAAACUACUUGUUGCAAUCGGAAGAAAGAUCAAUCGAGUUGAAGAGAUGGAAGCUAGUCACCAUUGAGUGAUGUUAUGAUCCGUCCCUCUAUCAUAACCGUUGGAACCCAGCUGGUGCGAAAGCUAAUUACCUGAAGCAAUUGGUAGAAACGGAUAGUACUGGUUCGUUCACUUAUUUCUUUGCUCAAACUUAAUUUCUGCUUAAUGUUUGUGCCUUGUGGUGAGACUAUAUUAGCUGCUUAUUCUGCUGGUUGCAUGCAGAAUAGUUAAAUCAAGGCACAUGUCUUCAAUUUCUGAGCUAGUGCUGCGUGUCCGUGACGCAGAAGCACUGCCUCAGAUAGAUUAUCUUUGGGUGGCGCAGAAACUGGAACUAUCUUUGGGUGGCGCAGAAGCCGCACCUCUGUCACAACUGAGCAUAUCUGGCUGCAACUUUUUCUUCGUAUCAAGCCAGUCACAGCUAACACCUGGGGUCUGGAAAUGGUUUGAACAUCUUGCAAAUUUCAUAAUUGAAAAAUGUGAUGUGCUCAUCUACUGGCCAGAAGAAGUGUUCCAAAGCUUGGUAUCUUUGAAGAACUUAUGGAUUCUGUCCUGCAACAAGCUAAUAGGGCCCACAAAAGCGAAAGGUGGCGAACCUACACAAACAACAGAUCAAAUCUACACAAACAACAGAUCUAAAAAUAAGAGGAUGUGAUAGCCUGGUAACACUUCCAAAUCUACCACCGUCCCUCAAACAUUUUUUUAACUGCUGUGAGAAGCUGUGAGAAUCAUCAGCAGCUGUGAGAAGCUCUGCUCUGUGUCAGGAGACCUGUGUGCACUCGAGGAACUACAUAUUUUUAACUGCAAUAAGUUACAGUCAGUCAAUUCAUUGGGAGACCACCCAUCAUUAGAAACACUGUUUCUUUCUGGCUGCCGAUGCCUUGCAUCUUUAGGAUGUGAUGGUGGUCGUGGGAGUUACUCUGCUCUUCAGAGCCGUAAGAUCGAAUACUGCCCAGCCAUAGACAUGAAGCAGUUUUACUAACGCCAUCAAACAGCUGCUUGACAGCUUUGUAUAGGAAGACGUAUCACACGUUCAUUCAAGCAGCUCUGAUGAAGGUACGACCUUUCACUUUCCUCUUAUUCAAUUUGUUUCCUUCAGAUUUCCCUGCUUUGCAUGCCCUCCUAUUUUGUUGAUGAACUGGUUAAUAGAUGGGUUUGUGGGGUGGGAUUUUGGGGUUUCAUCUUCAUUCCGCGGUCCUUUCUCACUGAUGUAACCCCACAUAUUGUUGGUUUAUACGGCUGUUGGUUUUCAGUCUUGGAUGCAGUUGACGUGCAUAGAGAAAUUCUAGAAAUAUGUGAUAUCCCUUGGUGUUGAGAUCAGCUGAUGCGGAAUCACUGAAACGAGAUCCUGAUCGGUCUCAGUUUUGGAGAGCAAUUUCUGGUGAAUGGAAGCAGUCCCAAGGCUUGAAGAACUCAUGGAGUCGUACCGUACCAUUCUCCGCUGCCAGGGCCUAAACUAGGUACGUGGAAGGCGCACUGUGUUUUGUCAACAACACAAUUCCUUUAUAUAAGUUGGGAUAGUAAAAAACCAUGCCUUCGUCUGUGUUAAUCAAAUCUCAUUUAGCACAUAUAUGGUGGACGUGUUGUUAACUUGUUACCCCCAUGCUUUUCAUUUUUUCGGUGCAGACAUCAACCAUUUGUUCUUAAAUUAAAGCAUAAAGGAGGGCACUCACUUGUACACAUAUUCUUAAGUACUGGAACGACUGCCAUCUGUAUACUCAGCUUCAUUGCAAGUCUCUGCUAACGAUGACAGGCCUGCAGUGGAUGACAAAAACGACUAAGUUUGUUUUCACGGCACUACUAGCUGCUGGUAAUUCUCUCGUCACUAAUGCACACUACUCCCUUCUGUCAUCCAUCAAAGCUGUGGACAAUAUGAUGUCACUCUUAUUUUUUUUAAAAUGAAACCGGCAGGAGAGCUGCCCCACUAUAUUAAAAAGAAGGGACGCUCGAAGGGCCAGAGAAGUGUACACCCUUGACAAGGAAGAAAAAACUACACACACUGAAAAGAGAAACGGUGCACAAAAACACCCUCAAGAAAGCUGCAAUAAACAUGCCAGGGGUGCUUAGCCCCGACCGCCACCCAAGAAGUGGCCUCCCCUUUUAUUUUUGAGAAAACUUGCUAUGAAGAGGACUCUUUGUGAUUGAAAAUUCUUGCAUUCCUUUCAAUCCAAAGUUCCAACAGACCAAAAUGAUUAGGCUCCAUUCGUUCAAAAAAAAAUUUAUUCGUUCAAAAAAAAAUGAUUAGGCUCCUUAGCCCACUCCUAUCGACGCUUGGUGUCCUUGCCUGCGCUGUCCACCACGCGUGCACCAAAGUGCACGGCUCCCAGUUACUAGCAUUAAGACCUUCAUCUACCCAUGCAGCGAUCGCAUCCCAAAUGCGCCUGGUAAACCGGCAGUCUGUUAGGAGAUGCAUUCCAGACUCUUGAACCGUGCGACACAACGCGCAUGUGUCAUUGUGAGGGUAAUUUCAUUUUGCUAACCUAUCUGACGACGUCCAUAUCCUAUUUGGAUUGCCAACCAACUGAAGAAUUUGCACUUCGGGAGCACCACGGCUUCCACAUGAUCGCUUUAAAGUUUGUGAAGGUGGAGCCGAUAAAUUGUGCUUGGUAGGCCGAACUCACAGUGUAUUUAUUAUUCUCUGUCAUUUUCCAUACAAUGUUGUUUAGGUUGUCUGGUAUGAGUUGAACCUGGGCUACUGCUGUCCACAAAUUGCAAAACUCCAUAAAAUACCCCAAUGCUAAAUUUACACUCGACCGGACGUUCCCAUCCUCGUGGUCGACGCGCACCGGUCCUCUCAUCAGUCCAUCAUGUGGGCCCCACUCCACUUUCUUUUCCCCUCGCACGCGCUCUCUCUCCCCUCUCCAUUCCCCUUCUCAUCCUUCUCUUUCUCGAUUUCUUCAUGAGAUCCACCGGAGCGACUCUGCAUGUGGAGCUGUUCCACCCAACGUUGAGCACAGUAGCAACAGGCCUGGUGGCGGGCAGGGGAAGCAGCGAGGCUCCGCCCUGCAGCACACAGUAGCGCUCGAGAUCAUCCCGCGAGGAGCGGGGGAAGGAGCACUAGGACCAUCGAGGGCACCGCCGUGGUCUUGACGAUGAGUGGCUGAUGGAUCUUGGCGAGCUCCGCCGUGGCCGCGGUCGACAGCGAUCUAUUCAUUUUUUUCCUUCCUUUUUUCUCUUCUACCUUUUGUCUCAAAAUCUUUUGUCUGUAUAAAGUUUUUGCUUCCAUUUUUUUUUAUUUCUUUGCAUCGUGAAUUUUUUCUCCAUUUUUUUGCUUCAAAACUUUGUCAAAAAAAUUUCUUUUUCAAUACUUUUUCCAAAAUUUUGUCUCAAUUUUUAUUUUCUGAGUUUUGUUUUCACAAUUUUGUCUUUUAAAAUUUUUUGUCCAAAUUUUGUUUCAAAAUUUUUGUUCGCAAACUUUGGUUUCCAAGUUUUCUAAAAAAAGUUAUCCCCAAACUUUUGUUUUCGAACUUUUUUAUAAAAAAUUCUCAUUUUUUGUUUAAUGAAACAGGAAUCACACGUGGGAAGCCGUUCUGACGUGUGGUUGGAAAUCGACCGCACAGAAGGCUCCCACUGGUCACAUGUAAACUUGCGUCCCCCAUAAAAUAAAUCUGUGUGAGGCUCGAGGUUGAAGGCCUAAUAAGGGCAGCCACAAGACUAUGCUUGAUAGUAGAGAGAAGUUUUGGUUGCCAUUAUAGCCGUCGAUGCUGAGUUAGAGCCCCAAUGCUUGGUUAGUAAAAUAUUGUUCCAUAGCAGGGAACAGGCGUUGCUGGGCAAAGAGAAGUGCAGGAGAACCAAAAGGAAACAGGUACAACUAGCUAAAGAAGCCAGCAGCAGUAGCGGAGGGAGGAGGGGGGGGCACGGGGGCCUGGCACCCCCCACCCUCUGCGGCAUCCGCCCCUGCCCCUGGUGGCCUGGGCCUCUCCUGGCAGGCAGGCACCCCCUGAUGGCCUGUGUGCCUAUCGGCCUGUCACCAGUCACCCCUGGCGAGCGGCCUGCCCGGCUGGCCUAAUAAAAAAUUAGAAGCACCUCCCAGGAGUCCUGGCCCUGGAAUAGUCCGCCCCUGGUAGCAGAUUAGCAAAUAGGCACAUCAGGUCAAAUCAUAUUCCGCUCCUGGUAGCAGUUUUUUGUUCCUAGCUCGCGCCGCUAGUCGAAUCGUAUUCUGCCACCACCAGUCAAAAAAGCAAAUAGGCACAUCAGGUCAUCCGUCAUCAGGACAUGAGCACGAAGCACCAGAGUACGAGGACAAGGAUGAAUGGAUCACUGACAUGACUCGCUGUUGUUUUCUUCGCCAGGCGUCAGAUUGUUGCUGUCCGCAGGUAAUCCAUAAUCAUAAAUCAUCCAAUGAUAUUCUCUUAUCUAAUUAACAGUCACUAGUAAUUCUAAAUUUCCCCCUCUAAUUUAAGUAUUGAUGAUAUUAUUACAGCGUACGAUCUUGCUGCUAGUCGAAGAGCUAAAUUUAAGUUGAUAGAUAUGUAAUUUUAUUUUAGUUAAGACUUGUGAACUAUGCUAUUAUUAUAUCAUUAUAUGCGACUAAAAUCAGCUCACGUGGCUAUCAGUUCUACGUUGCUUUGUCCAUUGCUCCCCUUACCUCAAAUCCUAGCUCUGCCCCUAGCCAGCAGAGAGUAUUUAUGUAAGGUUUCUUAAUUUAUGGGAACCAAAGCACACUCAAACCAUAUUCCAGAAUCUUAUUACAUGCAGAACCUGAAGUAAGGGAGAUUGAAACAUAUGGCACGCAUGCAUGCCUUUAAUUACACUAAUACCAGAAAUUAAAAUACACUGCUGCCACAAGUAGUAUAUAUAUUAAGGUAGCUGGUGUCACGCCAACAUCUGACGCAUGGUAAUGACGGGGAGGACCUGGACGUAGUACUCGAUCCUGUAGGCAACCUUGAGUAUGAGAUCGGGUUGCUGCCAAUUGUAGCCGCCGUCGACGCCGCAGAGGAAGGUCUGCGCGAUCCUGGUAUUGUUCUUGUGCUGCUGGUUGUGCAACACGAUCUUGUACGCAUCUCGGAGAUGUUCUUUCAGACUGCUCACCAUCGACCUGGUGUUCUGGUCCCGCGACAGCUUCCAGGACUGGGGCUGCUGCAUCAGGUCGGCUAUCUGCUGUACGAAUUGUACCAGCUGCUGGAUCUCCCCCCUGUUCUGCCUCAGCGCCUUCGCCUCCUGCACGAUAGAAAGUGCGAGGCGCACGACCUCGUCAUGGUCGCCGGUUCGAGCCCCCUGCUGGUCUCCGCGUCCUCCUGGACCUACCGACAACGCGCUGCUCCUCACUGCAUUCACGUCCCUGCGCAUGCAUGCCGAUCAUCUCUGGUUAAAUUUUUCGUUAUUUACGUACUCCAUAUAGGAAGUACUAUAUGAAUGUUUUAUAUAUCAGCACACGAUGAAUACCCGUCCGUGAUGUCCCUGAUUAUCAACUCCAUCACACUUUUAGCGUCGGAUGACAUAUUGUCCAUGUUAGUCAAGUUCCUGAUAUGAUAGAUGACUUCAGCUCCUCUUUUUCGCUCUGAGAGUGGUCAGAGUACAAAAAAUCCAAAGCUUCCAUGCAUGUUAAAUAUUCAAUAAGACAUGCAUAUAGUAUGAAUAUAGUCAUAAUGAUCAUGUCAUGCAUGAGCUUGGUCAAAAACUAUUAAUAUAUCGCAAAAUCAGGCAACAAUGUUAAUCUACCGCUCCCUCCAUUCUCUUUAGAUAUUAAUCCUUUUCGAACACUAGUACAGUCUAGUAUUGUGCACCCUAAAAGAGUCCAACGUGAUGUAACAUGGUGCUGUCUAUAAGUCAUAGUUUAUGUUUUGAACUUUACUACCUUUUGUUUUUUUAGAUAAUGGAUAAAUAUCCGGCUUCACCCUCCUCUUUCGACGAGGCGGAUCAGUCCACAAUUAUUACAAAACGUAGCUUGUUGCUACAUCCACACUAUGGUUUCGACCAAUCAAACCGACUCAAAGAAAUGAAUUCUGGAAUCAAAAGGUAGCUUGUCACUACCUUUUAUUUAUGUUGCAUUGUUCAUUGCCACAAAUUAUUUGCAAAUAUGAAUCUUAUAAUGCUAAACUUUUAUGGUACAAUCUACGUACAGUUUCUUUCUCAAGUUUUGUAGUUGUUUGCCGUUGAGUAAUAUGUAAUUCCGAUGGAUUCAAGAGUCUAGCUAGCUAGAUUUUGGUACCUGUGGAAGGCGCUUGCAAGCACCAUUUCGAAGCAGCUUCUCAAGCACGUUCAUGAAGAAGCGCUCCUUAUUGAUGCUUACAAUGAGGAUCAUGUUGGCAAUGUGGAACGACUCCAGGAUUUUGGAUAUCCGUGCAUCAACGGCGACGAUCUUGUUGGCUUUCUUUUUGGUUUUGAAGACAAGCGACCAAGUCCUCUUCUCCCUGCAGGACUCAACGAGCGCCUUCCCGUCGUUGAGCGCAUCUUCAAGAUGUUUCAGCGUGCUGUAGGUCACUGGGUCCGGCAUCCACUGGCUUUUCAGCUCCGUCAGGAGGAGGUUAAUCAUUUGCACGUGGUCUUUUAGCAGAGUACAUUUCUCCCUGUUGCGCUGAGCCGCCUCCGCCAGCCGAUUGAUCUGUUCCACGAUGCUCAUCAACGACGAAAUAAGCCCAAUUGCUUCGGCCACCCCAACCAUCUCGAUCGAUUGCGCUGCGCCUGUAUGCUUGCAACGUCAGAUUUGCACGUAUAUGAGUAUACAUGUCUACCCUCCGCCAUCCAAAAACAAUUGGAUGCCGACAAGUGGUAUUGACAAGUCUAUGUACAACACGUGAUGUCAUGUUAAAUUUUAGGUAAUUUUAGCUUUUCUAGAUUCAUAGAUAGUAUUAUGUAUCUAGACAUCCGCUAUGUCUAGGUGCGUAACAAAAACUAUGCAUCUAGAAAAUUCAAAAUGACCUACAAUUUGGGACGAAGGGAGUACACCCUAAUAAAAAGAUUAAUGGUGGAGCCCGAAGCCCAAUUUAUCGUAUAAAAAUAAUACUUGUAAAUAUAUAAAUUUAUUAUAAAAUAUAAAAACUCGAUUGACUAUCUUCUUAAUUAAUGGAGAAAUAUAGGCUGUGAAUUUUCAAAAGGAAAAGGAAAAAGUGUAUUUUUCAUCCUUCAAGUAUUGCAAAAGUGUAACAUUCAUCCUUGAUGUUUCAUUUGGUACAAAUCAAGCCCUGAACUAACUAAAUCGGUUCCAUGUAUCAUCCCCACCUUAGUUUAAUAAUUGUCUAGUGUCAUAUAACAUCGGUUAGACCAUGUAAUCAUCUUCAUAAUUAGUGUUUAGCCAUGUAUAAUAUUUAGUCAAUUGAUUCAAUAGUUUGGUGUGAAUCGGUUCUAUUAAUUUUUCUGAUAAAAUAGUUAUGUGGUAGUCAAUUUAGAGGAUUUAGUUUUCUUUGGGGCUUUAUAUCUUCGACUCAAUAUAUCACAUCACUAAGCAGUGAUUCUGAUGGUACGGAAUAUCCCUAGGAUGUAGUGGUUAGGCAUGGGUAUAACAGGUAUACGGAAAUGUAACUUUACAACACUAUAUAAGGAGGGGAACAGCCCACUAUAAUGGACACUAUUCAUUGAUAAGACAGCGAGUGAUAUCUUGUUUCCUUCGUGUUCGACUGUUACUUCUUCCCAUUUAUUGUGACCUCGCCUGCCCGUGAGGUUAGGUCCUAACACUCCCCUUCACUCCCGUUGUUGGCCGUGCCCGGUGCCAUCUUGAAGCCGAUGCUGCUCAAGCCUAGUGAGCGAGUGAAGGCCGGAGGUGGUUGGCGUGGGCCACGGAGGCCCUCGGGCGGCUACCGGGAGGAAGGCAUGGCGACAGGCCACCUGGGAGUGGCACGGUGGUGCAUAAGUGGCGUCGUACUUAGGAGUGGCAUGGUGGUGUGCGGCGUGGGUGUUGGCAGCAGCACGUCAAGGAUGCAGCUCUGUGUGGCUUGGAGGCAUUGUGGUAGCGCAACCAAGGGUGGUUCGCGCGAGUCUUGCUAGCGACACCAUGGUGGUAAAGCCAUGGAGGUGUGGUUGGGCAGCAACUAGCACGAGACUAUAUAUAUGUUAAUGCAAAUGAAAACUGUAUAAAUGUUCAUGCAAGUGUCAUAUAUGUGUGUGUGUUCAUUCAAAAAGUCGUAAGGCAGCAACUAGCACGAGACUAUAUAUAUGUUCAUGCAAAAGGUCGUAGGGCAGCAACUAGCACGAGACUAUGUAUAUGUUAAUGCAAGUGAAAAUUGUAUAAAUGUUCAUGCAAGUGUCAUAUAUAUAUAUAUAUAUAUAUAUAUAUAUAUAUAUAUAUAUGUGUGUGUGUGUGUGUGUGUGUGUGUGUGUGUGUGUGUUCAUUCAAAAAGUCGUAGGGCAGGCACUAGCACGAUACUAUAUAUAUGUUCAUGCAAGUAGUGUCUCAUUAAUCAUAGCGACGUAACGCCAAAACACAUCAACCAGUUGCAUGCGUAUAUCUAGGCGUUUUUGACCUGGUGUCACUACUACAUACAUAGUUCAGCUAUAACCAACGCUUUUAGAAAGAGUGAUAAUUUCGGCACCGUUACAAAGACCGCAAAAGACCUCUUUCAGAAAGAGCUUAUAAUGUUGCCAUGAUGCACCCACAAACGUCGAUCGCAAAGUCAGGACAGCAAGACAAUUAAGCAAGGAAUCAAAUACUCCUUGGCAUCAUCAACACCCGAAUCACCCUACUAGCUAGCUAGCUACUUGUACAUUCAGAAUUCAGAGCAGCCCUGAACUAUCCUGCUGGGGAAAAGGGGAUAGCCGAGAGACGCUUGCUACCGGCCAGACUCCAAUCUCAGGCCACCGACUGGAUCAAAGCUACCGUACCCUUGAUAAGAAUCCUAAUGAGUUGGAGAGAGAGAGAGAGAGAGACGGAGCCCAAGAACUCACCUUUCUGCAGGGGUCUGUAGCCUCUGGACGCUUCCUCCUCGUCCUAUACUCUUCCGAGCCCAGGCCUCUCCUUCCCCUUUGUUUCUUCCUCGAACCCCUGCAGUUCUUGGAAGUUAUAUUAUGCCGCACUCGCUUCGCAAGAACCCCUGCAGUUGAAUUUUAUGUUAGAAUAUUGUAUGGGCGAAUCAAAGAUGAUAUGACCAGUUCGUUCAAAAAAAAAGAUGAUAUGACCAAGGCAUAUAUAAUAAUCUCUAAUUAAAGGACUCAAGCUGUUUCGCGUACCAUAAUUAUUCUCGGAAUUUAUAUCAAAAGAAACUCUUAAUUUUAAUUCUUCACACAAACUAUUUUAAUAGAAAUAUUCUAGAGAAUACACAAACUAUAGCACAUAUUUACCGUAGCAUCACAUAACCAAGCCAUCACAUAUUUCACUACUUCAGCAGACUGAAUAUAUAUAGAAACUCCAUGUACAAGCAAGAGUGCGUUGCACGUAGGCAAAGGCAGACACUUCUCCAAAUUUUGGUCCCAGCAGAACCAAAAGAUUAAUUAGAGCCACGCGCUUAGGACACAAAAGGUGUCUUUCCCUAUCAACUUGAUCUUUUGUACUACUUAAAUGGUCCAUGACGAUGAAACUCGAUGCUUGAAAUAGGAGAGCCCUCAUGAUUACACACAUGAGUUCUUUCUGUUGGAACAUGAAGAUGUGAGUGUACUGAAUUCGAUCUAAUGAUCUGCAUGAGGUGUUCUGUCAAAGCAUAUAAUCAUUCACCUACAACGCUUCCAAGUUCUGUCUUUCUGAGUAUAUAAAAACCAUGGUAUGUAUGAAUCUAACUCUGUCCAUACGUCUGGUAGUUCAGUCCCUGCUAUUUUUACUAACCUUGUCCUCUAGGUAGAAGUACGGUGGACUUUCAGCGUUGGGUCCUGCAGAGCGAUGGACUUUUCGGUAUGGUGCAGUGUGCUCCUUUCUUGACUUAUGCUAACAGUCUAACACAAAGUUAUGAUUAGGAGAUUGACGACCGUGUGUGUGAUCUGAGGCUGACAACGGCAUGGUGGAGAAGUUCUAGUAGCUACACGGCUUGCAGCGGACUGUGGCGGCCAGUCCUGCAUGGCAGCGACUGGUUUGGCGUGGGGCAUCAUCAGAAACGAUGGCGCUGGCGAUAAGGGCUACUUGCCGGCUUUUUCUGCUAGGUGGUAGUGGUGCAGAGUGGUGGUGGUGCGCAAUGAAGCUUCCAUAUGGCAGUCGUGUGUACAUGUGACUAUGUGAGUCCCCUCCUUUAUGCUUUUCCAGAAAAAAUGAAAAGCAUAAAGAGGGCACUCACAUGCCUCCUUGAUGAAGCUAGCAGCGUUGGGAUGGGUCUCAUGAUUCUUUCGAUUGUUAACAUGGAUCUCAUGGUUCUUUCGAUUGUUGGGAUGGGUGGGAUGGGCAAUGCCACCUUUAAUUUGUGCAACUCAUUUAUAAUGACCUUGCAAUCGUGAAGCAUUUUGAGCUUCAGAGGUGGUGCUCUGUGUCAGAUUAGAAAAAAUCAUUGCAAGGAUGCAUAUUAGUGAUGGAAACUUAUAGAAUGUUUAUCAUUCAACUAACUCAGAUUUUUAUUUGUUCGGUCUGCCUACGCGUCACCUGAGUGAAACAUUAGCCUUCCUCACUCGAACCUCACUCGAACAUCCGAUCCGACACCUUUCCUUCAUCUUCUAUCUUCUAGUGAAGUAUAUAUCUAGGCACGUAGCAAAAAUUAUGUAUCUAGAAAAAAUGACCUACAAUUUGAAACGGAGGGAUUACGUUGGAACAUCAACCAAACAAAUGGACAAACCCUUUAAAUUAUUUGGCCUCCAAGAAUGCCAUACGACCUGAAUGAAUAACUGAAAGCUAACAGUGCUUGUUGUACAUACCAGCUGAGCUGCUUGACUUAGCUAUGUUUAUUCGGUCUGUUCGUGACCCGCGCGUGAUCUAGAGUAUUCGUGUGUUGGCUAGAAAAAGCACCAACACUAUAUUUAUUUGCAAACAGGUUUUAAAUGCAAUACAAUAAUUCAGAAAUCUAGACAUCCUGAGCCAUGCGAGGGAUAAGAAGAAGCUUCUCCUUCCUGUGCACAUCCAACCCAUACGACUCUGCCAUGUCGAUGCCUGCCGACCCCGGCGGAAGCUCCCAGUUGAAGUGGUAGAUGAGGUUAGCAAGGAUGAUCUCGAAGGAGGCGGUGGUGAAGUUCACACCCGGGCACAUCCUUCGCCCGGACCCAAACGGCAGGAAACGGAAGUCGUUCCCCAGGAAGUCGGAGGCAGCAUCCACGGCUUCCUCCAUGAACCGCUCCGGCAUGAACUCCUCUGCACUCUCCCAGGUGGUGGCGUCCCUGCCGAGAGCCCACGCGUUGACGAUCACACGCGUCCCAGAGGGUAUGGUGUAGCCCUCCACGUCGCAUUCGGCCAUGGCCAGGUGGGGUAUCAGAAGAGCCCCCGGCACGUGCAGCCGCAUCGACUCUCUCAUCACGGCCUUGAGGUAGCUCAUGCCGCUGCUCAGGUCGUGUUCGGUGACCAGUUCCUUCUUCUUCCCCUUGGAUGCUGCACACCCCCUCACCUCGGCUUGAAGCUUGGUCAUCGCCUUGGGAUUACGCAUCAGCUCGGCCAUGGCGUAGUCUAGGGCUAUGUAGGUUGUGUCCGUCCCGGCUUCAAACAUGUCCUACAUGAACAUAUCGAUCAGUCAUAUGUACCUCUCGUGAGAAAUAAAGUGGAGCAUAUAUGCCUUGUUUACCGAGAGCAAUUAUUUUGCUGAGUGUUUCUCUGGCGGCACUUGGCAAACGUAUUGUUUACCGAGUGUCCGAUGGAAUGCACUCAGCAAAAACCACCAGACACACGGCAUAUCUACUAUUUGAUAAAUUAAACAUACCAUCAGUAUCGCCUUGACGUUGUCUGUGGUCAGGCCGUACUCUUGUUGAACGGCAAGCAGCACGUCGAUGAAGUCCUCCUCGUCCUCACCAUCGACGACCGUCUUGCUCUUGUGCUUGUCGAUGAGGCUGUCCAAGAGGUCAUCCCAUAUCUUCCUGUGCUUCACGGCCUUGGCCGACACCAUGUCGAACCUCGCCAAGCUCGGGAAGUAGUCGUCCAGGUUGAAUCCCCCCAGGAGCUUGGCGUUCGUCUCCAGCAGCUCCCGGAACAGCUGGUUCCGGCCUUGUUCCCUGGGGAGCCUGCCCGUCACGGCCUGGCACACGAUGUCGUUGGCGAAGAAGCUGAAGAGCUCGCUGACGUCGACCGCCAUGCCCAUGGUGGCGGCGGCCGUCACCUUUGCCAAAACCAGCUGGACCUCGUGCUCGCGGGCGGCGCGGUUGGACCGGACCUUCGCCGCGGUAAGGAGGUGGGUGGUGAUCACCUUCUUGGCCUGGCGCCAGUACUCACCGUAGGGGGCGAAGCCGACGUCGGUGCAGCCGUAGAACAGGACGUCGGCCACCGCGGAGCGCGGCCGGGAGGCGAAGACGUGGUCGUGCGUGCGCAGGACGGCCUUGGCGGCGCCGGGGGAGGAGACGACGAGCGUUGGCACGGCGCCGAGGCGGAGGAGCAGCACGUCGGGGCCAUGCCUCUUUGCGAGGUCGCGGAGGGAGUGGUGGGGAAGGGAUCCGAUGAGGUGGAGGUGGCCGAUGAUCGGGAGCUUGAACGGAGGCGAUGGGAGCUUGCUGAGCAGCUUCUCGGACCUGGACUUUGGCGUAGCCAGGCGAACGGCGACGACGAAGAGGAGGAAGACGAGGGCUAGGGACUGUGGAGAUGCGUGCUCGAAGAGGUGCUCUAGCACUGGAGCCAUGGCGGCUGCUGUGCUCGAUCAACAGCUAGCUUGUGGUACUGUGCCCGUUGCAAUUUCUAUAGCGCUCUGAAGUUGGCAUUCAUUCAUGAUGCAUCGGACGAAGUGAAAGAACAGUAAUUGUGGACUUAUGGUGUGUUUAGUUGACAUAUAUUUAAUUAGUUUCUAAGUACUAAUUGCACAUGGAGUAACACAAGUGAAGCUUUAAAAAAAAAUAGAAUGGAUACGGAGGGAUAAUUCAUCGGUAUCCAUGAAUUGACAAAGCACAUCUCUCAAAGCACAUCUCUCAUCCAUGAAUGGAUAUGGAGUAACAACAUAAAUAAUUCAUGGAUAUAUACGAAGGGAUUCGAUCCAUCGGUAUCCAUGAAUUGACAAAGCACAUCUCUCAAAAACCCACAAGUUCUUGAGUGCAACUGCAUUAUUUAAGAUCCCAUGCAUGUGCUAUUUUCGUUGUCCGUAUCCAUCAGAUGCACACAUCCAAAAGUGCAAACGUUGACAAAAACCCGGCCACAAGUUCUUGAUUUGCAACCCCAUGUGCUAACUGGAAGGCCACUAUUAUUUUUUUUUGUAAUUUCCGCACCAGCCUGUUGAAUGUUUGACAAAACAACGGCACCUGUUUUUGUAAUUUCCGCCACCGUGCCUCCCUCCUCUCCGCCGCGGGUCACCACCGCGCCUCCCUCCUCUCCCACGCAGGUCACCGCCGCGCCUCUCCCGUAGGCCGCUGCUGCACCUCCCUCCUCUCCCCUAUAGGCUCCACCGUAUCCAGUGCCGUGCCUCCCUCCUCGGUUAGUUUUUCUUUUUAUAAUCCGAUAAUCUUAAUUUUGAUGCACUAAAAUGAUUUUUAAAUAAUUUCAUGAAUUAAAGAUGAUGUUUGUGGAAUAAUCUAUCUUAUUGCAAUUUUGAUAUAUGACAAAGUGGAAUGAAAAAUGUUCUGUUGAUAUAUACAUGAGAUCUAAAACAAGAAUUGUAAAUUUCUUCCAUUAUUUUGUUGCCUAUCUUUUAUUCUUAGAAGUAUGGACAAUCUUUUAUUCUUAGCAUUUCGUAAAUUAUGAUGUUUUAUGGCGUAAUGAUUAUUGAGUAGAUGUUUGUGGGAUAAUCUAACUUAUUACAAUUAUAUUUGGAUAGUUUGGGUUAACGCGCAAGUUGUCAUUCUUUCCGCCAUGAUGUUGGCGGCCGUGGUGGUGGUGGCGGCCGUGGAAGUGACAGUGGACGCUACAUUUUUGUGGAGCCACCAUUAGCUCAUCCUCCAUGAAUUCACUUUCCUUUUCACGCCAUUGACUUGCCUACCGGUGAUCGAAGUAAAGGAGUAAUUCUCAACAUAGUAAUAUUAUUUCCUUCUUAUAAUUGAUAUUUUUACUACACAUGAAUAAUUCAUAAAUUUACUUACAUACAAUGUAGCUUAUCAACCCUAUUAGAUGGCUCAAAGAAAUUGGCUCAAAGAUGUUGUCGAAGCUCUAGGUGGCACUUCUCCUUCAGUGCAAUUUGAGGCCUACCUACAACAGCUUAAGGAUCAUGGGUACUAUGUGCUAGUCUUAUCAUAUUUUUGAAUAAAGGCACUUUAGGUGGGAGAAAGCAAUGUGACAAUAACUACCGAGAGACUUUGUUAGCCGAAUGAAAAUGACAUGGUUUGGAACAUAUCUAAUAAAUCUUUUAUCUCUAGUUAUGUUACAUUUUUUAACUUUCAUCGUGUUAUUCUCAUUUUUAUGUUAUCUUUGGUCAAACCAUUGCAGCAAUAAGCUUUCAUGCGAUUCUGGGAUCAACUCUUGGAUGUGUUGAAUUAUAGUUACAUAAAUGGAAAUCCGAUACGCCCCAGAGAUUCCAAGCUCCAGAUUCAUCUCACUUUCUAAAGGGUAUAUGAGUUUACCUCCCUGUUGUUCGAGAUUUAUGGUAGUGCAUGUGACUGUUCAUGUGAAGCGAUAGAAAGUGCACUAAUCCAUGUUGUAGUUCAUAUUGAUGAAGUUAAAGGCUUUAGGAUUGGAGACUUAAACUAUGUUGAAUAUCUAAGGAAGCGAAGCGGAGUAUGAAAUAUGUAGCGAGCACUGCCUUGGUCGGCAUUGUCGCGGUCCUUGCGCAGCUGCUAGCACUAGUCUCUUGCUGCAUCUGCGUUAGCAACGGAUUGUUGUUGGGCGUUGACUUGCUCCUGCUGGCACCGUGCUGCACGGUUUUGAUUCUUGGCAUUACGGCCUUCUUCCUAAGAUUCCAUUUUGCCAUCAUGUGGUGGCUCAUCAGCGGAGACCAUGAAAGCUUCAUGAUCGGGCGUGAAGGAGUUGCUCUCAUCAUCGCUUCCAUAAGGAUUUGGUGUCAGGACGAUGCGGGGCACCUACAAUUCAUCAUAGUUUGGAAACUGGGUGGAUUUGGGCAGGUCUCUAGAUUGCAUCUGGAAAACCUAGUCAAGCUUACCGGAGUACUCGACGGCCGAGUUCCGUAGACUGAAAGGGAUGGGGAACGGACCCUACGCCAACCUUGUUGAGCAUAGUGCCACCUCAGAUAACUCUAUGCACUCAGCAAUAGUGCUGCUGAUGCGAUCUAGCUCCACGAUCAGAUUGUUGGGCAUGCGUGGGCGGGCGCCGACGAGUAGAUCUGGAACCUUCUUGGACAAAGAGAGAGUUCGCCGCCUUGCUAGGAGAGUGGCAUGACGAUCCUUGGGUGGAGAAUUUUUUUUGCUGCAACAGAUCCGACGGAAGCCAAGCUGGUUGUGGACGCUGAUUCGAUGGAAGACGCCAAGUCAACAGAACAAGCGGUCGGAUCGAAAUCUGCCAGCAUGGACCUGAAGUGAAUCUAGAUUGGGUUGUUGAGGAUGUCCUUCAUGCUCUCGGAGAAAACAACAUCGGGAUGGGAUGCCAUCAAGGUCGCAAAAAGGACCUCACAACCCCCUACCUGGUACACCAACUGUUCGAUUUAGUAGCCCGACAGUCCACAAGGUGGUUACCUAAGUAGUUAAUUUGUAGGCGAGGGUGAUUGCGAAACCAUGAACUCGAAGGUAAUUGCGAGAACAUGAAGGGGAUACGAGGGUUUUUAGACAGCUUCUGGCCUCUAGAGAGAGUAAUACCCUACGUCUUGUAUGCUUGGUAGUUUGUAUUGAUUAGUGGUUCGAUGCGAUUCGAUUGGAUUGCCCUCGGGACUACAAUUUAGUUUAAAUCUAAUCUACUUGGUAUUAACAUGGAAGGUAAUCUGAGUUGGACUACAAAACGUGUUCCAUGAUAUCCAGAUAGAUUUGGACUGUCUCAUUGCCUUCAAGUAACUUCAUGUCCUCAGCCCGCACGCUCUGGUCGGGCAGGCCCACUUGUCAGGUCCAGCCAGUAUCCUAGUCGGUGGGGACCCAUGGGGUACCCAUAUCCCUUAGAUGUACUCGGUACCAUUUUCACAUGGAUUUGAAGUUGUUCUCUCUAAUACCUUAAAUAUUGAUGUAAGAACUUGUGAGACUGGUUAUAUAUAUAUAUAUAUAAAUAUAUAUAUAUAUACAUAUAUCUAUAUAUAUUUCAUUGCAUAUACAUUGUUCUAUGAUUGUCUGAUCUGAAUGGGUUGAUACUAGUGAGACUUGGAUUUAAAUGGGUUGAUACAUGGGAGAACCACUUUUAAAAAUUUGGUGUGAAAAUGGCACUGAAUUUGGGGUUUGCUGAGUGUCAAAAAAUAAGGGGUUUGCCGAGUGUCAAAAAAUUACACUCGGCAGGGGGGGUGUUGCCGAGUGUAAAAAACCAACACUCUGCGAACAUUAAAAACCAAAAAAACCACCCCCUCCACGCCCCUAAAAUCACGCGCACCUGGCCCCCUCCGCCUUCCCCAUCCCAACCCCUCUGCGUUCCCCACUCCCUCUACCUCCCCCGCUCCCUCUCCCACGCCUGCCGCCAGGGGCCGCCCCCCGCCCCACGCGCGCGCCGCCAGCCACGCCCCCCAGCCCCGCCGGCCGCCGGCCCCUCCCCUCCCCUUCUUCUUCCCUGGUGCCAGCCCUCCCCCUCCCCUUCUUCUUUCCCGACGCCGACCCUCCCCCUCCCCUCCCUCACCCUCCUCCCACCCUCCCUCGCCAAAUCCGGCGCCCCCUUCCCGGAUCCGGCGGCGUAGUGGAAUGGGUGGUGGUGGCACAGCAUGUGGCGGUGUUGGCUUGGUGGUGGCAGUGGUGGAGCCGGUGGAAGAGGUGGCGUUGGUGGCGGCGGCCUUCGGGGUGGCGGAUUCGCCGCCUCCUCGCCGGAUCCGGCGGAUCCACCGUGCCCCUCCCCAGAUCCACUGCGCCCCUCCUCGCAGAGCCGUCUGAAAGCGUGGUGAAGGCGGUGGUCGGUGGUGGCGUGGUGAAGGUGGCGUCGGGGAGUGGCAUGGUGAAGGCGGCGUCCUUGAGUGACUUUUUCACCAAGCCAGCGGGGAACAUGGGGGCUUCGGCCAGCAGCAUCAAGCCGGCGGCAAAGGUGGAUGGCAAGGCCAAGCAAGCGGCGGCGAGCAGCUUCGAGCCGGUGGCGAGGUCGGAGGGCAAGACCAAGCAUGCGGCGGAAAGCAGCUCUGAGACGGCGGCGAAGGUGGAGGGCAAGCACGUGGCGUAGGUUGUGCAGGCGGCAGCGAAGACCGAUGGCGGCCAGCGGAUACUGGCCGCUGGUGUUUUUUUUCGAAAAAAUGGUUUGCGGAGUGUUUUCUGGGCACUCGGCAAAGUGCCCGACAGAAAAUACUCGGAAAACACUUUGCCGGAAGAAUUUUUACCGCUUUGCCGAGGGUUCGCCAAGUAUUUUAGGGGCUUUGCAGAGCUUCUGUUCCCCGUAGUGGAAGCAUUUCUUUUUUCUUUGGUUAUACUCUUGUGUUAGUUAUCCUCAUCCCCUCGUGUUAUGGAACCCGUUUGUAAGUGUUGCGUUCUCUCUGUCUCUCCACAGCUUUUCAGUUGUCUCUUUUACUAUUGUUUUUAUUCCUUUUUUCCUUUCUACUAGGUCCCGUUUGGUUUCCUCAACUUAUUUUUAGCACCCGUCACAUCCGUUUGGUUUCCUCAACUUAUUUUUAGCACCCGUCACAUCAAAUGUUUAGAUACUAAUUAAUUAGGAGUAUUAAACGUUGACUGUUUACAAAACCUAUUACACAGAUGGAGGCUAAAUGACAAGACGAAUCUAUUAAGCCUAAUUAGUUCAUGAUUUGACAAUGUGCUGCUGCAGUAACAUGAUAAUCCUCUUGCCAUCUUUUUGGUGAAAAAAAUGUGGUACGCUGCUUGAUGAAGCUAGAAACUGGAUCUCAUGGUUCUUUCGGUUGUUGGGAUGGGUGGGAUGGGCAAGACCACCUUUAAUUUGUGCAACUCAUUUAUAUGACCAUGCAAUUGUGAAGCAUUUUGAGCUUCAGAGGUGGCGCUGUGUGUCAGAUUAGAAAAACAUUUGCAAGGGUGCAGAUUAGUGAUGGAAACGUAUAGAAUGCUUAUCAUUCAACUAGAGUGUCUAUAGCUCACCCAAGUGAAACAAAGAUCCUCCUCACACGAUUUUUUGUGCCAGUGUAUCAAAAAUCAGCGGCUCAGAUCCCUCCUCAAUGUCUACCUUAUCUCCUCCCCCACCCCUUCGCUACCCGCCGCCUAAACCCUCCCCGACCCCUCCGGCGCGGGCGGGCUAGGAUCCGCCAGAGCUCCGUGCCGACCGGCCCCAAGCCCGCCGGCGCAGACCGCCUCCUGCCCCUCUCGCCGCCACCUCCCACCGCCGCCUCCCACCAUCGGCACCCCCGCUCUGGCACCGCCCAACCGCUAUCUUCCGCCGCCUGGCUGGCAGCGCCCAAGCCGCCACGCCUCGCCGCCGGCAGCCCUCCCUCUAAGGCCAGCAGUGAGGAGCCCCACCCCGGCAACCCCUAUACCCCUAAUCCCGAAACCCUAACCUCGAACCCCUAACCUUGCCGGAAUCUUGCUGGAGUUGGAGAAGAAAGGGGGAUGGGGUAAAGAAAAAUUGGGUGACGAGAGGCUUUAUUUCAAUCGGGUGAGAUUUAGCUUUCCCUUUCAACUAACUCACAUUUUUUUGGGUCUGUCUAUGCGUCACCUGAGUGAAACAUGAGCCUUCCUCACUCGAUUUUUUUAGCUGUCAGAUGAACAUCCGACGCCUUUCCUUACUAGGUGAAACAUGAGCCUUCCUCACUCAAUUUUUUUAGCUGUCAGAUGAACAUCCGACGCCUUUCCUUCAUAUUCUAGUAAGUAUAUGUCUAGGCGUAUAGCAAAAAUUAUGUAUCUAAAAAAAAUAACCUACAAUUUGAGAUAAAGGGAUUACAUUCGAUCAUCAACCAAACAAAUGGACAAAACCGUUUAUUUGGCCUACAAGAAUGCCAUACGACCUGAAUAAUUGAAGCUAACAAGGCACUUUAUUGUUGUACAUAGCAGCUGAGCUUGACUGUCGGGCGUACAUCCUCGGGCCCACGAGUACACCUUGUACAGCCCAUCCAAGGACGUACUUGGACCUGAUCAGGACAUAGAGGCUACGUCACAGGGUAACGUAGCCUACACGGACUCCUGAAGACUAGUCGCAGUGUAUAAGGAAACUGCUCUGCCUAGUCAGAGUAGGACUCUAUAAUCGUACUCGACUAGGAUUCCACCCUGUAACCCUGCUCUUCCAGAUAUAUAAGGGUGGGCAGGGACCCCCUCCAAAACAAUCCCAUACCAACGCAAUAUACUCGAUCAUACAUACCACACAGGAUGUAGGGUAUUACGCGAUCUAGCGUCCCAAACCUGUCUAAAUCGUGUGCCUUGCGUCACCAUCGUCUCCUUGAUUCUCGAUAUCCCCACCGCACAAAAUACCUCCUAGGGGCCUCCCUAGACGGGUUGCCAGUCUAAAACAUCGACAACUAGCACACCAGGUAGGGGAGUUGCCAAGUUUAUCCACGCGAGAUCGAUGGCAUCAAUCAUCAUCAAGCCGGCGUUCACUUUCGAAGCGGGCACAACUUUCAUCUUCGGCUCCUAGCUUUGCAUCGCUGACGACGCUGGAUCCUUCCAAUACUGCAUCAUCAACAACCGGGAGAAGAAGCAUCUCGACAAAAAUUCUCUUCGACAAAAAGUAGACGAUCUCGUCGAGAAAAUCAACAGUUUUGAUCUAUUCAAACAUCCAGUUCGACUACAGCUCGAACUCGAUCAUGGCUCGGACUAGUCCACGUAAGCUAGCAAAGAAGUCACUGCGCAGAUCGGUUUCAACUCCAAAUCAAUUUCCAUUUGGACUCCAUAAUACAGCCAUGGUCCAUCAAGCACUCCUUACUCGAAUCAAAUCUGGACUAGAGUCAGAGGAGGACUACGACUAUGACUUGGAUACACCAGAAGAGUACACCAGCAACUAUCGCGGCUUCAUUGACGAUGACUUCAACUACUCAUCUCGACGACUUCGACGGGCGGCUCCCUGACGACUUCUUCGGCUACGUCGUGGCGCCCGCCGAUGAUGACCUCGUCAUGAAGCUCGCCGACAACUACUCCAACUACAUCACGGCAGUCAGCGAUGACUACUCCAACUAGGUCGUGAUGUCCGUCAGUGAUUUCUCUGACUACGUCGCGACGCUCGACGACGACAACUUCGAUAGGCGAUUCGCCAGCGGCUACUUUGACUAUGCCAUGACGCCCGCCGAUGAUGACUCUGAUUACUUUGUCGGGCAGCUCGGCGACGACUACUCUGGCUACAUUGUGACACUCCCCGACAACUUCUUCGACUACAUCGUAGCACCCGCCACCGACUACUCUAACUUCAACGGGUGACACGCCGAAAACUUCUCCAACUACGUCACGACACUCACCGUCAACUACUCUGACCGCAUCGAGCCACCGCCGACUACAUCAACCUCGCGGGGGCGCUUGGCAACUCACCGACGACUACUUGGCUCGGCGACACACCAACGACUACUUUGUCGUGACGCUUGCCAACGACUCCUAUGGCGUUGUGACGCUCACCGACGACUACAUCGAUGAGCAACUCGUCGACAGCUACUUCGACUACUCGUCUCGACUAGAAAACUAGUCGAGGGCGGGCCUCCCACCAUCGACAACUAGUUGGAAUCGACUCCGACUAGUCGGCUUCAUCAAACAACUGUCGCGGUUUCAUCGACGACCGCCACAGUUUCAUCACAAUCGGCCACGAAUCAAGCUAAGUCACUUAUCUUACUACUUCCUAGGUUGCUUUCCUCUCGCGCACAACACACACUCUAUUUGCCGGAGGGUAGCAAACGCUUGCACACAACAUGCGCUCUACUCGCUGGAGGGCAGCAAACUCUUGCGCACUCGCACUCUCUUUUUGUCGUAGCAGUGACUACUCUUUUUUGUCUUCUCUUAAGGUCACUAAUCUUCUCGAGCAGAACAUGCCUUAACUCGUGAAAGUGUCAGGUGCACCUGUGACACCAAAUGCUAGCACACAUACACGAGACCACGCUCUCAGCUAUGCACAUACACGUAUAUGAGACAACGCACUCACACACGUAGUGCCUAUGGCUAAACGGGGACGGAGAGCCUAAAACGUAACAGGCUAACUGCUCAAGAAGAAUAUGACCGAAACAAGAGCUUGACACACAACUUUCAUAUUAAUCGCUGAAUAACUAUAAGUAGUUUCAAUAUUUUACAAAAAUGCUACAUAAUGUACGCAUCUUUUCUUUCAGGUCAAACUUUGGCGAUGACGCUCAUCAUGUCGCUAAGCGUGCAUUCAACGGCACAUACUACUUGCCGAACUCGGGGGCUAAGCACCAAUCACUACUCGAAAUAUCUCCAAUGGCUCAGCUAGCUCCAAAGAUCGAGGGCUGAACGCCGCAAUAACUACUCGAUGUGGCUCCUACGGCUCGCCCAGCACAUAAGCUCGGGGGUUGGAUGCUGCAAAAAUUACUAGGAUGAUGACUUGUGCAUAGAUUCAAGAUCCUUGAGUUGAUUAUUCAAUCAAUUCAAGGCUCGGGGGCUGCAUAUACCGUUACCCAUCAAACAAAGAUUUCUUUUUCUCAAGACAAGGAGAAGACGAAGCAAAAUUACAAGUAUGACCCUCAUCUUGAUUCUUCGGUUCAACCUAAGGUUCGGGGGCUACUCCACAUGGAGUGCGAUUGUCAUCGCACUUCCAUAUAAAGAUUCAAGCCAAGUCUACACGAAGCAACUUCAAGAGAAGCGAAGAAUACCUUGCAGCCAUGUGACAGUACUCGGGCACUCGAAGUUUGGUCUGUUGGAGGUAUGCCCUAGAGGCAAUCAUAGAGAUGAUGAUAUCUGAUUGUAUCCAUGAUUUGUAUAUUGUGUUCAUUGAAUAUCCAUUAAAGGCUACUUGAAUUGAUCUGCAAUUAUGUGAAUUGUAUGUAGAACUCUUUACUUGUAUGGUUAUUCUAAAAGUUGUCCCUAGUCGGAGUUCAUGUGUGGACACACAUGAAUAUUAGACUGGUACAUGUAUUAGUUGAUGACUAUGUUUCACAAGUCAUGGACAUGGAAAUGUCAAACUAAUAAUGUAGGCAUAUGUAGAGACAUGUGCUAGGACUGACCCAACGAGAGAAGUAGUUCUCUCUUUACACAACAUGUACGCUUUAUCCUUAGACCUGAGAUUGUCGCAUGUACUCAAGAUGUGGUUUGACUUACUUAGGGGCUAUCAAACGCUACACCGUAACAGGGUAGUUAAAAAGGUAGCGUUCGGGUUGGUCAGGAAGCAUGCUGUGAGGCAUGGUCAAUCAAGAUGGGAUUUGCCCCUCUCUGAUUGAGAGUGAUAUCUCUGGAGCCCUCGAGUGAUCAGAUUCGAAAAUGCAUGGCCAUGCUACGUACGGUUAAGAGUUAACCUACAAAGGGAUUUCAAAUCAUAGUAUCGAGAAAGAGCGGUCGGUUUGAAGCUAGACCAAAUAUCGUGAGGCAAAGGGAAUAUCAUGUACAUGAUGUUGUGACGGUUCGUCUGAUAUGAUCUUCGUGUGCGUAUAGGAGUUGGCACGUCUUGCUAGAGGCUGCUACCGACUAUUGGGCCGAGUAGGAAUACUCGGGCCAUGUCUAUACGUAUCCGAACCUAAAGGGUCACACACUUAAGGGGCUAGAAGCCCAAUUUGGAUAUGAUCCGAGUUGGAUCAGGUUUAGAAGUACUAAUGGGCCUCAGACCUAGAGGCCCGUCAGGAACCUCUAUAAAUAGAGGGGUGGGGCGCCCUAGGGUUUCAUCCCUUUGGCCGAAACACAUCUGCCGUGCCUCCCACACCCUCGCCCUGUUGCAACUUGCGAACCUAGCAGUCUGGCUUGCGACUCUUCCUCCCUGCACGUGUGGAUACCUUGGAGGUGUUGCACCUGUAGCACUUGGACGAGCCGCGACGAGCCACGACGAGCCGCCGACGAGCCAUGGCACGAGGACGACCUUGCUGCACGUGGACGAGCUACUGAGGAGCUGCUCGAUGUCGACAUGAUCGACUACGUGUUUGACUACGCUGAUCGACUUCGCUGCCCCAACGCGAUUUUACAUCUUCCGCACCAGUGCGUCGAGUGGUAAUCCCGUGAUCCAUAUACGACAGUUUUCCUGGUUUACGCGGUAGAAAAUUUUUGUUUUGCGCUAGCGUAGCCUACCUCGUAGCCCCACAUGGUCACCACGAGGAAGCGCUCAAAAAACACAGGCUACAAGUACUCGGAGCUCUUCCACUCGACUACAAAGUAUUCGGGGGCUUGUCGGGUGUACUCGGACGUGAUCAGGACUUGGAGGCUACGUCACAGGGUAACAUAGCCUACACUGACUCUUGAAGACUAGUCGCGGUGCAUAAGGAAAUAGCUCUGCCCUGUCGGAGUAAGACUCUGUAAUCGUACUCGACUAGGAUUCCAUCCUGUAACCCUGCUCCCCCAGAUAUACAAGGGAGGGCAGGGACCCCCUCCAAAACAAUCCCAUACCAACGCAAUAUACUUGAUCAUACAUACCACACAGUACGUAGGUUAUUACGCAAUCUAGUGGCCCAAACCGCACAAAAGACCUCCUAGGGGGCUCCCUAGGCAGGUUGCCGGUCUACAACACCGACAUUGACUUAGUUAUAUUUAUUUGCAAACAGGUGUGAAAUGCCAUACAAUAAUUUCAACCCCAGAAAGCUACCAGUUGAAGUGGUAGAUGAGGUUGGCAAGAAUGAAUUCAAAGUGGCGGUGGUGAAGUUUAUACCCGGGCACAUCCUUCCCCUAGAAGUCGGAAGAAGCAUCCACGGCUUCUUCCAUGAACUUCUCGGGCAUGAACUCCUCUGCACUCUCCCAGUAGGUGGUGGCCCUGCCUAGAGCCCAUGUGUUGACGAUUACACAUGUCCCAGAGCGGUGGGACGGAGUGGUCGGAUCCGGGUGGCGUGGAGUGGAGCAGAGCUGGCGGUGUGGGCGGAGCAAACUAGGGGAGGGAGGCGGAGCCGAUGGGGCCGCAGGCGACGAUCGGGGGGCUCGCGGGGGCAGCGGUCGGCUGGCGUGGUGCGUUUUUUUUCGAAAUUUUUUUAGAACUGGGACUAAACGGGACCCCUUUUGUCUCAAAAAAUAUAAUUAGUCCUGGUUGGUCAUUGGAGAGAUAUGCUCCUUCCCGAUUGGGACUAAGAGCAACUCCAAGAGACUGUUAAUUUUACCCCAAUACCUUUUUUAGGGAAAAAGAAAAAAAAUAACUCCAACGGUCCACCAAAUAUUCGGGGCGUCCCCAUCUUCCCCAAUCCGCUCCCAUGGUCUUUCCCUUGGGCGUCGUCAGGAUCUGCAAAGUCCCGCCGUUAGCGUCGUCAGGGGACCAUGCACCGGAUCUCAGUGGCCAUGGCGAGAUCUCACUAGGGCACGGGCACGGGCAAGGGAUGCAUCAUCAUCGCUACCACCAGUUCGGCGUUGAGGGGAAGCUGCUGGACGGUGGCGGCGCCGCUGCCGCGGCACAGCAGCUCGACGCCAGGGUUUUUUCUCCAGUCCCGUCGUGGAUAACGGUGAGUGCCAUUGGUGCUGCUCUCCCGUCUUUGUUUGUCUCCACCCGCAACAACACCAAACUACAAAAACGUUGCUCUUUACUCUCUUCAAACUACACAUGAUUCUUGAUGAGCUAGCUAUCUGGACUAGAUUAAUCUAUGUCGUUGUGUCAUUGGCAUUUCGAACUUCCUACGAAUCUCGCUUUUGGAAUUCUCUCCUAGAUUUCUGUCUGACAGGAAAUAACAUCAUCAUUUUCUUUAUUUCGACCUGUCUGAUAUCGAUUCGAGUGUAGAAGGAGGUAUGUUCGGUAGGUCCAAUUACGAUGAUGUGGCAAAUAUUAAUUGAGGAGUAUUUUUAACGUUCUGCUGUGGCCUGAGGGAAAAUUUUUAGCAUAGCUCCCAAUAUCUUAUUUUCGGGAAAAAUUUUUUGGGAACUUUUGAAGUUGCUCUAAUAGUCAAUUUUCUACCACUGGUUGCAUAGAGGGGGAGGAGGCGAGGGUUUUAGGUGAGGACGAUGAGGUGGCGCCCCCCUCCCUUUCUCCGAUUCCUCCAAUCUGUUGUGCGAUGCUUUAACUGUCUCUAUAAAAUUGAUAUGGUUAGAUAUGUCAUAUUCUGUGGGUGGCACCUCACGAUCAGAAUGUGUGCCUCUAUAUAUGUUGUGCCAAUGCAGUCCAUUCGAGGUAGUACCAUAGCCUGACUGAACUACUGAAAAUGAAAAGCCUACCAGACUCCUUCUGCAACAGCACAGUCUACCCCUAUGUUUACAACCUGACUUCCUCCUACAUCGACCAGAACAAUGAGGCCACCAUGGUGACCACCACCUUGGCCAUGUUCAUGCUGGCCGUGUUCUUCUUCAACCUCAACCUCUUCAGCCGCUUCUCCGACGUGAGCGCGAUUCUCAACCCUAGCGUCCGCCUCUUCCUCUCCACCUCCCUGUCCCUCUUCCUGCCGGUCAUGUCCUACCUCUUCUCCGAGGCCAAGAACCAAGGUGCAACGACCAUGGCUGCUACUACUAGCAGUAGCUCCAGUUAUGGCGAGCUCGGCGACGAGCUGUCGCUUCGAGCUAGGACGAUCCUCAUGUGGAUGCUUCUUGUGGAGCUCCUCCGCAAGAAGGUGGAGGCCGUCCUGGUCAGCGUGGGCAUGCAGUGGUACUCAGGCGCCAUCGAUCGCUUCGCCCGCAUCGUUUGGCUCGGCUACCUCGUCUUCUACAAUGUCAAAAGCCCCGGCAAGAAGGCGAUCUAUGGCACCUUAUGGGUCCUCACUGCUGCCAAGUUCCUGCAAAGGGUCGUCGUCAAGAUGGUGCUGGAGCGUUCCUUCGCCUACGGAAGGAACACCCAGCUGCUCAACUCAUACAUGGCCCAGAUCAUCCAACAAGAGCAAGAGCAAGAGCAAGAGGAGCACUCGGGAUCAUCGUCGUCGGCGGAGCUGUUGAAGAAGUGCGAGUACACCGUGAUGGGAGAAGAAAAUCUGGAGAGGACGGCUGGCCGGCAUGGCUACCAGGUGGAGCUGAACAAGGCGGCCGUUGUCACCGUUGGUGACAUUUGGACGCAGGCAGCAGCCGAGCCGGACAGCCUCCUCCGGAGAGAACACCUUAGAAGGCUCUGCCUCUCCUUUGCUCUCUACAAGCUGCUGCGCCGGAGGUUCGAGGACAUCCCCACAACAAGAGAGGAGACCCGGAACUGCCGGAACCUCAUCUUCAAGGGCUUGUUGAAGGAGCAAGAAGGUGCCGAGGUCGCACUGUUCCAAGUCUUCAACGAUGAGACCCAGUUCGUUUGCGAGUACUACCAUUCCGUCCUACCCGUCGUCUUGUCCGACCCUUUCUUCUUCCUGGUCAACUACAUCCUGUUUCCCAUUGUAGUUUCUGCCUUCUGCCUCCUAACACUGAUCAUCUGCGGCAAUGGGAGCGUCCGCUACGCCUACCAGAGCAUCACAAGUGACAACUACAUCAUAUACACUGGCGCGACGACGCUGACCAGAUGCCUCCUGAGAAACAUCGCCCAUUCACCCGAGGUGCUGUUCGCCAGCAUCGACCUAGGCACCACCACUCUGCUCAUCCUGGCCUUCGUCUACGAGGAAGUCGUGGAGGUCCUCGUCUUUAUCCUCUCCAAUUGGCUCAUCGUGUCGCUCCUCUGUCAGUACACCGCCAAGCGCCACUGGCGGCAGAGCCGCAUGGUAUGUUGGCUCAUCCGCGGCAUCCUGUGGGUGCGAAGCAUGCUAAGCCACCCUAACCUCAGCUUCAAGCAGCUCUCCGUGCUAAGGUUCUUCCAACUGUCGUCGCCUUCGCCGAUCAUGGUGCCAACCAAGGCAGUGCCCAAGGAAGUGAUGGAGUCGAUCGUGGAUUAUCUGGUGGUUCACUUGGAUGUCUACGGCAUCGAUGGCCAUGACGACCCUCUCAAUUCGGCCUGGUCCUCCACACUGCAACAGGAGAAGCACAGGGCAUACCGUCCCCUGCUCUUGCCGGUGUGUGAGAGCAAGAGCAUCGCUGAGUUCAUCCUCACCUGUCACAUUGCCACCGCCCUAAUGGAGGUGAGGUACCCGCAGGACGAAAAGGAAAUGGGAUCUCAUCGCAAGGUGGCGACGACGCUGUCCAAGUACUGCACUUACUUGGUGGGCUUUUACCCAGGGCUUCUUCCGGACGACAAGAAUGGGACAAAGCACACUUACAAGAAGAUGAAGGAGGACAUGAACAAGGAGCUUGGAGGGUGCUGGUGGUACCACCUGUCGCUGCAGGGAACCAGGUACAAGAGGCUGAUGGAGAUCGGCGAAUCGAAGCAGAAGGCCGUGACAAUGGUGCGCAACGGGGCCAGGUUAGGGACAGCACUGAUCGAGAAGGCCGAGGAGAACAACGAGGCGCGUGAUCGCGUGUGGGAGCUGCUGAACGACCUUUGGACGGAGGUCAUGGUGUAUGUGGCGCCGUCGGCCGGCGACCUCCACGUGAAAGCCCACAAGGAGGCGCUGGCGCGCGGCGGUGAGUUCAUCACCGUGCUUUGGGUGCUGUGUACGCACACCGGCAUGACCAGGCCAGCCCUCGCACCGUGGGAGGUAGCACGUCAUGCGUUUGAACCAUAGAGCAUUAUUGGCUUCCCGUGUGUGCCGAUCUUUCGAGGACAGCUUGCUUGGGAUGGUUCAUCUCACAUGCUCCAUUCCGCUACUAACGCUAACAUUAGUACCGCGUCAUAAUGUGACCGGUACUAAGGGAGUGGACGAAAGAUAUAUUAAAAAUAGAUAUAUAGCCACCCGUUGUGAAUGCAUGGGUUGAUGCCAGUAAUUCCUAGAAAACGAGGCCAACCACAACCUCUUCAUCCACUUCUCCGACGUGAGCGCACAAUUCUCAACACUAGUAAGAAACAGAGCUUUAGUCCCGGUUUUUUAGUCCCGGUUGGUAAGGAUCAUAGAUCCCAAAAAUCCAAUCGAGACUAACUAUUCAAGGCUAAAUGACUCCUUUAGUCCCGGGUCAUUCACCUGGGACUAAAGGUGCCCUUUAGUUCCGGUUGGUGUUACCAAGCGAGACUAAAAAAAUUCCAAAAAAAAUAAAAAAAGCCAUCCGCGCCCGCCGCCCGCCUGCCUCCCACGGCCGCGCUGGCCUCAUGCUGCCCGCCCGCGCCCACGCCGACCACGUGCUACGACCCGCCCGCACCCACCCGACCGACCGCCCGCGUCGGAGCAUGGAAGAAAGGGAGAGGAGGAAGAAGAAGAGAUAAGGUGGAGAGGCCCUGCGUGGGAGAUAAGAAAGGGAGGGGAGGAGAUAAGUGGAGAGAAAGGGAGGCGACGAGAUUUUGUCUUGGUUGGAAUUUCCAACCGCGACAAAAGAUUUACUUCCGGUUGGAAUUUCCAACCGGGAUAAGGGUGGCGUCGAUGUCAGAUUUUUUAGCUGUUAGAACCAAGCCUACAACCGUGACUAAAGCCCCUUCAGUCGGUGGCCUUUGGUGCCUCAUACCUGGGACUAAAGUCACUUUAGUUCCGAGUCCAAAGUCAACCAAGAUAAAAGCAUCAAGAUGGAAGGUCAGUUCUCUAGUAUUGCAAGCCUAGUGUCUGCCACCUCCUCUCCACCAACAUGUCCCUCUUUCUGCAUGUAACACUUUCACACAUGCAUGUAACUUGAUUAAUCUUCUCAUGCGUGUUCACAACAAACGCAUGGAUGAAAAACAUGUCAAGAUUAAUUUCCAACACUUUUUUCUUCUAUAGAUAGUUUCCACUAAGUGGUUCACCACAUAAUAAAAUUUAGAUACUUGUCUCUGCAUAUCAUCGAUCAAUGUUGUUAGAGGGAUACAACAUUAUCAUUGUGUACAUCAUAUCAAUGACCGAACUUCAACUAUUAUAGAUACUGUUAUACUGUUAGCAAUGCAUAUAUCUCAAAUAUUAUUGCUUCUCUUUAAUUAGCUAAAGAAUAGGAUGCUAGAAUGAAAACGUCAAAAGAAAAAACAUAAUGAUGAAGGCAUCAGGUCCUCUCUUUUGGGGGCCAAGAUUCCUGCUGAUAUUGAUAACAAAAGAAGGAUACCAUGGGUUCUCUCCCAUUUGGAACUAUAUGUGACAAAAGUUAUGCCAGUACCUUAAAUGCUAAGGCUUGCUCAUCUUUUGAAUUUUUGUUCUUUGGCGGCCCCUGUCAUUUGAGCCUUUUGAUAAAGUAAAGGAGAGGAGAAUAAGCGCUAAAGGAAAGACCAACUGCUAUGGUGUUACCCGAACACCAUUGGCGGCAUCUUUCGAUUUACAGUACAUGCAGGCACGCCAAUACUCUCCUUCAAUCGUGUGCUUGCAGAACCUAUGAAAACGAUGCUCAUGCUUUGCAAGGGCACGGAAAUUUCGACUCAGAACGUGUCCAGAGGAAAUGGGCCCACUCGUAUGAUUCAUGGGAACAUGAACAAACAGAGACGUUCAGAUUCAGAAGUAUGGAAUUUGCAAGUCCCCGCAACCCACCGCCCCCACGUUGCUCCCGCAUGAGUGACACUGGUGGACGAAACCCUCGCCGCUGCCGCCCCUUCCUCCCUCUCCCCACCGCUGUGCCACCGCCCAAGCCGGCCGCUGAAAGCCUACGCGUCUCAUGAGGACGGCGGCGGUGGGGCGGCCUGCUUCUCCCCUUGAUCUCCUGGUGGGCGUGGCCGCUGUGGAGGUCAGAGGGAGUCGCCCGUAGGGCGACACACGGCCGUGACAGCGAGGCCGGAUCCGGGGCCCCUGUGGCCGGAUCCGGGGCCCUCGAUGCCGGAUCUGUCUCCAAGUGCGGUGGCGGUGGCUUCCCCCACGCGGGGCAGUGGUCACCCUGCCCGGUGCGGAAGCUGCACGAGCGGUGUGCGCCAGGGUGGAUGCCGCGCGGUGGCGGCUGCGUGGGCCAAGGCUGAGCAAGGGGCGAAGUGGGCGGCCGCGGUCCUAUGGCAAGGUGGGGUCAACGUGCAGGCCUCCUUCGAUGACUACCUCCAGGACCGCACCAUGUUCCCCGACGAGAGCAAGAGCCAGCGGAUCAGUGAUGGGGAGUGGCGGGUCCAGAUGCUGCUGCUGCAAUUCCUCCUCGUCACAGUGCGCCCUGUGGUCAUCAUGCAGCUGCAACACCGCACUGGUGGGCUCGACCCCAGUGGCGACAUCUGCAGUCCUCGGCGGUGAGCUCCUAGGGAGCGGUGACAGUGUGAAGGCGACAACGGCGAUCUGGGUGGUGCGGCGGUGGUCCCGAUGCGAGGCAAAGAAGGCACAUGGUAGCAGGGGCCGCUAGGAGGUGGGGACACGGAGGAGGCGCCGAAGGACAAGACGAGGAGGAGGUGUCGGGCAUACACCUCAGGGCCACGAGUAGGCCUUGUACGGCCCACCCAGGGGCGUACUCGGACAUGAGCAGGAGUUGGAAGCUAUGUCACAGGGUAACGUAGCCUACACGGACUACUGAAGACUAGUCUUGGUGCAUAAGGAAACUACUCUACCUAGUUGGAGUAGGACUCUGUAAUCAUAAUCGACUAGGAUUCCACCCUGUAACCCUGCUCCCCCGAUAUAUAAGGGUAGGCAGGGACCCCCUCCAAAGAACCAACUCAUACGCAAUACAAACAUCACACAAGACGUAGGGUAUUACGCGUUCUAGCGGCCCAAACCUGUCUAAAUCGUGUGCCUUGCAUCACCAUCAACUCCUUGAUUCUCGACGUCUCCACCACACAAAAUACCUCCUAGAGGACUCCCUAAGCGGGUUGCCGGUCUAAAACACCAACAGCUGGCGCACCAGGUAGGGGAAGUCGCCGAGUUUCUUAGCGCGAGAUCGAUGGCACCAAUUGUCAUCAAGCCAGCGCUCGCUUUCAAAGCAGGCGCAACUUUCAUCUUCGACUCCUGGCUUUGCAUCACCAACGGCGCCGGAUCCUUCCAGUGCUACCUCAUCGACAACCGGGAGAAAGAGCAUCUCAACGAAAACCCUCUUCGUAAAGAAGCAGACAGCCUCAUCGAGAAAAUCGACAAAUUCAAUCUCAGAUCAAGAUUCGACUACAACUCGAAGUCCAACGACGACUCCGAGUUCGACUACAACUCGAAGUCUGACUAUGACUCCAUUUUUAGUUUCGAGUUCAACCCCAACUUGGGGUCCAACUACAACUCCAAAUCAUAUCCAGGUCAAACUCCAUUCGGACUCCACAACGCAGCCACGGUCCAUCACUCCUUACUCGAAUCCAAUUCGGACUAGAGUCGAAGGAAGACUAUGCUACGACUCGGAUACACCCGAAGAGUUCAUCAGCAACUGCCACAGCUUCGUCGAUGACGACUUCCACGGGCGGCUCGCCGGUGACUUCUCCGACUACGUCGCGGCGCUCACUUAUGACUAUGGGCGGCUUGCUAACAAUUUCUUGGACUAUGUCAUGGUACUCGCCGACGACUACUUCAACAGGUGGCUCACCGGUGACUUCUCUGACUACGUCGUGGUGCUCACUGAUGAGUACGGGCGGCUCACCGACAAUUUCUCAGACUACGUCAUGGCACUCACCGACGACUACUUCGCUUGGCGACACACCGACGAAAACUUUGUCUGCUCACUGACGACUUCUCCGACUACGACACAGCGCUGGCUGACGACUAUGGGCGGCUCGCCGAUGAUUUCUCGGACUACAUCGUGGCACUCGACGACGGCUACUUCGACGGACGGCUCCCCGACGACUAAUCCGACUUUGCGACGUCCCUCGGCGACCCACCGAUGACUACUUCAACUUCGCGCGGGCGCUCGACAACUCGUUGAUGGCUACUUCGCUCGGCGCACACCAACGAAUACUUCGACUGCUCACCGACGACUUCUUCGACUACGUUGCGAUGCUCGUCAACGACUACUUCGACGGGUGACUCGCUAGUGACUACGUCGACUACUUGUCCCGACUAGAAAACUAGUCGGGGCAGAUUUCGCACCAUCAACGACUGGUCGGAACCGACUCCGACUAGUCAGCUUCGUCAACAACCGUCAUGGUUUCAUUGACGACCACCUUGGCUUCAUCGACAAUCAUCGACGAAUCAAGCUAAGUCUCUUUUCUGACAAUUUCCUAGCUUGAUUUCCUCUUGCGCACAAUACGCGCUCUACUCGCUAGAGGGCAGCAAACUCUCGCGCACAACACGCACUCUACUCACCGGAGGGCAGCAAAACUCUUGUGCAAUCGUGCUUGCUUUUUGUCGCAGCAGCGACUACUCACUUUUGUCUUCUCUUAAGAUCACUACUCUUCUCAAGAUGAACUUGCCUUGACACGUGAACGCCUCAGGUGCACCUGUGACGCCAAAUGCUAGCACACAUACACGAGACCACGCUCUUAGUUGUGCACAUAGCAAUGCCCAUACAUGUAUAUGAGACAACGCUCUCACACAUGCAAUGGCUACGGCUAAAUGGGGACUAAGAGCCUAAACGUAAUAGGCUAAAUGCUCGAGAAGAAUAUGAUCAAAAUAAGAGCAUGACACACAAUAUUUCAUAUUGAUCACUGAAUAACUUUCAGUAGUUUCAAUAUUCUACAAAAAUGCUACAUAUUGUACGCAUCUUUUCUUUCAAGUCAAACUUUGGCGAUGACGCUCGUCGUGUCACUAAGCAUGCCUCUAACGGCAUAGACUAGUUCCCGAACUCGGGGACUAAGCACCAAUCACUACUCGGGAUAUCUCUAGUGACUCAGCUAGCUCCUAGGCUCGGGGGCUAGACGCCGCAAAACUACUCGAUGUGGCUCCUACGGCUCGCCCAGCGCAUAAGCUCGGGGGCUGGAUGCCGCAAAACUACUCGGAUGAUGACUUACGCAGAGAUUCAAGAUCCUUGAGAUGAUUAUUCAAUCAAUUCAAGGCUCGAGGGCUGAUAAGCUACACCCAUCAGUUGAUUUUUUGUCAAGCCGGAAGAAAAAGUUUCAAGAUUUUGACCCUCAGCCUGAUUCUACGAGUCAACCUAAGGCUCAGGGGCUCCUCCAUAUGGAGUGUGAUUGUCAUCGCACUAUCAUAUAAAGAUUCAAGACAAAGGCUACUUGAAGCAACGUUACGCAAAGCAGAGAGUACCUUCCAGCCAUGUGACAGUACUCGGUUACUCGAAGGCUAGCCACCACGAGAAGCGCUCAAAAAGCACCAGAUAGUACUCGGGCAACCUCUUCAAGUACUCUGAGCUGUUCCACUCGACUACAAAGUACUCGGGGGCUUGUCAGGCAUACAUCCCCAGCCCCACGAGUAGGCCUUGUACGGCCCACCUAGGGGCAUAGUCGGACGUGAUCAAUACUUGGAGGCUACGUCAUAGGGUAACAUAGCCUAAACGGACUCCUGAAGACUAGUCACGGUGCAUAAGGAAACUAUUCUACCCAGUUGGAGUAAGACUCUGUAAUCGUACUCGACGAGGAUUCCACCCUGUAACUCUGCUCCCCCGAUAUAUAAAGGCGGACAGGGACCCCUUCCAAAGAACCAACUCAUAAGCAAUACAAGCAUCAUACAGGAUGUAGGGUAUUACGCGAUCUAGCGGCCCAAACCUAUCUAAAUCGUGUGCCUUACGUGACCAUCGACUUCUUGAUUCUCGACAUCCCCACCGCACAAAAGACCUCAUAGGGGACUCCCUAGGUGGGUUAUCAGUCUAAAACACCGAUAGGAGGUGCGAUGGACAAUAGUGACCCAUCUAGAAGAGCUGCAUGGAGAGGAUGCCGGUGCAGAGGACGGCAACGUGGAGAUGGUCGUGCAAGCGAUGAGGAGCGGAGCGGCGGCUCGAAUGCCACGAGGCCAUUCUGGUGCCGCGGGAACCACUCACAUGCUGACGUUGUGGUGGUGUGAGGAUCUACGCUGGUGGUAGUGGGGGCCAUUGUCGCAGAAAGCUUUGUGUUUGCGCACAUGGUACAACUGAGAUUAUGACGGCGGCAAGGUGGAGGUGAAGUUAUUAGAGUAGCUCGGUGGGACCAUGUCACCCUGAUGGAAAAUCAUGUCUGGAUCCUUGGUAUGGAGUCCAGCGGUGGAAGUGGUGAGAUCCCCGUUUGCUUUAAGGUGAUGUGUACGAGGAGUUGUGUGUGGCGGUGAAUGUGGCUAGAACCCCACACAUUUUGAGUUGCCUUGGAGGGCCAGGAUCCGGUGCAGUGUUUUGAUGGUUGGUGUGUACGGUGCGAUAGCAGUGCUUCGGCGUUGGGUCCUGCAGUGCGGUGGUCGUUUCAGUGUGGUGCAGUGUGCUCCUCCUUUGACUUAUGCUAAUACAAAGCCGUGGAUUGGGAGAUCGAUGACCGUGUGUGUGUGACCUGAGGACGACGACGACAUGGUAGAGAAGCCCUAGUAGCUACACGACUUGCAGCGGACUGCGACGGCCAGUCCUACGUGGCUUCGGCUGGUUUGGCUGGGACAUCGUCGGGGACGAUGGCGCUAGCGAUGAGGGCUACUUGGCGGCUUUUCCUGCUCAGUGGUGGUGGCAUGGUGGUCGCUGCUAGCUCAAGCGUUAGCGUUGAGUGGCUUUGCGUCGACGACCACCCAUAGAGUUCUUUUUUUGUUUUGAGUUGAGUCGGCAUUAUCUGUUGGGAGCUACUUCGGUGGCUCUGUUGUUAUACCCAGUCUAGGAUCUUUCUUCUUUUUAAAUAAUCGACAGCUCUCCUGCCUGGUUUGUUUGAAAAAAAUUCAAAAAUACGGUUGGAUGUAAGAUUAACGAGUUAAUCUUCAUGUAGCAUGUACAUAGACAUGUAACCAAGAAACACAAACUUUUUUACAACGGAACUCAAGUGUAUUUGAGUUGUACAGGCAGAGAUAUGACUAUAGAAAUUGGGGAAGCAGCACUUUGCAUGUAAUAUAGGGUUGAAUAAAUCACCUCUACCGUGGUUUAUACGUCAGUACUGUACAACAAAACCUGGCCACCAUCCCUAAAUUACAUGAUAAAAACUCUAUCAUCUACAACCAACAACUCUAGGUACGGUAGUUGUACACAUUACACGAUAUUGGUACGUAUGUUUAACUUGACCUGAAUGCAUAUGUUUAACCUUGGAGAAGAUAGUCCGAUUCAACCCUUAGAAAUCCUUUAAGAGAUGUGUCCAUGUUAAUCUUGCUACUACUAAUUGGAGAUACCGGAGGAUUCUCAAGUUAAGACGCAUGGGCGGCCGUGCUAGAAAAAAUAAGAUCUCAAAAACUCAUGAAAACAGAAAUUGCACCUCAUCACAAGGUGGACACGGUGCCCUACUGCAGCCCAAGCAACUACUACACUUGCAUUGGUGUUCUUUUCAGACAGUGCUCGCUGCAGGACAAAACGCUGACAGAGAUUUGUUGUUGCCAUUCUAGAAUCGUUUUAGCUGUGGCUUCGUUUCAUUCAGGAUUAAUUUGCAAAAAAAAUGUAUUUUCAGUGGAAAAUAAUGUAACCAGAUUGGCUCGAUUGCCCCAGAAAGAUAUAAUAACUCCAUGCAGUAACAUAUACAUGGUCAUACUUUAAUUAUUGUGCGUACAGUUGUACUACAGCAAGGCAUAUAUCUUAGCUGUCUCUUCGCUUUAACUAAAGAAUUGGAUGCUAGGAUGAAAGAUCCAUGGUUUGGGGCCACUAUUACUAGCUUUCUGCUGAUAUUGAUAACGAACGUAGGAUGGCAUGGGUUCCCUCCCUUUCUACAAAUGGGAGAGAACCCUGGUAUCCUUCUUUCGCUAUCAAUAUCAGCAGGAAUCUUGGCCCCAAAAGAGAGGACCUAAUGCCUUCAUCAUUAUGUUUUUCUUUUGACGCUUUCAUUCUAGCAUCGAUCCUAUUCUUUAGCUAAAGCGAAGCAAUAUUUGAGAUAUAUGCAUUGCUACAGUAUCUAUAAUAAUUGAAGUUCGAUCGUUGAUGUACACAGUAAUGUUAUAUUCCUCUAACAACAUUGAUCGAUGAUAUGCAGAGACAAGUAUCUAAAUUUUAGCUCCAAGUAAGUUUUAACCAAAAGUUUAUCUUAAGGGGUUCCACGACCCAAAUCUGUACUCCCCUAAAAAUAAACUUCAAUGGUAGUCCGACGGACUAUAGGGCCACCUGAUUAAACCUAUGAUUAACGACCAACAUAUCUAUCACUUACUCUCACUAUUUCCUUAUUAUUUGGUGAACCGCUUAGUGGAAACAAUCUAUAGAAGAAAAAUGUGUUGGAAACUAAUCUUGACAUGUUUUUCAUCCAUGCGUUAGUUGUGAACGCGCAUGAGAAGAUUAAUCAAGCUACAUGCAUGUGUGAAAGGGUUACAUGCAUGUGUGUGAAUGCAGUGCAUGCAUGCGCGUAUGGAGAAGACUAGGAUCUGCAUGCAUAUGGAAGCUUAGGGAGUUAUGUGUUACUCAAAGAGUCUCUAGACAAUGUGAAUCGAACGUGUCUUGGUACACUGGUAGAAAACUGAGUAUUAGUCCCAGUUGGAACGUUGCAAAUCUCCCAAAAAACCAUCCGGGAUAAAGCAAUCGAGAUAAAAGGGGGUGUCUUUUAUCCCAGGUCCCUCAACCGGGACUAAAGACACCCUUUAGUCCCAGUUGGUAAUACCAACCAGGACUAAAUGGUUUUGCAAAAAAAAUUAAAAAAUAAAUAAAUUCCUGUGGGGUCCUAGGGAGGCCUCCCCGCGACAAGCCACAAGUCAUGCGAUUUUCACGCGAAAUAUGCGCAUGCGCGGCUCGUGGGAUUCGAACCCACGACCUCAAGCCUCGCGCGUAGCUUCCUUGCCAUCCAACCUACACAUCAUAUCUAACUAUAUAGGGGAUCCAAUCCUUUUAUACUAACUUGUGGGGAACCCUUUAAUCCCGGUUGGAGAUACCAAACGGGAUAAAAGACCCCCUUUUAUCCCGGUUUGCAUUACAAACUGAGAUAAAAGGGUCUGGAACAUUUAUUCCUUCCCCGGAGCACAUGUGGGGGACCAUUUUAUCCCAGUUGGAAACACCAACCGGGAUAAAAGACCCUAUUUUAUUCCGGUUGGUAUUACAAACCGGGAUAAAAGGGUCCGAGGCCUUUAGUUCCUUUUCAGCCACCCGUGAGGGACCCUUUUAUCCCGGUUGGAGUUUCCAACCGGGAUAAAAGACCCCAUUUUAUCCCGUUGGUGUUGUGAGCUUUAGUCCCGGAUGAUAACACCAACCGGGAUUAAAAGGGUGACCUUUAGUCCUGGUUAUUCUUACCAUCCGGGACAAAAGGGUCCCCCACAGGUAGCUAAUUUUUUCACCCGGGACUAAAGGGUCCCCCACGGGUGGCUGAUUUUUGAACUGGGACAAAAGGUAACUUUUAGUUCCGGUUGCAAAUACCAACCGGGAGUAAAGCUCUGCGAACGCCCUUUUGUACCAGCCUUCUUUAAACCGGGAUUAAAAGGAAGCGCAUCGAAAGUUAGUUCUCUACUAAUGGUAGUGUGAAACCCGGUAGUUCCUCAGCUUCUCCUGCUUCGAAUCUGAACUCCCCUCCCCGUGCUGACAGAAAAAGGGGUAUUUAUACCCUAGAGACGCCAUGGUAUAAAAGAGAAGUGGGCGAGGUGAAAGCCCAUGCCGAUCGGCCUAGGUGGGUCCAAGCCGAUCGACCUGGCCCUUCCUUUCAUCCCCAAUUGCUCAAUGGAAACUCUCAUUUCAUCAAGUCUCUCAAAGCCUAUGCUAGAACAUUGUCAACCUAUUCUACUUACAAACAAGUGGUAGGCUUAUCUGGAUCUUGGUAGGUAGAAACAGUCCUUGCAAAGUAUAAUAGUCAGAAUAUUAUCAAAUUAGGAAACACUUCUAUUGGGUUGUCAAAAAGGUCAUGGAGAAAUAGUUGCUUAUAGAGAGAGAAUGGAACACACACUUUUUUAGAUGGCGGACAUGUGCAAGGGAAAAUAGGUGAUCCCGAGACACAAAUGAAGUUAUUGUUAUCGAGUUGCAUAUGGUUAGAAAAUUUUAGUGUUAACCCUGCUCUUAAUCAUAUGUAACAAGACAUGGCACUCCAUUUAGAUGUUCAAUUAAUAUUCUAGCUUAUUAUUAUGGAGGAUAGACAUUUUUCAAUGAUGAACAAGCCACAAAGAAUUUAGAACAAUGCUCUCAAAUUUAAAUCAACUUCAGAACUUUUCUUUCAAUGGAGCAUAAUUUUCAAACAGGACUAGAUCAACAUCAGCAACAGAAUUCUUGCAAUUGCUCAAUGGAAACUCUCAGCUCAUCAAAUCUCUCAGAGCCUAUGCUAGAACAUUGUCAACCUAUUCUACUCAUAUAAACAAGUGGUAGGCUUAUCCGGAUCUUGGUAGGUAGAAACAGUCCUUGCAAAGUAUAAUAGUCAGAAUAUUAUCAAAUUAGGAAAUACUUCUAUUGGGUUGUCAAAAAGGUCAUGGAGAAAUAGUUGCUUAUGGAGAGGGAGAGACUGGAACACACACUUUUUUAGAAUGUUGACAUGUGCAAGGGCAAAUAGGUGAUCCCGAGACACAAGUGAAGUUCUUGUUAUCUAGUUGCACAUGGUUGGAAAAUGAGUAUGGAUUUACCUUUAGGGGACUGGGAAAUUUAUGAAGCUCAAAGAACUAUUGAGAAUUUUUAUUAUCAUCUUUCUUUUUGCUCUUUUUCUUCUUUUUCUCAUCUCAUUUUUAAUUUUAUUUUUUAAUUUUUUUCUUUUGCUUCCUUAGAACUUUUUGCAACAUAAUACUUACUUAGCAGUGGUCAGAGAUAACGCGAUGACUCCAACCCCCAUGCUUGAACGAUGCUCGUCCUCGAGUAUGAAAGAGAGAACUAUUGUGACCCUUUUGAGAUUCAUUUGAUGCUUUCAUGAUCAAGAUCACCUGCACUCCACCUAUAUAUGCUAAACUCCUACACUAGUAGUUCACAACAAUUAUCACCCAUCCAUUCCACAAAAUAAAUACUCCACUACAUAUGUUGAUUUCUCUCAAGUUAUCAUUACAAAAGAAACAUGGGCUAUUGAAAAAGAGAGGGACACAUGAAGGUCCCAGUAUAGAAAAAAAUAUGAACACAUGAAGGUCCAAGUAUUAAAAAAAUGAAGAAAAAAAGGAGUCGGACACAUGAAGGUCCAAGUAUGUGAAUAAAGUGGAAGAUAGCCAUGUUCUCAAUAUUAAAUAUGUCCAAAGGGAGAGAGAUUAUAUAAAAUGGAGUUUCCAUACAUUCCCUAUCCACCACCCACAUAUUCACACACAUGCACAUCUUGAUCUGAUUGUAUGACUUGUUUUCUCCUUAAAUCCGGUUUUUGAAUUUGCAAUAUAUGUAAUACAAGUAUGCUUUAUUUUCAUCCCCUACCUUGAGCUCCACAAAAAGCUUUAUUAGAAGUAGGAAGGAAAAGAGGCAAACAAAUGCCUCGGUAAGGAACCAUACACAUUGAGCGAUCUGAGAUAAUCAUUCGAGGAGCAAGUCUAUGCUUUGUUCUGAGAAUAUUUCAAAAACCUAAGAUAUCUGAGUACGAGAAGUUUGUUACUUCUCUUCUUCCUUUUUAUAUAUGUGCUCUUUUAUUGUACACAAUACUAAGCUAUACUACUGUUCAAAAAGGACUAGUAUACAAAUAUUUGACGGUUAAGAUUAAUUGUAUACUACUGAAACCUUCACCUGUGGUAUGGGUAGUAUACAUGACUAGUAUAAGGGUAUUAUGGUAAAAGAACACAAAUGAUAUCACUAAAAUUUUAUUUUUGACACUAGCAUAAAGUUUAAAAUGCCAUUUCAUUUGAAAUAUCACUUUUCACAUGUAAUAAUUACUAAAUCAUGAAUAUUUAUAUCUUAUAUAUACUUAUAUACUACUAAGUAGUAUAAGCAGCAGGGGAUUACCCCUCGUGUUCCUAAAGAUAAAAUAGAUUACAACUCCAGCGGACGUGCUACAAUUCUUCAGGGCGCCGUGCCUGCCCUGAAAAAUUCCUGAAUGAGGGACGAUUUGCCGAUGAAUACUGCUGAAAUCAACAAGCUGGCCAAGAGCCUUAAAAAGUGGUUGAAUGUUGAAAGCUAAAGUAAGCAAAGCGCACUUGAUCAGUCCAACACACAACUUCCACAAAUUAAACAUGAGCUAGCACGAAGCAGUUCAUCACGAGAUCGACACACGACUGUGCGGACAUGAAGUUGUUGAUGCAUGCGGUCUCUGAUCAUCACGUACCAGCAGGCGGUGAUUUACCAUUACCGCCUGCCACUGCUGGCGGAGGAGACGGUGCCGGCGGAGUGCUCCCCCAUGAGACCGGGUACUCCAGUUCUUCUUCCGUCUUGCAAGGGACCUUGCCGCCGUCCGGGGUGCUUGCAUCGCUACGGAGGAAGGUAACCGGCCAGCAGUAAUAGGUCUUGUUGAUGAUCUUCUCCGAGUGAGCACGCUUGUAGCUGGUCUCCACCACCACCAUCACGGGGAAGCUGCGGUGGUGCCUGUCGGAGAGGUAGUGCACCGACGCGUAUUGUCCUUGCCUGUAGAGGCUUACCCACCUCCUGUACCUGUGCGAGCUGUGCGGCUGCAGGUCGAAGAUGACGUUCGUCUCCGGCUGGUACCAUAAGAACUGCACCAUCUCCGUGAAGGAAGCAUUGGGGUUGUCUAUGACCCUGAUGAUGCUGAUGUUGCACUGGAUCUGGCCGCGGCCGCUGGGGUUGAGGGCGUCGACGAUGAUCAGCAUCGGCACCUCUCCCGCUGGCGAGUACACAGACGUGGUGUUGUCGUAAAUCCACCACCAUUGUUGUGUCUGGACAUAGCCGUAGCUCUGGAGGUCCAUCUCCACGGGGCGGUUGACGAAGACGAUCACCAUCACCACCACCGCGACGGCGAGCACGGAGACCACGACGGCCACCAGUGAGCGCACCGUGGCUAGGAAGGGGAAUGUAGUGUUCUGGCCAGCGCGGCAUGUUGCCAUUUUUUCUCACGUAGGUAGCUAGGGCGGUGGAUGAUGGACUUGUCCGCUAGGGACCUGCAGCCAUAUAUACACAUAAAUUACUGACCGAAUGUUCAUUCCCUUUUUUUGGUUAGAUGACUCAGAUUAGUCUACCGGUUAACAGGGGGCUUGGCUAACAAUUAGGCUGCCUAUUAACCUCCUGUUAGGAUCAGCCAUGGCAAAGUUUUGACGGUUAACGAUCUCCCUAUAUAUCUAAACAAGUUCUUAGGUCAUGUUCCGUUCUUUAGGAGCUCCUAAAAUUCAUGUCACAUUCGAUGUGACAUGAAUUUUAGUCUGGACUAAAGAACCAAACACCCCAUUACUCCCCUCCCCCUCCCACCUCCCACACCAAUGUUCAAAAUUUUGGCCGAAAUUUCAUGAAAUUUGAUCUUUUGGUAGUGACCGAAAUUACUAUUUGCCCGAAAUUUCGGUAUGUCAACCGAAAGAUGCACUUUUUGCACCAAAUUUCACAUGAAAUUUCAUGAAAUUAGGUGUUUUCGAUGGGGACUGAAACUUUUCUGAAAACAAAAUCCCAAUCCCUGCCCCACACCGUCCAAGUAGAAUUAGGACACACUCUUUAUACAGUGAUAAUUCAGGCUUCUGCCAACCACAGGAACCGGAGUUGUUUAAUUUUUUGGCAAAAUGUCGUGCAGAUGCUUACAUACAAAGCAUUCGUACAUGCACCAAUUAUGAGUACUUCUGCAACACCGUGUCAUUAUGCUUUCAAUAUCUGGUCUUUAAAAACCUUAGAUUUACCUAUGAUGACUUGGUUAAUUAAUCUCAAGAUCAUCUGCUACCUAGAGUUUUGGUGGCACUGGAUCAUAGGGCACAGUUGUAUGUGUAUUCAUCAGAAUGAGUGCAUGUGCAUCUAUAUGAUGUCCGUGUUUUUUUUAAAAAAAUAAACCUGCGCAGGUCAUGAUGCUUCCACUAUCCUGUCUUAUCUGUUUGGAUACCAGGGGCUAUACUUUAGCUCCUGUCAUAUCAGAUGUUUGAUACUAAUUAGAAGUAUUAAAUAUUGACUAAUCACAAAACUAAUUGCACAGAUGGAGGCUAAUUCGCGAGACGAAUCUAUUGAGCCUAAUUAGUCCAUAAUUUGACAAUAAGGUGCUACAGUAACCAUUUGUUAAUGAUAGAUUAAUUAGGCUACGUCUCGCGAGUUGGUCCAGAAUUUGUGCAAUUAGAUUUAAAAUUAGCUCAUGUUUAAUUCUCCUAAUUAGCAUCAAAACAUUAACUGUGACAAGGGCUAAACUUUAGCCAAGGACAACCAAGCAACAUGCACGCCUAUAUAUGCUCUUUGAUCAGAAAAGGAAAGAAAUAUUCCCAAAAAAAAGGAAUAUGUGCUGCGGUCCAUACACGUUCUUUGAAGAAAUAUUCCAUACUUAUUUUAUGUCAUUGUAGAAGGACUUUGAAUAAGGUUCGAUGGAGUCACGUGGCUGCGUCUGCUGGCAGCUGAUCGAUGAGUCAUAUUACUAUUGGACUUGUGUUUUGGAUGCUUAUGUUUUGGAUUACAUUCAGAAUGUACGGGCAGGGGCGAAGCCACGUAUAAGAUUUUUAUUUACCACUAAUUAGACUCAAAAUUACCAUAUAAUCCUAGCUUGUAAAUUAAAAUUUACAAGUCUCUUGAGCAGUGCACCACGGUCAAUUCAGCGCUAGCUUCGCCCCUUUGUACGGGGAUUAUGCAACCCAGAAACGACGACUAAGAGCCUCAUUUCCGGACAUGCGUCCCUAUGAUCCUUUAUAUACUCCAAAUGUCUGAGUGGCCGGCUCAUACUUGCCAUGGCGAUGUCUAUCCCUCCUCUCAAAGGAUGGAGCAGCAAGCUCCUUGUAGUUGCGGCCAUGAUAGGAACCCUGGUCGUGGUCGCCAUCGCCGCCGUCAUCAUCGUCGGCCUCACUCCGCCACUGGUCUUCUUCUCCAUCCAAGAUGCAAGCCUCCAAGGCGGGCAGUUGAAACAGCAAAAAUUCUACAACUUCACCCUCUAUGCCAACAACACCAGCCGGCGCAUGGAGGUGCACUAUACCAACCUCAACACCGAGAUCUGGAUAGCCCCGUCUGAGUGGUACCCGGCCGAGGUGAGCAUGAGCGGGUUCGAGCAGCCACCGGUGAGCAUCAACGGGUACAAGCAGCCACCGGACAACGUGACCAAGGUCGCCGGGUGGGCCGAGUUCUAUCAGACGACGUCGUUGACGGCGGCGGCGCAGGGCGGCGGCGCGGGGAAUUGGCCAAACUGCACUGUGGUGGUGAUGGCCAAGGUGUUGUUCAAGGUCGGGCUGGCACGCACACGGCCGUACCACAUCAGGGUGUUCUGCUUCCCCGUCAACUUCCUCAAUACGACUCGGUACGCCAAUUGUACAUACUGAUCUCGAUCGACGUGUAUGCAUGCAUCCAUGUUGUUGAACGUGUACAUGACUGUUGUGACGUGCUCCUUUACCAUAGCUUCAGAUCCUGACUUGUAGCAUUGACAGAGUAUGCGUCUAUUAUGGCAGAGAGCCUCUUGUACAUGUAUUUAACUCAAUCCAGAGAUCAAUAAUGAAAGGAUGCGGUUUUUUUUUAGGAAACAGGAGGGGAAGUACCCCUGCUGAUUAUAUAUUAAUAUAUAGUUGACAGUACACUAGUGAUACAAACCUUGUUUAUGACACAAAGAAAGAAACAAAAAAGAUUAAGAAAAUUACAGUGAAUGCUCUAACCAUUGAACCAUUGAUUGUUUCCAAGACUCUCUGACACGAAAUACUACCAAACUGAAAAUCUGUUUGAACCGUUCCUUUGCAGCUUGAUAAGCUGGCACUAGGGCCUUUGAAGAUGCAGUCAUUGCGUGUCAUCCAAAUACUCCAGCUCAUAAUUACGAUAAUUUCCAUAAAGAAAGGCACUUGCAACUGGUUCCAGCUCAUAAUUACGAUAAUUUCCAUAAAGAAAGGCACUUGCAACUGGUUCCAGAAGCUAACGAGAAUAUCAUAAGGUUGUUGCUGCAAAUCCACAAAGAGGCCGAGAUUGAUCCAACACUCCUGUGCGAAUGGACAAUCUAGUAAUAGAUGAAAGAGGGUUUCUUCCUUGUUGUGGUUCCAGAGGACGCAGUUAUAGGAAGGGAGAGCCAUCUGCUUUCGUUUAAGCUCCACUGGCGGCAGAGCCGCAUCCUGUGUCGGCUCAUCCGCGGCAUCCUGUGGGUGCGAAGCAUGCUAAGCCACCCUAACCUCUGCUUCAAGCAGCUCUCCGUGCUAGGGUUCUUCCAACUGUCGUCGCCUUCGCCGUUCAUGGUGCCAACCAAGGCAGUGCCCAAGGAGGUAAUUAAAGAUUUCUUCAUCGGUAAUGUCGCGCGGUUCUUGGUUUCAAGUACUGCCUGUAUUUUUUUAUUUUUUAUUUUUGCCUUGUCAUUUGGUCCGUCAGAACUAAGUUUGUCGAAUUCCUUCUGAAUAAGCUUGAGACGCUGGUCGUGCUUGUUUGUUGGUGUGCCUACGUGCCGCGUAGUUGUCGUAGCAAAUACUUUCGGUUCCAUAUCGCCUGUGACUGGACCGGGAUGUUCUUCAAUCUGUUAUGGCCCUGUAUUCUGUUUUUAUAUGGAUCCCACAUAUAAUCAAUUUCCAACAUUUGCUUUCCUCUGUACAUUCAGCAUGUUGUCUUUUUUUUUUUUUUGAAGCGCAUUCAGCAUGUUUCGCAGAUGUUUGGAAGGAUGAUCCAAAUUCUGAAUGCACAGACCCUGUUGGGAAAUUGAUUUCCCCACUGCGUGUCUGUGUUUACAUGCAUCUUCUAACUGUGGUUCCAAUGGCCCGUCUAGGCCCAUACAGGCCUAUCAGGUGGAUGGGCCGGCCGGCCUCCUGGAUCAACAAGACCGGUAUCCCUUCUUGGCCCGUCCGCCCCCGCUGUAGAAACAAAACCAGAACCAGCAGAUCCCCCGGGCCCUGAAGAGAAAGACGAUGGCAACAGAAGAAAGAGCUCGCGACGAAGCCGGCGAAAGCCCCCCAAACCCUCCCCAGCCCAGGCAGCGGCGGCGCGACGAGAUGGCCGACGACCCCACCGCCGGCGGCGGGAACACCGUCGAGGACGUCGUCCGCGCGGAGGUGAGCAUCCCCGGCCGGCCCUCGUCCUCUUUGCUGCGAGUGCCGGGGAAUCCGAUCUCCGCCCGGGCCGACCUGGCUCUGCUCGGCUGCCUCCCGAUCUGCCCGCGCGGGUGGCGGCGCCUCGCCCCUAGUUCGGUUUCGGGUUAGAGGUGUCCCAGCGUGGUGUCUGGGCGGGGGGAAUCCGGCGACGAGGCGUUCUCCCUCCCGUUGGCUCGGUUGGCGCGGACGGACGCGGUGGGCCUGGUUGGGGAAAUCUGUGCCCGUUUCGAUUUGGGUGUAGAAUAGGUAUACGUCUUCAAAAUUGAUAGAAUUAGGCCCGUUUAUAAAAAAUUGAUAGAAUCUGCCUGCAAGGCGCGGUUUCCCAGCUGGCCCGUCCUCAUUUACUAAUCCCCACCAAGCUUAGCAUCUUUCCUUUCGAUGAAAUAAAAAAAUGUUAAUGUCAACAGCUCCUCGAUUACCGCAUAGAUUAACACCUCUUUAGCCUUUGUGGCACGGCACCUAAUACUUUCCUCACCUUUGCAGUGCCGUGGGCCCGCCACUUCCCUUCUGGCCCACAAGUCAUGGAGGCGCGCGAGGAGGGGUAUCGGUUUCACGAUGAUUAAUCAAGAAAGGCCCAAGACACGUCACGCUGGGGGUGGGGGAGGGAAGACACCGCACCGCAUGCACCUGCAUGCACCUUUGCCUUUGCUUUUCCCCGGCGUCCUAGGGACCUCGAGCUCGCCCGCCUAGGAGCUCCAGCAGCCGGGCCGCUCCGCCGCCGGUGCGGCAACCACGCCGCCGUCAGACCACCUCGCGCGGCCACCCCGCGCCGGUGCGCCGUGCGCGGCGGUGCUGUCCCGCCGCUCCUCCGCCUACCGUCCUCCUGCGCCACCACCAGCUAGCGCACCGGCAGCACCGCGAGCUGCCGCGCCGCCCCGACGACGUUGGUCAUUCCGGAGCCCGGUGUCGUCACCAGCGUCGCCGGAGAAGGUAAUUACCUGAAGCAAUUUGUAGAAACGAAUAGUACUGGUUCGUUCACUUAUUUCAUUGCUCAAACUUAAUUUCUGCUUAUUAGAGUUUGUGCCUUGUCGUGAGACUAAAUUAGCUGCUUAUUCUGCAGGUUGCAUUCAGGAGAUCGAGCUGCCGGAUCGGAGGAGGUCAUAUCAGCCGUGUUGGUUGUGCACUUGUGUUGCUGCCGGCGGAGAAGGAACCAUGGUGAUCGGGCCACUGAUCUCCAUAAUGUAGUUGAACUAAAAUAAUCCCCUUCUGAGUUUAGCAUCUUUCCUUUGGAUGAAAUAAAAAAUUGUUAUUCCGGAUCCGUAAUCUCAACUGCUCCUCCAUUACACAUAGCAUCUUUCCUUGAGUUUAGCAUAUUAUUUCAACAUUUCAAAACUCUAGAUUCAACAUUUCUUGAAACUUAGUGCAACAUUUUAGAUAAAUCGAUUCAACAUUUAGCAUAGUAUUGUUGAAAAUGUUGAGCUAGUAUAUGUUAUUUCAACAUUUCUGCAAAGCUAGCUCAACAUUGAGGUAAUGUAGUUCAACAUUUUGUGUAGUAUUGUUAAAAUAGUGUAUCUAAAAUGUUGAGCUAAUACACAAAAAGUGUUGAGCUAGUAUAUAUUAUUUAAACAUUUCAAAAGUCUAGAUUCAACAUUUAUGGAAACCACAUUUUAGAUAAACUGGUUCAAUAUUUUGCAUAGCAUUGUUGAAAUAGUGUACCUUAAACGUUGAGCUAAAUAUAUAAAAAUGUUGAGCUAAUAUAUCUAAAAUGAUGAAACUAAGAAAAUAAAAAUGAAAAAAAUAUAUACAGUCAUGUGGGAUCUUAAUCCGUUAGAAAAAUUUCGAAAAGGCUCAUAGUUUAAUCGGAAUUAAAAUUAAAUGCACCGUUAGAGAGAUAAGUAAGUUGAAAAGUUCGAAAUCAAAACUCACAUCACCCAACAAGUAGCUGAAACCUAUCCGUCCUUUCAGCAGCUCCACCCACCUCGCACCAGCAUACUAGCACAUGGUGGUCCCCAGCCACCUCGAUGCCGUUGCGUCGAAGGAGAGGGCGGAACCGACGAGGGUCGCCGGCGGCUCCCACCCCGGCCGAACGCGUCCUGACCGACUCCGGCAGGGGGCGGCAGGGCCUCCCGCAGGUGAGCGCUUCCAUCCGUGGUCCGCAGCAGUAAUGUCUGAUUUUUCGCUUUCUUCUCCAGAAUUCGUCGCAUAUACUUAUAUGUCAUCGUCCUCUUAUUUUUCGCUUUCUUCUCCAGAAUUCGUCACAUAUACAAAGCUUUCACGAUUUCGAUGAGAGAUUUGGUCAUGUUUGUGGCCACGGAGACACAGUCUAGCUAGCGUAGUGAAAAGUGGCACUAGUGAUUGCAAUACGCACGGAAAUUGGUUUUUUGUCUGUUCUUUCUCCAUCUCAAUCAUCAAUCAAAUGGGGGUAGUCGUCGGUACGCCGGGUGGGCCGAGUUGGCCAAACUGCACAGUGGUGGUGGCAGCCAAGGUGUUGUUCAAGGUCGGGCUGGCACGCACACGGCCGUACCAUAUCAGGGUGUGUCCUGCUUCCCCGUCAACUUGGGGAGGUGGGCCAAGCGACAGCUAGCUGUGGUGUGGUGGGCAUCCAGCAGGCGCGCAGGGCCCAGCCGUGGCCGUGAUUAUGCGCCGGGGUGAGAGAAGAAGACACGGCACCUAAUACUUUCCUCACCUUUGCAGUGCCGUGGGCCCACCACUUCCCUUCUGGCCCACAUGUCAUGGAGACACGUCAGGCUGUGGUGGACAAGGGAAGACACCGCACCGCACGCACCUCCACCACUUGCCUUGCCUUUGCCUUCGCUUUUCCCACUUGUGCUGUGGGAAGACACCGCAUACACCUCCAGCUCGAGCUCGCCCGCCUAGCUAGGAGCUCCAGCAUCCGGUCCGCUCCGCCGCCGGUGCAGCAACCACGCCGCCGUCAGACCGCCUCGCGCGGCCACCGGUCGUCCCCGCGAUACACCGCCGCCGGUGCGCCGUGCGCGGCGGCGCUGUCCCGCCGCUCCUCCGCCUACCGUCCGCCUGCGCCACCACCAGCGCACCGGCAGCACCGCGAGCUGCUGCGCCGCCCCGACGUUGGUCCUUCCUGAGCCCGGUGUCGUCACCAGCGUCGCGGAGAAGCUAAUUACCUGGAGCAAUUUGUAGAAACAAAUAGUACUGGUUCGUUCACUUAUUUCUUUGCUGAAACUUAAUUUCUGCUUAGAGUUUGUGCCUAAAUUAGCUGCUUAUUCUGCUGGUUGCACGCAGGAGAUCGAGCUACGGGCGUACGGCCGGAUCGGAGGAGGACAUAUCAGCCGGGUUCCUGUUGGUUGUGUACUUGUGUUCCUGCCGGCAGAGAAGCAACCAUGGCCGAGUUACUGAUCGGGCCACUGAUCUCCAUGGUGAAGGAGAAGGCAUCCAGCUACCUGCUGGACCAAUACAAGGUGAUGGAAGGCAUGGAGGAGCAGCGCAAGACCCUGGAGCGCAUGCUGCCAGCAAUCCUGCAAAUCAUCCAGGAUGCGGAGGAGAAAGGAGCCUCCCGAUCUAAAGUUGCAGUUUGGCUUAAAGACCUCAAGACAGCGGCCUAUGAGGCCAACGACGUCUUUGAUGAGUUCAAGUACGAGGCGCUUCGGCGAGAAGCCAAGAAGAAGGGCCACCAAAGCAAGCUUGGAGCGGAGGUAGCAAGACUCCUAGUCCCCGCUCGUAAUUCCAUUGUAUUCCGUUACAGGAUGGGCAAGAAGCUAAGCAGGAUUGUGCAGACCAUCGAGGCCCUGGUCACCGAGAUGAAUAAAUUUGGUUUCAGACACUUGCAGCAAGCACAGCCAUCAAGGCAGUGGCGACAGACAGAUUCCAUAAUCAUUGACUCCGACACAGAUAUUCUUAGCAGAUCUAGAGAUCGGGAGAAGAAGAAAAUCGUGGGGAUGCUCCUUGAUCAAGCUAGCAACAUGGAUCUCAUGGUUCUUCCAAUUGUUGGGAUGGGUGGGAUGGGCAAGUCCACCUUUGUGCAACUCAUUUACAAUGACCCUGCAAUCGAGAAGCACUUUGAGCUUCGGAGGUGGUGCUGCGUGUCAGAUGAUUUCGAUGUCAGUACCAUUGCAAGCAACAUCUGCCAGACCAAUGAGAAAUAUCGUGAAAAAUCAUUGCAGGAGCUCCAGAGUACAAUAAGUGGAAAAAGAUACCUCAUUGUGUUAGAUGAUGUAUGGAAUCGGGAUGCUGAUAAGUGGGGAAAACUAAAGACCUGCCUUAAGCAGGGUGGCAAGGGCAGUGCGGUACUAACAACAACUCGUGAUGCAGAAGUGGCUCGCAUUAUGACCAUGGGUGUAGCUCAAGCCCAUAAUAUCGAGAAUCUGAGUGACGAGCAUUUAAAGGAAAUUGUCCAGAGCAGAGCAUUCAGCUUGCAAAAUCCAAAUAUGGAAGAGCAAGAUGGCAUUCUCAGUGGAUUUGUUCGUCGAUGCGUUGGAUCUCCCUUGGCUGCCAAAGCCUUUGGCUCUAUGUUGAGUAACAGGACUAGUGUAAAUGAAUGGAAGGAUGUAUUAGCUAAAAGUGACAUUUGUAGUGAGAAAACCGGAAUUUUACCGAUCCUCAAGCUCAGUUUUGAUGACCUAUCCUCAGAUAUGAAGCAGUGCUUUGCAUUUUGUGCUUUAUUUCCUAAAGAUUAUGAGAUUGAUGUGGACCUCUUGAUUCGACUGUGGAUGGCACAUGACUUCAUACCUGUGCAGGAGGAUGACAAUCUAGAAACCAUAGGAAAAUAUAUUUUUGAGGAGCUAACUCGGAGGUCAUUCUUUCAAGAUGUCAGGCAAACACUUCAAUUUGACUAUUUUGGAAGCAGGUUGUCGCUUCGUAAGUCAACCAUAUGCAAGAUACAUGAUCUCAUGCAUGACAUUGCUCUAUCUGUUCUGGGGAAAGAAUGUGUCACUAUAGUUGGUAAGCCGAGCGUCAACAAGCUGUUGCUAAAUCCGACCCGCCACGUCUUCUUAUCACUAUAUGGUUUCAAUCCUACUUUCUGGAAAGAACAGGUUACAAGUCUACUAGAUCAUCUAUUGAAGAAACAAACUGCAAUGCUCCAUACGUUGUUUAUCAAAGAUUAUGGUCAACCCCUUGAUAUAUCAAAGUACACUUCACUGCGAGCAUUACACCUUCCAGCAAAUGAAGAGCUAAGGUAUCCUAAUCUGUCGCCACAUGAACAGCUUACAAGACACAUACAACACCUAAGGUAUCUUAAUCUGUCAUCACAUUGGUUCGAGAAACUUCCUGAAGGUAUAAGCAUUAUGUAUCAUCUACAAACGUUGGACCUCUCUCAUUGCAAAUACCUUCGUCACCUUCCAAAGGAUAUGAAGUAUAUGGCAAACCUCCGACACCUCUAUACCCAUGGAUGCAUAUCAUUGACAUGCAUGCCUCCAGGACUUGGACAGAUCACUUCUCUGCAGACUCUAACAUAUUUUGUUAUUGGUGAUGGCUUGGGAUGUAGUACUAUUGGGGAACUUCAAAACUUAAACCUUGGUGGAGAGUUAGAGUUAAGUGGUCUGCAAAAUGUAACAGAAGUGCUUGCAAAAGCAGCCAGUCUUGAAAAUAAAGAGAGACUCACACACUUAUCUCUCGCGUGGAAUGAUGAUGCCCGUGAGAAACCAGAUUCUCAUAAUGAGGUGUUAGAUGCCCUUAAACCUCAUCACCGGCUAGAGAUGCUAAGAAUAAAGUCCUACAAAGGCACCAAAUUACCGUCAUGGAUAACAGAUCUUAGUCUGUUGCAGCACUUGACUGAGCUCCAACUGGUUGGUUGUAGGCUGUGCGAGGAAUUUCCUCAAUUCUGCCAUUUCAAAGCCCUUGAAGUUCUGUAUUUGAAAAAGUUGGACAAAUUGCAAAGCCUAUGCAGUCAUAUGGUGUCUACGCCAUUUCCAGCACUGAAGCAACUCCAGUUACAUGAUUUGGAGAGCUUGGAGAGAUGGGUCGCAACAGAAGGAAAAGAAGAUGAAUUAUCCUUUCCUGUACUUGAGGAGGUUGAAAUAGAGAACUGUCCAAAGUUGACUAGCCUACCUGAAGCACCAAAGCUCAAGGUUGUAAAGCUGGAUGAAGGCAAGCCGCUGCUCUCCUUAGGAAUAGUUAAAUCAAGGCACAUGUCUUCAAUUUCUAAGCUACUACUGCGUGUCCGUGACACAGAAGCACUGCCUCAGAUAGAUUAUAAUUGGGAUUCAUCACAGAAACUGGAACUAUCUUUGGGUGGCACAGAAGCCGCACCUCUGUCACAACUGAGCAUAUUUGGCUGCAACUUUUUAUUCGUAUCAAGCCACUCACAGCUAACACCUGGGGUCUGGAAAUGGUUUGAACAUCUUGCAGUUUUAACAAUUGCAAAAUGUGAUGUGCUCAUCUACUGGCCAGAAGAAGUGUUCCAAAGCUUGGUAUCUUUGAAGUACUUGUUCAUUUUCUCCUGCAACAAGCUAAUAGGGCCCACACAAGCGAAAGGUGACAAACCUACACAAACAACAGAUCAAGUCCUGCCACAUCUAAACAUGAUACGUAUACACAAUUGUGAAAGCAUGGCACAGCUCUUCAUUCUUCCCCCAUCUAUCAGAAUUAUUCAUAUUUUUGAGUGCCCUAAGCUUGAGUUCAUAUGGGGAAAAGAGGAGCAUCUUGACACAUAUGCAUCGCUGGAACAUUGCCGCGACCCUGCAUCCACCACUGGUAACCUAGAGCAAUCGCCGUCUCCAAUUAUUCGCCGUCCAUGCCUUGUAGAUCUAACUAUAAGAGGAUGUGAUAGCCUGGUAACACUUCCAAAUCUACCACCGUCCCUCAAGGAAUUAUUCAUCCGGAAGUGUGAGAAGCUCUGCUCUGUGUCAGGAGACCUGUGUGCACUCGAGACCCUACAGAUUGUUAACUGCAAUAAGUUACAGUCAGUCAAUUCCUUGGGAGACCACCCAUCAUUAGAAACACUGUUUCUUUCUGGCUGCCGAUGCCUUGCAUCUUUAGGAUGUGAUGGUGGUCGUGGGAGUUACUCUGCUCUUCAGUGCCGUGAGAUCGAAGACUGCCCAGCCAUAGAUAUGAAGCAGUUUUACUAACGCCAUCAAACAGCUGCUUGACAGCUUUGAAUAUGAAGACGUAUCACACGUUCAUUCAAGCAGCUCUGAUGAAGGUACGACCUUUCACUUUCCUCUUAUUCAAUUUGUUUCCUUCAAAUUUCCCUUCUUUGCAUGCCCUCCUAUUUUGUUGACGAUCUGGUUUAUAGAUGGGCUUGCGGGGUGGGAUUUUGGGGUUUCAUCUUCGUUCCGGCUUUUAGACGGUCCUUUCUCACUGACGUGACCCCACAUAUAUUUUAGUUUAUACGGCUAUUGGUUUUCAGUCUUCGAUGCAGUUGAAGUGCAUAGGGAAAUUCUGGAAACAUGUUCUAUCCCUUGGUGUUGAGAUCAGCUGAUGCGGAAUCACUGAAGUACUACUGAAACGAGAUCCUGAUCGGUCUCAGUUGUGGAGAGCAAUUUGUGAUGAAUGGAAGCAGUCCCAAGGCUUCAAGAACUCAUGGAGUCGUGCUGUACCAUUCUCCACUGCCAGGGCCUAAACUAGGUACAUGGAAGGCGCACAGGUUGGGAUAGUAAAAAACCAUACCUUUGUCUGUGUUAGAGCAACUCCAAGAGGCUGCUAAUCUUACCCCAAUACCUUUUUUAGGAAAAAAAAAGAGAAAAAAUGAACUCCAACAAUCCACCUAAACCUUCCCCAAUUUUUUAGCGACGCUAAAAAACAGCCUGCCAUCGCGUAUAUUUUAGCGUUGGCGUUCCUUCCCCAAUCCUGAUUCCCGCACACCCGCGCGUCCCUUCCGAUGGGCCCAAUACGAUGACGUGGCCUGUGUUUGAAAUAUUGGGGGCUAUUUAUUAGCGAUCUGUUGUGGACUGAUAUGCUUUUGGGGGAAAUUUUUUUUGGGAGAACCCCCAAUACAUAGUUUUGGGGAAGAAUUUUUUAGGAUACUCUUGGAGUUGCUCUUAGAGCAUCUUCAAGAGUCUGCCAAAAAACUCUUCCCCAAAACCACAUCAUCCCACAAUAGAUCCCUAAUAAUAAAUUUUCCAAUAUUUUAAAAUUUGCCACAUCAGCAUGCGUGGACCCUAAGCUGGGCUGCCCCCUUCCCCCGCUGGAGCGUUUUCGCGCUUUCGCACUGUGGCUGCCUGAGCAGGGGUUGGUCUGUGCUGAUUUGCUGAACCAUGCAUAUUAUAUGCACUGGGACUGUCAUGCCCUCAGAAAAGCAUCAUCAUCUACUGGUAUGACGUCAAUUCAGCCUCAAACUCUCAACACUGAAGGCCUUCGAGGACUAGGACUACGCCAGCGCCACCCAUUGAAUCCCAUCCCCAUCUCGGCCACGUGCCAUGCCAUGCCCAGCCGUGGGGCACUGGGCAGCCCACGUGCAGCCACUUGUGGCCACGGACGCCCAGCCAGACCAUCACCCCCAAGAGGAGGAACGCCUUAUCUUUUCACCAUGAGAAAGCAGAGUCUAACGGUCCGUGGGCAAUAGGAAAAUCAGCACCGGCGGACUCCUGUGUUCACCUUCAUAUUUUUCGUGGUCUAUAUUAUGCGAGUUAUAGCAGUCCUAGGGAAUUUGUUUGGUGUCUCGGAGUUGUCAUAUUCCUAUUAAUGAUUGUGACAGCUUUUAUAGGAUACGUACCACCUUGGGGUCAGAUGAGCUUUCGGGGAGCAACAGUAAUUACAAGCUUAGCUAGCGCCAUACCAGUAGUAGGAGAUACCAUAGUGACUUGGCUUUGGGGUGGUUUCUCCGUGGACAAGGCUCUUGGAGUUGCUCUUAAUCAAUUCUCAUUUAGCACUCUGUUGUUAACAUGUUACCCCCAUGCUUUUCAUUUUUUCUGUGCAGACAUGACCCAUUUAUCCUUAAAAGGCAUAAAGGAGGGCACUCACAUGUACGCACGACUGGCAACUGGAAGCUUCGUUGCAAGCCUCUGCUAACGACCAAGUUUGUUUUCACGCCACUAUACCAGCUGCUGGUAAUUCUCUUGUCACUAAUGUCAUCCUGUCAUCCAUCAAAGCCGUGGAGAAUAUGAUGCCACUCUGAGUCCUUCAGUUUGCCACGUGAGCCGAUGAAGCAGAAACAGAUGAUGAUGAUGGAUGAUAUAACUGCGGGGAUGCAGACUUGCUUUCAACGGUCGAAAUGGAGCUACAAAUGAUUAGUCGUAGUCGUGUGUGGUCCUUCCAUCACCUUGUGUUAUUGAUCCCGUUUGUAUGUGUUGCGUUCUCUAUAUCCCUCCAUAGCUUUUCAGUUGUUGUCUCUUUUACGACUAUUUUGAUUCCUCUUUUCCUUUUUAUUAAUAUAACACAAAAAUCCUCUUGCCAUGUUUUUGAAAAAACAAAAUCGUGAGGAUGCUGCUUCAUGAAGCUAGCAACAUGGAUCUCAUAUGGUUCUUCCGAUUGUUGGGAUUGGUGGGAUGGGCAAGACCACCUUUAAUUUGUGCAACUCAUUUAUGACCCUGAUCGUGAUGCAUUUUGAGCUUCAGAGGUGGUGCUGUGUGUCAGAUUCGAAAAUGUUUUUUGACUCUUUCAUCACCGCCUUCAGUAGCUCAUGCCGGUCAGGUCUUCUCCAGUGACCAGUUCCUUCACCUUGGUUGCGCACCCCCUCACCUGGGCUUGCAGCUAGGUCAUAGCCUUGGCAUUCCGCAUCAUCUCAGCCAUGGCAUAGUCUAGUGCUACGUAGGUUGUGUCCGUCCCGGCUUCAAACAUGUCCUUCAUGAACAUAUCCGUAGAACUCCAAUCAAAUUUAACCAAACUAGUCAUGAAACAUGUCAUAUGUACCUCUUGUGAGAAUUAAAUUGGAGGCUUAAAAUCCUUCAAUUAGUAACAGUAAGAAAUUAAUUAAAAUUUGGAGUUUUGUUGCAUACAAGUUGCCAGUCACCAGUACAGAAAUGACCUUUAGUCCUGGUUAGGAAACCUUGGGAAACCUCAAAGAGCUCGGUUUUCCCGACCGGGAUUAAGUAUUCGGGAUUUAGUCCUGUAACACCAUGUGCUUUGCCUUAUAAUGAAAGCCACUAAAAAUUCGAACUUCUAAAAUUUUCCUAUAAACUAAAAUGUGCCUUGCUAUUUCAUACCUCAAAACCCUUUCAAAAUAAAUUUUACAAAACAACCUUCAUCAAAAUUCACCAUAUGCAUUUUAUUGUGCUUGUUUGAGUGUUGUUUGCUUGUGUGCUUUGUUGAAUCUUUUGGUGGCAACCAACCCCUUGACCUCCUUUCCAAAUUUCCCACAAAUCCUUGUUAAACAUCCCUUCGAAUUCCUCAAAUCCAUUCAAACUCCAUUUCAAAUCUCUUCCAAAAUUAUUCAAACCAUUUCCUUGGGUGCAGGCUCAAUUUCCCUCUCCUCUCCUUUCGGCCUGGCGUGGCUUGCUUCUCCUUCUCCCUUUCAGCCCAGCUCGGCCCGCCCCUCCUCGCCUUCUUCUUUCCCGAGCAGGCCACCUCCUCCUCCUCCUUUACUUCCGCACGGCCCGGUCCAGCCCACAACGGCCGCCACCUCUCUCUUCCUCUCCGCACCAGCACCGCCCAUGAGAAUGGCCCGUGACGACCCGGCUCCCACUCCAUGUCAGCAUUGCGUCCGCACACAGCCGCUGAUGAGUAGGUCCCACUCAAUAGCGUCAUCCCCAACCUCGUGUCGUCUUCCCCAAUGCGUCUCGUUGCCGCCGCCUUGUCCCAUCUCCGCCCGUCGCCUAUGCCGUCGUGCCGGCCCCGAAGAAAUAUCUCGCCGCUCCAUCCCAUCAUGGCCCCACCUGUCAUCCCGCACGGUCCUAAAAGAUCUCCGCCGCCCGCUCCACGGACCUCUGUGCACAAUCGACCUCUCGCGGCUAUAAAAGCUGGCGAGCCCCGCCAUCGCUCCCCGCACCUCAAGCUCGAGCUCCCUCCCUCUUCUUCUGCUCGAGCUCGCCUCCUCCCUCUUUAGUCCUCUCCUCCCUCCACCGGAGCACGGCUUCCUCCGAAGCCACGCCUCGCCGAGCCCUGCCCUUCCCUCUUCCUGUCUAGCGCGCCACCGCACAGAACUGCCAGCCAAGCACUAGCGCCGCCACCGUGACAAACUCGAGGAGGACAAAGUGCCGAGCGACGUUGGAUCGGUAACAAGCGGCCCUGAUCUGCCUGAGCUAAUUCGCGUCCCACACCCGAUGACAAGUAGGCCCGAGUCUAACGCCGAAAAUGCCGUCUGUUGGUGACCAGUGGGCACCACAUCAGCAAGCAAGCUCCCAGACAUCACCAUGGCACUGGGAGGGUGCCUCGCAAGCACCACGCGGACACACCCGUAGCAAAUGACACGUCAUCAUGGGUCCACAUGUGAGUUACUGUGUGACACUGUGCGGUCAACAGUCAACACUGACCAGGGACACACCUGGAGUAACUGUGUCGACGGUAAAAUUACUACGCGUACUCAGGUUAGUGUACACGGAAGUCUCGUUUACCCCUUUCCUUGCACAAGCAAGCUCCCAGACAAAUUGUCACUCGCCAUGGCACUGGGAGGGUGCCUCGCAAGCGCCACGCGGACACACCCGUAGCAAAUGACACGUCAUCAUGGGCCCACAUGUGAGUUACUGUGUGACACUGUGCGGUCAAUAGUCAACACUGACCAGGGACACACCUGGAGUAACUGUGUCGACGGUAAAAUUACUACGCGUACUCAGGUUAGUGUACACGGAAGUCUCGUUUACCCCUUUCCUUGCACAGAAAAAUUUCCAAAAAAUUCCUAAAAAUACUAGAGCCACCCUAUAACCCAUCCAAACCUUUUGCACCCCAUUUCCAUCAUACAAAAUUAUGGGAAAAUAAAUUUCACCACUCAGGCACUCAUAAAUUCCAAUAAAUCACAUAAAUUCCCGAUAAAUUCCCAAAAAUCAUCUCUCCUGUCAAACUCCGUUUCUGUCAAUUCUUCCACCAAAAUUCUUCUAAAAUUAAAUCCUUGAUAUCCCUUCCGGUGCCACCAUUAGUUUCUUUGUUUGAUUCUUGAUUUGUUCAUGUAUUGCUCUUCGACCUGUUAGUCACUAACAUCACACAAACCCCUUAUGCUCAUGCAUGCAUAUACACUGUAGCAUGUAUACAACUAUAUGAGUAUACAUACACCCCCCUUCACACACCUACCACCGAUACUUUUUUUAUUUUUGUUUUUGCAAAAAAAAAAUCAAAACUAUUUAGUCCCAGUUGGUAAUACCAACAGGGACUAAAAGGGGCGGGAGGUAGCCACUGGCGCCGUGAUCGUUUUCUUCCGGUUGGUAUUACCAACUGGGACUAAAAGGGGAUAUUAUAUCCCGGUUUUGGGACCCGUGAUAAAAGACCCCCCUAUCUCGACAAGUUAAUCCUAGAUGCAUUUUCGGAAGAUAUGCACCCUACAAACCGGUACUAAUACCGAAUUUUCUAAUAGUGAAUGGUGCCGGUAGGCGUCCCCUUCAGCUGCAUUCUCUUCCAACCUGCAUACAAAGAGUCACUGGAGAUAGCGUGAUACAACCUCGGUUAGUCAGGCGAUCAAAUGAUAUAACCUCGAGUUAAUCUAGGCCGAAGCCAAUUAGCUUCCGUGUUUCUAUCUGAAGCUGGCAGAGUUAGCGCCUUGUCUGGGCGAGCUAAGACCCGGGUUAUAGGCGAAGGGGAUGAGUUUUGGACAGAUCCCCAACAUCUCGAAAAAUUAAUCUCGGUUGGGCAUUGGAGAGUUAUGCUCCUUCCCAACCGGGACUAAUAGUCAGUUUUCUACUACUGGUUGUGUAGAGGUGAGGAGGCGAGGGUUUUAGGUGAGGACGAUGAGGUGGCACCGCUCCCUUUCUCCGAUUCAACUGUCUCUAUAAAAUUGAUAUGGUUAGAUAUGUCAUAUUCUGUGGUACCACCUCGCGAUCACGAUGUGUGUGCCUCUAUAUAUGUUGUGCCAUUGCAGUCCAUUCGAUCGAGGGAGUACCAUAGCGUGACUGAACUACUGAAAAUGAAAAGCCUACACUUCUGCAACAACACAGUCUACCCCUAUGUUUACAACCUGACUUCCUCCUACAUCGACCAGAACAAUGAGGCCACCAUGGUGACCACCACCUUGGUCAUGUUUAUGCUGGCCGUGUUCGUCUUCAACCUCAACCUCUUCAGCCGCUUCUUGGACGUGAGCGCGAUUCUCAACCCUAGCGUCCGCCUCUUCCUCUCCACCUCCCUGUCCCUCUUCCUGCCGGUCAUGUCCUACCUCUUCUCCGAGGCCAAGAACCAAGGUGCAACGACGACCAUGGCUGCUAGUACUAGUAGCUCCAGUUAUGGCGAGCUCGGUGACGAGCUGUCACUUCGAGCUAGGACGAUCCUCAUGUGGAUGCUUCUUGUGGAGCUCCUACGCAAGAAGGUGGAGGCCGUCCUGGUCAACGUGGGCAUGCAGUGGUACUCAGGCGCCAUCGAUCGCUUCGCCCGCAUUGUUUGGCUCUGCUAGCUCGUCUUCUACAAUGUCAAAAGCCCCGGCAAGAAGGCGAUCUACGGCACCUUAUGGGUCCUCACUGCUGCCAAGUUCCUGCAAAGGGUCGUCGUCAAGAUGGUGCUGGAGCGUUCCUUCGCCUACGGAAGGAACACCCAGCUGCUCAACUCAUACAUGGCCCAGAUCAUCCAACAACAAGAGCAAGAGGAGCACUUGGGGUCAUCGUAGGCGGAGCUGUUGAAGAAGUGCGAGUACACCGUGAUGGGAGAAGACAACCUGGAGAGGACGGCUGGCCGGCAUGCAUGGCUACCAGGUCGAGCUGAACAAGGCAGCCGUUGUCACCGUUGGUGACAUUUGGACGCAGGCAGCAGCCGAGCCGGACAGCCUCCUCCGGAGAGAACACCUCAGAAGGCUCUGCCUCUCCUUUGUUCUCUACAAGCUGCUGCGCCGGAGGUUCGAGGACAUCCCCACAACAAGGGAGGAGACCCGGAACUGCCGGAACCUCAUCUUCAAGGGCAUGUUGAAGGAGGAGGCGGAGCAAGGUGCCGAGGUCGCACUGUUCCAGUCUUCAACGAUGAGACCCAGUUCGUUUGCGAGUACUACCAUUCCGUCCUACCCGUCGUCUUGUCCGACCCUUUCUUCUUCAUAGCCAACUACAUCUUGUUUCCCAUUGUAGUUUGUGCCUUCUGCCUCCUAACAUUGAUCAUCUGCGGCAAUGGGAGCGUCCACUACGCCUACCAGAGCAUCAAAAGUGACAACUACAUCAUAUACACUGGCGCGACGACGCUGACCAGAUGCCUCCUGAGAAACAUCGCCCAUUCACCCGAGGUGCUAGCUGUUCGCCAGCAUCGACCUAGGCACCACCACUCUGCUCAUCCUGGCCUUCGUCUACGAGGAAGUCGUGGAGGUCCUCGUCUUUAUCCUCUCCAAUUGGCUCAUCGUGUCGCUCAUCUGUCAGUACACCGCCAAGCUCCACUGGCGGCAGAGCCGCAUCCUGUGUCGGCUCAUCCGCGGCAUCCUGUGGGUGCGAAGCAUGCUAUAAGCCACCCUAACCUCUGCUUCAAGCAGCUCUCCGUGCUAGGGUUCUUCCAACUGUCGUCGCCUUCGCCGUUCAUGGUGCCAACCAAGGCAGUGCCCAAGGAGGUAAUUAAAGAUUCUUCAUCGGUAAUGUCGCGCGGUUCUUGGUUUCAAGUACUGCCUGUAUUUUUUUUAUUUUUUUUUUGCCUUGUCAUUUGGUCCGUCAGAACUAAGUUUGUCGAAUUCCUUCUGAAUAAGCUUGAGACGCUGGUCGUGCUUGUUUGUUGGUGUGCCUACGUGCCGCGUAGUUGUCGUAGCAAAUACUUUCGGUUCCAUAUCGCCUGUGACAUUCAGCAUGUUGUCUUUUUUUUUUUGAAGCGCAUUCAGCAUGUUUCGCAGAUGUUUGGAAGGAUGAUCCAAAUUCUGAAUGCACAGACCAUGUUGGGAAAUUGAUUUCCCCACUGCGUGUCUGUGUUUACAUGCAUCUUCUUACUGUGGUUCCAAUGGCCCGUCUAGGCCCAUACAGGCCUAUCAGGUGGAUGGGCCGGCCGGCCUCCUGGAUCAACAAGGCCGGUAUCCCUUCUUGCCCGUCCGCCCCCGCUGUAGAAACAAAACCAGAACCAGCAGAUCCCCCGGGCCCUGAAGAGAAAGACGAUGGCAACAGAAGAAAGAGCUCGCGACGAAGCCGGCGAAAGCCCCCCAAACCCUCCCCAGCCCAGGCAGCGGCGGCGCGACGAGAUGGCCGACGACCCCACCGCCGGCGGCGGGAACACCGUCGAGGACGUCGUCCGCGCGGAGGUGAGCAUCCCCGGCCGGCCCUCGUCCUCUUUGCUGCGAGUGCCGGGGAAUCCGAUCUCCGCCCGUGCCGACCUGGCUCUGCUCGGCUGCCCCCGAUCUGCCCGCGCAGGUGGCGGCGCCUCGCCCCCAGUUCGGUUUCGGGUUAGAGGUGUCCCAUCGUGGUGUCUGGGCGGGGGGAAUCCGGCGACGAGGCGUUCUCCCUCCCGUUGGCUCGGUUGGCGCGGACGGACGCGGUGGGCCUGGUUGGGGAAUCUGUGCCCGUUUCGAUUUGGGUGUAGAAUAGGUAUACGUCUGCAAAAUUGAUAGAAUUAGGCCCGUUUAUAUCGGUCCUGGUACUUGGGCCAUGACGCUUUGGAUCGCCCACAAAAAUCCACAAACGCAGGCAGGGCCGGUCAUCCCGGAUAAAUCCAAAAUGAUUUUUACCGGUUACCGACCCCGGCGGUUUCGAUUUUUACCGAAAACCGGUCGGUAACCGGUAAAAACUGGACGAAUUCAAAAGACGAAUUGCCAGCGCAACUGGUAAAAACCGCUCGGUAACCCGCCCGAAUUCAAACCGCUUGGUAACGGUAAAAACCGCAUAGUAAACUGCCUGAAUUCAAAAUUUGAAAAUUUUGAAUUCGAGCGGUUUACUGUGCAGCUGAACCGGUGCUGGACCGGAGCGGUUGUUUUCGUCGGUUUUGUAAAUCCUAUUUGUGAUUCGGUGGGAGCAUUGCGCUAAAGACUCGGGCAUAAAGAUAGAUAAAAGCAACAAAAGAAACGGUUUCCCAGCUAAAGGUGGUGGGCCAAGUGACAGCUAGCAGUGGAGAGGGGGGCAUUCCAGCGGCCUGCAAGGCGGUUUCCCAGCUGGCCCGUCCUCAUUUACUAAUCCCCACCAAGCUUAGGGGGUGUUUGGAUCCCGGACUAAAUUUUAAUCCCUGUCACAUCGAAUGUUUGACACUAAUUAGGAGUAUUAAACAUAGGCUAAUUACAAAACCAAUUUCACAACCCCUAGGCUAAAUCACGAGACGAAUCUAUUAAGCCUAAUUAGUCCAUGAUUUGACACUAUGGUGCUACAGUAAACAUUCGCUAAUGAUGGAUUAAUUAGGCUUAAUAGAUUCGUCUCGCGAUUUAGCCUAGGGGUUCUGCAAUUAGUUUUGUAAUUAGCUCAUGUUUAGUCCUCCUAAUUAGCAUCCGAACAUCCGAUGUGACACAGACUAAACUUUAGCUCCAGGAUCCAAACACCCCCUUAGCAUCUUUCCUUUCGAUGAAAUAAAAAAAUUGUUAAUCUCAACUGCUCCUCGAUUACCGCAUAGAUUAACACCUCUUUAGCCUUUGUGGCACGGCACCUAAGGCUCCGUUUUCUUCCAUUGACUUAUUUUUAGCACCCGUCACAUCAAAUAUUUAGAUACUAAUUAGGAGUAUUAAACGUAGACUAUUUACAAAACCCAUUACAUAAGACGAAUCUAAACGGCGAGACGAAUCUAUUAAGCCUAAUUAGUCCAUGAUUUGACAAUGUGUUGCUACAGUACCAUAGUGUCGUAUCGAUGGCAUUAAUGAGCCUUAAUUAGGCUUAAUAGAUUCGUCUCGCCGUUUAGAUUCCACUUAUGUAAUUGGUUUUGUAAAUAGUCUACGUUUACUACUCCUAAUUAGUAUCUAAACAUUCGAUGUGACACGUGCUAAAAAUAAGACACGGGAAGAAAACGCCCCCUAAUACUUUCCUCACCUUUGCAGUGCCGUGGGCCCGCCACUUCCCUUCUGGCCCACAAGUCAUGGAGGCGCGCGAGGAGGGGUAUCGGUUUCACGAUGAUUAAUAAAGAAAGACACCGGCACACCGCACCGCAUGCACCUCCACCACUUGCGUUGCCUUUGCCUUUGCUUUUCCCCGAGCUCGCCCGCCUAGGAGCUCCAGCAGCCGGUCCGCUCCGCCACCGGUGCGGCAACCACGCCGCCGUCAGAUCGCCUCGCGCGGCCACCGGUCGUCCCCGCGAUACACCGCCGCCGGUGCGCCGUGCGCGGCGGCGCUGUCCCGCCGCUCCUCCGCCUACCGUCGGCCUGCGCCACCACCAGCGCACCGGCAGCACCGCGAGCUGCCGCGACGCCCCGACGUUGGUCCUUCCUGAGCCCGGUGUCGUCACCAGCGUAGCGGAGAAGCUAAUUACCUGAAGCAAUUUGUAGAAACGAAUAGUACUGGUUCGUUCACUUAUUUCUUUGCUCAAACUUAAUUUCUGCUUAGAGUUUGUGCCUAAAUUAGCUGCUUAUUCUGCUGGUUGCACGCAGGAGAUCGAGCUACGGGCGUACGGCCGGAUCGGAGGAGGACAUAUCAGCCGGGUUCCUGUUGGUUGUGUACUUGUGUUCCUGCCGACGGAGAAGCAACCAUGGCCGAGUUACUGAUCGGGCCACUGAUCUCCAUGGUGAAGGAGAAGGCAUCCAGCUACCUGCUGGACCAAUACAAGGUGAUGGAAGGCAUGGAGGAGCAGCGCAAGACCCUGGAGCGCAAGCUGCCAGCAAUCCUGCACAUCAUCCAGGAUGCGGAGGAGAAAGGAGCCUCCCGACCUGAAGUUGCAGUUUGGCUUAAAGACCUCAAGACAGCGGCCUAUGAGGCCAACGACGUCUUUGAUGAGUUCAAGUACGAGGCGCUUCGGCGAGAAGCCAAGAAGAAGGGCCACCACAGCAAGCUUGGAAAUGAGGUAGCAAGACUCCUAGUCCCCGCUCGUAAUCCCAUUGUAUUCCGUUACAGGAUGGGCAAGAAGCUACGCAGGAUUGUGCAGACCAUCGAGGCCUUGGUCACCGAGAUGAAUACAUUUGGUUUCAGGCACUUGCAGCAAGCACAGCCAUCAAGGCAGUGGCGACAGACAGAUUCCAUAAUCAUUGACUCCGACAGAGAUAUUCUUAGCAGAUCUAGAGAUCGGGAGAAGAAGAAAAUCGUGGGGAUGCUCCUUGAUCAAGCUAGCAACAGGGAUCUCAUGGUUCUUCCAAUUGUUGGGAUGGGUGGGAUGGGCAAGACCACCUUUGUGCAACUCAUUUACAAUGACCCUGCAAUCGAGAAGCACUUUGAGUUUCGGAGGUGGUACUGCGUGUCAGAUGAUUUCGAUGUCAGUACCAUUGCAAGCAACAUCUGCCAGACCAAUGAGAAAUAUCGUGAAAAAUCAUUGCAGGAGCUCCAUAGUACAAUAAGUGGAAAAAGGUACCUCAUUGUGUUAGAUGAUGUAUGGAAUCGGGAUGCUGAUAAGUGGGGAAAACUAAAGACCUGCCUUAAGCAGGGUGGCAAGGGCAGUGCAGUACUAACAACAACUCGUGAUGCAGAAGUGGCUCGCAUUAUGACCAUGGGUGUAGCUAAAGCCCAUAAUAUCGAGAAUCUGAGCGAUGAGCAUUUAAAGGAAAUUGUCCAGAGCAGAGCAUUCAGCUUGCAAAAUCCAAAUAUGGAAGAGCAAGAUGGCAUUCUCAGUGGAUUUGUUCGUCGAUGCGUUGGAUCUCCCUUGGCUGCCAAAGCCUUUGGCUCUAUGUUGAGUAACAGGACUAGUAUAAAUGAAUGGAAGGAUAUAUUAGCUAAAAGUAACAUUUGUAGUGAGAAAACCGGAAUUUUACCGAUCCUCAAGCUCAGUUUUGAUGACCUAUCCUCAGAUAUGAAGCAGUGCUUUGCAUUUUGUGCUUUAUUUCCUAAAGAUUAUGAGAUCGAUGUGGACCUCUUGAUUCGACUGUGGAUGGCACAUGAUUUCAUACCUGUGCAGGAGGAUGACAAUCUAGAAACCGUAGGAAAAUAUAUUUUUGAGGAGCUAACUCGAAGGUCAUUCUUUCAAGAUGUCAAGCAAACACUUCCAAUAAUUGUCAAGCAAACACUUCCACUUCCAUAUCGCUCUGUUGGAAUUCUUCGUAAGUCAACCAUAUGCAAGAUACAUGAUCUCAUGCAUGACAUUGCUCUAUCUGUUCUGGGGAAAGAAUGUGUCACUAUAGUUGGUAAGCCGAGCAUCAACAAGCUGUUGCUAAAUCCGACCCGCCACGUCUUCUUAUCAAUAUAUACUACUUUCUGGAAAGAACAGGUUACAAGUCUACUGGAUCAUCUAUUGAAGAAACAAACUGCAAUGCUCCAUACGUUGUUUAUCAAAGAUUAUGGUCAACCCCUUGAUAUAUCAAAGUACACUUCACUGCGAGCAUUACACCUUCCAGCAUAUGAGUAUCUAAGUUUUGGACAGGAACAGCUUACAAGACACAUACAACACCUAAGGUAUCUUAAUCUGUCGUCACAUGAGUUCGAGAAACUUCCUGAAGGUAUAAGCAUGAUGUAUAAUCUACAAUCGUUGGACCUCUCUCAUUGCAUAAAGCUUCGUCAACUUCCAAAGGAUAUGAAAUAUAUGGCAAACCUCCGACACCUCUAUACCCAUGGAUGCAAAUCAUUGACGUGCAUGCCUCCAGGACUUGGACAGAUCACUUCUCUGCAGACUCUAACAUAUUUUGUUAUUGGUGAUUGCUUGGGAUGUAGUACUAUCGGAGAACUUCGAAACUUAAACCUUGGUGGAGAGUUAGAGUUAAGUGGUCUGCAAAAUGUAACAGAAGUGCUUGCAAAAGCAGCCAAUCUUGAAAAUAAAGAGAAACUCACACACUUAUCUCUCAAGUGGAAUGAUGAUGCCCCUGAGAAAACAGAUUCUCAUAAUGAGGUGUUAGAUGCCCUUAAACCUCAUCACCGGCUAGAGAUGCUAAGAAUAAAGUCCUACAAAGGCACCAAUUUACCGUCA